Molecule: long non-coding RNA, 203525 nt
Filed under: Triticum aestivum (bread wheat)
Lineage: Eukaryota; Viridiplantae; Streptophyta; Magnoliopsida; Poales; Poaceae
Description: long non-coding RNA (TAES_LNC028652)
Source: RNAcentral
GGUGACGGCCUUCGUCGAGGACUGCAAGAUGAAGCGCAUGACCGGGGUCAAGAGCAAGGAGCUUCUCAUCUGGAUCACCCUCUGCGACAUGUACAUCGACAAGGACGACCCCUCCAAGAUCACCUUCAAGACGCCCACCGGACUCGGGAGGACCUUCCCCGUCUCCGCCUUCGGGAAAGAGGACUGCAAGGAGGCCGCGGUGGCCAAAUAAGUGUGGACAGACGCGAUACUCUACAAAGUUGGAUGAAGAUUGAAGAGGGCUCAAGUUCAAGUUCAAUUGUUAACUACCUUUGCCUGGGUUUAUUAGCCCUAUUGUAUUUUUGGUCAACCUUUGACCCUUGAUUUAAUUACCAAAAAAUAAAUUAUAUAUCAAAAUAAUAAUAUAAUUGGAAAUCUCUUUUGAAUAUGAAUCCUACAAUAUAAUUUUGUGACUCGAAUUUUUUAUUUUUAUUAGUCAAAUCUACAGUCGAAAUUUAACACAAAGUAUGAAAGAGACAUGUAAACCCAGACGAAGGUGGUACACCUACUUUUUGCUUUGAAAAUUACGAAGUAAUUCAUGGGUGUAACUCACUAUAUGAUGUGUAUAUAAAAAAUCCAUAACAAAAUAUAUGAUCAUGUGAUAUGUACAAAAAGACAAAUAUAUCUGUGCAUUUUAUUUAAGUGAACACCACGUUAAUUUUUACAAAGUGCACAUCACAUAUCAUUGCUAACAUACAUGAAUUUAGAAAAAAAAAAUCCUUAAUGAACCUUCUAUAGAUACUAGCAUGACCCAUGAAAGUUUGCAUACCUUUUGCGUCUUGAGGGUAAGGUACAUUUUCUAUGGACGUGGCUAGUCAGUGCCCGUUGGUGCGAUGGGGCGCCUAUACCAUAAACGGAAGGACGUCCUAAAAAGUGCAGUUAGUCCCUCGUGUGCCUUUCAAAAAAAAAGAGAAGACCCUGCCCCCCCCCUCCCCAGAGUCCACGUGAUUCUAGGACGUUACCAAAUAAACCAGCUAAUACCUUGUCACAUGUGCAUUAAUUUGGGGUUUCAAAUUUUUUAAAAAGCCUUAAAUUUCGAUUCGAACGUCAAAAUUCAAAACUGUUUCACCGCUGGGUUUCUCACGACGGGUUCUUCAAAUCUAGAUCCCAUAUGAAUAGGUUUCGUCAAUCUUUUUUGGGUGGGCAACUUUGGGUGUAAGGGAGGCAACUUUAGUGGUAUAGGGAAGCAACUUCUUUUUUUCGCUUAGUAUGACUUCUAUGAUGUUGGUUUGUGUAAAGAUGAGAAAAAAAACAAAAAAAACAUGGGGCACCUUUAGUACUACAUACAAGCAACUUCACUGCAUUAUGCGUACCUAUGAAUUUUGCUAACAUUAUCCCAACUUGCCUAUUCAGGGUUGCUUAGUUUCCUAUCGUUGAAUGUCAGUUUCCUAUGGUUGAUGCUCAGUUGCCUACAAGUACUGAAAUUGUCCACCAUUGAUGCCCAUUUGCUUGUUAUUGGUAAAUAGUUGCCUACCAUUGCUACUCAGUUGCCUAACUUUUCAAAUUAGUUGCCUAUUCCAACAAAAGCCUAACAGAACCAAGCAACUAUCCAUACAAAACCAAGCAACUGUCCUAGCAAAUCCAAGCAACUACAUUACCCAAAACACCGUGCAAUACUUUCCAAGAAAAAACCAAGCAACUGUCCUAACCAAACCAAGCAACUGCAUUAUGACACGAUGCAACUCUUCUAGCAAAUCCAAGCGACAACUUUGUCCCCAUACCAAACCAAGCAACUGCAUUACAACUCGAGAAACUCUUCUACCAAAUCCAAGCGAUUGCUUUGUCCCCCAUAAUUCACAUAAUUGCCAAUCUAUUGACUCCAAAAAUUAUCGCACUGAUUCAAGCAAUAAUGCCAUGCAUCUGGACAAGACCCCCAGGAUUUUGGUAAUAGGCAACUUCAUAAGAAUGGUAGACAACUGGGAGAAAUGUUUUAUCUCCUUCUACAGAAUAUGGUUAGGUGAUAAUAGGACAAUGUAUGCAUAAUAUAUGUUGAAUGCACCUUCAUAACACAAGUUGCCUCCAUGUGAUACCAAAGUUGCUUACGGAUGAUGUUCAGUUGCCUACAUACGAUGAAAAUUUGUCCGACAUGGUUUCUAUGUUUUCUACGAUAUACUUGCUAGGUAAAUUCACUAGUACACAUGAUGAAAGAAAGUUGCUUCUGUUUAGCAAUAAAGUUGCCUCAACUAGAACCAAGCUUGUCUUUUUUUUUAAACAUCGAAACCUAUUCAUACGGGAUCUAGUUUUGAAGAUCUCGUCAUGAGAAACCUAAUGGUGAAAAUGAAUCUUCACUCUGAUGCUCGGUUCAAAAGUUAUAGCUUUUUGAAAAAAUGAGACGGAAUAAAGUGGGAUGACAUUAGCAUAUGCAUGCAGUUAAUCUUUAGGGACCACCCAGUACCUGACGAUGCCAGGUACAUCAUGAGGGGGAAGGAUGCCAUUUUUCUAACAAUUUGUCGUGUAGCGCAAUUGAGUCAGCAUCGGUCGGCUCGCAUGCGUGCGCUUGACUCCACCGAAUAGCGCAGCUACAUUAUCUAGCAUUUAGGAUUUUCUAUUAUCUCUAUUAUUUGUUGAUCUAUUUCGAUACUCCUUCCUGAAACUCUAUGUCCCAGCACUACUCCCUCGGUGACAAUGAAGUGGCUCUUUUUCCAAUUCAGCACGAAACAUGUUUCUUCGCAUCUCUGCAAAUCUUUCGUGAGAUUAUAGAGGCAUUUGUCAAAGAAGUGUCUGACAGGAAAAUUAUCCGUAAACACUUUGACAAUUUUCUCCACAAAGUCGAGGAAAAUCCUAGAAAUGCACUUCUGAAAAGAUUUUUCUUCGCAAAGUCAUGGAAAAUUCUAGAAAUGCACUUCUGAAAAAGCGGGUGGCCCAUUACACAGGCCAAAUGGCAUUCUAUGAUAUGCAUAUGUAUCCUAGAGACAAGUGAAGGUGGUCUUAUCUUGGUCUUUAGGUCAGAUUGGCGUCUGCCAAAAUCUGGAAUAUCCAUCGAGAUAACAAAAGUAGGAGUUAUUAGUCGACAUUUUGAAUAUCUCAUUUAUGAAGGGUAAUUGGUAGUGAUCCUUCUGAGUCCAUUUAUUUAAUUUCCUAAAAUCUACACAAAUUCCAUAUCCAAAUAGCCCUAGUAGGGACUAUGUUAUUAUUUUCAUUAGUUACUAAAGAAACCCAUCCUUUCUUAGUGAUGCAAUGAACUGGACUCACCUACUUACUAUCAGACAUAGGGUAAAUUACCCUAGCAUCAAGAUGCAUUACUUCUUUUCUUACCACAUUAUUGGAGGCAUGAUGUAGUCUUUGUUGGCUUUCAAUUACCGGUUUAGCUCCUUCUUUAAUGGGAACAGUGUGAGAAUAAAUAGAUGGAUCUAUCCCUUUUACGUCUUUCAUUGAGUAGCCCAAAGCCUUACGGUGUUUAGUUAACACCGUUUAAAGCUUCUCUUUUUCUUCUCCUAGAAGGCCAGCAUUAACAAUAAUAGAAAAUCUUUCGGUGUCAUCCAUAAACUCAUACCAUAGUCCUUUAGGUAAUGGUUUCAGAAUAGGUGGAGGUAGUUCUUCAUCUCCUUUCCUUUCAAGUACCUCAUACACUUUAUUUAAACACAGGCAAACUAUGGGAGUAGCAUCCAUUAUCAAUCUCAAUUUCCUCUUUCUUCUUCUUCUUCAAAUAAGGACUUGGGCCUUACCAGGACCCUUUCAACUUCAUCUUCUGGAGUUUGGAGAUGAAUCUCAGUUAGUUGAUUUAAUUUUUGCACUUCCUCAUCUUGAGCCUCUUCUUGAUAUGGUUUACUUAAGACCGAAGAAAAUGUAAAAUUUGAUCAUCUCAUCUCCCCAUUUCAUAGAGAUAGUCUUCUUUUUUAUAUAAGCUCCUGCAACAUUCAAAAAAGAAUUUCCAAAAAUAAUAGGACAAUCCUUAUGCUCUAAAAUCAUCAGUACAUAGAUAUCAAUGGGAUAAAUGAGUGAGCCUAUUAUAAUUUUGAUAUCUUUAAGGAUGCCACAGGGUUUUCUACCAGUCUUAUCUGCAAGCUUAAUAACAACUCAGUUGGCUCAAGAGUACGGGGAGAAAUCGCAUAAUAAUUUUUUGCUUAAAGAGUAUAGGGAUUAAUAUUGACUGGGGAUCCUGGGUCACACAAUCCAGGAUGAGGUUUGCUUCCGAAGGAACAUGAUAAAUUUGUUUACUUGUAUCCUUACCUCCCGUACACCCUUUACGGUAAGAGGUGGCAUCUUGGUCUAAAAAGACUUCUUUAUUAACCACUGCUAUAGGUGUAGUAAGUUCUUUCACGAUAUGCACAUGUGGUGGAGUUCCAUAUUGUUCUACCUUAAUACUCUUCUUAUGCUUAGCAGAAAGUGAUUCUCCCUUUCUUUUUGCCCUUCCAUUCCAAAUAAGCCUCUCUUCGGUCUUGGGGUGGAGUACUUUUCUUCAUGAUUGCUUCUACCAUUCGGAUCGCUUUCGCUUCCCUAGUGUGUUUCAAAAACUUUUUAUCUGGUAGCGGCAAAAACUCAGAAAAAUCUUUUAAUAUAUGUAAAACAGGGUCAGUCCCAAUAUUAAGCUCAUGAUGAAGAUUUUUCAUCUCCUUUUUUCUAAAAAAAGACUUAAUACUAUCAUAAACAUGUGAAGGAAAUAUGCCCUAGAGGCAAUAAUAAAUUUGUUAUUUUAUAUUUCCUUAUAUCAUGAUAAAUGUUUAUUAUUCAUGCUAGAAUUGUAUUAACCGGAAACUUGAUACAUGUGUGGAUACAUAGACAAAACACCGUGUCCCUAGUAAGCCUCUACUAGACUAGCUGGUUAAUCAAAGAUGGUUAAGUUUCCUAACCAUAGACAUGUGUUGUCAUUUGAUGAACGGGAUCACAUCAUUAGAGAAUGAAGUGAUGGACAUGACCCAUCUGUUAGCUUAGCAUAUUGAUCGUUCAGUAUUAUUGCUAUAAAUUUCUUCAUGUCAUAUACAUAUUCCUUGGACUAUGACAUUAUGCAACUCCCAGAUACCGGAGGAAUGCCUUGUGUGCUAUCAAACAUCACGACGUAACUCGGUGAUUAUAAAGAUGCUCUACAGGUAUCUCCGAAGGUGUUUGUUGGGUUGGCAUAGAUCGAGAUUAGGAUUUGUCACUUCGAGUAUCGGAGAGGUAUCUCUAGGCCCUCUCGGUAAUGCACAUCAUAAUAAGCCUUGCAAGCAAAGUGACUAAUGAUUUAGUUGCAGGAUGAUGUAUUACAGAACGAGUAAAGAAACUUGCCGGUAACGAGAUUGAACUAGGUAUGUGGAUACCGACGAUCGAAUCUCGGGCAAGUAACAUACCGAUGACAAAGGGAAUAACGUAUGUUGUCAUUACGGUGCGACCGAUAAUGAUCUUGAUAGAAUAUGUAGGAACCAAUAUGAGCAUCCAGGUUCUGCUAUUGGUUAUUUACCACAGAGGUGUCUCGGUCAUGUCUACAUAGUUCUCGAACCCGUAGGGUCCGCACUCUUAACGUACGAUGACGAUUUUGUAUUAUAUGAGUUAUGAGAUUUGGUGACCUAAUGUUGUUCGGAGUCCCAGAUGAGAUCAUGGACAUGACGAGGAGUCUUGAAAUGGUCGAGAGGUAAAGAUUUAUAUAUAGUACAAUAGUAUUCGGACACCAGAAGUUUUCCGGGUACCGGGUACAUAUCGGGUCACCGGAAGGGGUUCCGGGAACCCCCCGGCAACUAUAUGGGCCUAAUGGGCCAAGAGGGGAAACGCAGCAGCCAGCAGGGGCUGCUGCGCGGCCGCAUCAGAGGAGAAGGAAAGGAGGGAAAGAGAGAUGGAAGGGGAGGGAUUCGGCCUCCCCCUUCCUUCCCUCCUCCCUCCUCCUUCCUUUCCCCUCCGGAAAACAUGGUAGGGGGGGGGGCGAAUUGGACAAGGCUCCCAAGUAAGAUUCCUCCUACUUGGGGUGCCCCAUGGCUGUCCCCCUCCCCCUCCCACCUAUAUAUACGUGGGGAGGGGGCGCCUAGAACACACACCAACAAUUGUUAGCUGUGUGCGGCGCCCCCCUCCACAGUUUGGUCAUAUCUUCGUAGUGCUUAGGCGAAGCCCUGCGCGGAUCACUUCACCAUCACCGUCACCACGCCGUUGUGCUGACGGAACUCUCCCUCGACACUUUCCUGGAUCAAGAGUUCGAGGGACGUCAUCGAGCUAAACGUGUGCAGAACUCGGAGGUGCCGUACGUUCGGUGUUUGAUCGGUCGGAACGAGAAGAAAGUUCGACUACAUCAACUGCGUUGUCAAACGCUUCCACUUUCGGUCUACGAGGGUACAUGGACACACUCUCCCCUCUCGUUGCUAUGCAUCUCCUAGAUAGAUCUUGCGUGAGCAUAUGAAUUUUUUUGAAAUUGCAUGCUACGUUUCCCAACAGUGGCAUCCGAGCCAGGUCUAUGCGUAGAUGAUAUGCAUGAGUAGAACACAAAGAGUUGUGGGCGGUGAUUAUCAUACUGCUUACCACCAAUGUCUUAUUUUGAUUCGACGGUAUUGUUGGAUGAAGCGGCCCGGACCAACCUUACAUGACCACGUUCAUGAGACCGGUUCCACCGACCGACAUGCAACUAGUUUUGCAUAAAGGUGGCUGGCGGGUGUCUGUUUCUCCAAAUUUAGUUGAAUCAAAUUUGACUGUGGCCGGUCCUUGUUGAAGGUUAAAACAAAAAACUUGAUAAAUCACCGUUGCGGUUUUUGAUGCGUAGGUACGAACGGUGUCGGUGGAAACGACACCUAUGGGAUCAUAGGGAAUCCCUACUACGGUCGACGGGCGCGGGGCUGUGGAAAGAGUAGGUUUAGAAGAUCAACGCGGGAAAUUUAUCCAGGUUCGGGCCGCAAGUGAUGCGUAAUACCAUACUCCUACUGGUUUGUGUUUAUCUGGUGUUCUUGGACUAGCUACAAAGCUUGCAGAGUCCAAAAAGUCCGAAUCCUCUCUCAGUACGCCGCGGGCCUCCUUUUAUAGUCAAAGGGGCUGCCACAGUGGCACACAGGAGGUGGAAAGUUGUACAGUAGUCGAGUUUAUCUCUGACAUCACAGGACAAAACGCAUUAAAUGCGCUACUUAGGUGUCCUCUCGCUUUAUCGGGGAUGGCAACGAAGCCCGUCCCAUCCGUCGCCGCUUCGCCUUACUCCGACACACGUCCAGGCCAACGAGGCAUGCAGUGCCAUGUAGGCAGGCAGGCUGCUGAGCUGGUGCGGUGGGAGGGUCUUCAUGAAGAUCUGCAUGCCACCACGCAUGUGCUUGACUAGUUGGCUUAGGAGCCACGUACUGCCACGUGGGUGCUUUCUUAGUUGGUGGGUCGACCGCUGAGUUGGGGCGGCGACGGGGCGGCAAGGCCUUGCCACGGUUUCGCUGAUAUUCCAGGCAAGGGUCUUGCCGGGGCCUUGCGGGCGCCCUCGGCUAGAGUCCUGCCGGGGCCUCGUGGGUAUCUUCGGCAGGAGCCUUGCCGGGGCCUCGUGGGCAUCCUCGGCAAGGAGCCUCACUGUUGUCUUGUUUUCUGGUUCCUAUGUAGGCCUCGCAGGCCCUUUGUCUUCACAAAGAUCUGCAUGCCACCAUGGAGGUGCCUCCCGAGCCUUGGUUCCAGUGUGGUUGAUGGCGCGGGAACUUUUAAACUCAAGGGUGGCGGCCCGGUUGGUGUUGGGCAAGUUGCCCCGGCAAGGCUCUUGCCGGGGCCGUGAAGGCCGCCCCGGCAAGGGCCUUGCCGGGGGAGUUUCACCUCGCCCCUCUGCUCUUCAUGCUUUUGGUCUUGAGCACGGCUCUGGUAGUCUUGUGACCUUGCUUCCUCUUCUGCCCCGCUAAGUGUGGCCGUGGGUGCGGCUCUAACUUCCCGUGCACAAGUACAGGGGUACAAAGAAGGGCCCCUACUUUUGUACACCGAUAGGAGCCCUCGGGCCUGGGCCACACAUAAGCGCGACGCAUUGUUGGGCUAGGCCCAAAACGGUGCGCGGGCACGCGGGGCUGAGUUUUUUCGCAGUAACUUCCCACACCAGUUGCGCUUCCCCACAACCCGUGUUGAAUGCGUGACGUGGGGGUCGUGCGUGGGGUGACCGCAGCAUGCUUGCGUCACCCCGCGGUUUUAAUAGUAGAGAGGUGGCCCACGUCCCCCCACCCAUAAAAAUAGGGGAAGCCGCAGGGGCGCGGCUCAUUUACUAGGUGGAUUCGGGUCGUGGCCAUCAUGGCAUCCGUGCCCCACGAUCGCGGGGCGUGAAACGGCCGUUCCACUUGCCACCUGAAUCCUGGCUCGCCCGCCACAUGUCCCCCAUGCCUCGGGGAGGGCAGGCGGUGGAAACAAAGGGCACGGGCUUUAAUGCCGGGGCGGGGGCCGGGCGCCGCUGAUUGGUUGAUUGGUUGAUUGGGGCGACCGCCCUUAGGCUUGCUUGGCCCCGUCCCCCUAUAAAAAGGGGAGAGGGACAUCACCUCCCCGCAUCCAUCCUCUUCCAGUUUGAUCCCUUUCCUUCCCUUGUCAUGGCGACAGAGCGCGGUCGUGGCCGUCCUUCCGUGGAGGCGACCAGGUCUUCCUCCCGCCAGAGAGCUGCGGCGGUAAAGGAAGAGCCGAACGCCCAAGGUGAAGGCCAUGCUCGAGGCAGAGGCGCCGGACGGGGCCGCGGUCGGUGAGGCGGUCGAGGCAGAGGUGGGCGCGGAAGGGGGAAACCCGUGUCAUCAUCGUCUCCGUCACCAUCUCCUCCUGCUCCGUCAAGCGGUCAUGUCGGGGACACGGCGCUGGAGUUCAUCCCGCAGUUGCGUGAGCCGCCGCGCAGCCGCCUCCGUCUUCCCGAGGCGUUUGCGAGGGUGCUGGAGAUUGACCAGCCACCGAGGUUGAGACUCCACAUGAAGGGGUGUUGCACCGGCAACAUGUGGGUGAACACAAGGUUCCCCGCCCCUCAUGUGAUGCUCCUUUGUCGGGGCUGGAAAACCUUCGCACGUGCCCACUGCUUGAUGAAGGGGCACGUCCUCUGCUUCAAGUUAGCGGAGAGCGACCUGCUCUCCGUCAAGGUCUUCCGGCGCUCGGGGCACAGGCUAGGGUGCUAUGUGGAGAACUCGACCGAUGACGAAAGCUCCUCCUCGGGCGACAGUGACGAGGAGGACAGCAAUAGCGGCGACGAGGGUAGCGGGUAGGAGGAUGACGGGUCCGACUAGGCGUCGGACACACCGUCCCUGGGCGAUGCCGGCAGCACCACCAUCUGCAUCGCCAGCCCUUGAACUUCUCGGGGUCACCUCCUUGGGCGGCUGGCGUGGGGAGGCUGGAGAAGACGAAUAAGGCGGGUGGUGGGCCGUCAAGUCGGAAUAUGAUGGCGCCGACGCCUUCGUCUCGUAUUGGCGGUCCGCUGCCUCAUCUUUUGGCUCUUCUCCCGGCACCAUCAUCACCAGCCCUCUUCCGGACGGCUGCCGGGAUGUUCUCUUGGUGUCUUUUGUUGUUCGUACCUUGCCUAGGCACUCCUUUUGCCCUUCUUCCAUCUUGUUCCGUUUCCUGAGGAGAGGGACAAGAAAGGGAUUAUGGGCGCCUUAUCUUUUUUAGUUUUUAAGCCUGCGGGCAUUUGUCAGAUUUAAACCUUGUAAUCCCCUUGCUCAAGCUCUCAUUCCGUAUGAAUUUUACUUGUUAACAAUGUAUUAAUGAAGAAAAGGGGUGUUUGCCUGGUUCUUUUGUGCGUGAGCGAGGCCCACACCAAGGAUCGAAUCCUUGUUAUCUUAAAAUAAACAUCGUUACCCGGCAACAUACCUUGCCGUCCUCCUACACUCAUGCCCUUGGCGGAGGUAGGGGCAAAGUAGGAUCAGGCCCUUCGUUUGUUCCCUUUCCAUCGCACUACAACCAAGUUCCGGCCCAAAGAAAGGUUCUUUGACACGGGAAAGAGGGAGUACGACGGUAUAAGAGUGAGCGAAGCUUCGUACGUUCAAGUUCCAUAUGGAAGUGUAGAGUGGGGGAUGAAAGACUUAUCUGAUUCUGCAGCCCCCGGCAACCUUGGCUUGCCGUGGUCGGAUCUCUGGAUCUGUAGCCCCCGGCAACCUUGGCUUGCCGGGGUUUGGGCGUCCGCCUAUUUCCUUUCCCCCAAACAGCUCAACAGAAAAGCCCGUGCAUCCUGCGAACCAAAAGAAAGGAUGGGAAGGAACAGAGAGACGCACACUCAACCUCUAUGCUAGGGGUUAGUCGCCGCUAAGCACUAUCAACCCUAACAAAGAGAGAGACUCAACCUAGCAUGCAUGCUAAAACUUAGGGCGCCAGCGCUUCAUUUAUUUAUGCUCAGGGUCUGCGCCUGACUUUGUACAUAGGGUUACAUGCCUUGCCGGCAAGGCUAGUACAAAAUGGGGGUUGCCGGGGCUCCUGGCAACCGCGCCUUAGGUGUAAAACUUAGGAAGAUGUUCGAUAUUCCAGGAAUUCUUAGGAAGAUGUUCGAUAUUCCAGGAAUUGCUCACUGGAAUGCCAUCUUCGGUCUGUAGGCGGACUGCGCCGGGCCUGGUGACUCGCAUUACUCGAUAAGGGCCCUCCCACUUUGGCGUCAACUUGUUUGAAUUCUUGGCGGAUUGAAUCCGUCGAAUAACAAGGUCGCCUUCCUCAAGGCUUUGAGCGUGAACCUUGCGGCUAUGAUAGUGACGCAAGGCCUACUGGUAGCGAGCGGCUCGCACAGCAGCCCGAAGACGAUCUUCCUCAAGGAGCGUCGCAUCCUCUUGGCGCAACUGCUCUUGAUCAAGCUCAUCAUAAGCGAGCACUCGAGGUGACCUGUAUAUGAGUUCAGUGGGGAGAACUGCCUCUGCCCGUAAACCAGGGCAAAUGGUGUCUGGCCAGUAGCUUGAUUUGGCGUCGUUCUGAUCGACCAAAGAACUGUUGGCAACUCAUCAACCCAGCGCCUUCCACACUUGUGCAGCUUGUCAAAAGUCCUACUCUUGAGGCCUCGCAGCACUUCUGCAUUCGCCCUUUCGGCCUGGCCGUUACUUCUGGGAUGGGCAACAGAAGCAAAAUAGACCUUGCUGCCAAGGUCUUGAAUGUACUGCAUGAAGGUGCGGCUCGUGAACUGCGUGCCAUUGUCGGUGAUGACUCUGUUGGGCAAACCAAAACCACAGACUAGCCCCUUGAAGAACUUGACGGCUGACUGUGUUGUCACCUUCCUCACUGGUUCCACUUCUGGCCACUUUGUGAACUUGUCGAUCGCGACGUACAAGUACUCAAAGCCGCCGACAGCACGGGGAAAGGGGCCCAGUAUGUCGAGCCCCCAGACAAAAAAUGGCCAGGAAAGAGGGAUUGUCUGAAGGGCUUGGGCUGGUUGAUGAAGCUUCUUUGAAUGGAACUGGCACGCUUCACACUUGGUUACUAGGGCAGUUGCAUCCUGGAGGGUGGUGGGCCAAAAGAAGCCUUGCCGGAACGCUUUGCCGGCAAGGGCUCUCGACCCUAUGUGGGAGCCACACAUGCCUCUGUAUAAUUCUGCCAACAGCCUUAGUCCGUCUUCCUGAGGAAUGCACUUCAACUUCACACCGUUCGGUCUCCUUCUAUACAGGGCAUCAUCCACAAACUGGUACAUGCUGGACCGACGGGCUACUCUCUGCUCCUUCUUGUUCCCCAGGAAGCUCUCCUGUUUGGAGGAAACGGACGGUGGACUGCGCCCAUGCCAGAGCCUGGGGCUCGACGGCAAGGACUAAAGGCACAUCUUCGGCCAUAGGGGCAACUGCCUCUACGGCCAGGGCCUGAGGCCCUGCCGGGGGUUGUUGCUCUCCGUCAGGCUUGGGACACCUGGCAACAUCCUUGCCGGCGGCUCCUGGGAGCCCGGCGGGAAAGUACUUGCCAGGGCCCUCCUUCCUUUGCUUGUUCUGUCCUGCUGAUGGCUCGAGGGAUGGUUGAGUUAAUUGAAGCACAAAGGUACCUGGUUCCAUAGGCAACUUCAGGGCAGCGCGCUUCGACAUGUCAUCAGCAAUGUUGUUCUCCGCCGGGGGACAUGCUCUGCUUGCAAUCCGUCAAAAUGCUCUUCCAACUUCCUCACUUCAUCCACGUAGGCUUCCAUCAACGGGCUCUGGUAAUCCUUGUUGACUUUCUUGACGACGAGCUGUGAAUCACCCCUAACGAUGAGCUUCCUAAUCCCAAGGUCUGCCGCGAUCCUGAGACCGGCAAGCAGCCCCUCGUACUCCGCCGUGUGUCGAUGUUCUAGGAACGGGGGUCCCCAGACUUGCCUGCCUGCGGCCCACAACGUGGCUAAGCAGCAGGCCGUAUGGCCCAUCUUCAUCAACAAGACACCCAAGACCCUCGCGAGGGUCCAAGCCUCGCGAGGCGGGCGGCGCAAGACCUCCUCUGGAGUGGUCUAGCCAAGCAGGCUCGCGAGGAGCGGAGAUAUCAAGGCGAGGUAAACCUCACGAGGCUCUCGUGACAUGAGCCAUGACGAACGGUGCCAGGCGGGUGCCAGGUGGGCGCUGGUGUGCGCAACGUCCCUAUUUCCUCUUUGGUGCUAAGGAGGCCAGUGCAGGCGAAGAGUACCGAGGCAUCAGGCAAACGUUGCCAUAUUGGUGCAACGAGACCAAGACCAGGAGGACGACAAGGCGGAGGUCAUCGUGGAGCCCAAGACGGCGUCACCCCAGAGCUUUUCGCAGGCGAAGACCGCUUUUGUCAGGAUAGCUUGUACUAGCUGCCCCCUUCAAAUUUGCCCGCCGUUGUUGGCUCCCUUCCCGCUCGAUAUUUAGGAAGAGGACCAGGGCCUAUAUAAGUAGAACUAGCCACCACAGUAGAGGGCACCGGAUAGAUCAUCGGAUCCUCACGCCACAAGUUCACAAGCACAAGAACACCUCAACCUCAGGAGGCAGUUCUUCCCUUGUACUGUUCAUCAUCAGCCCAAGAGGCAAUCCACCACCACCACACUGGAGUAGGGUAUUACACCACAACGGUGGCCCGAACCAGUAUAAACCCCGUGUCUUUCUGUGUUGCGAGUUCGUCGAGUUCGUCCGCGAGAUCUUAGCGAGCUAGAGCGUAGAUCGGUAGUGAAAGAACAUGCGGUGCCCCCAUGUUUGGUUUUGGUAAUUGAUGACAAUCUCUAUGGACUAAUGGUUGCCUUGAGUUAUAUUUGAAGGAUUUGUCCAUAGGCAUUUCUUGAAGUCCAUGUGUUGGUUUCAAGGAGUUUAUGUGGUGACCAAGGUGUUAUUAAGGAAUUAUCCAAAGAUUGGUCAUGUGAGAGUAGAGCUUAUUGCAAGCAUGUCUUGAAGAAGAAGAUUGUGUGAUCAUUCAUGUUUACCUUCAAGACAUCAUCCAAAUGAAGAGAGUUGGAAAGAGUCAAGGUUGAUCAAGACUAUCAAGUUGAUCAACACACAAAGCGCACAAGAUGUACCAAGAGGGAUCAAGCGAUCCCAUGGUGUGGUAAGCAUUAUCGAUUACGCUUUGUGUACUAACCCAUGAUCUUCGUGAGAGUUCUUUGUGGGGUUAGGUUGCGGUGUGCAAGUUCAAGUGAAGCAUCAUGAAGAGAUCAAAUGCUUGAAGCUUGCCGUCCAUUGUGGUGACAAUGGACUUGUGAAGAUGUGCGGAAGAGUGGCUCACCCAUAGUGGAGUAUGGGGGAGCAAUCAACUAGUCUUCAUCGAGCCAACACAACCAAGAAAGGUGGUCCAUCUUGAGGGAGUCAAGAUCGUCAUCUUCUGGCUCAAGUGGACCAUGUGCAAGGCAAAGGUUUGCUCUUGAUAGGUUUUCUAUUUUACCGGUCUCAUGAUGGUAGUUGGGAGACCGAGUUAUAGGAUCGAUUGCCGUACUAUCAAGGGGGGCUCUCGAUGAGUAGCUUGAUCGUAUCGUUCAUAGAGAGCUCAAACCAUUGCAUCCUUGCAUCAUCUUUGUUGGUUCUUGUUUGGUUCUUCUCUUUGUGAGUUUUGGAGCUUAUGGUCAUCUUGAUGACAAGCUCGAGUUCAUCGAAAACGGAGUUCACUCGCAUCUUCUAUGAUGUUUUCGAUGUUGGAGGUUAUGCCGGUUCUUCUCGGUUGGAGGUUUCACUCCUCUAUUUGUUGGCAUACCUCCCCUGCCUCUUCUUACUAUAACCAACAAGCUUGAUCCAACAAGCUUGAGUUUGCUCAAUCCUUGCAUCAUCUUUGUCGCUGUUUUGAUGCUACUCGUCUUUCUCAAUCCAACAAGCUUGAGUUUGCUCAAUUCGGAGCUCAUAUGCAGAAGUUAUGGUAGUUUUGGUUUCCUAGCGGUAGUACCGCGGCCAGAGCGGCAAUACCGCUUAUCGCCCCAAGCGGUAGUACCGCUGUCCAAAGCGGUAGUACCGCCUAUGGCCAUAAGCGGUAAUACGGCUACGGUUCCGCGCUGGUACCGCCUCGAUUUUGGUUCUUGCAUUUUUCGUGUCGAGUUUUGCAGUAGUUGCACGGCAGUAAGGCACGGCAGUUCCGCCUAUAAGCGGUAGUACCGCCCCGAUUGGGCGGUAGUACCGCCUAUAAGCGGUAGUACCGCUCCGGUCGGGCGGUAGUACCGCUACUGCAUUUUUGGUCCCGUGUUCUGCUCCUCCAGCGGUAGUACCGCUGAGGUGCGCGGUAGUACCGCUUAUAAGCGGUACUACCGCCCCAAGGUUCAUGUUUGGUUGCUCCUUUUCCCUGCUUCUUCCGCCAGAGCGGUAGUACCGCUCGUGGAGCGGUAGUACCGCUCGUGUGCGGGCUGAGCACAUAACGGUUGGAUUUUUCCCCUUCUAUAAAAGGGGGUCUUCUUCCCCAAUGAACCUUAUCCUUUGAGCUCGUGUUCUUCCCCCAUUGUUGACCUUCUUCGAGCUUGCUAACUCUCAAUCCCUCCAUGGAUCCUUGCUAGUUUUUGAGGGAAAAGAGAGAGGAGAUCUAGAUCCACAUUUCCACCAAUCACUUUCUCCUCUAUGUGAGGGGAACCCCUUGGAUCUAGAUCUUGGAGUUCUUGGUGUUCUCCUUCUUGUUCUUCCUCUCAUUUUCUUCCCUAGCAUUAGUUGCUUCGGUGGGAUUUGAGAGAGAAGGACUUGGGCACUCCGUGUGCCCUUGCCAUUGCAUUUGGUGCAUCGGUUUGAGUUCUCCACGGUGAUACGUGGAAGUUACAAGUUGAGAAGCUUAUUACUCUUGGGUGCUUGGUGCCCUUGAGCUUGUUCCUCUUGGGUGCUUGGGCACCCUAGACGGUUGGUGGUGUUCGGAGCUCAAUCAUUGUGGUGUAAAGCUCCGGGCAAGCGUCGGGGUCUCCAAUUAGGUUGUGGAGAUCGCCCCGAGCAAUUUGACGGGUACCGGUGACCGCCCCCAAGGGUUGCCAUUUGUACGGGUUCGGUGACCGCCCCCAAGGGUUGCCAUUUGUACGGGUUCGGUGACCGCCCUCAAGGGUCCCUUAGUGGAAUCACGGCAUCUUGCAUUGUGCGAGGGCGUGAGGAGAUUACGGUGGCCCUAGUGGCUUCUUGGGGAGCAUUGUGCCUCCACACCGCUCCAAACGGAGAUUAGCAUCCGCAAGGGUGUGAACUUCGGGAUACAUCGUCGUCUCCACGUGCCUCGGUUAUCUCUUAACCGAACCCUUUACUUACGCACUUUACUUUGUGAUAGCCAUAUUGUUUCUUGUCAUAUAUCUUGCUAUCACUUAGUUGUUUAUCUUGCUUAGCAUAAGUUGUUGGUGCACAUAGGCGAGCCUAGUUGUUGUAGGUUUUGUGCUUGUCAAAUUAACCGCUAGGUUUAUUCCGCAUUUGUUCAAGCCUAAACCGUAAUUAUUUUAAAGCGCCUAUUCACCCCCCCUCUAGGCGACAUCCACGAUCUUUCAGGUAGGAGGGAGAGACUUCGCGCGCACCCUAGUGUUCGAACCUUAAUGGUUUGCCGGAACCCCACAUCCGACAUUUGGCGUGCUAGGUAGGGGUGCGCCGUAGUUUCCCUUCCAUCAGUUCGUUGCUCCAUCGCUCCGUCAUUUCCAUGGCGGACGCUCGCCGUGCUCGAGCUGAGCGUCGGGCUGCCCUCUCCGCCCGCGUUGCUGAGACGGCUCCCUUAGGCGGGCCACCUCGUCGUUCUCCGUCUCCCGUCGCCAACGCUGCCACUGGCCCAGCGGGGAACGAGCAGCAGGCGUCCUCUCUCCAUCCUCCGGUGCGGCAGGACGGCCGCACCGCUACUCCGUCGCUGACCCCUGCUGGUUCAUCGUCUCAUGCACACCGCGCUCCCAUGGAGGCACGGGCCGCGCUCAUCGCGGCAAACGAGCUCCUGCGCUACCGCCCCGUCGACGACCUCUACGAGGAGUGGCUCGACCGCGUCGCCGAGCUUGUCCGCGCCGCAGGGGGCUCUCCGGCGCCGUCCCACUCUCUGCCUCCCCCUCAACCAGCCGCGGGCGACGGGGCUCAUGGCAUGCCUCCACCACCUCAACCCCAAGACGGAGCCUUGGCACCAAGGCGCGCGCCUCCGUGGCGUGAUCCACCGAGCCCGGCGCCCGCGCGUGAAGAAAGAAGCUGCCAAGAAAUCCCGCGGCCGUGAGAAGCUGCACCUGCGCUCCCUGCGCCACCUCGUCAAGACCGCGCGCCGCCUGUAGUGGUGCAGCGCGGACCUCGCCAAGACCAAGCUCCACCACAGAAGCGGGCCCCGGCGACCACGGCCGGCUGCCGCGCCUUCACCCCCGAACUGCGUAGCGUCGCCUGGCCAGGCAAGUUCAAGCCAGAUCUGCCUCCUCGCUACGACGGCACCGCCGACCCCGCGGAGUUCCUGCAGCUCUAUGAGCUGAGCAUCGAAGCGGCCAACGGCGACGAAAAAGUCAUGGCGAACUGGUUUCCCAUGGCUCUCAAGGAUGGGGCCCGCUCCUGGCUCCUGAACCUGCAACACGGCUCGAUCUCCUCCUGGGACGAGAUGCGCGACCAGUUCGUCGCCAACUUCCAGGGCACUCGUGACCGCCCACCGGCCGCGGGUGACCUUCACCGCAUCAAGCAACAACCAGGAGAGACUCUCCAGAAGUACAUCCAGCGCUUCAACAACACCCGCCUCAAGAUCCCCAAGGUCACGGACGAAGCCAUCAUCUCCGCGUUCUCAGACGACGUCCGUGACGUCAAGAUGAAGGAAGAGCUCGCUAUCCACGAGGAGCUUUGCACAUCUUAGGAGCUGUUCAACUUGGCAACCAAGUGCGCAAGAGCUGAGGAGGGGUGCCUCUCUCUCCUUGAGCUGCCAGCUGCAAGAGCGGAGGAGAAGAAGGCCAAGGCCAAGGACGUGAAGCGCAAAGAGGCAGUAGUGCUCACAGCGGAGCCCGAUACCAAGCGAGGCAGAGAUCAGCCGAGUCGUCCAAGAACGGCCGACCAUUCUGCGCCUUCCACAACCUGAACACCCACAACACCAGCGACUGCCAAGAGCUCAGAGCCAUACGGGAAGGAUGCUACAGUCGACGCCCCGAGCACAACGACUGGGGCUACGGCCGCGGAGGAGGACGCGGAGGCGGACGCUGGGACGACCGUGGCCUCGUGAGGACCGCUGGCAGGACCAACCUCACGAGGGCGCCUGGAGGGACCCGCCUCAUGAGGAUCGCCCCCAGGGCAAUGCCGGUCUUCCCCCGCUGCCGCCACCAAGAAGGAACGACGACCACCACCAGGACGAGGGGGCUGGGGGCUUCCAGGAGCCGCGUGCGAUCGCCUGCAUCUUGGGCGGUGCCCAGGCCCCAGCCUCUCAGCGCAUCUUCAAACAGUUCGCUCGCGAGGUGAAUGCGAUGCUCCCCAAGCUCGAGGCCACGCGCCCGCUCCGGUGGUCCCAAUGUGCUAUCACCUUCAACUCGGCAGAUCAGCUCAAGUGCGCAGCCACCACUGGCGCCCUCCCUAUGCUGUGCUCCCCAGUCAUCAGCAAUGUGCAAGUCACCAAGACUCUCAUCGACGGCGAUGCAGGGCUCAACGUCCUAUCCAUCGACACGUUCGACAACCUCCAAGUGCCGUAUGAGCAGCUCCAACCAACCAAGCCUUUCUCAAGAGUGACCGACGGUUCCACCACACCGAUAGGGCAAGUCCGCCUGCCUGUCACCUUCGUGGAGCGCAAGAACUAUCGCACCGAGCUCAUCGACUUCGACGUCGCGCACAUCCGCCUGCCGUACAAUGCCAUCCUCGGGUAUCCAGCCCUGGCCAAGUUCAUGUCAGUCACUCAUCACGGCUACAACAUUCUCAAGAUGCCAGGAAGCGGAGGAAUCAUCACGGUCCCGCGUGAGGAUGCGGUGUGCUCCCUCGAGCGCGCCUUUCAAGCUGCAGCAGUCGACGACCCCGACAACAGAAGUGAAGGCCCUCCGGAGGCCAUCCCCAAGAAGAAGCUGUCGUGCUGCACAGGACCUUAGGAGGAUGGCGUCGCGGCAGGAGCCUCGUCCGGAUCAGCGCCUGCUCCAGGGGCGCCUCCCUCCAUCGCAUAGGAAGGCGUGCCCGGCGCCCUCCUCAGGCAGGGCUCGGGGGCUCUCUUCUGGAGAGCCUCAGACCUUGCCAACCUCACAAGGGAGGCGCUUGGGCACCACUUGGAAGCGUGCCUCAUGGCGCACCUUCCUCAGGAGAGCACGGGGCAAGGAGUGCCCACCACCCAGGAGUUCAUCACCAAGACCACCCAGGAACUGCAAGAAGCAAGAGACAUGUGCGGCCACAGCCGCUCACGAGGCGCAGCUCCUCAUCCAGGCGAGGAUGCCGGGCUGCGUGUCUGCGUCGACGCCCUAGGGCUCAACAGGGCCGCAUCUCAGGAGCAUUUCUGGCCAUCGCGUGUGGGCUGCUGCGAGGGCCCACCACACAGCUAUGUUCGCAUGCCCUUCGGCUUGCCGAGCGUGGCGUCGGCCUAUCAGCGCAACAUGCGGCAAGUCCUGGCGGCUCAGGAGGCCAGGUUCCACGCCGUCCAUAAGGAAAUGGAGGCGGUCUUCAGGGAACCUCCCGAGCCUCCAGAGCCUCCCGAGGCUCAGGGUCCCGGUGGCUCAUGAGGAGCCAUUCCUUCAGCGCGCGGCUUCAGCUGCACCAACUCUACUUCGUCUACAGAACCAGGUGACAUCUUGCAAGUUCGUUUAAGCUGGGAGCGCCCCUCGGGCUGCAUUAUUCCCAGGCCACAUGGGUCCGUCCCUGUGGCAUGUAUCCCUUUUGCUUAAGUCUUUAGCUUAUCUUGCUGGGGGCGCCCCUCGGGCUGCAUCAUCCCCAAGCCGCUCGGGCCAGACCUAGUGGCAUGUAUCUUCCUGCAUUUUUCCAAGUCGAUCUGCUCUUCAUGCUUAACCUGCCAACGGCUAUCGCCUGCUCGAUUGCUGCCCGCCGCGGGCCUGUUCACCCUAUGCAAUCCGCUUGCACGUUAAAAGGGGGGCUCUUGAGCAUCGCGACUCAGGAGCUCUUACUGGCUCUCCAGCCCUCACCCCUGGUCUUGACCACGGCAUCGCGACCUGGCAUACCAGCGGCGGCUGAGCUCGCUCGAGGGCUGGGACCUGAGGACAUAGAGUGCUUGCAUCUAACCGCCUUGCAGGAACAUACAGUCACCAAGACUCAAGACCAGGCGCAACCCGCCUUGAGGUAGAGCCUCGUGAGUCCCACGCUAGCUCACGAGUGCCCAGAUACACCUCGCAGCCCUGCCGUGCAAGCCACGUGUCAGGGCGGGGCUGUACACGCCCCGGGGGCUCCUCCCGGAGGGCCCCCCAUCCCACGCCCAAGUGGAAGCACCAUGCUCCGCGCUGGCUGACGACACUGCCGAGGAGCGGCUAUGCCCGUGCACAAGCGGAAGCACUAUGCUCCGCGCUGGUGAUAAACAACUGAGGGCGACCCCACGGUCGUGCCAACCUCAGGGAGCCCAGAGCUCAGCGCCCAACCUUACCGCAACGCCUCCCCUCGGGAAAGCCGCGCAUGGGGGCUGGGCACGGGGGCUGCGCUCGGGUCACGCCCAAGCGCAUGCCACCCAACCAGGUCCCCCGGACCUGGGCAUCGCGCGCCCCUCCCGAGGCCUCCGCGAGGGCAGGUAUGGGAUUGUUUGCACGUCAAGGGGGACUCCUGAGCAUCGCGACUCAGGAGCCUAACUGGUCACGUAGCCCCUCACUCCUUGGUCCGUCCUGGUCUCCGGUCGGCUCAAUGGCGGUUGAGGUAUGCGCGGGGCCGGGCUCUGCCGACGUAGAACAUUAAUCUAUCCCCAUGAACUCUCCCUAUAUGCUGUUUGCGCGUCAAGGGGGACUCCUGAGCAUCGCGACUCAGGAGCCUAACUGGUCACGUAGCCCCUCACUCCUUGGUCCGUCCUGGUCUCCGGUCGGCCCAAUGGCGGUUGAGGUAUGCGCGGGGCCGGGCUCUGCCGACGUAGAACGCAAAGCAAAUAGGAAGGAAAUCGCGAAAUCUCGAAGCAAAUAUUACAAGCAUAUUGUCCUCACAAUACCAAAUAAAUGUUUAAACGCCUCCACGAGGCCUGUUACAUGGCGCAGGAACAGAAUGGGAAGAAUGGCCGCGGGUCAUCUCUAGACGUCGCCGUCGCCUGCGGAAGGCGCUCCCUCGUGAUCGGUUUUGUCUUCACCACCAGCGGCAAGGUCGACGACGCCGGACAGAGGAGCAGAGACAAAGCCACGGAACCUCCUCAGCAAGGCCCCCACCUGAUCCUGCACGGCCGCGGCAGCCGCCUCGUACUGAUCUUCGGCUACAGGCUCUAGCAGCUCGUCAAGGCAAGCGUUGGGGUCGCGAAGGUGCAGGUGGCUAAAGACGUGAGUCAGCGCGGCUGAAGACAGGACGCGAGCUUCUGCCUCCGCCAUGGGACCGAGACCAUCAACGACCUCCUCAAGCGCCUUCACCACGAGAGGAAGCAGCUGGGCGGGGCCGUCCUCGUCAGUGUCCAGAGGCUUCUCCAGGCCGUGCUCGUAGAGCGUCUUCAGCGCCUUGCGAGACCUCUCCUCGAGAUCGGCAAAGGCCACGCGGUCUUCUGCCAGGACUCGCGCCUUGGCAUCAAGAUCGGCCUCUCUCGCCCUCAUCUUCCGCUCCAACUCUCCCAACCGGUUGCGCUCGGCGGCUUGCUUCUUCCCCAGCUCCGCCAACUCUGCAUCACGGUUCUUGACGGCUUCCUCCCGGGCCUUCAUCUCCUCCUCCUUCGCUUGGCGGCAGUGCACCUCUUCGGCGUGCUUGUCGCGCAGGCUCUGCAGCUCGCCCUCCAGCUCUUGGCAGCGGUCACGGACGGCCUUGGCGUCUUUCAGCGCCACCUCACGAUCGGCUGCAGCGCUGGCGGCUCCUUGCUUCUCCUUCUCGGAAGCCGCAACAGCCUGGCCCAGCGCCGCGCGAACUGCCAGGUCAGAGUGUAGCCAGCUAGAGGCCAACUCCAGACGCCCGGCCACCAGGCGCGGGUCCGCGCUCAGGAGAUCCGCCUGCAGCUGGGUCAUCUCCGAAAGGGCACGCUCCAAGACGGCAGCAGGAGCAGAAGGACCAGGGAGUGGAGAUGCAGCAGUGGGAGGAAGCGACAUCAUCACCAGGGCUUGGGAGACCGCGGGUUCCGGAGCAGCUGGGACCUCCGGAGCCAGCGGGGCCAUGGGGGCUGACUCCACGCGGUGAUGCUCCUCUUGGCCUCGCGAGGAUGAUCGCGCUGGGGAGAUGCGGGCGCUGUUGCCUCCUUUCUCCGCGGGAGGCACGGCCGCUGUGUCUUCUUUCCUCUUCUUCGCCGAGGAUGUCGGCCUGAUCAACCAAGGGCAAGUAUCAGGAAGCGACGAGUACAAGCAAGGACAAAGCAAAGCUUAAGACACUUACCGAUCCACUACGACGUAUUCCACUAACCGCUUGAGAGGCUUGAAGCCUGACAGCUUUGGGACCUGAGGGGCAGGCGUUCAGACACCGGCGGCCCCGGGCGGAGCGGAGGCGGAACCAGAUCUAGCCCCAGGAGGUAUCGGGGCGGAGGCGGCGCCUCGGGCCACCAGCGACGACCUACUCCUCGUCAUGACGGGAGGUUGCUCCCUCUCCCCUUGGUGGGCGCCGGCAUCGGCAUCAUCAGGAAGGGCGCAGAGAAUCUCGGCCUUGCUCAGAGGGGAAGUCUCCCCCACCUCUUCCAGGGUCUUCUCCGAGUCCUCGUCCUCUUCUCCCUCUCUGCGGGACUCACCAGAAGACACCUCCACCGGGUUCUGCACCAUAGGAGCUUCCGAAAGCACCGUCGGCACCAGCCCGCGUGCAUCAAAAGUCGGCCUGGAGGCGACGAAUUCGUCCCAGUCCCUGCGUUUGAACAGGGGAAGGAAGGCGCUAGGCAGGUACUCCUGGUUGUCCCCGACUAUGAGGCGCAGGACGGCGUCCAAUUCAUCGCCAGGCAGGUCCCCCGGCCUCAGGCGGGUCUUGUUUUCCUCUUCGUCAAGCUCCCAGAGGGGGCACGCGCGCGCCUGGAGUGGGGCAACCCGCAGCAUCAAGAACUCCCUCAGGAGCAUCGCCCCCGUUACCUUGGCCGCCCUCGCGUUGCCCGGCCUCAGGUCGGUCAUCAUCUGCCCCAACACCAGCGAUGCCCGCUCGUCGACAAGCUCCGCCUUGGGCCACCCCCCGUUGGGAGGGGCCGCCGCCGUUGGCAACGCCAGAUGCGGGUCGGCGUGCUGAGCAUCCAUCAUGACCCAUUUGGAUCGGAUGUUGUCGGCCCUCUUCCUGGUGCUCGAGAUCGAGUUGGCCUUGCCGCACGCAACGAAAUUAGCACACCCGGAGGUGUGCUCGCCGCUGACGCGGAGGAAGAAGAAAUGGCGAAGGAGCGCCACGGACGGCAUAACGCCCAGGUACGCCUCGCAGUAGUAGGCGAAGAUGGAUAGGAGGAGGACAGAGUUGGGAUGGAGAUGCAACGCCUGCAGCCCGUAGUGGUCGAGGACUUCAUAAAAGAAAUCAGAGAAGGGAGGAACCAACCCGACGGCGACGCAACUCGAGAAGAAGGGGAAGAAGGUGCUCCCCUCAGGCUCCGGCUCGUCGGAGGCGAGCCGAAGCUCCGUCUUCCCCCACUCAUUACCCUCGCCCGCUGUCAGCAGGCACACGGAGGUGAGGCUCUUCUCCGUGAUGGUGGGUGCCUCGAGGGCCGGCUCAUACCAAGCCGGUGUUGAGGAGGUCCUGACCUUGCGCGACACCAUGGGCGGCAGAUGCAGAGCAAGGCUGGAGCGGAUCUGGAGGUAGUGGUGGCGAGGAGCAAGAAAGGGGAUCUGGAGCGAGGCAAGAAAGAAGCAAUGAAGGCGAGAACUGCCCGCGCCAGCGUUUUGUCAGGUCAAGCAGUUGCCGAGGCAGCGUGGGGAAGCGGAGACGCCCACGUCCAAUCAAACGCCAUGCGUCGACCGAGGACGCAGCCUUUUGGGGCCCGCAGUGCUCUGAACUUGACCCUUGGCUUCGCCGCGAAGCCAAGCCCGAGCGCACCUUGGGCCCGGGGGCUACUGCCGGCGUUCUGGGAACGGGGGUCCCCAGACUUGCCUGCCUGCAGCCCACAGCGUGGCUAAGCAGCAGGCCGUACGGCCCAUCUUCGUCAACAAGACACCCAAGAUCCUCGCGACGGUCCAAGCCUCGCGAGGCGGACGACGCGAGACCUCCUUUGGAGUGGUCUAGCCAAGCAGGCUCACGAGGAGCGGAGAUAUCAAUGCGAGGCAAACCUCACGAGGCUCUCGUGACGUGAGCCAUGACGAACGGUGCCAGGCGGGCGCUGGUGCGCGCAACGUCCUUAUUUCCUCUUUGGUGCUAAGGAGGCCAGCGCAGGCGAAGAGUAUCGAGGCAUCAGGCAAAGGUUGCCGUAUGGGUGCAACGAGACCAAGACCAGGAGGACGGCAAGGCGGAGGUCAUCGUGGAGCCCAAGACGGCGUCACCCCAGAGCUUUUCGCAGGCGAAGACCGCUUUUGUCAGGAUAGCUUGUACUAGCUGUCCCCCUUCAAAUUUGCCCGCCGUUGUUGGCUCCCUUCCCGCUCGAUAUUUGGGAAGAGGACCAGGGCCUAUAUAAGUAGAACUAGCCACCACAGUAGAGGGCACCGGAUAGAUCAUCGGAUCCUCACGCCACAAGUUCACAAGCACAAGAACACCUCAACCUCAGGAGGCAGUUCUUCCCUUGUACUGUUCAUCAUCAGCCCAAGAGGCAAUCCACCACCACCACACUGGAGUAGGGUAUUACACCACAACGGUGGCCCGAACCAGUAUAAACCCGUGUCUUUCUGUGCUGCGAGUUCGUCGAGUUCAUCCGCGAGAUCUUAGCAAGCUAGAGCGUAGAUCGGUAGGAGGGAGAGACUUCGCGCGCACCCCAGUGUUCGAACCUUAAGGGUUUGCCGGAACCCCACAUCCGACAGCCGUGUUGUUCGUCGAUUUUUCCCAGGGAAAGUGCAUCUGGACUACGUACUUGAGGAGCCCUUCGGUGGGCGCGAUGAGUAGUACACCGGCACCAACACCUUGCAAUGAGAAAGCCCCAUCAAAGUACAUAAUCCAAUCGUGACGCGUUUCCUUGCCGGGAAGGGUGGUCUCUUGAACUUCUUCGUCGGGCGUUGCGGUCCAUUCUGCUAUGAACUCUACCAAGGCUCAGCUCUUGAUCGUUGAAGUACUUUCAAACUUGAGGCCAAAGCUCGACAGCUCCAAUGCCCACUCCACAAUCCUCCCAGUUGCAUCUGGGUUGUGCAAGAUCUGUUGCAACAGGAGGCGAAUGACAACAGUGAUCUCAUGUGCUUGGAAAUAGUGGCGCAGCUUUCUCCAGGCCAUGAGGAGGCCGAAAAGUAGCUUCUGCAUACCAGAAUACCUUAACCUAGCCCCCUGCAAGAGGGAACUGACAAAAUAAACUAGGUGUUGUACCAUCUUCUUCUUUUGUUCAACUUCGCCCAUCUGCGCAGACUUCACCUUACCGGGACUGGGCCUUGCCGGGGGUUCCGCCUUGCCGGGGUCAAGCCCCGCCGGGGAGGGCCCCGACCCAUCAUCUGAUGGCUCCCCUGCUACUGCCGCUUCUCCCUCGAGUUUCCUCUGUGUCACUAGCGCAGCACUGACCACUUGAUUCAUUGCCUCUAAGUAUAGUAGCAACGGCUCUUAUGGUUUAGGUGCGACUAGUAUCGGCGUGGAGGAAAGGUACCCCUUGAAAUCUUGCAACGCUGCCUCUGCCUCCGGAGUCCAUUUUACUGGACCCGCCUUUUUAAAAACUUGGAAAAAGGGGAGGGUGCGCUCAACGGAUUUGGAGAUGAACCUACUUAGGGUGGCAACGUAGCCGACAAGCCUACGGACGUCCCUGACUCGUUUCGGCGCCUCAAUCUGCUCAAUGGCCUUGAUCUUGUUAGGAUUUGCUUCGAUUCCGCGUUAAGACACCAAGAACCCAAGAAGUUUGCCGGACGGGACACCAAACACACACUUCUCUGGGUUGAGCUUGAGGUUGAUCUUGCGCAGAUUUGCAAAUGUUUCUUCUAGAUCUUGUACGAGCGUGGCCCUGUCCUUGGUUUUGACCACUAUAUCGUCCAUAUAGGCUUCCAUAUUUCUAUGCAGCUAGGGCUCAAAACCAAUUUGGACCGCCCGGGCAAACAUUGAACCAGCGCUCUUCAACCCAAAAGGCAUUCGUACAAAACAGUACGUACCACAUGGGGUGAUGAACGCGGUCUUCUCUUCGUCUUCCUUCAUCAUGAAGAUCUGGUGGUAUCCCGAAUAGGUGUCGAGGAAUGACAGCAGGUCACACCCGGCAGUGGAGUCUACAAUCUGGUCGAUGCAUGGUGAUAACCCACAAGUAUAGGGGAUCACAACAGUUUUCGAGGGUAGAGUAUUCAACCCAAAUUUAUUGAUUCGACACAAGGGGAGCCGAAGAAUAUUCUCAAGUAUUAGCAGUUGAGUUGUCAAUUCAACCACACCUGGAAGACUUAAUAUCUGCAGCAAAGUAUUUAGUAGCAAAGUAGUAUGGAAGUAACGGUAACGGUGGCAAAAGUAAUAGUAGCAGUUUUGUAGUAAUCUUAACAGUGGCAACGGUAAAGUAACUAAGCAAAGAUCAAUAUGUGAAAAGCUCGUAGGCAUUGGAUCAGUGAUGGAGAAGUAUGUCGGAUGCGAUUGCUCAUAAAACAGUUAUAACAUAGGGUGACACAGAACUAACUCCAGUUCAUCAAUGUAAUGUAGGCAUGUAUUCCGAAUAUAGUCAUACGUGCUUAUGGAAAAGAACUUUCAUAGCAUCUUUUGUCCUACCCUCCCAUGGCAGCGGGGUCCUAUUGGAAACUAAGGGAUAUUAAGGCCUCCUUUUAAUAGAGUACCGGACCAAAGCAUUAACACUUAGUGAAUACAUGAACUCCUCAAACUAUGGUCAUCACCGGUAAGUAUCCCGAUUAUUGUCACUUCGGGGUUAAGGGAUCAUAACACAUAAUAGGUGACUAUAGACUUGCAAGAUAGGAUCAAGAACUCAUAUAUAUUCAUGAAAACAUAAUAGGUUCAGAUCUAAAAUCAUGGCACUUGGGCCCUAGUGACAAGCAUUAAGCAUAGCAAAGUCAUAGCAACAUCAAUCUCAGAACAUAAUGGAUACUAGGGAUCAAACCCUAACAAAACUAACUCGAUUACAUUGUAAAUCUCAUCCAACCCAUCACCGUCCAGCAAGCCUAUGAUGGAAUUACUCAUGCACGGUGGUGAGCAUCAUGAAAUUGGUGAUGGAGGAAGGUUGAUGAUGACGAUGGCGACGGAUUCCCCUCUCCGGAGCCCCGAACGGACUCCAGAUCAGCCCUCCCAAGAGAGAUUAGGGCUUGGUGGCGGCUCCAUAUCGUAAAACGCGAUGAAUCCUUCUCUCUGAUUUUUUUCUCCCCGAACAUGAAUAUAUAGAGUUGGAGUUGAGGUAGGUGGAGCUUCAGGGGGCCCACGAGGCAGGGGGGCGCGCCCAGGGGGUAGGCGCGCUCCCACCCUCGUGGACAGGGUAUGGGGCCCCUGGUCUUGAUUCUUUCGCCAGUAUUUUUUAUUUAUUCCAAAAAUAUUCUCCGUGAAGUUUCAGGUCAUUCCGAGAACUUUUAUUUCUGCACAAAAAUAACACCAUGGCAAUUCUGCUGAAAACAGCGUCAGUCCGGGUUAGUUCCAUUCAAAUCAUGCAAGUUAGAGUCCAAAACAAGGGCAAAAGUGUUUGGAAAAGUAGAUACGAUGGAGACGUAUCAACUCCUCCAAGCUUAAACCUUUGCUUGUCCUCAAGCAAUUCAGUUGACAAACUGAAAGUGAUAAAGAAAAACUUUUACAAACUCUGUUUGCUCUUGUUGUUGUAAAUAUGUAAAGCCAGCAUUCAAGCUUUCAGCAAAGAUUAUGAACUAACCAUAUUCACAAUAACACUUAGGUCUCAUAUUUACUCAUAUCAAUGGCCUAAUCAACUAGCGAGCAAUAAUAAUAAAUCUCGGAUGACAACACUUCCUCAAAACAAUCAUAAUAUGAUAUAACAAGAUGGUAUCUCGCUAGCCCUUUCUGAGACCGCAAAACAUAAAUGCAGAGCACCUCUGAAGAUCAAGGACUGACUAAACAUUGUAAUUCAUGGUAAAAGAGAUCCAGUCAUAGUCAUACUCAAUAUAAACUAAUAAUAAUGCAUGCAAAUGACAGCGGUGCUCUCCAGCUGGUGCUUUUUAAUAAGAGGACGCUGACUCAACAUAAAAGUAAAUAGAUAGGACCUUCACGGAGGGAAGCAAGGAUUGUAGAGGUGCUAGAGCUCGAUUUUGAAAUAGAGAUAAAUAAUAUUUAGAGUGGCAUACUUUCAUUGUCAACAUAACAACCGAGAGAUCUCGAUAUCUUCCAUGCUAGACACAUUAUAGGCGGUUCCCAAGCAGAAUGGUAAAGUUUAUACUCCCCCACCACCAACAAGCAUCAAUCCAUGGCUUGCCCGAAACAAUGGAUGCCUCCAACUAACAAUAGUCAUGGGGGAGUUUUGUUUGCAAUUAUUUUGAUUUGGUUUGAGCAUGGGACUGGGCAUCCCAGUGACCAGCCAUUUUCUCCUGAGUGAGGAGCGGAGUCCACUCCUCUUGAGAAUAACCCACCUAGCAUGGAAGAUACAGACAACCCUAGUUGAUACAUGAGCUAUUCGAGCAUACAAAACAGAAUUUCAUUUGAAGGUUUAGAGUUUGGCACAUACAAAUUUACUUGGAACGGCAGGUAGAUACCGCAUAUAGGAAGGUAUGGUGGACUCAUAUGGGAUAACUUUGGGGUUUAUGGAAGUGGAUGCACAAGCAGUAUUCCCGCUUAGUACAAGUGAAGGCUAGAAAAAGACUGGGAAGCGACCAGCUAGAGAGCGACAACAGUCAUGAACAUGCAUUAAAAUUAAUCAACACUGAGUGCAAGCAUGAGUAGGAUAUAAUCCACCAUGAACAUAAAUAUCGUGGUGGCUAUGUUGAUUUUGUUUCAACUACAUGCGUGAACAUGUGCCAAGUCAAGCCACUCGAAUCAUUCAAAGGAGGAUACCACCCUAUCAUACCACAUUACAACCAUUUUAAUAGCAUGUUGGCACGCAAGGUAAACCAUUAUAAACACCUAGCUAAUUAAGCAUGGCAUGAGCAACUAUAAUCUCUAAUUGUCAUUACAAACAUGUUUCAUUCAUAAUAGGCUGAAUCAGGAACGAUGAACUAAUCAUAUUUACAAAAACAAGAUAGGUCGAGUUCAUACCAGCUUCUCUUAUCUCAACCAGUCCAUCAUAUAUCGUCAUUAUUGCCUUUCACUUGCACGACCGAACGGUGUGGAUAAUAAUAAUAGUGCACGUGCAUUGGACUAAGCUGGAAUCUGCAAGCAUUUAAUACAAGGGAGAAGACAAGGUAACAUGGGCUCUUUGUUAAAUCAACAAUAAUGCAUAUAAGAGCCACUCAACAUUUUCAUUAUGGUCUUCUCCUCUCGACCCCCAAAGAAAAGAAAUAAAACUAUUUACACGGCAAAGCUCCCAACAAACAAAAGAAGAGCGAGAAAUCUUUUUGGGUUUCCUUUUAGUUACUACUACUACAGGCAUGGAAAGUAAACUAGCUAAAAGCUACAACUAAUUUUUUUGGUUUUUCUUAAGGUUUUUCAAACACACAAGAAAAAGACUAGAAAAGGAAAAUAAACUAGCAUGGAUGGUACAAUGAAAAAGUAUGAGCACCGACAACUAGAAUGAGUGCGUGAACAUGAAUGUAAUGUCGGUGAGAAAUACGCACUCCCCCAAGCUUAGGCUUUUGGCCUAAGUUGGUCUAUGCCCAUGGAUCAAAAUGGUCCUCUCCAGUGUACUGAGGAGGAUCCUCGGGGUGCCACUGGUUAGCGAGCUCUUGCGGAUCCCACUGAUAAAUAGACUCCUGAUAUGGGUCAGGAGAUGGCUCAGGCUCAGGCUCUGGGGAUCGUGUUCGCUCCCAAUAUGCAUAAAUGUCAUCGGGCAGGAUGAUGUAUGUGCCUCAAUAAAUGUUAAACAAAGAAGGUGCAGGCAGGGUAAUAAUCUGACAAGUCUUUUCACUGAAUACCAGGUUAUAAAUGAGUCUCUUCUCCUUAUCAUCGCAAAUAAAAUCAUGUGCUACCAUACUUUUAUAGUCUAAGAAAAUAGGGGGCAGCAACUUUUCUUCAUUCUCAUAGUGUCCAAUAGGUAUGUCAAAAUAUUUAGCAAGACGCGAAGCAAAGAUACCUCCAAAAAUGGGGCCCUUUGUACGGUUUAGACUCAACCGUUUAGCAACCAUAGCACCUAAACUGAACAUUCUGUCACGGAAUAAAGCAUGGCGCAAAAUGGCGAGGUCAGGAGCACUGAGGCCCCCACUGUUCCUGCGGCCAAUUAAACAUCUACUAGCAAAUAUUGCAUAGUAUCGUAGAACAGGGAAAUGUAUGCUAGUAGUUCUUGCUUCUGACACUUUUCUCGUUUCCCCUACAACAAUCAUAUCAAUAAAUCCUGCCACAUCCCUAGGAUGUGGUUCCUCGACGGUGCCCUCAAAAGGCAACUUGCAAACCGCACAAAAAUCAUAAAGGGACAUCUCCCUAUACUCAUCAUAUAAAUAAAAAUCCACCGAAGGUGGCGAUCUCCUAGCAUGGAAAUGAAAUUUUUUCACAAAAAUAUUAGUGAGGAGGAGAUACUGUUCGCGCUGGUCGCGGAGGAAGUCGAUGAGGCCCGCAUUCUCAACCAAGUAAUAAAAGUCAUCAUGAAUCCCGGCUGCUCUCAAGAACUCAUCACAAGGCCAUUCACACGGACGAACUUCCGCGGUGCGAGGAAGAUUAUAUUUGGGCUUCUUAUUCUCUUCACUUUGCUUAUCCUUCGAGCUUCGGCUCGAAGAGCCCCUUAAUAAUCUCUUCAUCAUUUUUGAAGAACAACCCCCCAAAGCAGUUUGGAGAGUGGAGCUUUGAGCAAGGAGAUCGAAAAUCGCAGCAAUGAGCUAGAACUCGUGCUUGAGUUGGUGGGUGAUUUUUUCUAGAGGAAGAAGGAGUGUGUGGGUGCUGGAAUAAGUGGAGGGGGCCACGUGGGGCCCACGAGGCAGGGGGCGUGCCCCGGGGCUGGGCGCGCCCUGGACCCUCGUGGCCAGGUGGUGGCUCCCUCUGCUGUGUUCUCAGUGCCAGAUAUUCUUAAAUAUUCUUCAAAAAAUCAUAUUUCAAUUUCGAGACAUUUGGAGAACUUUUAAUUUUGGGGUAUUUUUUAUUGCAAUGAUAAUUUAGAAAACAGACGGAAAACACUAUUUUUGCUUUAUUUAAUCUAAAUAACAGAAAGUAAAAGGAGGGCACAGAGAGUUGUGCUUUCUAACUUCAUCCAUCUCAUGCUCAUCAAAAGGAAUCCACUAACAAUGUUGAUCAAGUCUUGUUAACAAACUCAUUCCGAAUCGCAUGAAACCGGAGAAUUUUCGAAUAGCACUAGGUUACCUCAACGGGGAUAUGCACAUCCCCAACGACAAGAAUAUCAUAUUUCUUCUUGACAGUAGGAAGAGGAAAUUCAAAACCUCCAAUAAUAAUCGAUGAAUUUUUUCCAAUAGAAUUUAUACUAUGGACUUGAGGUUGUUUCCUCGGAAAGUGUACCGUAUGCUCAUUACCAUUAACAUGAAAAGUGGCAUUGCCUUUGUUGCAAUCAAUAACAGCCCCUGCAGUAUUCAAAAAGGGUCUACCAAGGAUAAUCGACAUACUAUCGUCCUCGGGAAUAUCAAGAAUAACAGAGUCCGUUAAAAUAGUAAUGUUUGCAACCACAACAGGCACAUCCUCACAAAUACUGACAGGUAUAGCAGUUGAUUUAUCAGCCAUUUGCAAAGAUAUUUCAGUAGGUGUCAACUUAUUCAGAUCAAGUUUACGAUAUAAAGAGAGAGGCAUAACACUAACACCGGCUCCAAGAUCACAUAAAGCAGUUUUAACAUAGUUUCUUUUAAUGGAGCAUGGUAUAGUUGGUACUCCUGGAUCUCCUAGUUUCUUAGGUAUUCCACCCUUAAAAGUAUAAAUAGCAAGCAUGGUGGAAAUUUCAGCUUCCAAUAUCUUUCUUUUAUUUGUAACAAUAUCUUUCAUAUACUUAGCAUAAGGAUUCAUUUUAAGCAUAUCAGUCAAACGCAUACGCAAGAAGAUAGGUCUAAUCAUUUCAGCAAAGCGCUCAAAAUCCUCAUCAUCCUUUUUCUUGGAUGGUUUAGGAGGAAAAGGCAUGGGUUUCUGAACCCAUGGUUCUCUUUCUUCACCGUGCUUCCUAACAACGAAGUCUCACUUAUCAUAACGUUGAUUCUUUGAUUGUGGGUUAUCAAGAUCAACAGCAGGUUCAAUUCCUACAUCAUUGUUAUUGCUAGGUUGAGCAUAUUAACAUGAACAUUAUCAUUAACAUUAUCACUAGGUUCAUGUUCAUCACCAGAUUGUGUUUCAGCAUCAGAAAUAGAAAUAUCAUUGGGAUUCUCAGGUGUGUCAACAACAGGUUCACUAGAAGCAUGCAAAGUCCUAUCAUUUCUCUUUUUCUUGUUUUUAGAAGGAAUAGGUGUAUCAACAUUAGUUCUCUAAGAAUCUUGCUCAAUUCUCCUGGGGUGGCCCUCAGGAUACAAAGGUUCCUGAGUCAUUUUACCCCCUCUAGUCAUAACUCUAACAUCAUUAUCAUUUUUCUUAUUUUUUAAUUCAUUGCGCAAGUCAUUUUGAGCUUUAAGCACUUGUUCUACUUGAGUGGUAACCAUAGAAGCAUGUUUACUAAUAAGUUUUAGUUAACCUUUAAUUCUAGACAUAUAGUCACUCAAGUGUUCAAUCAUAUAAGCAUUACGUUUCAAUUGUCUACCAACAUAAGCAUUGAAGUUUUCUUGUUUAACAAUAAAAUCAUCAUACUCAUCCAAGCAUUGGCUAGCAAACUUAGAUGGGAUUUCACCCUUAUCAUAUCUAUAGAGAGAAUUUACCUUUACUAUAUGUGUCGGGUUAUCAAGACCAUGUAUUUCUUCAAUAGGUGGUAAAUUCUUAACAUCGUCAGCUUUAAUACCUUUUUCUUUCAUAGAUUUCUUUGCCUCUUGCAUAUCUUCAGGACUGAGAAAUAGAAUACCCCUUCUCUUCGGUGUUGGCUUAGGAGAUGGUUCAUGAGGUGUCCAAUUAUUCUCAUUACUCAACAUAUUAUUCAAUAGCAAUUCAGCUUGAUCAAUAGUUCUUUCCCUGAAACACAACCAGCACAACUAUCCAGGUGGUCUCUGGAAGCAUCGGUUAGUCCAUUAUAAAAGAUAUCAAGUAUUUCAUUUUUCUUGAGAGGAUGAUCAGGCAAAGCAUUAAGUAAUUGGAGAAGCCUCCCCCAAGCUUGUGGGAGACUCUCUUCUUCAAUUUGCACAAAAUUAUAUAUUUCCCUUAAGGCAGUUUGUUUCUUAUGAGGAGAGAAAUAUUUAGCAGAGAAGUAAUAAAUCAUAUCCUGGGGACUACGCACACAACCAGGAUCAAGGGAAUUAAACCAUGUUUUAGCCUCACCCUUUAAUGAGAACGGAAAUAACUUAAGGAUAUAGUAGUAAUGAAUUCUUUCCUCAUGAGUGAAUAGGGUGGCUAUAUCAUUUAAUUUAGUAAGAUGUGCCACAACAGUUUCAGAUUCAUAGCCAUAGAAAGGAUCAAAUUCAACCAAAGUAAUUAUCUCAGGAUCGACAGAGAAAUCAUAAUCCUUAUCAGAAAUACAGAUAGGUGAAGUAGCAAAAGCAGGGUCAUAUUUCAUUCUAGCAUUCAGAGACUUUUCUUUCAGCUUAGCUAACAGUUUCUUAAGAUCAUAUCUGUCAUUGCAAGCAAGAAAGUCUCUAGCAGUUUCUUCAUGCAUAACAUAACCCUCAGGCACAACAGGCAAUUCAUAUCUAGGGGGAGAAUCUUCAUCAUCACUUUCAUCAAUAUUAUCAGUUUCAACAAUUUCAUUCUCUCUAGCCCUAGCAAGUUGUUCAUCAAGAAAUUCACCUAAUGGCACAGUAAUAUCAAGCAUAGAAGUAGUUUCAUCAUAAGUAUCAUGCAUAGCAGAAGUGGCAUCAUCAAUAACAUGCAACAUAUCAGAAUUAAUAGCAGAAGCAGGUUUAGGUGUCGCAAGCUUACUCAAAACAGAAGGUGAAUCAAGUGCAGAGCUAGAUGGCAGUUCCUUACCUCCCCUCGUAGUUGAGGGAAAAAUCUUAGUUUUUUCGUCUUUCAAGUUCCACAUAGUGAUCAACAGAUAUAAAUCCCAAGUGACUCAAAGAAUAAAGCUAUGCUCCCCGGCAACGGUGCCAGAAAAUAGUCUUGAUAACCCACAAGUAUAGGGGAUCGCAACAGUUUUCGAGGGUAGAGUAUUCAACCCAAAUUUAUUGAUUCGACACAAGGGGAGCCAAAGAAUAUUCUCAAGUAUUAGCAGUUGAGUUGUCAAUUGAACCACACCUGGAAGACUUAAUAUCUGCAGCAAAGUAUUUAGUAGGAAAGUAGUAUGGAAGUAACGGUAACGGUGGCAAAAGUAACAGUAGCAGUUUUGUAGUAAUCGUAACAGUGGCAAUGGUAAAGUAACUAAGCAAAAAUCAAUAUGUGAAAAGCUUGUAGGCAUUGGAUCAGUGAUGGAGAAUUAUAUCGGAUGCGAUUGCUCAUGCAACAUUUAUAACAUAGGGUGACACAGAACUAGCUCCAGUUCAUCAAUGUAAUGUGGGCAUGUAUUCCGAAUAUAGUCAUACGUGCUUAUCGAAAAGAACUUGCAUGACAUCUUUUGUCCUACCCUCCUGUGGCAGCGGGGUCCUAUUGGAAACUAAGGGAUAUUAAGGCCUCCUUUUAAUAGAGUACCAGACCAAAGCAUUAAACACUUAGUGAAUACAUGAACUCCUCAAACUAUGCUCAUCACCGGUAAGUAUCCCGAUUAUUGUCACUUCGGGGUUAAGGGAUCAUAACACAAAAUAGGUGACUAUAGACUUGCAAGAUAGGAUCAAGAACUCAUAUAUAUUCAUGAAAAUAUAAUAGGUUCAGAUCUGAAAUCAUGGCACUCAGGUCCUAGUGACAAGCAUUAAGCAUAGCAAAGUCAUAACAACAUCAAUCUCAAAACAUAUGGAUACUAGAGAUCUAAACCCUCACAAAACUAACUCGAUUACAUGGUAAAUCUCAUCCAACCCAUCACCGUCCAGCAAGCCUACGAUGGAAUUACUCAUGCACGGCGGUGAGCAUCAUGAAAUUGGUGAUGGUGGAAGGUUGAUGAUGACGAUGGCGACGGAUUCCCCUCUCCGGAGCCCCGAACGGACUCCAGAUCAGCCCUCCCAAGAGAGAUUAGGGAUUGGCGGCGGCUCCGUAUCGUAAAACGCAAUGAAUCCUUCUCUCUGAUUUUUUCUCCCCGAACAUGAAUAUAUAGAGUUGGAGUUGAGGUCGGUGGAGCUUCAGGGGGCCCACGAGGUAGGGGGCGCGCCCCCACCCUCCUGGACAGGGUGUGGGCCCCCUGGUCUUGAUUCUUUCGCCAGUAUUUUUUAUUUAUUCCAAAAAUAUUCUCCGUGAAGUUUCAGGUCAUUCCGAGAACUUUUAUUUCUGCACAAAAAUAACACCAUGGCAAUUCUGCUGAAAACAGCGUCAGUCCGGGUUAGUUCCAUUCAAAUCAUGCAAGUUAGAGUCCAAAACAAGGGCAAAAGUGUUUGGAAAAUUAGAUACAAGGAGACGUAUCAUGUGGCAGAGGGAAAGGAUCCUUUGGACAAGCUUUAUUGAUAUCUGUGUAGUCAAUACACAACCUCCACUUCCCAUUCGCCUUACGCACAACCACCGGAUUGGCCAGCCACGUGGGGUGGAGUACUCCUCUAACUAGGCCUGCCGCCUCCAACUUCCUGAUCUCUUCAAUGAUGAACUCUUGUCGCUCCAAAGCUUGCUUCCUGACCUUCUGCUCGACGGGCCGCGCGUGAGGAUAGACAUCAAGAUGGUGCUCAAUCACCUCCCUGGGAACGCCGGGGAUGUCAGAUGAUCGCCAUGCAAAUACAUCGACAUUCGCCCGCAGGAAGGCGACGGGCACGCUUUCCUAUUUGCUGUCGAGGGUGGAGCUUAUAGUGAAAACCCCGCCCGUGCCGUCCUCCUUGACGGACAUCUUCUUGGUUUCUGGUGGUGCAGCCUUGGACUUCUUGCUCUUGCCGGUGGAGCUCUCUGGCACGUCCUCGACGGGAGCGCUGCACUCCGAAGAGGCGCACUUGCCGGAGUGGGUGCCGGAGGUCUGGUCCGAAGAGGUCUUGCCAGAAUAGGUCUUGCCGGCCUUCUUCCUUCCCGGGGCUUCAGCGGCAAGAGCAAGUGCCUUGGCGGCAGCUGCUGCAACUGCCUCUCGGUAGAGUUGGUUGGCGCAGAUGAGCGCGUCUUUCUUGUCAGAGGGGACGGUGAUGAUGGUCAGCGGCCCCGGCAUCUUCAGUGUGUUGUAGGCGUAGUGUGACGCCGCCAUGAACUUGGCCAGCGCUGGGCGGCCAAGGAUCCCAUUGUAUGGCAAGGGGAUCUCGGCGACAUCGAAAAUGAUCUUCUCCGUCCUAUGGUUCAGCUUGCCCCCAAAUGUAACGGGCAACGUGAUUUUACCUUUUGGCUGGCUCCUUCCCGGGUUGACCCCUUGAAACAUGCCCGUCUCUUCGAGAUCUCCAUAAGGAAUAUGCAACCUCUUGAUCACAUCAGGCGAGAUCAAAUUCAAACCGGCCCCACCAUCAACCAACACUUUUGUCACCUUGAGGUUGCGUAUUGUCUGUGAAACCAACAAUGGCAAACACCUGACCGCAGUUGUGCGAUAAGGCUGAUCCUCGGUUUCAAAUAUGGUGGGCAUGCGGGACCACUUUAGUGGCUUCUGGGCAUCGAACGAUGGCUCCGCCGCAGUGCCCUCACGCGCCCACUGUUUCAGUUGGCGGUGUGAGGCGUGCAACGAGGCGCCACCGUCGACGCACAUGGCCUCUGUAGCUUUCUAGAACUCGUGCUCACCGGACUCAUCGUCCUCGUCAUGAUCAUCAUCUUCUUCCUUCUUGUCUCGGCCCCGAGCGGGCCUCUCUUGUUGAUUAUCUUUGCCGCGGCGACCCCCUUGGCCGCCAUGCUUCUUGCCGGACUCCUCAGCACCAUCCUGACCCUUCUCCUUGUCUCGCCUUUCAUAUUCAGCUUUCUGCUUUUCAGCAAGCAGCUCAACCCGUCGGCAGUUCUGGAGGUCAUGGCCCUUGGUGCGGUGGAUCUUGCAGUACUGCUUGUCAGAGCCUCCUGGCUUGUCGGCGGCCGCCAAGGCCCGGCAGGUGGCGCACCUGGCAACCUCCUUGCCAGGGUCGUCAUCCUUGGCCUUCUUGGCGGCGCCGGGGUCGCUGGAUCCCUCAAUGGCAAGCACAGUCUUGCCCUUACGUUUCCUGUUACGGCACCGACCCUUCUUCAUCAGGGCGGUGACGUCUUCGUCCGUGGAGUUGGUUUCCGCACCGGCGUCUUCGCCGGGGUACUUCCUUCCUUCCUCAGCCUGAGCACACCUAUCCGCUAGAACAUAAAGUUUGGCUACAUCCUUGACCUUGUUCAUUGCCAGCUCUUCACGCAUCUUGCGGCUGCGUACGUUCUGAUGGAACGCACUGAUGACAGCGGCGGGAUGGACGUCUGGGAUGGUGUACUGCAUAGGGCUGAAUCUUUGUAUGUACUUAUGCAGGGACUCACCAUCCUUCUGGGGGAUGACAUGCAAGUCACUUGCCUGGCCAGGAGCUUGGUGGCCUCCGGUAAAGGCGCCAACAAACUCGUAGCACAGGUCCGACCAGGAAGAGAUGGAAUCCACUGGCAGGUGCAUCAACCACGACAUGACGUUGGGCUUAAGUGCCAAUGGAAAGUAGUUGGUGAGCACCUUCUCGUCACGAGCCCCGGCGGCUUGCAUCGCGAUGGUGUAGAUGCUGAGGAACUCCGACGGGCGAGUCUUGCCGUUGUACUUUUCCCCAACAUCAGGCUUGAACGUGUGGUGGGAGGGCCACUGGAACUGCCGCAGCUCUUGGGUAAAGGCCGGGCAACCCACCUCGUAAGGCAGGCCGCCAGGGCCCCCCGGCGCUGGGUGGUCCAUAGCAGGCCCCACACGCUGGUCUGACUAGUGGCGCGCGUCCCGCCAUUGCUCGAUGGUAGUUCGAGCGUCUUCCUAAGCUCGCUCUCGAAGAACUCGACGUUGGUCGCAGCGGGUUCGUGGGUCGGACGACGCUGUGGAAACGUUGUCACAGGCGUCGGCCCGACGGGCCGGUGGCUGCUGUCGCGGUCGCGGGGGAGGAGAGUGCACCAUGGUCGCAGCGUCUCCGGUCCCCCCACCACCGGCAUGCACCGGCUCGACAGAACACCGGUGUGAGGGUCCCCUUGGGAGCGGCUCGUCUUUGUUGGCAAAGCUGACAAGGCAUCGGAUGGUGGCCCUCCACUCGUCGAGCUUCUCCGCAGCAGGGGGAAGUCGACAAGCAAUUGCACGUGCGCCAGCGCUUCUGCAGGCGUGGGCGGCGGCGAGAGGUGCGUAGACCGGGACAUGCUUCGGCUUCUAACUAGGUUAGAAGGGGCUCUGUCACGGUCUCGCGGUCGCACGCCGCCUCCGCCGGCGUCCGAGCACGCACGCCGGCUUGGUGCGUCUUGCGAGUGGCGCACAGGGCUCUUUCCGUGGCGGUUCCCAGGGGCUCUGGCAUCGCGGCGUCGCUCAUCGCGCGUGGCCUGGGAAGGCCGCGGCACGGGUGCCAGCUGGCGCGCCGUAGAGGUUGCUGCGCCGCCCAUGGGUAGCACGGCCCCGCCCCCAGACCCAGCGGCGUGCAGCUCGUCGUCUUGGAUUCGAACGACGCCACUCGCUUGGCUCCUAUCGCCAGAGUGUCGUAGAUGCUCGCGGGCCACGUCUCCGGCCCCAUCCGUGGCCACCCGGUCGCCUGCCCGCCCUUGCGCGGACGGGCCAGCUCCGGGCGACCCGAUCGCUAUGAUCCCCUUUCUCUUGGGGGCCAUGGUGAUGAUGAAGUCGACACGCUGACCUUCAAACCGGAUUUUCACAGCCUGCGCCCCCCUACCUGGCGCGCCAAAGAUGUCGAUGGAAAGGACACCUAUGGGAUCACAAGGAAUCCCUACUACGGUCGGUGGGCGCGGGGCUGUGGAAAGAGCGGGUUUAGAAGAUCAACGCGGGAAAUUUAUCCAGGUUCGGGCUGCAAGUGAUUCGUAAUACCCUACUCUUGCUGGUUUGUGUUUAUCUGGUGUUCUUGGACUAGCUACAAAGCAUGCAGAGUCCAAAAAGUCCGAAUCCUCUCUCAGUACGCCGCGGGCCUCCUUUUAUAGUCAAAGGGGCUGCCAUAGUGCCACACAGGAGGUGGAAAGUUGUACAGUAGUCGAGUUUAUCUCUGACAUCACAGGACAAAACACAUUAAAUGCGCUACUUAGGUGUCCUCUCGCUUUAUCGGGGAUGGCAACGAAGCCCGUCCCGUCCGUCACCGCUUCGCCUUGCUCCGACACGCGUCCAAGCCAACGAGGCAUGCAGUGCCAUGUAGGCAGGCAGGCUGCUGAGCUGGUGCGGUGGCGGGGUUUUCACGAAUAUCUGCAUGCCACCACGCAGGUGCUUGACUAGUUGGCUUAGGAGCCACGUACUGCCACGUGGGUACUUUCUUAAUUGGUGUGUCGGCCGCUGAGCUGGGGCGGCGACGGGGCGGCAAGGCCUUGCCGUGGUUUCGCUGAUAUUCCCAGCAAGGGUCUUGCAAGGGCCUUGCGGGCGCCCUCGGCAAGAGUCUUGCCAGGGCCUCGUGGGUAUCUUCGGCAGGAGCCUUGCCGGGGCCUCGUGGGCAUCCUCGGCAAGGAGCCUCGCUGUUGUCUUGUUUUCUGGUUCCUAUCUAGGCCUCGAAGGCCCUUUGUCUUCACAAAGAUCUGCAUGCCACCAUGGAGGCGCCUCCCGAGCCUUGGUUCCAGUGUGGUUGAUGGCGCGGGAACUUUUAGACUCAAGGGUGGUGGCCCCGUUGGUGUUGGGCAAGUUGCCCCGGCAAGGCUCUUGCCGGGGCCGUGAAGGCCGCCCCGACAAGGGCCUUGCCAGGGGAGUUUCACCUCGCCCCUCUGCUCUUCAUGCUUCUGGUCUUGUACAGACAUGGCCUCGGAACACUGGAGACUGAAAGGUCGACCGUGAAUCAUAUUGUAGAUAUGAUCAACAUAGAGAUGUUCACCAUUGAUGACUACUCCAUCUCACGUGAUGAUCGGACAUGGUUUAGUUGAUUUGGAUCAUGUAUUACUUAGAUGACUUGAGGGUUGUCUAUCUAAGUGGGAGUUCUUAAGUAAUUUGAUUAAUUGAACUUAAUUUAUCAUGAAUUUAGUCCUGAUAUGCAUAUCUAUGUUGUAGAUCAAUAGCUCGCGUAUAGCUCCCCUGUUUUAUUUUGAUAUGUUUCUAGAGAAAACUAAGUUGAAAGAUGAUAGUAGCAAUGAUACGGACUAGGUCCGUGAUCUGAGGAUUAUCCUCAUUGUUGCACAGAAGAAUUAUGUCUUUGAUGCACCGCUAUGUGACAGACCUAUUGCAGGAGCAAAUGCAGACAUUAUGAACGUUUGACAAGCUCGAUAUGAUGACCACUUGAUAGUUUAGUGCGCCAUGCUUUACGGCUUAGAACCGGGACUUCAAAAAUGUUUUGAACGCCAUGGAGCAUAUGAGAUGUUCCUAGAGCUGAAAAUGAUGUUUCAGAGUCAUGCCCGUGUUAAGAGGUAUGAGAUAUCUGAUAAGUACUUGAGAAUAGCUCAGCUAGUGAGCAUGUGCUCAGAAUGUCGAGGUACUACAAUCGCUUGAAUCAAGUGGAAGUUAAUCUUCCAGAUAAGAUAGUGAUUGACAGAGUUCUCUAGUCACUAUCACCAAGUUACUAGAACUUCAUGAUGAACUAUAAUAUGCAAGGGAUGACGAAAACGAUUCCCAAGCUCUUCGCGAUGCUGAAAUUGGCGAAGGUAGAAAUCAAGAAAUAGCAUCAAGUGUUGAUGGUUAAACAAGACCACUAGUUUCAAGAAAAAAGGGCGAAGGAAAAGAAAGGGAACUUCAAGAAGAAUGGAAAAUAAGUUGCCACUCCCGUGAAGAAACCCAAAGCUGGACCCAAGCCUAAAACUGAGUGCUUCUACUACAAAGGAAAUGGUCACUAGAAGCGGAACUGCCCCAAACAUUUGGCGGAUAACAAGGAUGGCAAAGUGAAAAAAAGUAUAUUUGAUAUACAUGUUAUUGAUGUGUAUCUUACUAGUGUUCGUAGUAACCCCUGGGUAUUUGAUACUUGUUCAGUUGCUAAGAUUAGUAACUCGAAACAGGAGUUGCAAAAUAAAUAGAGACUAGUUAAGGGCGAGGUGAUGAUAAGUGAUGGAAUUGAUUCCAAGGUUGAUACGAUCAACAUCGCACACUUCCUCUACCUUCGGGAUUAGUUUUAAACCUAAAUAAAAGUUAUUUGGUGUUUGCGUUCAACAUGAAUAUGAUUUGAUCAUGUUUAUUGCAAUGCGGUUAUUCAUUUCAGACAGAGAACAACUGUUGUUAUGUUUACAUGAAUAAGACCUUUUAUGGUCAUACACCCAAUGGUUUAUUGAAUCUCGAUCGUAGUGAUACACAUAUUCAUACUAUUGAUGCCAAAAGAUGCAAAAGUUGAUAAUGAUAGUGCAACAUGAAGGAAAUAUGCCCUAGAGGCAAUAAUAAAGUUAUUAUUUAUUUCCUUAUUUCAUGAUAAAUGUUUAUUAUUCAUGCUAGAAUUGUAUUAACCAGAAACUUAGUACAUGUGUGAAUAGACAGACAAAACAAAGUGUCCCUAGUAUGCCUCUACUUGACUAGCUCGUUUAUCAAAGAUGGUUAUGUUUCCUAACCAUAGACAUGUGUUGUCAUUUGAUGAACGAGAUCACAUCAUUAGGAGAAUGAUGUGAUGUACAAGACCCAUUCGUUAGCUUAGCAUUAUGAUCGUUACAAUUUCAUUGCUACCGCUUUCUUCAUGACUUAUACAUGUUCCUCAGACUAUGAGAUUAUGCAACUCCCGAAUACUGAAGGAACACUUUGUCUGCUAUCAAACGUUACAAAAUAAAUGGGUGAUUAUAAAGAUGCUCUACAGGUGUCUCCGAAGGUAUUUGUUGGGUUGGCAUAGAUCGAGAUUAGGAUUUGUCACUCCGUGUUUUGGAGAGGUAUCUCUAGGCCCUCUCGGUAAUGCUCAUCACUAUAAGCCUUGCAAGCAAUGUGACUAAUGAGUUAGUUGCGGGAUGAAGUAUUACGGAACGAGUAGAGAGACUUGCCGGUAAUGAGAUUGAACUAGGUAUGAUGAUACCGACGAUCGAAUCUCGGGCAAGUAACAUACCGAUGACAAAGGGAACAACGCAUGUUGUUAUGCGGUUUGACCGAUAAAGAUCUUCGUAGAAUAUGUAGGAGCCAAUAUGAGCAUCCACGUUCUGCUAUUGGUUAUUGACCGGGGAUGUGUCUCGGUCAUGUCUACAUAGUUCUCCAACCGUAGGGUCCGCACGCUUAACGUUCGAUGACGAUUUGUAUUAUGAGUUAUGUGUUUUGAUGACCAAGGUUUGUUCGGAGUCCUGGAUGAGAUCACGGACGUGACAAGGAGUCGCGAAAUGGUCGAUACAUAAAGGUUGAUAUAUUGGACCAUGUUAUUCUGACACCAGAAGUGUUCCGGAUAGUUUCGGGUAAAAACGGAGUGCCGGAGGGGUUACUGGAACCCCCUCGGGGAGUUGAUGGGCCUUAGUGGCCCUUAGUGGGAAGGAGAGGGAGCGGCCAGGUGGUGGCGUGUCACGACCGGUUUUUCAAUAAAAUAAUUAUUGAGAGACCCAUCCCUUUUACGGACCAGCGAGGAAGAAUUCCUUCUCGCUGGUAGACAAUAUCUUGGUUACAGAAGAAAAAUACCAGGAGUACUAAAUAUAAUACAAGGUUGAGCAGAGACUGCCCAACAAUUUAUUACAUGCAUGCCGCUAAAACAAAACGGCAGAUAGGGUGGCAACUACUAACUCACGAUAAUAACGGUGGCAGAAAUAUCACCGCGAAGUGAGUGAUAUGAUUCCAGAAGAGUACAGCUCUUCGAGCGUCUGAGUGAGGCUCGUGGAGACUUAUUGCGGGUGGCGGAAGCGUAUACAAUACAAGUGACCAAUAUCCGGGAUCGCGCAGGACUGACUGGGACUCCUCUAGGCAUCGGACGCGCUAUCAAACUCUUCAUCCAAGAGAUCGCCUUCGUCAGCAUCUGGCCAAAUCAACAAGCCAGGUGAGUACUAUGAAAGUACUCGCAAGACAGUUCAGACAUAAGAUAUGACAAACAUAAACAUGAAGCAUAUGAACAAGUUAACUGGUGCGAUUAUACAUAACGGUAAUAGAUACUGGGUGCCAAGCGAGGGUCUGAAUGACGCCUCGAGCGGAAACUGCAGAAUAGUAAUACUGGUGCCAAACGAGUGUCUGAAAGACUCCUCGAGCGGAAAAUGCGGAAUAUUAAUGCGGGUGCCAAGCGAGUGUCUGAAAGACUCCUCGAGCGGAAAAUGCGGAAUAUUAAUGCNNNNNNNNNNAUAUUAAUGCGGGUGCCAAGCGAGUGUCUGAAAGACUCCUCGAGCAGAAAAUGCGGAAUAUUAAUGCGGGUGCCAAGCGAGUGUCUGAAAGACUCCUCGAGCGGAAAAUGCGGAAUAUUAAUGCAGGUGCCAAGCGAGUGUCUGAAAGACUCCUCGAGCGGAAAAUGCGGAACAAUAAUGCCACAGUCGGGCGUCGGGGCGACGCCACAUAAAGGGCUUGUAACAGGAAAUAAUAGACAGUGCAUGCCGCAGUCGGACGUCUGAGCGACAUCACAUAAAGGGCUUAUAUUUAAAGUAAGAAACAAGUGCACGCCACAGUCGGACGUCUGCGCGACGUCACAUAAAGGGCUUAUAUCACAACUCAUUAAUACCAUAGUUUGGGAACAUAAAUUAUCACAGGCAUGAGACAAAUAUAAAGUUAGUCCAUCCACAAGAAUAACAAUAAAUCUGGAUUUUUCCACUUGAGCUUGUUCACCAGGGCAAGUUUUUCACACAGAUAGAUAUGGAUAUAGUUCUUACACUGCUUGAUCAUGGAUACGAUGAUUUGGAAAGAAUUGACUCUGCAGAGUUUGUACUUAACCACAGCCAACGGAUUUCAGUAGUCACGGGGACUAGUUCCAUCUACGGUGUUUUGAAAGGAACACGUCUAACCAGUACACACCCAAUUCAACCAUCCGAAGCCAGGGAUCACCCUCGGCAACUUUCAAGAAAAACCUUGAGACGGGGAGGCUACAACCUCGCGUAGCAUGGGAUCAAAUUUCUAUACGCGCGCUUUAAGGGGGUGCCCCCCCUCUCGGUCCCAACCGGAAACACCCAUGCCCCCUGACCGAAUGACUGGCUUUAAUCCUGGGCCAAGGUACCAUCAUCCCGGCCUCUCUGUUUGGUGUGUACACGGAAAGAGGUUACCAACUUACUAAACCGCAUCCUGGCAAUGAGACAUGUGGUAGCACAGAAAGGGGAAAGAACGGUAACGCGGCUCCAACCACGUUAACGUCGGAGAAAGUCGAAUGUCGCAAGGCUGGCAUGCUACAACAGUACCACCUUGCUGCCAUUCAUGUCACCACAUGAUUAGGCCACCUCUCAUCAGAGGUCAUCGCAACUUUGGAACGACCGAGUCGUUGCCUUACAAGCAACGAGGUAUUUACCGACACCCAUAUGCCACGCACAACUUUCACGUGAACAUGUAAAACAUCUGUCAUAUCAAAUGUUCAAAACAUGCUUGCCUGGUUUGGAGAAGUCGGAGUCUAGCUCGGCGAAGUUCGCGGCUCCGUCACCUCUCCCGGAACCUACGGCAAUCACGAAACGGGUACUAACGUGAAAACCAACACAUGCACAGAAAAUUUUCCAAAUAUUUUUCAAAUAAAUUCCAUAAAAAACUAGACAAAAUUUGAAGAUUGUCAGAAAAAGAAUCACUCAAAAAUACCUUUUUAUUAAAAAGUUAUAAAGGUUUCUGUCCAGGGACUUAUCUGUAAUGAAACAGAAAAGUUCCAGGGUUUUAACUAAGAAAACAGAAAACGCUUCGGCUGGGAAUGCGCAAGCGCAAAGGGGAAAACGUAUUCUGCCCGAAGGCGCCAACAGAAAACGGUUCGUGAAAUAAAAGAACAGAGGCUGACAUGCGGGGUGCACAUGUCAGGUUUGAAAAGCUCGCCGGCGCCCGAAGACUGCGGUGGACGCCAGCGUCGAACCACGGCGAGUUAGGAGGAACGGAGGGUACCAAGAGCUUCAGCGUCCUCUUCCGCGUCGGUGGGUGGUGGACUCGUCCAACGGGGUGCACUAUGUGGACGGCGACACUUUCUCCGGCGGACGGCAGCUUGGGUGAGGAUGGGGAACUCCGGUGGAGGGCUGCAAGCUUCAAAAUGGAGUGCGGGUCAGAAAGAGGGAUGCAUGGUGAAGCUACUGGCAAGAGGAUGGAUGCGGAGGAGCACACACGGGGGCGAAUCGGGCUGGAUCCCGUGGCGGGUCGCGGCGGCCGGAGUCGAGGAAGGAGACCUCCUCGGGGCUCUUCCAGUGGCUAGGCGUGCUCUAGGGGGAGUGCAGGGCUGGUGGGUGCUCGAGUUGAAGCUCGAUGCCUCUAUUUAUAGGCAGAUCGACGGGGUGGCCGUGAACGGAGAAUCUCCGGCGAGCGAUUAUGGCGGAGCAGUGGAUUGGCAGGGGGUUUGAGCGGCCGGGCAGCAUCAGUGGAGGUUACUGGACUCGUUUUGCAGUUAAACGGGGUCGGUCUUGGCGUAAUGGCGUCGGUCCACGGUGAGGUGACCGCACGGGCUCAACGGUGGCAGAGAGCGCACUCCGCGCCCUGCGGUUCACGACGAGAGCGGUAGCGCGUUCGGGGGAGUGGAAGGCCACGCGGCGAGCUCCGGUGGUUUGGGCGGCGCUGGGUGGCGUCGUCGGCGCCGUGUCUCCUGCUGGCGUCCGCAAAGCCGCCGCCGGCGUCGGUCACGGGGCGGCGCACCUUCUGCUGCUCGUCGCUGACGCCCGCAAGGCGCCAGGCGUUCGUGCGGUGCAGGAACAAGAGGGCGGGGACGAGGAGUAAGGCGACGCGGUGGCACUGGCGAGAUCGACGUCCGCUUCUAAAGAAAACGACAGGAGCCACUUGACUGAAUCUCUGAAACUCUGAACUUGACAAUGACCAUGCACUGCAGGUGUUCGACAGGAGGUUUUGGCCAUGAGAUAAAUUUUUCUGGAGCUGUAACUUGGUGAGAUGACCACUCAAUGCACCCAGAGGCUGCCUGAUUUUACUUGGAAUUUAUGGAGAAGGUUUGGAAUGAAUUUCACCAAAUUUGGCAAAUCUGGUCCAAAGUUGCAGCAAGUGUAGUUUGAAAAUUUUGAACUGAAGACCAGUGGAUCUUCAUGGUUCUAGGUUGAGGGUACAAAGGACUAGGAGGGAGAGUUGGUUUGGUGGCAAAAAUCAAAACAGAAAAUGGAGUUCCUUUGUAAAACUCCAAGUUGUAGAAUAGAGGACAGAAAUUUCAUUUGAAUAGAAUUUGAAUGGAAAUAAACACAUGGGGAGGUUCAACUUGCUGGAUUUGAUGUAAAUCAUGAUCCAAAGGUGAGGAAGUGGUUAGGAGAGAGGAUUUGCACUAAUGCCAUGGCAAGAAGGAAUUGUUGAAAGUGGCAAAGGACUUUCCAAAAGCCAUAGUGCAAAAUCUCAAGGAGAUUUUCAAAAGUUAUUUUCCCAAAUGAAAAACAUUUUGUCUUGAGUCCAAAGGAAAAGCAAGAACUUCCAAGACCAAAGGCAGAUCUUGGGUGAAUCCAAAUAAAACUUUUGCCAUAAAGAAAAGUAUAUGAGAGGGAGAGUUCUCUUGAAGAAAAAUUUAAAUCACUUCCCUCAAGUCAAAUAAAAAUCUUUUGAAAAAAAAUCCAAAUAAAAACUUGGGUGUCACACCACCUACCCCCUUAGGAAAAAUCUCGUCCUCGAGAUUUCUGCUGAUCCUCAAAUAGAUAUGGAUACUCUGCUCGAAGGAAAUCCUCCCUUUCCCAUGUAGCUUCAUCCUCAGUGUGGUUGCUCCACUGAACCCUGAAAAACUUUGUCGUUUUCUGACGGGUCCUCCGUUCAGACUCUUCUAAAGUCUUUACUGGUCUUUCUCUAUAGGUGAGAUCUGGUUGCAUAUCAAUGUCCUCAUGAGGUACAUGUUUUUCUGGGUUGCUCACACAUCUUCUUAACUGUGAGACGUGGAACACGUCAUGGACGUCUGACAGCUCCUUGGGGAGGUCUAGUUGGUAGGCCACCGUGCCUCUUCGUGCCUUUACACAAAAUGGUCCAAUAAACCUUGGGGCUAGCUUCCCCUUUAUUUUGAACCGUUGCAGACCCCUCAUAGGAGAUACUCGGAGGUAUACGGAAUCAACGGGUUCAAAGCUGACCUCACGAUGCUUCUGAUCAUAGUAGCUCUUUUGUCGGCUCAGCGCCGUCCUGAGUCUGUCCCUGAUCUGUUUAACUUUCUCCUCGGCCUCUUUAAGCAUGUCUGGGCCGAAGAUACGGCUGUCACCUGUUUCUGACCAAUUCAGAGGGGUACGACAUCUUCGUCCGUACAACGCUUCAAAGGGUGCCAUUUGCAAGCUGGCUUGGUAACCGUUGUUGUAAGCAAUUUCGGCAUACGGCAAACUUUCUUCCCAACUGGAUCCAUAGGUGAGCACACAGGCUCUUAGCAUAUCCUCUAGGAUUUGGUUUACACGUUCUGUUUGUCCAUCGGUCUGAGGGUGGUAUGCUGUACUGAAAGCCAGUUGCGUGCCCAGAACUUGUUGUAGGUGAUCCCAAAAUUUGGAGACAAAUUGGGUGCCUCGGUCUGAUAUUAUAGUCUUUGGGACUCCGUGCAAGCAAACUAUACGGGAGAGAUAAAGUUUUGCCAGUCUUUGUGUGGAGUAGGUAGUCUUCACGGGAAUGAAAUGAGCAACCUUGGUUAGUCGGGCUGUGAUGACCCAUAUGGCGUCAUUUCCGCGUUGUGAUCGGGGUAAUCCGACAAUGAAGUCCAUUCCUAUUUCAUCCCAUUUCCACUCUGGUAUCCUGUUAGGCUGGAGUAGUCCUGCUGGCUUUUGGUGCUCGGCCUUGAUGCGCUGACAUGAAUCGCAACAAGCGAUGAAUGUGGCUAUAUCUCUUUUCAUACCGUGCCACCAAAAUCUUUCCUGGAUGUCCUUGUACAUUUUGGUUCCUCCAGGAUGGAUCGAGUAUGGGGCGGUGUGGAUUUCCGUCAAGAUCUGUUGCUUGAGUUUCUCAAUGUUAGGUACGCAAAGUCUGUCUCGGUACCAUAAUGUUCCUUCACUGUCUGUGACGAACUCUGAAGUCUUACUAAGAUUCAUUUUCUUCUUUAUGCCUUCGAUGCUGGGAUGUCCUUGUUGAGCCUUCUUGAUUUGUUCCACUAGGGUGGGUUGUAUCUCCAGGUUUGAUACGGUGCCCUCAGAGACUAACAUCAUGUUGAGCCUAGUGAACUCUCGCUGAAACUCAGGCCUCAAAUUUUGCUGACCGUCACUGUCCGGGCUGGGGUUUCGACUAAGGGCAUCGGCCACUACAUUAGCUUUCCCUGGGUGGUAGUGAAUACCGACAUCAUAGUCCUUGACUAGUUCCAACCAGCGUCGUUGGCGUAAAUUCAGCUCUGGCUGUGUGAAAAUAUAUUUGAGGCUCUUAUGGUCCGUAUAUAUUUCACAGCGAUUUCCCAACAGAAAGUGCCUCCACUCCUUGAGUGCAUGUAUGACUGCUGCUAGCUCCAAGUCAUGUGUUGGGUAAUUUUCCUCAUGUUUUCGCAGCUGCCUGGAGGCAUAUGUGACAACUUUGCCAUCCUGCAUUAGCACACAUCCGAGACCUUUUCGGGACGCGUCACAAUACACUUCAAAGCUCUUGUGUAUGUUUGGCACAGUUAAGACCGGUGCGGUUGUCAGCUUCUUCUUGAGUUCUUGGAAGCUCUGCUCUCAUGCUUCUUUCCAUACAAUUUUUUUGUCCUUCUUGAGUAACUGUGUUAUAGGCUUUGCCACAGUGGAGAACCCUUCAAUAAAUCUUCUGUAAUAUCCGGCCAUUCCUAGGAAACUCCACACAUCUGUAACAUUCACGGGUGGCUUCCAGUCUAGUAUGGCAUUGACCUUUUCUGGGUCUACGGCCACGCCUUCUUGGUUCAGUAUAUGGCCUAAGAAACCAACUUGUCUUAGCCAAAAUUCGCACUUGCUAAAUUUGGCGUACAACUGAUGUUUCCUCAAUUCACCCAAAACAAUUCUGAGGUGCUCAGCAUGCUCUUCUGGUGUCCACGAGUAAACCAGAAUAUCGUCAAUGAAUACCACCACAAAUUUGUCCAUGAAUUUCAUGAACACUUUGUUCAUGAGGUGGACGAAAUAUGCGGGGGCGUUCGUUAGUCCAAAAGGCAUCACUGUAAACUCGUAUAACCCAUAUCUGGAAGUGAAAGCUGUCUUGGGAAUAUCUUCCGUCCGUACCUUCAAUUGGUGAUAUCCCGAUCUCAUAUCAAUCUUUGAGAAUACCUUGGCCUGUGCGAGCUGGUCAAACAAAUCAUUUAUUCGUGGCAUCGGAUAUUUGUUUUUGAUGGUGACCAUAUUGAGGGCUCGAUAGUCUAUGCACAGCCUCAGUGUCCCAUCUUUCUUCUUAGCGAACAACACAGGCGAACCCCAAGGUGAGGAGCUGGCUCGAAUAAAUCCUUUGUCCAACAAUUCCUUUAUCUGCUUCUUCAAUUCCACCAAUUCUGAGGGUGCCAUUCUAUAAGGCUUCUUAUAGAUGGGAGCGGUGCCAGGUGCUAGUUCAAUGCUAAAUUCGAUCUCUCAGUCUGGUGGCAUGCCUGGUAGUUCUUCAGGAAACACAUCAGGAAACUCGCAUACCACUGGAACUUUUCUCAGUUCUGCAAUGUCCAUUUUGUUCAGUUUUGGUUGCUGUGAUCGUGGCCUUUCUUGGGCGGAAACUCUUAUAGUCUUGCCGUGAUGGUGAGUGAGAAUCACUGUCCGAUUGAAACAGUCGAUGAAUCCUUUGUUGGUGGUCAACCAGUCCAUCCCUAAAAUGACAUCCAGUCCUUUACUUUCCAAUACGAUGAGGUUCGCGUGGAAUUGUAGUCCUUCGAACUCAAUGACCACUCUUUGGCAGUAACCUUGAGCGAUUUGCGUAUUUCCGGGGGACUUGAUGGUCAUAGAUUUUUCCAAGGGAAGUAUCGGAAAACCAUGUUGCGAAACAAAACUCUUCGAAACGAACGAAUGGGAAGCUCCAGAAUCAAACAAAACCGUGGCAGGUACUGUGUUGACAGGGAACGUACCGAGCACGAUGUCUGGGGCAUUCUGCGCUUCUUCCCUGGUCACAUGGUUCAGGUGACCCUUCCUGUGGUUGUUGCUGGGGUUGAAGUUGUUGCGCUUGGGGGCUGGAUUGUUCCCACCAUUGUUCGGCUUGGGUGCCGAGUCUCUUGGCUUCGGGCACUGUUUAGCAUAAUGCCCUUGUUGACCACAUGCAUAGCAGGUGACCCCUGGACGGUAUGUGAACUCCUUGUCCCUGGCAUGAAAUUGUCCGACGGGCCUUGGCUCAGUAGUCGUGGAUCUCCUUGCGUCUGUCCUUGGGACCUCAGUCUUGCCCCGGUUGCUGCGGGCAAGAGUCGUCUUGUCCCUCUUUCGCUUGCGGAUAUCCUCCAGACUACGGCGCUCAUUCUCCAGGGUGAUGGCCUUGUCCACCAGCGUCUUAAAAUCCGGAAAGGUGUGCACGAUCAGUUGGCAUCUUAACGCUGGUGCCAGGCCGUCCAGGAUUUUUUUCCAUCUUCUUGCUUUCUGUCAUGUGCUCGUCGUAGGCAUAACGAGACAGCUGGGUGAACUGACCAUUGUACUCGGUCACUAACAUGCCUCUUUGCUUCAGGUCAUCGAACUCUCUCUUCUUGAUCUUUAGGAUGCUCCUGGGGAUGUGUGCCCCACGGAAGCCUUCCUUGAACUCUUCCCAGGUGAUGUUGUGUUCCCUGGGAUGCAUGUGUAAGAAGUUUUCCCACCAUGCUGCGGCUGCUCCAGUAAGGUAGUGUGGUGCAUAAAGCACCUUCUCAUGAUCUGAGCACUAAGCAAUAAUCAGUUUCCUUUCAAUCUCACGAAGCCAAUCAUCGGCUUCUAGCGGUCUGUCGGUGUGAGCAAAAGUUGAGGGGCGAGUUUUCUGUAACUCAGAUAACUUGGAAUGGGGUUGAUAGGGUUCACGGUGGUUUCCCAUGUUGAUGACAUGGUUCAUCAUCUCUUGGUGCUGUUGCUGGCUUUGCUCGAAGAGACGGCAUACUUGAGAUAGUGCUGCUUCGCUGUCUUGUUGGCUGGACUGACCCUGAGUGAAAUUGUUGCUGGUCUGUGUCCUGUAAACCUCUUCUGGCUGAUUGGGCAUGGAGCGAGUCCACGGGCGAGACAUUUUUCCAGUCUGGGGUAUUAUUUGCAAGACCCAUGAGAAAAAUUGUGUAGUACAAAAAUCUCGCAAAGGCAAAAAUAAAAAGGCUUCAAGGUUUUCAAAGAAACACAAAUGAUUUUUCAUGGAGAAGAAGUGCUUAACAUAAAACUUACAUGCGAAAAGCAAACACAUGAUACAUCACUCAGGAUGCGCGUACAUAUCCUGACAUGUUAUUAAAAACUAGCGUACUACUCCGGAAGGCAGCAAACAUACCAAUACAAACUAGCGUACAGAUAAAACAACACAUCAUACAAGAAGGCAUAACACGCGGCUACUCGGUGCUCUCAGUCAGAGAUGGUGAAGAUCUCCUUCCCCUUACCGAUGGCAAGGCUCAGCGGUCCAGGAGAAUAAACCUCCUCCUCUCUAGCUGGCUCCUGGCGCGGGACGCUGCGCUGCGGAGAUGGUGCGGGGGCGACUGGUGGUAGAGCGCGUGCGGCAGGCGGUGCGGCUCUGACUGGAGUAGGAGCGAUGACUCGGUCGAACUCCUCAGUGGUAGGCAGACGACAAGCAGUGGCCAUAACGGCCGGUGCAUACGAGGCUGAAGACGAGGCGAAUGUCAGAGGCGGCGCCGUGUGGAGAAGCUCCUUCCUGCUGGCAGGACCGCCCCGGACUAAGUCCAUGCGGGCAGCCACAAGAUCAUCUACGAGGUUGUCGAAAGACUCCUCCAGAGCCUUGAGAUACUCCACAACCAUCUCGAUGGCUUCAUCUCGUUCUCCCCGAUGGCAGGCGAACGCAUAGUGGCUGGUGUAAGGCACAUGGCAUGGGAGGUAGCGGUAGCGACGAGUCUUCAUCGUAGGAAGGAUGUCCCGAAGGCGAGCUAUCGCCUCGCGGGCAGCCAUCUACAUGGCAUGCCUCUCCGUAGGCAUGGCCCUUCCCGUAAAACGGAAGUGACGAGCAGCAGAACGUCCUCCCCGGAACUGCACCACGGCUUGGUGCAUAGACACGUCGUCACUGAGCUUGUGCUGAUAGAGCGUGAACUCUGGGCGAGCUGCUGGCCCGAUCGCGAGCUUGGUGAUGGAGUCGAGGAGCUUGACAAACCCCUCGGGCACGUUGGUGAACACUCGAUUCUCACAGCUGCUGCCAGCCAUCUACAAAAGUAGGCAAAAAUUCUGAGUAGUCAUGUCAUAAAUUUAUGAUGACCAACAGAAAAUAGCUACAAUUGCAAAAUGCUGAAAAAGCACAAAAACGCUAAUAACCGAUUAGCGAUCGCACCUAGUGGCUUCCUACAGUCAGCCUGGCUCUGAUACCAAGCUUGUCACGACUGGUUUUUCAAUAAAAUAAUUAUUGAGAGACCCAUCCCUUUUACGGACCAGCGAGGAAGAAUUCCUUCUCGCUGGUAGACAAUAUCUUGGUCACAGAAGAAAAAUACCAGGAGUACUAAAUAUAAUACAAGGUUGAGCAGAGACUGCCCAACAAUUUAUUACAUGCACGCCGCUAAAACAAAACGGCGGAUAGGGUGGCAACUACUAACUCACGAUAAUAACGGUGGCGGAAAUAUCACCGCGAAGUGAGUGAUAUGAUUCCAGAAGACUACAGCUCUUCGAGCGUCUGAGUGAGGCUCGUGGACACUUAUUGCGGGUGGCGGAAGCGUAUACAAUACAAGUGACCAAUAUCCGGGAUCGCGCAGGACUGACUGGGACUCCUCUAGGCAUCGGACGCGCUAUCAAACUCUUCAUCCAAGAGAUCGCCUUCGUCAGCAUCUGGCCAAAUCAACAAGCCAGGUGAGUACUAUGAAAGUACUCGCAAGACAGUUCAAACAUAAGAUAUGACAAACAUAAACAUGAAGCAUAUGAACAAGUUAACUGGUGCGAUUAUACAUAACGGUAAUAGAUACUGGGUGCCAAGCGAGGGUCUGAAUGACGCCUCGAGCGGAAACUGCAGAAUAGUAAUACUGGUGCCAAACGAGUGUCUGAAAGACUCCUCGAGCGGAAAAUGCGGAAUAUUAAUGCGGGUGCCAAGCGAGUGUCUGAAAGACUCCUCGAGCGGAAAAUGCGGAAUAUUAAUGCGGGUGCCAAGCGAGUGUCUGAAAGACUCCUCGAGCGGAAAAUGCGGAACAAUAAUGCCACAGUCAGGCGUCGGGGCGACACCACAUAAAGGGCUUAUAACAGGAAAUAAUAGACAGUGCAUGCCGCAGUCGGACGUCUGAGCGACAUCACAUAAAGGGCUUAUAUUUAAAGUAAGAAACAAGUGCAGGCCACAGUCGGACGUCUGCGCGACGUCACAUAAAGGGCUUAUAUCACAACUCAUUAAUACCAUAGUUUGGGAAUAUAAAUUAUCACAGGCAUGAGACAAAUAUAAAGUUAGUCCAUCCACAGAAAUAACAAUAAAUCUGGAUUUUUCCACUUGAGCUUGUUCACCAGGGCAAGUUUUUCACACAGAUAGAUAUGGAUAUAAUUCUUACACUGCUUGAUCAUGGAUACGAUGAUUUGGAAAGAAUUGACUCUGCAGAGUUUGUACUUAACCACAGCCAACGGAUUUCAGUAGUCACGGGGACUAGUUCCGUCUACGGUGUUCUGGAAGGAACACGUCUAACCAGUACACACCCAAUUCAACCAUCCGAAGCCAGGGAUCACCCUCGGCAACUUUCAAGAAAAACCUUGAGACGGGGAGGCUACAACCUCGCGUAGCAUGGGAUCAAAUUUCUAUACGCGCGCUUUAAGGGGGUGCCCCCCCUCUCGGUCCCAACCGGAAACACCCAUGCCCCCUGACCGAAUGACUGGCUUUAAUCCUGGGCCAAGGUACCAUCAUCCCGGCCUCUCUGUUUGGUGUGUACACGGAAAGAGGUUACCAACUUACUAAACCGCAUCCUGGCAAUGAGACAUGUGGUAGCACGGAAAGGGGAAAGAACGGUAACGCGGCUCCAACCACGGUAACGUCGGAGAAAGUCGGAUGUCGCAAGGCUGGCAUGCUACAACAGUACCACCUUGCUGCCAUUCAUGUCACCACAUGAUUAGGCCACCUCUCAUCAGAGGUCAUCGCAACUUUGGAACGACCGAGUCGUUGCCUUACAAGCAACGAGGUAUUUACCGACACCCAUAUGCCACGCACAACUUUCACGUGAACAUGUAAAACAUCUGUCAUAUCAAAUGUUCAAAACAUGCUUGCCUGGUUCGGAGAAGUCGGAGUCUAGCUCGGUGAAGUUCGCGGCUCCGUCACCUCUCCCGGAACCUACGGCAAUCACGAAACGGGUACUAACGUGAAAACCAACACAUGCACAGAAACUUUUCCAAAUAUUUUUCAAAUAAAUUCCAUAAAAAACUAGACAAAAUUUGAAGAUUGUCAGAAAAAGAAUCACUCAAAAAUACCUUUUUAUUAAAAAGUUAUAAAGGUUUCUGUCCAGGGACUUAUCUGUAAUGAAACAGAAAAGUUCCAGGGUUUUAACUAAGAAAACAGAAAACGCUUCGGCUGGGAAUGCGCAAGCGCAAAGGGGAAAAUGUAUUCUGCCCGAAGGCGCCAACAGAAAACGGUUCGUGAAAUAAAAGAACAGAGGCUGACAUGCGGGGUCCACAUGUCAGGUUUGUAAAGCUCGCCGGCGCCCGAAGACUGCGGUGGACGCCGGCGUCGAACCACGGCGAGUUAGGAGGAACGGAGGGUACCAAGAGCUUCAGCGUCCUCUUCCGCGUCGGUGGGUGGUGGACUCGUCCAACGGGGAGCACUAUGUCGACGGCGACACUUUCUCCGGCGGACGGCGGCUCGGGUGAGGAUGGGGAACUCCGGUGGAGGGCUGCAAGCUUCAAAAUGGAGUGCGGGUCAGAAAGAGGGAUGCAUGGUGAAGCUACUGGCAAGAGGAUGGAGGCGGAGGAGCACACACGGGGGCGAAUCGUGCUGGAUCCCGUGGCGGGGCGCGGCGGCCGGAGUCGAGGAAGGAGACCUCCUCGGGGCUCUUCCAGUGGCUAGGCGUGCUCUAGGGGGAGUGCAGGGCUGGUGGGUGCUCGAGUUGAAGCUCGGGGCCUCUAUUUAUAGGCAGAUCGACGGGGUGGCCAUGAACGGAGAAUCUCCGGCGAGCGAUUACGGCGGAGCAGUGGAUUGGCAGGGGGUUUGAGCGGCCGGGCAGCAUCAGUGGAGGUUACUGGACUCGUUUUGCAGUUAAACGGGGUCGGUCUUGGCGUAAUGGCGUCGGUCCAUGGUGAGGUGACCGCACGGGCUCAACGGCGGCAGAGAGCGCGCUCCGCGCCCUGCGGUUCACGACGAGAGCGGCAGCGCGUUCGAGGGAGUGGAAGGCCACGCGGCGAGCUCCGGUGGUUUGGGCGGCGCUGGGUGGCGUCGUCGGCGUCGUGUCUCCUGCUGGCGUCCGCAAAGCCGCCGCCGGCGUCGGUCACGGGGCGGCGCACCUUCUGCUGCUCGUCGCCGACGCCCGCAAGGCGCCAGGCGUUCGUGCGGUGCAGGAACAAUAGGGCGGGGACGAGGAGCAAGGCGACGCGGUGGCACUGGCGAGAUCGACGUCCGCUUCUGAAGAAAACGACAGCAGCCACUUGACUGAAUCUCUGAAACUCUGAACUUGACAAUGACCAUGCACUGCAGGUGUUCGACAGGAGGUUUUGGCCAUGAGAUAAAUUUUUCUGGAGUUGUAACUUGGUGAGAUGACCACUCAAUGCACCCAGAGGCUGCCUGAUUUUACUUGGAAUUUAUGGAGAAGGUUUGGAAUGAAUUUCACCAAAUUUGGCAAAUCUGGUCCAAAGUUGCAGCAAGUGUAGUUUGAAAAUUUUGAACUGAAGACCAGUGGAUCUUCAUGGUUCUAGGUUGAGGGUACAAAGGACUAGGAGGGAGAGUUGGUUUGGUGGCAAAAAUCAAAACAGAAAAUGGAGUUCCUUUGUAAAACUCCAAGUGGUAGAAUAGAGGACAGAAAUUUCAUUUGAAUAGAAUUUGAAUGGAAAUAAACACAUGGGGAGGUUCAACUUGCUGGAUUUGAUGUAAAUCAUGAUCCAAAGGUGAGGAAGUGGUUAGGAGAGAGGAUUUGCACUAAUGCCAUGGCAAGAAGGAAUUGUUGAAAGUGGCAAAGGACUUUCCAAAAGCCAUAGUGCAAAAUCUCAAGGAGAUUUUCAGAAGUUAUUUUCCCAAAUGGAAAACAUUUUGUCUUGAGUCCAAAGGAAAAGCAAGAACUUCCAAGACCAAAGGCAAAUCUUGGGUGAAUCCAAAUAAAACUUUUGCCAUAAAGAAAAGUAUGUGAGAGGGAGAGUUCUCUUGAAGAAAAAUUUAAAUCACUCCCCUCAAGUCAAAUAAAAAUCUUUUGAAAAAAAAUCCAAAUAAAAACUUGGGUGUCACAUGGCGCGCCCCCCAAGCCCAGUCUGAGUUGGACAAGGGGUUGGGGGCGCGGCCCCCCUCUCCCUUCCUUCCCCCUUCUCCUUUAGGUGGAAACCUACUAGGACUUGGAGUCCUAGUAGGAUUCCCCUUCUCCCGGCGCGCCUAGCUUGUCCGACCGGCCUCCCCCUCCCUCCUUUAUAUACGGGGGCAGGGGGGCACCCUAGAACACACAAGUUUUCUCUUAACCGUGUGCGGUGCCCCCUCCACAGUUACACACCUCGAUCAUACUAUCGUAGUGCUUAGGCGAAGCCCUGCGUCGGUAACAUCAUCAUCACCGUCGCCACGUCGUCGUGCUGACGGAACUCACCCUCGUCCUGAACUGGAUCAUGAGUACGAGGGACGUCAUUGAGCUGAACGUGUGCUGAACGCGGAGGUACCAUACGUUCGGUACUUGUAUCGGUUGGAUCGCGAAGAAGUUCAACUACAUCAACCGCGUUACUAAACGCUUCUGCUUUCAGUCUACGAGGGUACGUGGACACACUCUCCCCUCUUGUUGCUAUGCAUCUCCUAGAUACAUCUUGCGUGAUCGUAGGAAUUUUUUUGAAAUUACUGCGUUCCCCAACAGUGGCAUCCGAGCCAGGUCUAUGCGUAGAUGUUAUAUGCACGAGUAGAACACAAUGAGUUGUGGGCGAUAAUAGUCAUACUGCUGACCAGGAACGUCCUACUUUGAUUCGGCGAUAUUGUUGGAUGAAGCGGCCUAGACCGACAUUACAUGACCGCGUUCAUGAGACUGGUUCUACCGACGUGCUUCGCACACAAGUGGCUAGUGGGUGUCUGUUUCUCCAACUUUAGUUGAAUCGAGUUUGACUACGCCCGGUCCUUGUUGAAGGUUAAAACAACACACUUGACGAAAAAUCAUUGUGGUUUUGAUGCAUAGGUAAGAACAGUUCUUGCUAAGCCCAUAGCAGCCAUGUAAAACUUGCAACAACAAAGUAGAGGAUGUCUAACUUGUUUUUGCAGGGCAUGUUGUGAUGUGAUAUGGUCAAGACGUGAUGAUAUAUAAAUUGUUGUAUGAGCUGAUCAUGUUUUGUAAAAGUUAUCGGCAACUGGCAGGAGCCUUAUGGUUGUCGCUUUAUCGUAUGAAAUGCAAUUGCCAUGUAAUUGCUUUACUUUAUCACUAAGCGGUACCGAUAGUCGUAGAAGUAAUAGUUGGCGAGAUGACAAUGAUGCUUUGAUGGAGAUCAAGGUGUCAAGCCGGUGACGAUGGUGAUCAUGACGAUGCUUUGGAGAUGGCGAUCAAAGGCACAAGAUGAUGAUGGCCAUAUCAUAUCACUUAUUUUGAUUGCAUGUGAUGUUUAUCCUUUAUGCAUCUUAUUUUUCUUAGUACGGCGGUAACAUUAUAAGAUGAUCCCUCACUAAAUUUCAAGGUAUACGUGUUCUCCCUGAGUAUGCACCGUUGAUAUAGUUUGUCGUGCCGAGACACCACGUGAUGAUCGGGUGUGAUAAGCUCUACGUUCACAUACAACGGGUGCAAGCCAGUUUUGCACACGCAGAAUACUCGGGUUAAACUUGACAAGCCUAGCAUAUGAAGAUAUGGCCUCGGAACACUGAGACCGAAAGGUCGAACGUGAAUCAUAUAGUAGAUAUGAUCAACAUAGUGAUGUUCACCAUUGAAAGCUACUCCAUCUCACAUGAUGAUCGGACAUGGUUUAGUUGAUUUGGAUCACGUGAUUAUUUAGAUGACUAGAGGGAUGUCUAUCUAAGUGGGAUUUCUUAAGUAAUAUGAUUAAUUGAACUUUAAUUUAUCAUGACCUUAGUCCUGAUAGUUAUUUUUCAUGUCUAUGUUAUUGUAGAUCAAUGGCCCGUGCUACCGUUCUGUCGGAUUUUGGGUUUCGGCAAAACCCUUGAGGUUCGAACACUGGGGUGCGCACGAAGAUCUCUCCCUCCCCCUAGCACGCUCUCGCAAUGAUCGCCAGACCUAGCGCGUCGAACCCAAAGAACAAAGGGACAGAAGGUUUAUACUGGUUCGGGCCACCGAUGUGGUGUAAUACCCUACUCCAGUGUGGUGUGGUGGAUUGCCUCUUGGGCUGAGGAUGAAUAGUUACAAGGGAAGAACAGCCUCCUGAGGAGAGGUGUUCUUGUGCUCAGUGAGCUGGUGUGGUGUCUCGCCAGCCGAUCUCUCUCUCUCUCCCGCUCUAUGGUGGUGGCUAGUCCUAUUUAUAGAUGCCUUGGUCCUCUUCCCAACUAUUGAGCGGGAAGGGAUCCCACAACGUCCAAGUUUGAAGGGGGACAGCUAGUACAAGUUAUCCUGACAAAAGUAGUCUUCACCGUCCAAAGGCUCUGGUGGUGACGCCGCCUCGGGCUCCGCGAUGACCUCCGUCCUGCCGUCCUGCUGGCCUUGGUCUCGUUGCACCGAUAUGGACAGCUUUGCCUGAUGCCUUGGGACUCCUCGCCUGUGCUUGCCUCUUUAGCACCAAAGAGGAAACGAGGACACUGCGUGCGCUGGCGCCCGCCUGGUCAUGGUCGUCAUGGCUUAGGUCACGGGAACCUCGCGAGGUGCCCCUUGCCUUGAUCUCUCCGCCCCUCGCGAGCCAGCCUGGUGAGGCCGCCCCCGAGGAGGUCUUGCAUCGUCCGCCUCGCGAGGCUUGGCCCCUCGCGAGGAUCUUGAGUGUUUGCUGGUGAAGAUGGGCCGUACGGGGCCACUGGUGGAGCCACGCCGUGGGCCGCAGGCAGGCAAGUCUGGGGACCCCCGUUCCUAGAACGCCGACAGUAGCCCCCGGGCCCAAGGCGCGCUCGGACUUGGCUUCAGGGCGAAGCCAAGGGGCAAGUGCGGAGCACCGCGGGCCCCAAUAGCUUGCGGCCCCGCUUGACGCGUGGCGAUUGAUUGGACGUGGGCGUCUCCGCUUCCCCACGCUGCCUUGGCAACUGCCCGUCUGACAAAAGACUGGCGCGGGCAACGCUUGCCUUCAUUGCUUUCCUUCAUCUUACUCCAGAUCCCCUUUCUCGCUCCUUGCUUCCAAAAUCUCCAGAUCUGCUUCAAUUCUCUUCCGAGCCAGUGACCAAUGGCGCCCCGCAAGGUCAAGGCUGCUUUGCCGCCCGCCUGGUACGAGCCGGCUCUGGACGCGCCAACGUCUCGGAGAAGAACCUCGCCGCCACGCGUCUGCUGACGGCGGGGGAGGACAACGAGAGGGGGAAGACCAAGCUCCGGGCUGGCUCCGCCGAGCCGGAGGUCUCGAGAAGCACCUUCUACCCCUUCUCCAUGAGCAGCGUCCUUGCCGGGUUGGUUCCCCCCUUCUCCGACUUCUUCUACGCCGUCCUUAGACAUUACAAGCUGCAGGCCCUUCACCUUCAUCCCAGCUCUGUUCUUCUCCUGUCGAUUUUCGCCUUCUACUACGAGGCAUAUGUCGGGGUGAUGCCAUCCGUGGCUCUGCAGCGCCACUUCUUCUUCCUCCAGAUCAAUGACGGCCACACCUCUAGGUGCGCCAACUUCUUCGCGGCUAGCAAGGCCAACGCGAUCUCGAAGGAUGGAAAGAAGGCCGAGGGCUUCAGCAGCAAGUGGGUCAUGAUGGAUGCCAAGUUCGUCCACCCACGGUUGACGCUGCCGAUGGAGAUGUCCCAGUCCGGUGAAGGAUGGCUCUGCCCGAAGCUUACUGACGACCGGGCGAAGCCAGUGCUAGAGAAGAUGACUGUCGACCUGAAGCCGGGCAACGCGAAGGCGGCGAAGAUGACGGGGGCCAUGCUCCUGAGGGAAUUCCUGAUGCUGCGUGUGGACCCGCUCCAGGCGCGCUCACGCCCCUUGUGGACGCUUGGGCGCGAAGAAGAUAAGCUUCGCUUGAGCCCGGAUGUCGGAGUAAUGGGCCACAAGUAGCCUAACCCGAUUCCCUGAACCUUUCAAGACAUCGGGGCCGGCUGCGCCCCUCAAGACAUCAAGAUGAAGCGCCGCCUUCUGAUGGCCGGUUGGCCCAAGCGGCCGGCUGCCAGAAGGCGGCUAAGCUCCAGAAGGCAGCACCAAGACGGGCCGACUCCUUGCAGGCGGCAUCCAGAGAGGCCGGCUCCUAGCAGUCGGGCCACGGCGCCCUCAAAGUCUGUGCCCUCAUUAAGAAGACAAGACCGGGUGUGGCUACGGUGUAGUUCAUCACCCCCACAUCCAGGGUGAGGCGCGGCCACAGUACCCCAUACAGGCGGAGAUCUUCGCACGGCGCGACACUGUUGCCACUCCUCCCGUGACGUCACUCCUGUCAGGCAGAGCCCUGCUCCCACGAUGGCCUGUCGAUACGGCCUGCAGGCGGCGGGCCCUACCAGACAGCGAGAGCCCGGAGGACGGCGGAAGCUUGACCAGUCGGACCCGAGGGAGGCCGACUUCUAGCAGGCGGCCCGUUCCUCCCUUGGGGCCCGCGCACCAUUAACUAGAUGAGACCAGUCAGCGGUCUCCCACCAGGCGGCGGGGCUGUAGCCACGCUCCCCUAACCAAGCAUGCAUCAUUAGCACUGCGGCUACAGUGAUCAGCCGCCGACCAGACCUGCAAGCGGCGGAGGCGGCCUACCGGCUCUGUACCAGACCAGUCAGCGGGCCCCAGCAGCCAGCAGAGAAGCCGGCGACCAGAGACACUGACAGCCGGGUCCUACACCCGGCCAGAUUACCAUUGUACCCCUGGGGGGUAGGCCUAUAUAAACCCCCUAGGGCACCCAUGCAAAGGGUUUCCAACCUAUUAGAACUAGAGUCACACAUAGAGAGAGGAGAGGGCGAGCCCUGCCUUCUUCCACCUCUAGCACACAGCUCGAGGAGCACCAUUAUACUCACUAGUGCCUUAGUGAUCAUGCGGAGACCCCGCAAAGCAGGACUAGGGGUGUUAUCUCCUAGGAGAGCCCCAAACCUGGGUAAAGUGCGCCGGCGUUCGUGUCUACGCCUCAUCCCGCUUCCAGGCACCGGCGACGUUCUACUCGCUCCCACCAUGAUAAGCCAUCCAUUGGCAUAUGUCGCAACCAACCCCCGACAUUUGGCGCCCACCGUGGGGCGAGGUGCACCGUCUCCCAGAGACCUGUUCUGGACGGGAACCUUGUUUCUUCGUGGCGAACGCAGCCAGCCCGGCACACCAGACGGCGUCUGCGCCGAUGCGCUGCACGACGCGGAGGUCGCCUGCGCGGCGAGCUGCCUCACCGAUCUUGUUGGUGAGAUUCGCCUCUCCGACAAGCCCGCGUCUGAUGCCGGCACUGAUGGCCCCGAGGGCCGCCUCGUCAGCCUCCUCGAUCAGCUCCACAUCGCCAGCGAGCCUGCUAUGGACUUGGAGUCGGUUGGCUCCACCGACCCGAUGCUCGUCGACUCUGACACGGCGUCGCUUGACGCGUUCCCCACCAACGUGGUGGUCUACGACGAACCGCUCCCUCGUGCGGACAGCGGUGGCAGCACCGUCACGGAGGUGCUCGUCAUCAGCCAUGGCAAGCACUCUGGCGGAGGUGGGCAGGAUCCGUUGUAGGCGGCGCUGCAAGACCUGACUGCACCCAUCCCCGAAGACGCCGACGCGGAGACGCUGGAGGCACGCCGUGUCCCGCUCAUCGAAAGCGCCAACUGGCUGGCCAGCAUGAGACGCCUUUCGGAGGCCUACCAGCGUGAGAUGGACCAUGCCAUCGGUGGCACGCUGGCUCCUGGUGGGCCUAGCCGCAUUGGCCUGAUCCGGCAGCGUGGUGCGACCAUCGCCAGCAUGUUCGGGACAGAUCGUCCUGUCUACGCCAUGCCUGCAGAGAACAUACGAGCUGCCCAGGCGGGAGCAAACGAGCUAGACAAGCUCGAGGGCGACGAGCGUCGCCACAUGACGGAGCACGUCUAGCAGCUCCUAGACGCGGCUGCUGAGCAGCAGGAGGCCGGCUGCCGCACUAAAGCACCCAACCGGUGAAAGAAUGAUCCGCCUCCUCGCCGAGAUCAAGGCGCGACAUCCCGGACGCCGAGAGGUGGCGUCCGCGGUAGAAGAGACAAGGAGCCGGCUGCCAGCCACAGCCGGACUCGCAUCACCAUCGAGCGCGACCAAGACGGCCGCCCAAGAGCAGUGGAACGACAGGAUGACUGUUCGCCUCCUCCCCCCCGCAGGGAGAGGCGCGCUUCCCCGCCGCCUGUUGACCACCCGACACUCGGCGACCACCUUGGCCGUCGGGAAGGAGUCGGAGAGAAUGACGCCCGCCACUGGAUCGACCACCUCAACCGAUCCCUGAUGCUAGAAGAAGAAGACAAGCUGGGUCCGCCUUGCUUUGCCCCCCGCAUCCAAGAUGAGCCCUUCCCCAAAGGGUUCACGCUCCCGAGAGAUACGCCCAAGUACACCGGUUCCGUGAAGCCGGAGGACUGGCUGGUCGACUACUCCACGGCCGUCAGCAUCGCAAACGGCAACAAGCGCGUCGCCGUGAAGUACGUUCCGCUCAUGCUCCAGGGCAUGGCCCGGACAUGGCUGAAUAGCCUGAAGCCCCACAGCAUCAACAGCUGGGUUGAUUUCACCGAAGCCUUCAUCCGCAACUUUACUAGCACGUACAAGCGGCCGCCCAAGCCUCGCCAGCUCUCCUUGUGCGUCCAAGGCCCCAACGAGUCGACUCGCGACUACCUCAUGCACUGGGCCGAGCUGCGCAACUCCUGCGAGGGCGUGCACGAGGUACAGGCCAUCGAGUACUUCACUGCCGGGUGCCGAGAGGGCACCCUCCUCAAGCACCGGCUUCUCUGCGACGAGCCGGCGACCCUCGAUGAACUGCUGAUCAUAGCAGACAAGUACGCCACGUCCGACUCCUCCAUGAAGGCGGAGAUCUAAGUUGAUGCAACUGGCAAAGUGGCUCCUCAAACUCCUCGGACACCGGCUGGCGACACCAGUCGGCGUCAGCAACCGAAUGACAACAAGCGCAAGGCCACGCAGCCGGCUUCUACAAGCCGGCAGGUGGCGAUAGUCGAAGAUCAACAGCCAGAAGGGCAGCCUCCACCCAAGCGUCAGAAGGGCGGCAAGCCCAACUGGCUGCCUGCUUUCUCAUACGAGCGGACUCUUGAUGCACCCUGCCAGUUCCACAGCGGCGCGAAGCCGUCCAACCACACCACUCGGAAAUGCCACUGGCUCACCAGGAUCGCCAAGGGUGAUGGACACCAGCCUCCUCCGCCUGCCGGCCCGCCACCUCCUCCUCCCCAGCUGCCAGCGGCUCGGCCUGUCGGCGUAGUACAAGAUGAGUAUCCUGAAGAGCAUGGAGCCUAUGUCAUGUUCACCAGCGUGGCCGACGACAAGCACAGCAAACGGCAACGACAACAAGAAGUAAAUGUAGUAGCAUCAGAGACCCCGGAGUUCAUGCAUUGGUCCGAGAAGCCUAUCAGUUGGAGCAGAGUUGACCACCCGGAGGUGAUGCCCUCUCCUGGUUCUUAUGCUUUGGUCUUAGAAGCCACCUUCGCAACAGAGAGGCAGGCUGCUCGCUUCUCUCGAGUCCUGAUAGAUGGCGGCAGCAGCAUCAACAUCCUGUACCGAGAUACUAUGGAGAAGUUAGGAAUCAAACAGAGGCAGCUUCAGCCCAGUCGGACUGUAUUCCAUGGCAUAGUUCCUGGCCUUUCCUGCUCACCAAUCGGCAAGACACAAAUAGAUGUCCUCUUUGGGGACAAAGAUCACUUCCGCCGAGAGCCAGUCUGGUUUGAAGUGGUGGACCUUGAGAGCCCCUACCAUGCGCUACUUGGCCGACCUGCUUUGGCCAAGUUCAUGGCGGUCCCCCACUAUGCUUACCUCAAGAUGAAGAUGCCGAGCACCAAGGGAAUCCUAACCAUAUCCGGAGACUACAAGAAGUCGUCCGCCUGUGCGACAGACAUCAGCUGGCUAGCCGAGUCCCUUGUUAUUGCAGCAGAGAAGCGGCUCCUUGACCGGGUUGUAGCAAUGGCAGGCAAGCAGCCGGAAAUGCCACCCAACCCCAAGGAGUCGGAAGCUGAGGGCUCGUUCAAGCUGGCAAAAGAAACAAAGAAGAUACCCUUGGACCCGGAGCACCCGGAGAGGCACGCUGUCAUAGGUGCGAACCUCGACAGCAAAUAGGAAAGCGAGCUCGUCGAUUUCCUCCGUGAGAAUCGGGACAUCUUUGCAUGGUCUCCCAAGGACAUGUCGGGUGUUCCAACGGAUUUCGCCGAGCACAAGCUACAUGUCUGACCUGAUGCCAAGCCAAUCAGGCAGCCCUUGCGCCGCCUGUCAGAAGAGAAGAGAAGAGUUGUUGGAGAGGAGAUAGCCCGGCUUCUAGUAGCCGGCUUCAUCAUGGAAGUGUUCUUUCCAGAAUGGUUAGCCAACCCAGUCGUUGUACUGAAGAAGAAUAAGCAGUGGCGCAUGUGUAUCGAUUAUACCAGCCUCAACAAAGCUUGCCCCAAAGAUCCCUUUGCCCUGCCAAGAAUUGACCAAGUAAUAGACUCCACAGCCGGAUGCGAGCUGUUGAGUUUUUUGGAUGCAUAUUCAGGGUACCAUCAGAUCAAGCUGAACCCGGUCGACAGGCUGAAGACCGCCUUCAUCACACCGUUCGGAGCCUUCUGCUACUUGACCAUGACGUUCGGCUUGAGGAAUGCCGGUGCCACGUUUCAACGUUGCAUGCAGAAGUGUCUCCUCAAGCAACUCGGCAGAAACACCCAUGUCUAUGUGGACGACGUUGUGGUGAAGACGGAGAAGCGCGGCAUGCUGCUAGAAGACCUCAAGGAAACCUUUGAAAACUUGCGCCAAUUUCAAAUCAAGCUCAACCCGGAAAAAUGCGUCUUUGGAGUACCAGCCGGCCAGGUUCUUGGCUUCCUGGUCUCAGAGCGCGGCAUAGAGUGCAACUCUGUGAAGAUCAAGGCCAUCGAGAGGAUGGAGGUGCCCACUCGACUGCUGGACGUGCAAAAAUUCACCGGCUGCUUGGCAUCCAUCAGUCGUUUCAUCAGUUGGCUGGGCGAGAAGGCUCUUCCCCUGUACCAGCUCAUGAAGGAGACCACUUUUUUCGAGUGGAAUGAUAAGGCGGACGAAGCUUUUCUCCAGCUCAAGAAAAUGUUGACCACUCCGCCUGUCCUGGCGGCUCCGACUGACAAGGAGCUCAUGCUCCUCUACAUCGCCGCCACCAGCCGGGUGGUCAGCAGAGUCAUAGUUGUAAAGCGCAAGGAAGAAGGCAAAGCACUACCAGUCCAGAGGCCGGUGUACUACCUGAGUGAAGUGUUGUCCGCCUCCAAGCAGAACUACCCCCACUAUCAUAAGAUGUGCUACGGCGUGCAUUUUGCCGCCAAGAAGCUGAAGCCGUACUUUCAAGAGCACCCAAUCAUUGUUGUCUGCACUGCUCCGCUUGCCGAGAUCAUUGGAAGCCGAGAUGCUUUGGGCCGAUUGGCCAAAUGGGCCAUAGAUUUGGCCCCCUACACCAUCUACUACCAGCCCCGCACCGCCAUCAAGUCCCAGGCGCUGGCCGACUUCCUCGUCGACUGGGCCGAGACCCAGUACCUGCCGCCAGCGCCGGACUCCACCCAUUGGUGAAUGCACUUUGAUGGUUCCAAGAUGCGCACCGGUUUGGGAGCCGGCAUCGUCCUCACCUCUCCCAAAGGAGACAAGCUUAGAUAUGUGCUGCAAAUUCAGUUUGCCGUGUCCAACAACGUAGCUGAAUACGAAGCGCUCAUACACGGGCUCCGGCUUGCUAAGGAACUCGGCAUUCGCCGGAUCCUGUGCUAUGGUGAUUCUAACUUGGUGGUCCAGUAGUCGUCAGGCGACUCGGACGCCAAGGAUGCAAAUAUGGCAAGCUACCGCUUCCUCGUCCAGCAACUCAGUGGAUACUUUGAAGGGUGCGAGUUCCUCCAUGUGCCAAGAAAUGACAAUGAGCAAGCAGAUGCCUUGGCACGAAUCAGCUCCACCCGGCAAGCAAUACCAGCCAGCGUCGCCCUGCAACGCCUCCUCAAACCGUCUGUCAAGCCGUCGCCAGAAUCAGACUGCAUUUUCGUGCCGGUUCCUCCCGAAGCAGUCGGAUCCAACUUGAGAACCUCAGCAGCCGGCGCAGGGACUUCGGCAGGCGGCCCGGGGACUUCAGAACCCGGCCCGGGGACUGCAGCAGUCGGCCAGGGGACUUCACCGAUUCAGCAAGCAGCAGCCGACUCCAACCCGCCGCCUCCCGGCCCAACCGCCCUCGUGCAAAUUGCAGCUCAGGCAGUCGAAGAAAUAGCAGCACCUUCCUGGCCUCAGCCCAUCCUCAACUUUCUGGUGAAUAAAGAGCUGCCGACUGACGAGAUCUCAGCCCGACAAGUGCAACAUCGGGCGGCAGCAUACACCAUCGUCAACAGAGAACUUGUGAGGCGCAGCGUCACUAGUGUGUACCAGCGCUGCAUGGAGCCGGAGCAAGGCCAAGCAAUCCUCAAAGACAUCCACCAAGGUGAGUGCGAUCACCACGCGGCUUCAAGAGCACUUGUUGCCAAAGCUUUGCGCCAUGGGUUUUUCUGGCCGACUGCCCUAGAAGACGCCAAAGACUUGGUCCAGAAAUGCAAAGGGUGCCAGAAAUUCCGCUUGAAACCACAUUUGCCGGCUUUGCACUCAAGACUAUCCCCAUUUCCUGGCCCUUUGCCGUCUGGGGCCUGGACAUGGUGGGACCGUUCAAGACAGCACACGGUGGCAUGACUCAUCUGCUUGUUGCAGUGGACAAGUUCACCAAGUGGAUAGAAGCAAAACCAAUCAAGAAGUUGAAUGGUCCGACUGCUGUGACUUUCAUCUCCGACAUCACCAUCCGGUAUGGCAUACCACACAGCAUCAUCACCGACAACAGCACAAACUUUGCCAAAGGCGCCUUAGCUUGUUUCUGCACGACGCAGGGCAUCCGACUGGACUUAGCGUCCGUUGCCCAUCCACAGUCAAAUGGCCAAGUGGAGCGAGCAAACGGCCUCAUUUUGUCCGGCAUCAAGCCCCGACUGGUCGAGCCUCUAGAGCGUUCGGCCAGCUGUUGGCUCGACGAGCUGCUGGCCGUCCUCUGGAGUCUGCGCACAACUCCGAACAAGUCAACCGGCUUCAUGCCUUUCUUCCUCGUCUACGGUGCCAAAGCCGUCAUCCCGACGGACAUAGAAUUCGACUCCCCUCGAGUCACCAUGUACACUGAAGAGGAGGCAAAAGAAGCACGAGAAGACGGCGUCGAUCUGCUGGAAGAGGGCCGACUGUUGGCACUCAGCCGGUCCACCAUCUACCAGCAGAGUCUACGCCGAUACUACAAUCGGAAGGUCAAGCCAAGAUCCUUCCAAGAGGGAGACCUUGUGCUCCGGCUGAUCCAGCGAAUAGCCGACCAGCACAAGCUCUCGGCACCUUGGGAAGGUCCCUUCAUCAUCAGCAAAGUUCUGGGCAACGACUCCUACUACCUGAUCGACACUCAAAAGCCCAGAGCACGCAAAAGAGACGACUCCGGCAAGGAGACAGAGCGGCCAUGGAAUGCAAUUCUCCUUCGGAGAUUUUACAGUUGAUGCAGUUUGUACCACGCUACCUUUUGUAUUAAGUAUGAAGACUCCGGGUCCCCCGAGAAGAUCUCGGGGACUGCCCUCUUUUAUCUAUAUGAUAAGUAUUAUGCCUAUGAAUGUGUUAUUUCAUUAUUCCGCCUGGCACCGGGUUCGACCAGUCGGCCCGGGGGUUCGCCGCCUUGUACUAUGUAGUGCUUCUUGCAGUCAGACAAGUAGUGUGUUGGCACUUAAAUCUUCUCCUGCCAAGGCCGCAGCUCACGGAGCGACUGUCUGGCAGGUAGGGGUCAAAGGCAGAAAGGGUGCCCACAUGAAAAAUGGCUAAGGACCAAAAAGCACGUACAUAGUUCAAACCGGCUUCUCGCCUCACCGGCCGGCUUCUAGUUAACUUGCUAAACACUCUAAUCGGCUAAGUACUUGCCUUCCCGAAAGUGGCUAAGUACUUGACCCAGCCACAGUCCGCAGAGCGGCUGUUGGGCUGGCAAGACGGCAACUGAGGGAGGGCGGCAAAGGAAAAAGGCCAAGGAGUAGAAAGCAAGAAGAGAUAGAACUCGGCAAAAAUAUUUACAUAUCAAAAGGCCCAUGGCCAGCAUUCAACAGAAGUUUGAAAUGCACCCCGCGGAUGGAAUUGUGCGAAGUUAACAAAGUUGGUCGAGACUGAUAAGAAGGAAAAAACGAAAGAUAAAUUGGCAGCCUAGGGAGCAGCAGACGGGUCCGGUGGAACGAUGGAGUCGGCGGCGCCGGUUGGUGGAGUGGCCGGCUGGUCGGUCUCCGCUUGGUCGCCCUCAGCAGCAGUCGGCUCGCUUGUGCGUGGCUCGUUGUUGGAGGCGCGGUCAAGCUGGGGCGGGCCGUCCGCUUCAACCUCUGGCGCUUCCUCUUCACUUUCCUCGUCCUCCUCGUCUUCUCCCUCGUCGCUGGAGUCGAUCACUUCGGCCGAGUCCUCGCCAUCCUCCGGGUUCAGCCCGAACCACUCUGGUGGCGCCUCGGCACCAUUCUCAGCCAGCUCCAGGACGAAGAUGGUGGUGUUGGUGUACUCGGCGAUCACCGCGGCAUGCUUGACAAGAUCACGCUCCACCACCACCAGCUCCUCCUGGGCCUCCUGUCGAAACGUGGUCAACUGGGCUAGAUUUAGCCCAGGGUACCACGCCAUGAAGAACUCCAAGGCCCGGCGUGCUCCAGCCCGGGCCGAGGAGCCCUUCCAGGCCUCAAGACGGCCGGCCGCCACCUCCAGCCAGUCGGCAGUCCGGCUGGGAGUGCGCGGAGCCAGCAUGUCUGGCCACAUGGCUGAGAUGGCCUGCGCCCCGACGCGCUGAAGACGACGCAACAUCCGAUGAGCCGGCCGAAGACGGGCCUGGAUACUGAGAAGUUGUUCGCUGAGGGUCCGGGGGGCGUUGGCAGCAAUCUACGCACCUUCUGCCCUCCGCUCUUCGCGGUCAGCCUCAAUGGCCUAAUUGGCAGCGGCAGAGUGACCAGGGAAGAUGUCUUCUCAAAUAGAAAGCAGAAGAGCCAAAGUUAGAAGCAAGAAGCCGGCUCGAUCAGCAGCCGGCGGCUCAAGGAAAGAAAAAAGCUUACCGUCAACCAUGUCUUCAAUGUUGCCGAAGCCGGCAGUCAGCAAUGCCUCCUUGUCGGUCUAGGCGGAUCGCUCGGUCUCGAACUCGGGGAGAAGAUUGGACUCCUUCACCUACGCCUCCUUCUGGGCUUUCUUGAGAAGAUCCGCCUGCUCUGCCAGUUGCGUGGUCGUCCGGUCACGCUCCUGGGUCAGCUUGUCGCACUCCACCUCCUUGGCACGCAAGGCGGUGUUGGCUUCACCUAGCUGCUGCUGCAGGACGGCGUUGGCCUUUGCAAAAGUAGAGGAAGAAAAAACAUCAACAAUCAACAAGGAAGAAGUACAGUUGCCGGGGAGAUCCGGCCCUACUGCUCAGCAGUCGGCCCGAAUCUCGGGGACUACAGCCCGCGGGUGCGCUGUCGCGCCCCCGCAGAGAAAGAAGUUAUCAACAGUCAGCAAAGAGGAAGAAAAGUUGCCGGGGAGAUCCGGCCCGACUGCUCAGCAGUCGGCCCGAAUCUCGGAGACUACAGCCCGUGGGUGCGCCAGCGCGCCCUCGCAGUGAAGAAAACGAAGACUUACUCCGGCUUUCUGACAAGUCGGCAGCCCGCCGGUCCAGCUCUCGGACGUUAGAGUUGAAGGCGAUCGCGCGGAGGUUGUGAUAGUCCUAUAAUGAAGAUAGCAGAUGAAGUUAGCACUCGGAGCUUGUCAGUUAAAGUUCCGAGCCGCCUGCUCGGCAGCCGGCCCAAAACUCGGGGGCUACACCCAGUGGGUGCGCUGGCGCGCCCCCACAGCGAAAUACAAAAAUUAAAGAUGAAGAAGCAGGAUGUAUACCCGGAUGGCUGCUCGCGACUCCAGGAACGCCUGGUUGCACCGCCUCAGGGCGUCGGCUUCGGCUCGAAGUUUGCCUUGGACGUCCAGGAUCGCCUGGUUCAAAGGGCCCGUCCCGCCUCCCCGCACCCAAUCAGCGGGCGCGGCGCUGGUCGCCUCGGCGUCCGGGAUCGAAGAGCUCGGGGCACCGACUUCCAGCGGGCGUGGCGCCGAAGCCGCCUUUGCAAACCGGCGGUGCGAUGCUGUGCGGACCUCGGGAGUCGGGCCCGUCACCAUCUCGCCUUCGGCUCGUGGCACUGGCGGGUCAGCCGGCUGCUUGUCCCGCGCUCCCUCAGACGGCGAUGGUGGAGGCACGACUACGUCCGGCAUGACGACGUUGCCGCCUUCCCUCUCCAUGAUCGGGUGCUCGUCGCCGGCACCCCCAGUCGGCGCCACAAACUCUGGCGGUGGCGGCACGGAGUUCAGAGGGACGACGAAUAGCGGCUCCUGGCGGCGCGUGGUUUUUUCAAGCCGUCUCUUCGCUGCGGCGUCAGCCUCGGCCUCCGCCAGCUUCUUCAGUGCGGCGGCCUCCGCCUUGUCUGCCUCCGCCUUCUCCAGACGGGCGGCUUCCUGCUCCUCGCGCGCCUCCUGCGCGUUUCGCUCCUGCGCCUCCCGGAGGUCGGCGUUCGGAUUAAUUCGCCGGGUGGUGGUGGAGGUCUCCGCUGACCCAAUGACGGAGGCGGCGGCGACUUCUCAAGAGAGAGUGGGGCCCUAAGUCAAGAAAAGUAAAGCGAAGAAACUCAGACAGAAUCAGCAAGGAAGAAAAGCACAAGAAAAGAUACUUACGCCGACACCAUGGGAGGCGCCUUCGGGAGCUUCUGAAAUUUGGCCGCCUUCGCAGGGGCCUCCUUCCGCCUAGUCGCGGCGGUCAGGUUCUUGGCCUUCUUCGGCACGCUGCCGAACAAGGCGGCGCCCUGUUUACGCUUCCGCAUGCCGCCUCGAGCAGUCGGCUCGGCGGAGGGGCCCACAUCCGCCUUGCCGGCGCCUCGUGAAGGGCGCGGCUCGUCCUCCUCCUCCUCGAAGUCGUCCGGCCACGUCUCGACGCCGCCCCCUUCUUCGGAGCCGCCUGCUCUGUAGACGCCGUGUGUGGCGUCAUCUUCCAAGGCGGCCGCCCCCAAGUCGGGUUCGUCCACGUCGCUCACAGCUCGGUCCGGUUCAUAGGGGCCACCCGCCCCCACAACGGCGGCCGUCGCCUCAGACAUAUAGAUCUGUUUCAAAAAGCAAGAGGCCGACUGUUCGAUACAACAAGACAUAAUCAAGAUGAAGUUCUGAAGGAAGAAAAGAUUGAAGAAUUUACGACAGGCGGCGGGUCCGCGCGGGAGUACUUCUGCUUGCCAAACUGCCAGGACCCCUCCAGCUUGAGGUCGGAGAUCUCGUUCACCAAGUUCGCCACUUCAGUAGCCAGCAUCUCCUUGGUGCUCAGCUGGCACGGGUGGCGAUGCCCGCUCAUCCGGCUGAUCAAGUGAGGCCGGCCUUGGAGCGGGAGAACCCGGCGCGUGACAAAGGUGACCAGCAAGUCGGACGCCUUGAGGCCUUCGGUUUCGGUCAGCACCCGGAGUCGGUUGCUGGCGGCGGCGCCGUCUGCUGACACAGGCUUCGUCUUGUAGCCCCAGUUGGCCCGAGGCUCAGCCAGUGGGCCGGCUUCAUAGGCCACAGGUUGAUGAAGUCGACGGUCGGGUUGGCAUUCUCCACAUAGAAGUAAGAUUGCUGCCACAUCUGGACCGACUGUGGCAGCUUGAUGGAGGGGAAGGCAUUCCUUGGAGACGGACGGCGCACAGUGAUGAAGGCGCCACACUGGGCUGCCACCUCCCGGACGGAGGUGCCCAGCUUGGUACAGAAGAACGCUCCCCACAACUUGAUGGUGGGGAGGAUGCCGAGGUAGCCUUCGCACAUCAUGACGAAGGCGGACAGAAGCAUCACAGUGUUGGGCGUGAUGUGAUGCAGUUGGAGAUGGUAGAACUCGAGGAACAAGCGGAGAAAGCCGCUCGCCGGCAGGCCGAAGCCACGGAUGAAGUGCAAGCAGAAGAUGACCCGCUCGCUCUCCCCCGGCGACGGCGAAAUCUCCCCCGCAGGAGGCACGCGCGCCUUCACGAAACCCGCGCCGGGAAGGCGCCGUGUGUCGCGAAGAAAGGCGAUGUGGUCCUCGUUGACGUUCGACCCGUCCCAUUCUCCUCCCCGCUCGCGCGCCAUGGAGAGCUCGACGAGGAAAAUGCCGCGGCAGGGGAACUGGGGAUCGGUGCAGGGCCAAGAGGGCUCGGAGCAGAAGGGCUCGACGGAGACGAGCAGCAGCAGCACUCCGGCGUGACUCGGGGGCGCUGCAGCAAGAAGAGGAAGAAGGAGACGAGGACGGGGCGGGAGGGCGCGCGUGCGCCGCCGCACCCCUCCCCCCUACUUAUAGCUGGUAGGCUAUGAGGCCGAGGGGGCGAGGCGUGGGAUCGUGGGAUUAACUGUGCCCACGACCCCACGUCCCCGCGUUUACCGCGCGAGUUACUCCACGGAGAAGCUCAACCGCCUGCCUCGGCCGCAGCGGAUCUGCUCGCGUGUCGAGGCCCGGUGGUGGCGGGCCCAGCCUGCUGUCGCGUCCCAUCGCGCGCGUGGGCUAGUAGGCUGGCCCGGAUAGCUGACACCACGUGGCGUGCCCACGGCGGGCGACCGGCCUGGAGGCUUAGCUAGCACGCCACCUAGUUCCCGCCAUUGCGUUCGAAGUUUCAGAACAAUCCGUCUGGACGUGGCCGACUCCCUCCCGGCGGCAUGCCGGGAGUCGGAUGAAGAUUCUGUCCAGAGCACCCGGGGAAGGAAACUGCUGAGGCUUCACGACUCAGCAGCCGCGACGCCUCACCAGCUUCGGGGACUACUAUCGGAGUAAUGGGCCACGGGUAGCCUAACCCGAGUCCCUGAACCUUUGAAGACAUCGGGGCCGUCUGCGCCCCUCAGGAUAUCAAGAUGAAGCGCCGCCUUCUGAUGGCCGGCUGGCCCAAGCGGCCGGCUGCCAGAAGGCGGCUAAGUUCCAGAAGGUGGCACCAAGACGGGCCGACUCCUUGCAGGCGGCCUCCAGAGAGGCCGGCUCCUAGCAGUCGGCCCACAGUACCCUCAAAGUCUGCGCCCACAUUAAGAAGAUAAGACCGGGUGUGGCUAUAGUGUAGUCCAUCACCCCCACGUCCAGGGUGAGGCGCGGCCACAGUACCCCGUACAGGCGGAGAUCUCCGCACGAUGCGGCACUGUUGCCACUCCUCCCUUGACGUCACUCCUGUCAGGCGGAGCCCUGCUCCCACGACGGCCUGUCGGUACGGCCUGUAGGCGGCGGGCCCUACUAGGUAGCGAGAGCCCGGAGGACGGCGGAAGCCUGACCAGUCGGACCCGAGGGAGGCCGGCUUCUAGCAGAUGACCCGUUCCUCCCUCGGGGCCCGCGCACCAUUAACCAGAUGAGACCCGGAGUGGCUACAGUGAUCUCCCACCAGGCGGCGGGGCUGUAGCCACGCUCCCCUGACCAAGCAUGCGUCAUUAGCACUGCGGCUAUAGUGAUCAGCCGCCGACCAGACCCGCAAGCGGCGGAGGCGGCCUGUCGGCUCCGUACCAGACCAGUUGGAGGGGCCCACCAGGCGGCAGGCCCCAGCAGCCGGCGAAGAAGCCGGCGACCAGAGACACUGACAGCCGGGUCCUACACCCGGCCAGAUUACCAUUGUACCCCUGGGGGGUAGGUCUAUAUAAACCCCCAGGGCACCCAUGCAAAGGGUUCCCAACCUGUUAGAACUAGACUCACACAUAGAGAGAGGAGAGGGCGAGCCCUGCCUUCUUCCACCUCUAGCACACAGCUCGAGGAGCACCAUUGUACUCACUAGUGCCUUAGUGAUCAUGCGGAGACCCCGCAGACCAGGACUAGGGGUGUUAUCUCCUAGGAGAGCCCCGAACCAGGGUAAAGUGCGCCGGCGUUCGUGUCUACGCCUCAUCCCGCUUCCAGGCACCGGCGAAGUUCUACUCGCUCCCACCAUGAUAAGCCAUCCAUUUGCAUAUGUCGCACCCAACCCCCGACACCGGAGGCCUUGUCUGAAGAAGAGCUGGCGGUGGCUCUGCGCCUCUUGGUCGGGGACGACCAGGAGUACCUGCCGAGUGCCUUCGUUCCCUUGUUCCUUCGCACAGACGGGCGCAGGUCGUGGCCGCCAUGCCCACCUUUGACGGGCGCGGGCUAGUGUCGCCGGGGUCCCGGUGGCGAUGGUGCCGGUGGACGUGUCUUCUGGCGAUUCCCGCAGGGAGGGGGAAGAGGAGGAGGGCGAGGAGCGCGACUCAGAGGCGACCCCCGAGGGGAUGGGGGAGACCUCCCGCUUGCACAAGGCCGACAUCCUCCGCACCCUGCCUGAUGACAACGACGAAGCUGAAGUUCCCCCGGAGAGGGAGGAGCCGCCCGUGGCUGGAGACUCCUCGGGGCCUAAUGCCAGCCCCCGGAGGAGGUCACCGGCCGAGGUUCCGACGAGGGGCAGGUCGGCGCUGAUCUCCCGAGACGUCAUUCCUACUCCGACACCGCUUGGAGCUACUUCCGGCCCAUCUGCUGUCCCUUCUUCUGCUCCUGGAGCCCGCGCGCCCGCGCCUCAGGCUGCGAGGCUCUCAGGCUUCAAGCUUAAGAAGCGGAGGGACUACGAUGCGGUGGACCAGUGAGUGUUCUUGUCCUGCCCGGUUCUUGCUUCUGCUGCUUAUCCUUGACGCUUCUCCGUUGUGCAAUCAGGCCGACGCCUGCGGCGAAGAAGAGGAAGGAGGAAGAGGUGGUACUGCUCGGGACCAGAUCACCUACGGCGGCCGCACCCCUCUCCAUGGACAAGGGCAGCGACAGCUCUCGCGCUUCUCCGGCCCGGUCAUCCUCGCAAGGCUCGGGGAAGCAUCCUCGGGAGAAGUCAGCCCCCGUGGCCCCGCUGGCUCUGGAGGUGCCAACGUCCGGCCCGGGCACUGGGGUCCCUGAAGCUCAGGAGCUUCUGGCCUCCCAGGCCAUGGAGACGACGUCGCCUCCUCCUCCUCCUGCCGCACUGCUAUCUCUGGGUCCUUCCGCCUCCCCUGACAUCCUGGAGCGCACUCUUUCUGCGAUGACCCUGCUGCGAGAAGAUCUUCGGGGCGCCGACCCCCGCUUGGUAGCCGGGCACCUGGAGCUGGUCUCUGGCUGGCUUCACUCAAAUGUGUCCGUUUGGGCGGCGCUGAGCCAGGCGGCAGCAACCUCCGAGAAGGACAAGCAGGCCACCGCUCAGGCCGCUGCCGCUUGUGAGGUGGCGCUGAAAGAUGUCGGGGUCACCCAUGAUCGCUGCCAGUUGCUGGAGGCCGAAUUGAAGACUCUGCGCAACGAGCGUGUGAAAGAAGCUCAUGGCCGCAAGGCGGAGGAGGAUAAGAUGAAGGCCCGAGAGGACGCCGUCAGGGGUCGCGACACCGAGUUGGAGCAGUUGGGGAAGGCGCAGGCCGCGGAGCGGAGCCGGCUGGAGAAGCUGAAGCGGGAGAUGGAAGCGGAGAAAGCCGAGCUUGACGCCAAGGCGAAGGUCCUGGCCGAGGACCGCGCGGCCUUCAAGCUCCUCGAGGAGAGGUCUCGCAAGGCGCUGCGGUCGCUCUACGAGAAGGGCUUGGAGGAGCCACUGGCUACUGCCGAUGAGGGCCCCACCAAGCUGAUUCCUUAUCUGGUCGAGGCGCUUGAGGAAGUCGUGAGCGGUGUCGGCCCUUGGCGGAGGAAGAAGCCCGCAUUCUUUCUUCAGCCGCGUUGACGCGCGUCUUCAUCCACCUCCAUCUUCGCGAUCCCACCGCCCACCUUGACGAGCUGCUGGAACCUGUGGACGCCGAGCACUACGCAGCUGCUGCCGAAGCCGUGAAGAGCCAGGUGGAGGCCCUGCUGAAGAGGUUCCGCGCCUUCGAUCCCGUGCCUUCAACUGGUGGUGCUGCUGAUCCUGCAACUCCGGCGGGCGGUGCAGGCGAGGGCAACGCCGCUACAGGGGAAGCUUCCCUUGUGGGCGACGGCGGUGCCCGGAAAUGACGAGAUGACUUGCCGGCGGCUCCUUUCCUGUUUAGUUUCUGCAAUAUGCACCAUGCCUCGUGGAGGCGUUAAACUUGCGUUUGGUUUCAGGAGAACAAUAUGUCUUGUAAUAUUUGCUUGAGAUUUUGCAAUUUCCUUCCCGUUUGCUUUACGUUCUACGUCGACAGGGCCCGACCCCGCGCAUACCUCAGCCACUGUUGGGUCGUCCGGAUCACCAGGAUGAGACCAAGGAGUGAGGGGCUACGUGGCUAGUUAGGCUCCUGAGUCGGGAUGCUCAGGAGUCCCCCUUGACGCGCAAACAGCUCACGGAAAGGAGAUGCAGGAAUAGGUCUAGCGUUCUAUGUCGACAGGGCCCGACCCCAAGCAUACCUCAGCCACCGUUGGGUCGUUCAGAUCACCAGGACGAGACCAAGGAGUGAGGGGCUACGUGGCCAGUUAGGCUCCUGAGUCGCGAUGCUCAGGAGUCCCCCCUUGACGUCCAAACGACCUUCAUACCUUGGCUCCGCUCGGGAGGGCGUGCGACGACCAGGUCCGAGAGACCUGGUAGGGUGGCGUACGCUUGGGCGUGACCCGAGCGUAGCCCCCGUGCCCAGCCCCCUCACGCAACUCUCCCGAGGGGAGGUGUUACGAUGAGGCCAGACACUGAGCUCAAGGGCUCCCUGAGGUUGAUAUGGCCAUGGGGCCGCCCUCAGUUGUUUAUCACCAGCGCAGAGCAUAGCGCUUCCGCACUUGCACGGGCAUAGCCACUCCUCGGCAGUGUCGACUGCCAGCGCGGAGCAUGGUGCUUCCACUGGCACGUGGGAGGGGACUCCCUACUGUGGAGAGCCCCCAGGGCAUGUACAGCCCCGCCCUGACACGUGGCUUGCACGGCAGGGCUAGACGAGGUGUGUCUGGGCACCCGUGAGCCAGCGCGGGACUCACGAGGCCCUACCUCAAGGCGGGUUGCGCCUAGUCUUGGUUCUUGAUGGUUGUGGUGUUCCUGCGAGUUGGUUAGGUAACUUGCACCGAACGAAUUUCCUGAGGCUAUCGCAUGAGAAGGCCAAGCACCAAUGACCCCAGGAGGUGACGUGAACGGGGCCGGCCCGCCAGACAGAGCUCAGCGUUGGAUUUAUCGACGCUGCAGGGAUGGACCCGAGCACAGACGCCGUGCCUAGCCUCCUUAUGCGAAGGAUCCCGAAGAAAGACGAUCGGCGCCCGGCCCCCGUGGUGGGUGAUAAUCAAGCAGGUGAUAACCAUAGAUAGAUUAUGCAUGGAAAGUGAAAUAGCUUAGGUAAAUGCAAGAAAGGUAUAUGCCACUGGGACGGACCCGAGCGGCCUGGGGAUGAUGCAGCCCGAGGGGCGCCCCCAACAGAGUAAGCUAAAGAUGCAAAAGGAUACAUGCUGCAGGGACAGGCGCACGCGGCCUGGGAAUGAUGCAGCCCGAGGGGUGCUCCCAGCUAAAUAAACUUAGAAAAUGUCACCUGGUUCUGUUGCGGAAGGGAUGUUGGGGUAGCUGAAGAUGCGUGGCGAAGGGAUUGCUCCUCAUGAGACACCGGGGCCCUGAGCCUCGGGAGGUUCUAGGGGUCCAGGCAGUUCCUCGAGGACCGUCUCCAUCUCCGCCAGGACCGCGUGAUGCCUGGCCUCCUGAGCCUCCAGAACGCUCUGCAAGUAGCGCUGGAUGGCGGCUGCCAUGCUCGGCAGGCCGAAUGGCAUGCAAACAUAGUGGUGAGGUGGGCCCUCACAACGUCCCACGCGUGAAGGCCAGAAGAGCUCCUGAGAUGCGGCCUUGUUGAGCCCUGGGAUGUCGAUGCAGACACGCAGCCCACCAUCCUCGCCUGGAUGGGGAGCUGCACCAGGUGGGCGGCGGUUGCCGCGCAUGGCUCUUGCUUCUUGGAGCUCUUGGGUAGUCUUGGUGAUGAACUCCUAAGCACCAGGCGCUCCUUGCCCGGUGUCCUCUUGAGGGAAACAUGCCGCAAAGCACGUCUCCACAUGGUGCCCGAGCGCCUCCCUCGUGAUGUUGGCCAGGUUCGAGGCCCUCCAGAAGAGAGCCCCUGAGCCUCGCCCGAGGAGGGCGCCGGGCGCGCCUUCCUAUGCGAGGGAGGGAGGCGCCCCAGGCGCGGGCGUUGAUCCUGAUGUGGCACCGAUAGAGGCGCCGCUCCCCUGAGGCCCUGUACGAAGUAGCUUCUUCUUCUUCUUGGGGAUGGCCUCAGGAGGGUACUACGCACCAUUGUUGUCAGGGUAUUCGAUUGCUGCGGCCUGGAAGGCGCGCUCGAGGGAGCACACCGCAUCUCUUUCUUCGCAGGGGACUGUGAUGAUUCCGCCGCUUCCUGGCAUCUUGAGGACAUUAUAGCCGUGGUGGGUCACUGCCAUGAACUUGGCCAGCGCUGGAUACCCGAGGAUGGCAUUGUAUGGCAGACGGAUGUGGGCGACGUCGAAGUCGAUGAGCUCGGUGCGGUAGUUGUCGCGCUGUCCAAAGGUGACAGCGAGGCGAACUUGCCCUAUCGGGGUGGUGGAGCCGUCGGUCACUCCUGAGAAGGGCUUGGUGGGCUGAAGCUGAUCGUAUGGCACUUGGAGGCUGUCGAAUGUCUCGACGGACAGGACGUUAAGACCUGCACCGCCGUCAAUGAGGGUCUUGGUGACUUGCACGUUGCUGAUGACGGGUGAACAAAGCAUCGGGAGGGCGCCAGCGGUGGCUGCGCACUUGAGCUGGUCCGCCGAGCUGAAAGUGAUGGAGCACUUGGACCACCUGAGCGGGCAUGUGGCCUCAAGCCUGGGAAGGGCUGCGUUCACCUCGCGAGCAAACUGCUUGAAGAUACGCUGGGAGGCUGGGGCCUGAGCUCCGCCUAAGAUGCAUGCGAUAGCACGCGGUUCCUGGAAGCCCCCAUCCCCCUCGUCCUGAAGGUGGUCGUCGUUCCUUCUUGGUGGUGGUGGCAGCGGAGGAAGACCGGCAUUGCCCUGAGGGCGAUCCUCGCGAGGCUGAUCCCUCCAUGCGCCCUCACGUGGCUGGUCCUGCCAGUGGUGCUCGCGAGGGUGGUCGCGCCACUCCUGGCGGGGGCCGCGAUCGUCCUAGUGUCCUCCGCCUCGUCCUCCUCCUCGGCCGUAGCCCCGGUCAUUGCGCUCGGGGCAUCGACCGAAGCGUCCAUCUCGAAUGGCCCUGAGCUCUUGACAGUCAUUGGUGUUGUGGCUGUGUACGUUGUGGAAGGCGCAGAACGGUCGGCUGCUUUUGGACGACUCGGGAUGGUCCCGGCCGCGCUUCGUAUCCGGCUCCGCCGCGAGCACGGCCACUCCCUUGCGCUUCACAUCCUUGGCCUUGGCUUUCUUCUCCUUCGGGUCGGUAGCUGGGAGCUCGGGGAGGGAAAGGCGCCCCUCCUCAGCUCUUGCGCACUUGGUCACCAGGUUGAACAGCUCCAAAGCCGUGCAUAGCUCCUCGUGGAUGGCGAGCUCCUCCUUCAUCUUGAAGUCGCGGACGCCAUCAGAAAACACCGAAAUGAUGGCCUCGUCCAUCACCUUGGGGAUCUUGAGGCGAACGUUGUUGAAGCGCUGGAUGUACUUUUGCAGGGUCUCUCCUGGCUGCUGCCUGACGCGGCGCAGGUCACCCACGGCCGGAGGGCGGUCGCGAGUGCCCUGGAAGUUGGCAACGAAGCGGUCACGCAUCUCGUCCCAGGAGGAGAUCGAGCCCAGGGGUAGGUUCAGGAGCCACGAGCGAGCACCAUCCUUGAGAGCCAUGGGGAACCAGUUCGCCAUGACUUUUUCAUCGCCAUUGGCCACCUCGAUGCUCAGCUUGUAGAGCUGCAGGAACUCCGCAGGGUCGGGGGUGCCGUCUGAGCGAGGAGGCAGAUCCGGCUUGAACUUGCCCGGCCAGACAACGCCACGCAACUCAGGAGUGAAGGUGCAGUAGCCUGCCGUGGCCACCGGGGCCCAUUGCAGAGGUGGGGCCUGCCCUUGGUGCCCGCGCACCGCCACAGCAGGCAUCACGCGCUCUUGUCGUGGUGGCACUGGGAGUGCAGCAGCAUUCUCUUGCGGCCGUGGAACUUCUUGGCAGCUUCCUUCUUCUCGCGCGAGCGCCCGACGUGGUGGGUCGCGCUAGGGGGCCGCAUGCCUUGGCGCCAGGGCGCCGUCUUGGUGCGAAGGCGGUGGAGGCGCUCCAUGAGCUACGUCGCCCGGAGCUGGUGGCGGGCAAGGCAGCGAAAGGGAGGGUGCGGGGGAGCCCCCUACGGCGCUGACGAGCUCGGCGAUGUGGUCCAGCCAGUCCUCGUAGAGGUCAUCGACUUGGCGGUAGCGUAGGAGCUCACGUGCCAUGAGCUGCGCGGCCUGCGCGUCCGUGGGAGCGCGACGAGCAUGAGACAACGAGCCGGCUGGGGUCAGCGACGGAGUGGCGGUGCGGCUGUCCCGCCGCACCAAGGGGUGCAUCGAGGACGCUUGCUGCUCGUUUCCCGCCGGGACGGUGGCGGCGUUGGCGGCGGGUGACGGAGAACGACGGGGGGGCCCGCCGACGGGGGUAGUCUGAGCGACACGGGCGGCGAGGGCGGCCCAGCGCUCAGCGCGGGCUCAGCGUGCUUCUAACAUGGUCGCGGUGGAGCGGUGGAACACGGAUCGGCGGAAGGAAAGCUUCGGCGCACCCCUACCUGGCGCGCCAAAUGUCGGAUUUCGGGUUCCGGCAAAACCCUUGAGGUUCGAACACUGGGGUGCGCACGAAGAUCUCUCCCUCCCCUUAGCACGCUCUCGCAAUGAUCGCCAGACCUAGCGCGUCAAACCAAAAGAACAAAGGGACAGAAGGUUUAUACUGGUUCGGGCCGCCGAUGUGGUGUAAUACCCUACUCCAGUGUGGUGUGGUGGAUUGCCUCUUGGGUUGAGGAUGAACAGUUACAAGGGAAGAACAGCCUCCCGAGGAGAGGUGUUCUUGUGCUCGGUGAGCUGGUGUGGUGUCUCGCCAGCCGAUCUCUCUCUCUCUCCCUCUCUAUGGUGGUGGCUAGUCCUAUUUAUAGAGGCUUGGUCCUCUUCCCAAAUAUUGAGAGGGAAGGGAUCCCACAACGGCCAAGUUUGAAGGGGGACAGCUAGUACAAGUUAUCCUGACAAAAGUAGUCUUCGCCUGCCAAAGGCUCUGGUGGUGAUGCCGUCUUGGGCUCCGCGAUGACCUCUGUCCUGCCGUCCUGCUGGUCUUGGUCUCGUUGCACCAACAUAGAAACCUUUGCCUGAUGCCUCGGGACUGCUUGCCUGCGCUUGCCUCUUUAGCACCAAAAAGGAAACGAGGACACUGCGCGCGCUGGCGCCCGCCUGGUCAUGGUCGUCAUGGCUUACGUCACGGGAACCUCGCGAGGUGCCCCUUUCCUUGAUCUCUCUGCCCCUCGCGAGCCAGCCUGGUGAGGCCGCCCCCGAGGAGGUCUUGCGUCGUCCGCCUCGUGAGGCUUGGCCCCUCGUGAGGAUCUUGAGUGUUUGCUGGUGAAGAUGGGCCGUACGGGGCCGCUGGUGGAGCCACGCCGUGGGCCGCAGGCAGGCAAGUCUGGGGACCCCCGUUCCCAGAACGCUGACAUGUUCCUUUGCAUUUUAGUGCGUUCCUAGAGAAAGCUAAGUUGAAAGAUGAUGGUAGCAACUACACGGACUGGGUCCGUAACUUGAGGAUUAUCCUCAUUGUUGGACAGAAGAAAUACGUCCUAGAAGCACCGCUAGGUGCUAGGCCUGCUGCAGACGCUACUGAUGACGUUAAGAACGUCUAGCAGAGCAAAGCUGAUGACUACUCGAUAGUUUAGUGUGACAUGCUUUACGGCUUAGAACUAGGACUUCAACGACAUUUGGAACGUCAUGGAGCAUAUGAGAUGUUCCAGGAGUUGAAGUUAAUUUUUCAAGCAAAUGCCCGGAUUGAGAGAUAUGAAGUCUCCAAUAAGUUCUACAGCUGCAAGAUGGAGGAGAAUAGUUCUGUCAGUGAACAUAUAGUCAGAAUGUCUGGGUACCACAACCACUUGACUCAACUGGGAGUUAAUCUUCUUGAUGAUAGUGUCAUUGACAGUGUUCUUCAAUCACUGCCACUAAGCUACAAAAGCUUCGUGAUGAACUAUAAUAUGCAAGGGAUGGAUAAGACAAUUCCCGAGCUCUUCGCGAUGCUAAAGGCUGCGGAGGUAGAAAUCAAGAAGGAGCAUCAAGUGUUGAUGGUUAACAAGACCACUAGUUUCAAGAAAAAGGGCAAAGGGAAGAAGGGGAACUUCAAGAGGAACGGCAAGCAAGUUGCUGCUCAAGUCAAGAAGCCCAAGUCUGGACCUAAGCUUGAGACUGAGUGCUUCUACUGCAAAGGGACUGGUUACUAGAAGCGGAACUGCCCCAAGUAUUUGGUGGAUAAGAAGGAUGGCAAAGUGAAAGGUAUAUUUGAUAUACAUGUUAUUGAUGUGUACCUUACUAAUGCUCGUAGUAGCGCCUGGGUAUUUGAUACUGGUUCUGUUGCUCAUAUUUGCAACUCGAAACAGGGGCUACGGAUUAAACGAAGAUUGGCUAAGGACGAGGUGAUGAUGCAUGUGGGAAAUGGUUCCAAGGUCGAUGUGAUCGCCGUCGGGACCUCUACAUCUACCUCCGGGAUUAGUUUUAGACCUAAAUAAUUGUUAUUUGGUGCCAGCGUUGAUCAUGAACAUUAUAUCUGGAUCUUGUUUGAUGCGAGACGGUUAUUCAUUUAAAUCAGAGAAUAAUGGUUGUUCUAUUUAUAUGAGUAAUAUCUUUUAUGGUCAUGCACCCUUGCUGAGUGGUCUAUUUUUGUUGAAUCUCGAUCAUGAUGAUACACAUGUUCAUAAUAUUGAAACCAAAAGAUGGAAAGUUGAUAAUGAUAGUGCAACUUAUUUGUGGCACUGUCAUUUAGGUCAUAUCGGUAUAAAGCGCAUGAAGAAACUCCAUGCUGAUGGGCUUUUGGAAUCACUUGAUUAUGAAUCACUUGGUGCUUGCGAAUCGUGCCUCAUGGGCAAGAUGACUGAAAUUCCGUUCUCUGGAACAAUGGAACGAGCUACUGACUUAUUGGAAAUAAUACAUACCGAUGUAUGUGGUCCAAUAACUGUUGAGGCUCGUGGCGGGUAUCGUUAUUUUCUUACCUUCACAGAUGAUUUGAGCAGAUAUGGUUAUAUCUACUUAAUGAAGCAUAAGUCUGAAACAUUUGAAAAGUUAAAAAAAUUUAGAGUGAAGUGGAAAAUCAUCGUAACAAGAAAAUAAAGUUUCUACAAUCUGAUCGUGGAGGUGAAUAUUUGAGUUACGAGUUUGAUCUUCAUUUGAAACAAUGUGGAAUAGUUUCACAACUUACGCCACCUGGAACACCACAGCGAAAUGGUGUGUCUGAACGUCGUAACCUUACUUUAUUGGAUAUGGUGCGAUCUAUGAUGUCUCUUACUGAUUUACCGCUAUCGUUUUGGGGUUAUGCUUUAGAGACGGCUGCAUUCACUUUAAAUAGGGCACCAUCAAAAUCCGUUGAGGCGACGCCUUAUGAACUGUGGUUUCGCCAGAAACCAAAGUUGUCGUUUCUUAAAGUUUGGCGCUGCGAUGCUUAUGUGAAAAAGCUUCAACUUAAUAAGCUCGAACCCAAGUCGGAGGCAGGGGCACCCUAGAACACACAAGUUUUCUCUUAACCAUGUGCGGUGCCCUCCUCCAUAGUUACACACCUCGAUCAUACCAUCGUAGUUCUUAGGCGAAGCCCUGCGCCGGUAACAUCAUCAUCACCGUCGCCACGCCAUCGUGCUGACGGAACUCAUCCUCGUCCUCAACUGGAUCAAGAGUACGAGGGACGUCAUCGAGAUGAACGUGUGUUGAACGCGGAGGUGCCGUACAUUCGGUACUUGGAUCGGUUGGAUCGCGAAGAAGUUCGACUACAUCAACCGCGUUACUAAACGCUUCCGCUUUCGGUCUACAAGGGUACAUGGACACACUCUCCCCUCUCGUUGCUAUGCAUCUCCUAGAUAGAUCUUGCGUGGUCGUAGGAUUUUUUUUGAAAUUACUGCGUUCCCCAACACAACAUAUUUGUGGCACUGCUGUUUAGGUCAUAUUGGUGUAAAGCGCAUGAAGAAACUCCAUGCGGAUGGACUUUUGGAAUCACUUGGUUAUGAAUCAUUUGAUACUUGCGAACCAUGCCUCAUGGGCAAGAUGACUAAAACUCCGUUCUCCAGAACAAUGGAGUGAGCUAAUGACUUAUUGGAAAUAAUACAUACAAAUGUAUGCGGUCCGAUGAGUGUUGAAGCACGCGGCGGGUAUCAUUAUUAUCUGACCUUCACAGAUGAUUUGAGUAGGUAUGGAUAUAUCUACUUGAGGAAACACAAGUAUGAAAUAUUUGAAAGUUCAAAGAAUUUUAGAGUGCAGUAGAGAAUCAUCGUAACAAGAAAAUGAAGUUUAUACGAUCUGAUCGCGGAGGCGAAUAUUUGAGUUAUGAGUUUGGCCUUCAUAUAAAACAAUGUGGAGUAGUUUCACAACUCACGCCACCUGGAACACCACAGCGUAAUUGUGUGUCUGAACAUCGUAACCGUACUUUAUUAGAUAUGGCGCAAUCUAUGAUGUCUCUUACCGAUUUACCACUAUCGUUUUGGGGUUAUGCAUUAGAGACCGCUGCAUGCACGUUAAAUAGGGCACCGUCUAAAUCCGUUGAGAUGACACCGUAUGAACUAUGGUUUGGCAAGAAACCUAAGCUGUCGUUUCUUAAAGUUUAGGGUUGCGACACUUAUGUCAAAAGGCUUCAGCCUGAUAAGCUCGAACCCAAAUCGGAGAAGUGCGUCUUCAUAGGAUACCCUAAGGAAACAAUUGGGUACACCUUCUACCACAGAUCUGAAGGCAAGAUCUUUGUUACCAAGAAUGGAAUCUUUCUAGAGAAGGAGUUUCUCUCGAAAGAAGUGAGCAGGAGGAAAGUAGAACUUCAUGAGGUAAUUGUACCUUCUCUCGAAUUGGAAAGUAGCACAUCAGAGAAAUCCGUUCCCGUGAUGCCUACACCAACUAGAGAGGAAGCAAAUGAUACUGAUCAUGAAACUUCAGAUCAAGUUACUACUGGACCUCGUAGGUCGAACAUAGCACAUUCCACACCAGAGUGGUACGGUAAUCCUGUUCUAGAAGUCAUGUUACUAGACCAUGACAAACUUACGAACUAUGAAUAAGCUAUGAUGAGCUUAGAUUCCGAUAAAUGGCUUGAGGCCAUGAAAUCUGAGAUAGGAUCCAUGUAUGAGAACAAUGUGUGGACUUUGGUGGACUUGCCCGAUGAUCGGCAAGCAAUUGAAAAUAAAUGGAUUUUCAAGAGGAAGAUGGACACUGAUGGUAGUGUUACUAUCUACAAAGCUCGACUUGUCGCAAAAGGUUUUCGACAAGUUCAAGGUGUUGACUACGAUGAUUUUUCUCACUCGUAGCGAUGCUUAAGUCUAUCCGAAUCAUGUUAGCAAUUGCCGCAUUUUAUGAAAUCUGGCAAAUGGAUGUCAAGACUGCAUUCCGUAAUGGAUUUCUUAAAGAAGAGUUGUAUAUGAUGCAACCAAAAGGUUUUGUCAAUCUUAAAGGUGCUAACAAAGUGUGCAAACUCCAGCGAUCCAUCUAUGGACUGGUGCAAGCAUCUCGAAGUUGGAAUAUACGCUUUUAUAAGGUGAUCAAAGCAUAUGGUUUUAUACAGACUUAUGAUGAAGCCUGUAUUUACAAGAAAGUGAGUGGGAGCUCUGUAGCAUUUCUGAUAUUAUAUGUGGAUGAAAUAUUGUUGAUUAGAAAUGAUUUAGAAUUUCUGGUAACAUAAAAGGAUAUUUGAAUAAGAAUCUUUCAAUGAAAGACCUCAGUGCAACUGUUUACAUAUUGGGAAUCAAGAUCUAUAGAGAUAGAUCAAGACGCUUGAUAAGACUUUCAAUGAGUACAUACCUUGACAAGGUUUUCAAGGAGUUCAAAAUGGAUCAGUCAAAGAAGGUGUUCUUGCAUGUAUUGUAAGGUGUGAAGUUGAGUAAAGACUCAAAACCCGACCACGACAGAAGAUAAAGAGAGAAUGAAAGUCAUUCCCUAUACCUCAGCCAUAGGUUCUAUAAAGUAUGCCAUGUUGUGUGCCGAACCUGUUGUGUACCUUUCCAUGAGUUUGUCUAGGGGGUACAAUAGUGAUCCAGGACUAGAUCACUGGACAGCGGUCAAAAUUAUCCUUAGUUACCUUAAAGAGGACUAAUGAAAUGGUUCUCGGUUAUGGAGGUGAUAAAGAGUUCGUCGUAAAGGGAUACAUCGAUACAAUCUUUAGUGAUAUGGAUGCCUCUGAGUCUUAAUCUGGAUACAUAUUGAAAGUGGGAGCAAUUAGCUAGAGUAGCUCCGUGCAGAGCAUUGUAGACAUAGAAAUUUGCAAAAUACAUACGGAUCUGAAUGUGGCAGACCUGUUGACUAAACCUCUCUCACAAGCAAAACAUGAUCACACCUUAGUACUCUUUGGGUAUUAAUCACAUAGCGAUGUGAACUAGAUUAUUUACUCUAGUAAACUCUUUGGGUAUUGGUCACAUGGCGAUGUGAACUAUUGGUGUUAAAUCACAUGGCGAUGUGAACUGGAUUAUUGACUCUAGCGCAAGUGGGAGAAUGAAGGAAAUAUGCCCUAGAAGCAAUAAUAAAAAUGUUAUUUUAUAUUUCCUUAUAUCAUGAUAAAUGUUUAUUAUUCAUGCUAGAAUUGUAUUAACCGGAAACUUGAUACAUGUGUGGAUAUAUAGACAAAACACCGUGUCCCUAGUAAGCCUCUACUAGACUAGCUCAUUAAUCAAAGAUGGUUAAGUUUCCUAACCAUAGACAUGUGUUGUCAUUUGAUGAACGGGAUCACAUCACUAGGAGAAUGAUGUGAUGGACAUGACCCAUUCGUUAGCUUAGCAUAUUGAUUGUUCAGUUUUAUUGCUAUAGCUUUCUUCAUGUCAUAUACAUAUUCCUUUGACUAUGAGAUUAUGCAACUCCCGGAUACCGGAGGAAUGCCAUGUGUGCUAUCAAACGUCACAACAUAACUAGGUGAUUUUAAAGAUGCUCUACAGGUAUAUCCGAAGGUGUUUGUUGGGUUGGCAUAGAUCGAGAUUAGGAUUUGUCACUCCGAGUAUCGGAGAGGUAUCUCUGGGCCCUCUCGGUAAUGCCCAUCAUAAGAAGCCUUGCAAGCAAAGUGACUAAUGAGUUAGUUGCGGGAUGAUGUAUUACAGAACGAGUAAAGAGACUUGCCGGUAACGAAAUUGAACUAGGUAUGUGGAUACCGACGAUCGAAUCUCGGGCAAGUAACAUACCGAUGACAAAGGGAAUAACGUAUGCUGUCAUUACGGUGCGACUGAUAAAGAUCUUCGUAGAAUACGUAGGAACCACUAUGAGCAUCUAGGUUCCGCUAUUGGUUAUUUACCGGAGAGGUGUCUCGGUCAUGUCUACAUAGUUCUCGAACCCGUAGGGUCCGCACGCUUAACGUUCGAUGACGAUUUAGUAUUAUAUGAGUUAUGUGAUUUGGUGACCGAAUGUUGUUCGGAGUCCCGGAUGAGAUCACGGACAUGACGAGGAGUCUCGAAAUGGUCAAGAGGUAAAGAUUUAUAUAUAGCACGAUAGUAUUCGGACACCGGAAGUGUUCCGGGGUACCGGGUACAUAUCGGGUCACCGGAAGGGGUUCCGGGCACCCCCUCCGGCAACUAUAUGGGCCUAAUGGGCCUAGAGGGGAAACACAGCAGCCAGCAGGGCUGCUGCGCCCCCCAUAUGGGCCGCACCAGAGGAGAAGGAAAGGAGGGGAAGAGAUAUGGAAGGGGAGGGAUUCGGCCUCCCCCUUCCUUCCCUCCUCCCUCCUCCUUCCUUUCCCCUCUCGAAAACAUGGUAAGGGGGAGGCGAAUUGGACAAGGCCCCCAAGUAGGAUUCCUCCUACUUGGGGUGCCACAUGGCUGUUCCCCUCCCCCUCUCACCUAUAUAUACGUGGGGAGGGUGCGCCUAGAACACACACCAACAAUUGUUAGCCGUGUGCGGCGCCCCCCUCCAUAGUUUACGCCUCCGGUCAUAUCUUCGUAGUGCUUAGGCGAAGCCCUGCGCGCAUCACUUCACCAUCACCGUCACCAUGCCGUCGUGCUAAUGAAACUCUCCCUCGACACUUUGCUGGAACAAAAGUUCGAGGGACGUCAUCGAGCUGAACGUGUGCAGAACUCGGAGGUGCCUACGUUCGGUGCUUGAUCGGUCGGAACGAGAAGAAAGUUUGACUACAUCAACCGCGUUGUCAAAUGCUUCUGCUUUCGGUCUACGACGGUACGUGGACACACUCUCCCCCUCUCGUCGCUAUGCAUCUCCUAGAUAGAUCUUGCAUGAGCGUAGGAAUCUUUUUGAAAUUGCAUGGUUUGUUUCCCUACAACAUGAUCAAUCUUUGUCUUUUCCUUUGAACACAGGUACCAACUUUCAGCAUUGUGCUGAGUCCUAUCAAGUAUAUUCUAGACUCGUGAAAUGUCGGUUCCCAUAAAAGAACCUUUUGAAGCAAUAUCCAAUGCAUGUUUACUCUGUGAGUCAAGUCCACCAUAAAAGUAGUUCACAAUUCAAAAAUCAGGAUAAUGGUGUUUAGUGCAUUUAGAGAGUAUACAUCGAUACCUUAUAUUGGCAUCUACCAGUUUCUCACCCAAAGAUGCUAAUCUUCCUUCUUAUCUUAUAUUGUUGUCUUUGAGGGUAAAAAUGAGCAUAGAAUGCAGAUGAUAGCUCUGUCCAGUUACUCAAAGCACUCACGGGUUGAUGCAAUAGCCAUUUAGCAGCUUCCUUUUCAAGAGAAUAAGAAAAUAUUUUAGCUUUUAUCUCCUCAUUAGUUAAAUCCUGAAAUAGGUAGGCCAGGACCAAUAGAUAUAAAAUUCUCUGCUCGAGCAUGUCCGGCUACUAACUGCACCCCUUCCUGACAAAUUUGUUCUUGAAGGACCACAGUUGCUCGCAAUCUACAAAAACCGUAAAAACACAAAAUAAUCCAAAACUUAAGUCAAGGCCCAAAAGCGCUCGACUCCUCGGCAACGAUGCCAGAAAAAGCUUGAUGGCCUGCAAGUGCACAGGGUUUAGUCGUAGCCUUUUCGGAUUAAGAGUAUCGAUCCCACAGGGAGUACAUGAAUCAGACUUUUGCCUCUUGUAGUGAACUAUGUAUUUUUACGCCUGCAGAUAAUUGUAGACUUGAAGCAAAGUUAAGGCAGUAAAAAAUUGUGAUUGAGUAAUGAAGCGAACAUUGAAGAAAAUAGCAUAAAAGUAAAUAAACAAGAGUGACUAGAGUGACCGAUGGAACAACAGAGGAGUAAUGCAUUCUCAGGGAGUCCGGAAUCCCCAUUGGUAUGUUUCUAGCGCACCUAUGCAUGGGAUAAGUACAAGAUGGAUACUUGAGCCACUGUUGAUGAUUAUGCUGGGCGGAGUCGGGUACAGUACACAUCCUACUUGAAGUAGACUUUGUGCCACGCACGCCACUAGCAUAGUCCCCCUCAGAGGGUUACAACUCAUGAUAAUUAAGGAUUACCCCAUGGGCGUGACCUCUCUAAGGGUUCUCCGUAAUUCCCCUAUCAGUUGAAAGGUUUAGGAGCAAAAGGCUUUUACUGUCACCUCAAAUUACCCUCACAUCCUAGCCCUUUACAACAACAGUGAUAUACUUCGUGGCCAUAAGGAACAAAUGUUGAGUGGGUCCCCUUCACAACAUUCGCGAAGAUAUUAAACAAAGCAUUCAACAGGGAAUCUCAUAUACAUAAUGAUGUUUCAGAUCUUACACAUACCAAGGUUCAUCCAUAUCCCUGAGAAUUAGGGGUAUGCUAACACAUGGAGACAAUGAACAUCAUGACAAGGGUGACGACAUACAUGGAUGAAUGAUUCAAAUAACAAAGAAGAUGAUCCACUAGGUUUCUUGAUGUAACAAUGAUAAGGAUGUGGAUGAUGAUGAUGGUGGUGGUGUGGGUGACGAUGACAAUGACAAUGGUGAUGAUGUCGUAUCCUCCUUGUGCACGAGGAGGGAGAUCCCCCUCUUCUCCUUGCCAAUCCCUCCUCCAGAUGAACUCCCGAGGGUAGGGUUCUGUCUUCUGGACGAGUUUUUGGUCGCUUUGUAUGUCCGGUCCACAAUCCGAUUUCACGGGGUGGAAAUAGUUGAUCUGGCGGCGGCGAUGGCACUCCAUACGAGUGGGCGCGGUCGCACUGAACGACAUCUUUUGCAGUGGAGGUGCGGUGACGAUUUUUUCUUUGGCCUUCUUGCUUGAUUCUUUUAUGGUAGGUGAUUAUCACUUUAAAUACGUGAUUCCACUACCAUUUAUGGGGACUUCUUUCAUUAUAUGAUAAAUAGUCCAAAAGACAUUAUCUGUGGGAUUAUCAACAAAAAGAUGUGCGAACACGGUAAAAUUCCACAAAGCCUAUCAUGUAGGCACAAAAUACUUAGUAAAAAUAUCACAUAAAUUGGACCCAUCACCUUCCUCUCCACCGCACACACUAAAGGUGAACCCACACUCUCACCAAUGAAGCCUGAAGGGGUUGGUUUCCCAGACACUGCAAAACCGAGAGGGAAAGAUGCAUCUAUAGUCGUAAUUGUAUUUGUUCUACAAACAAUACAUAAUCAUGUAUACAUCCACAUGCAAAAUCUACUGAAAUCUCAUUAGGGCAUCUCCAAGGCGGACCCUCAAGGCGCUCACAACCAUCCGAACCGCGCAGUCCAGACAUGAUUUUCAUCCAACACGGGCCUGUAUCGGUCCACCCAGCUGCCCGAACGUAUUUUUUCGGCAAACCUAAGACAAAUGCCGGGAGGCUUUGGGGAGUUCAGACAACAGACACGUAGGACUCCGACACCCCCAGCCCACCCAAAACCCCCUCCCAGACACCGCGCCUCCAUCCUUCCCAUGUUCUCUCCUUCCUUCUUUCUCUCUUACCUUCGCUGCCACUCCAGCACCACGGUCGCCCCGCCACACCCCUGCCGGAAGUCUACAUCUAUGUCACCUCCAUCGUUCCAACCGGCCUCCACCCUGCUUCUCCUCCGUCAUUGUUCAACCCUUAUACUCCAACCGGCCCGCUAGGUACCAUCGGCUACUGCUAUACUCACCAUGCCCGGCAAUUGUUCAAUGAAUUGCCGGAGCUAAAAAAGUUUUCACUUCUUAUUUCUAGCAAUGGAUUCCGAUUUGGAGUACAUAUACAAGCACUAUGUGGAGUUGUCUGGCGGCUCAUCCGGCGAACAGUACUACACGGAUGAGACGGUGAUUAUGCAAGCGGUCCUUGAAGAUGCGGAGGAGCAUAUUCUCAAUUUCAAGGGAUCGAUCAAGGGUCAUCAAGUGCUCAAACACAAUACGGGGUGCGGCCAUUUGACACUGAUGGCCGGCUACUUUGCCCCUGAUGCACUUUUUCACUGACCAUUUACGCCACGUUUUUGGAUGCAUAAAACUGUCUUCGAUCGUUUGUACCAUGGCGUCCGGUAAUAUGAUGACUACUUCAUCUUGAAGAAGGACGUCGUCGGAACAAUUGACUUCUCUGGUUACCGGAAGUGCAUGGCCGUACUCCGGAUGCUUGCAUAUGGCACAACUGCUGAUUCGUCGGACGAGUAGCUAUGGAUGUGUGAAAGCACAUGUGGAGAUUCCGUGGUCAGGUUUGCAACUGCCAUGGUCGAGGUGUUUGGACCUCAGUACCUGGGAGAACCAACUGUGGUAGACACCGAGAUGCUCUUGGCAAUCUCAGAAGCUAGGAGUGGCCAGGUUUACUUGGAUCUCUUGACUACAUGCGUUGAAAAUGGAAGAAAUGUCUGAAGGCUUUACAAGGGCAAUUCCAGUGUCAUGUUAAGAAGCCCGCCAUCAUUCAUGAAGCACUUGCAUCGCAUGAUCUUUGGAUUUGACAUGCUUUCUUUGGCAUGCCUGGGUCUCACAAUGACAUCAAUGUGUUGCAGCGAUCACCACUGUUUGCGAGGCUGACUGAAGGAAAAGCUCCUCCUUGCCACUAUACUGUCAAUCGACAAGAGUACAACAUGGACUACUUUAUAGUAUCUAUCCUCCGUCGGCUACCUUUGUCAACACCAUCUCUAAUCCAGUUUGCCAUAAAAAAUCCCACUUUGACCAAAGACAAGAAGCAGCUAGAAAGGAUGCCGAGAGGGCAGUUGGAGUUCUGCAGUCCUAUUUUGCAGUUGUUUGUGGACUUGCUACACAAUGGGAUUCAGAGACCUUGUUGGGGUUAUGACAUGUUGUGUGAUCACGCAAAACAUGGUCGUAGAGGAUGAGGGUAGGAUGUUGUCGUAGCUCUAGAAUUUAAGAACGUGGAUGAUCGUAUCAAACUUUCAGACCAGAAUCCGGCCACAUUUGAAGAGUUUAUUCAAAUGCAUCAACAAAUUCGGCAUCGACCAACUCAUGAGCAGCUGAAGGAAGAUCUUGAGUAUCAGCGGACGGUUAAAGGGGAAAACAAUGUUGGGAUGUAAUAUUUGAACCUUUUAAAAUUUAAAUUAGUAUUGCAUGCGACUAUUUAAACAUCCGUACUCUAUGUAUGCGGCUAGUAGAACGUCUGAACUCUAUGUAUGCGACUAUUUGAUCAUGUGGGCUUAAAAAUUGAGGGAGGCCGAAUGCAUAUGAACAUCGUUGAAUGGCCUGCAACUGUGUCCGCGGGCAAGUUUUUUUUUUCAACCAGGACUCACGAGAGCUGAUUGAGAGGAGUAAAAUAACUCGUUCCGGUGCUAGGAAUGGAUCCCCCGGUGUUCCUCCGGAAAGGCAAUAGAGCAGAAUAGAAUAGGGCAUGUUUGGUUGCCGUAGUCUAUAGUGGCUGCAUUGCAUAGCCUUCUCAACUUAGCCCGGCUAUGCAAAUGCAGCCUCAAAUGCACCAUCUACAAGUUGUUUGGUUGCCUGCAUGCCCUCUUGCCUACAUGGGGAGAACCACACUGUGUGGUGUUUGGUUGCCUGCAUGUUAGUGGACAAACCCAAGGCAUGGUGUUUGGUUGUAUGCAACGCCUGGUGUGUGGUAACCUCUUUUGCUAGUUGGUGAGGUUACCAGCACACUUCAACACAACCAUGUAGCACAGAGCAUAAGCAGAGCAGAGCAUCAACUACUUAAUAGCAUAGUUCAGAGAACAUAGUACCACACAUCAUAACGAUAGUUCAAACAGUUCAACGGAUAAACUCGAAAGUACUUAGGAAGGAGGUACCCCAGCCCUAGUCCUUGGCGGUGAAGGCUUCGUCGUGCUUCCCGCACUUGUUGACCACCUCAAUGCCAUCGUCGUUGAAGAUGAUGACCUUGAGGGUGUCGGGAGUGAGGAGCUUGAACGUCACCAUGUAGCCGAUCUUGAUCUGAUGAACGGCCGCGUAGGUGGCCCAACCCUGAUCCAGGGUCACCCUGCCGUUCAUUAGCUUCACCGUCACCUUCCAGGAGCAGCCGGUGUUGUUCUUCAGCUUGAACUCCGUCGGCACCGCAACAAAGUGCUUGGUGAAGUCCAGGGGCAUGGGAUGCACUCAAGCUUCGGUGCAAGGAUGACCUUGCAAAAGUGAGUUGGGCCAUCCUCCUCAUGGUAGUGACCGUAGUUGCGGCGCUUGCUGCUGGGGGGCUCCUCCAUGCCCUCGUCGUCGCCAACCUCAGGCGUCUUCGGUUCUUCCCUGGCGGUGGGCGGCAGCACCACCUCGGGCAUUGGAUGAACCGGCUGCUUGCCCUUGUUGUCAACAGCCGGGAGCACCUCCGUGCCCAUCUCAUUGCUCUCCUCGAUCUGCACACAAUUCAUGAAGUCAGGCACAACACAUAGUUCAUGGCUUAUUGAAGAGCAUGUAGUCAAAACAGCAUGACUGUCACUUUUCCUCCUCUCCAUCGCGCCUAUAUUUACUCACCCUGUCCACCAAUACUUACCCACCCCCUCUCUUCUCUCACUAUCAACCUUCCUCCUCUCCAUCGCCAUGAGCUCGAGCUCGAGCUCCAACGCCAACCCUUCCCUUGGGGUAUUUGCUGGAGAGCCUUCUUCCUCGGGUGGUCGGCUGGUGACUGCACCAAGUUCGAGAACACCAUGGAGGUGUGCUCGAACUUCGGCUCCAUGCCUAACAUGCAGAAGGAAUCUGAUGCAGUGCUCACGAGGGCCACUGCACAAGAGCUGAAGACGAUGAUUCCUGACCCAGCGAAGGGCGCGAUGGCAGUCGACAUCAUUUGCUGGGCCAUGAAUCACAGGCCGUCUCUGACGACGCUAAACAGAGGAAGAAGUGGUCCAAGUACAAGAACUACUGAGCUCCUAAUGACCGUCGUGCCGCAGUGUACUGGGAGACGGCAAUCAUACCGCCGGCGGUCAUCGGUGGGGAGCCUAAGGAGGAAGAACAACCGGUGCAGAUGCCAAUGAGGGCACCGGAGCCAGGCCGUCGUACCUGGCAGAUCGACCUCAACUCCUCCAACAGCGACGACGACCCGCCGCCCCGCACGGCGAUGGACAAGAAGAUGAAGGCCAGCCACUCGACCUGCCGCUCCGCACGCCGGUGACGGCCGCCGCGGUUAGCUGGUGUUUGUUGUGUACCCCCAAUCCCCCUUCUACUUCAUCCGCAUCUACCUCUAUUCCGAUCUUGCAUGAACUAGUAUGAACUGCCAUGCUUAUCUACCUCUAUUCCCCAUUCCCCUCUCCGCCGUGGAUUGAAUCUAUCGCCGGAUCGAACGCGAAAAAGUAGUGCAUGACGAACAGAGAAGUGCUUACCGCCAUUGCCGCGGGCCAGGUGAUGAUCCGCUCGCCGGUGAUGGAGUCCGGUGGUCUUCUUGCUCCUCCGAUCCGCCGCCGCCGAUGAGAGUUGGGAGAGUGGGGGAGAGUGGAGAGAGGGAGCGGUAAGGGGCGGUGAGGCUAAUAACUGUCGGCGCUUCGGGAAGCAACGCGGCUUCUCGAGCGUGGCCGCGCGCGUGCAGCCGCCGCCGCCCACGUGCACCGCUCGGGCCUGGCCCUAGAGAAACUGUCGAUUCGAGUGUUCCCAUGAAGCCAGGCCAAGGAAUGCUUUAAGGUUCGUGCCAUGCGGGCAGAACAGUAAAAGCAGGCAAUCAAUCGGCCGUUUACAUCACGCGCGAGCCAAGCCGGGCCUUAUGCAGGCAACCAAACACGCCCAUAGUGUGUGCAGCCAUCAUGCAUGCAUCAAACUACUGUCGAUGUCGAUGGUUGACCGUUGCUGCGGAUCUAUACCACCAGCAGCAGCAACAGCAGCACGCUGGUUGAGGAAAGUCGCACAUUAAACUCGGUUGGUUGUACUUGUACUGGUACUGGACCAAGUGUGUGUCCAUCACACGCGUGCUAGCACCGCCACGAGCACUAAACUAGGAACGCAAAUCCAUCCGCUCGAUCGCUCUGCAUAUACGACGUUGACGCACACCGCUGGAGUGGCAUGCGUCAAGUUACUUCGCCGCUAAGGACUCACGAAAACAGUAGUAGAAUUUCUCUCGAUUAAUCAGAUAAUUCGUGUCAAUGCCUUGACCCAAGUCGAAGUCACAAAGGGCAUGCAUAAAAGGACGACACCUGCUGUCGGUAAAGUGAGCACACAUAUGCAUUUCACGAGAGGAAAUAGCUCCAGAGAAAGAUGAGAGUGAAUUAUGUGAAUAGGAUGGCCGUUUUGGCUAUGCUCCCGGAUGAACAGUAAAUUUAAAAUAAAUAAUAAAUGAAAAUUAUUUAUUUAAAAAUUUGUGUGUAGAUGUUCAUGUUAAUGUAACAAGCAUGCUUGACAAUUUACAUGGGAAACGGAGUAUCAUUGCUUCGCCGGUGAAAAAACAAAAUUAAGUGUAACAUUUGAUGUUCGAAAUUUAUUUUUGCGCAGAUCAAAAUGCUUCAGCUUUCCCCCAAAAAAUUUGCAGGAAGCAUUUUGAUGUGACAAUUAACAUAUCUAUUUAAAAAAAAAGACAUUUGCAAAAUACAUUUUGGCACGCAGGAGUAUAUGUUCGCAAGAGCCAAACUGGAUUUCUGGUGAAUACAAAUCUAUGAUGUUACGUUACCGCAAAAGACAUUGUUGACAUCAGAUUUUGGCACGGUCAAGAACUUUAAGAUGGUCUCAAAUGGAGAAGUGAUCUACAUGAAAGAGUUCCGUAUUGUUGAUAUGAACAUCUUCGAAGUUUGGGCCAUCGUCGUCCGAUUUCAUCUCGAAGGCCGAAACUAUGCUCAAAGUACUAAGAUCUUAUAUUCAGAGUAGAGUUUGACCGAUUAAGCCCCCAAGACUACCUCAAAUGGAAAAACUUUCUAUACGAAUUGUCUUCGUCUCGUCGAAAUGGUUGAUUUUGAUAAAAAAAUCAUCUCAAUCCAAGAUCGUAUGCAAAAGUUAGAGCCAUUCGAAUGCAGCCCUGCCAGGAGGCUACAUAUGGCGCGCCCCACCAGACGUGAUGUCUGAUGGGUAGCGCUACCACUCGGCUGUCUUGCGCGAGCGAUUCGGCCAUGAAGAUGGCCUCGAAUUGAAAAAAGUUCAACAUAAAAGUUGUUUGCUCGUCGAAACUGUUAAAUUUGCUUUUGGGCACAUCUUCAUCCGAGGUCGUUUGUGGCUUGUGAGAGUCAAAAACCAAACUAAUGUCCCAGACUUACCUAAAUCCGAGUUCAGUUAAUUUUGGAAAUAUUUGGAUGUGAUUUGGAGUCCUUUUCUUGUACGGGAAGUCCAUCCUCCUCUUAUAUUGACAAGAGGUGACGGCCGAUUGAACAACACACAAUCGAACAAACACAUCUACUACUUUUUCGUGUUCAUCUAUCCCCUAUCCUUGUAUCUUUCUUCUCGUUCUUCGUCUUCUCUUCUUGUUGCAGGGCGGCGAACCUCGAGGCCCUAGGUGCGAGCGAAUCGACCUGGGGCAGCCCAUAGCCGCCGCGUGCCCUGAGGGGGUUCCUCCCGGGCGUGUGGGGUUUCGGGUCUACAAAAGCGCCCGCCGGAUUGCUUGCGUACCGCGCUUCCGGCCGGGUAUCCUUCAAUGUGAGCUGCGGUGCAUCACCCCCGGCAUCGAGGGUACACAAUGACGUGUUCGUGUGCAAACACACUUUUUGGCGACUCCGCUGGGGACGAAGCUUUGAACGGUCUCCAGCCCAUUCUUGCUACGAAGAGAUCGUCAUCUAGGGUUUGCAAUCUACAAAGGUAAUAUGAAUACCCAAUUCCCUACUAUAGAUGCAAAUAAUUCAUAUGGUGUUACUAGAUCGUUCAAUGAGUAUACUCUAUCGGCUAACCCUAGUUUUUUCAGUAAUGCAUCUAAUUACGUGCAAAGGUCGAUUCAAAGUAAUUUACUUGCUUUAACUUCUUAUGAUACUAGUAACAUGCACCAUAUGUACUCCAACUGUCAUGCAUUGGCAACAAAUCGUUAUGCCGAUGAACAACAUGAUGAAUUUGGUCAAUCAAGUUGAAACACCUCUUGUAGGAACUUCCAAUAGCAUGCGACAAAGUGUUUCACCUUUUUAUUCAUCGGCAACUAAUUUGCAAUAUACUAGUUCAACCAUGUCGAUGGAUGGGAGAAUUGGCCAUGCUACUACUAGCUAUUCGACCAAUUACUCUCAAUCGUCAUAUGCUACACCUCAUGUUAGUAAUUUUUCAGCACCAUACAGAACUGUAGAUAUUCAUAAUUCGGCUUCACACCUUCCUGGUCAUAGCCAAAUAAAUGUAAAUUUUACAAGAGCAGUUGUGCCCAGUAUUGUAGAAGAUGAGGUAUUGGUGGCUGCAUUGAACAGUCUAGCCCGAAAUUAGAGGAUUAGUGCUCUUUUCCUUGAACAACAUGAAAAGGGGCUAUUUCUUGAUUAUGCGGCAAUAAAUGCUAGAGUUUUGCAAGAAGAUGAAUCUUUGCCAAUUGAUAAAAUUGGCGAGCAAAAAUAUGGUUCUACAACAAUGUAUAUGCCUUCACCUAGUACUACAUCAUAUUAUACACAGCCUACACAGUUGCAAAGUUUUAGCAACACCCAUGUGUCAUUGCCAAAAGAAUCUAAAAGCAUUGGGGGGCAAUCAUAUCUGGAGUGGGCUGAAAUUGAGAACAAACUUAAAGCCAAUUUUGCUGCUCGCCGCCAGAAACAAACAGAAAAAGAUGGGCUCAAAUAAAAGAAGCAUUGCCAAUUGGUAGAACCGGUUAAAAGAAUGAUGAUUCAGAAACUAAAAGUGCUUCGGUUGAAAAAGCCGAAUCAAGUAGUAUAUAUUUCGAAUCCAUCAAAUCCAACAAGGCAAGCAUAACUGAGAAAGGGCAUGGCAAGCAUAGGAAAACAACGGUGCUUGAUUUUUCUGAAGUUAAUGGAACCUACUUCUUGCCCUAUGAGUUUCGUGCCGUAGAAAUUGACAAGCCUCAAGAACAAGAGCAAGUAGCCGAACAAAGUUCGCCUGACAAGGAUCUUCAAAGUAAUGAUGCACGAAAUCAAGAAAAAGAUGAUGAUAAGGCGUUGGGGAGCCAUCCAAAGAUGGAGCAAGAUAUUGUUCAAGUCACACCACCAUCAUGCUCUCCCAACAUAUUUGAAGAGGUAUGCCUAGCAAGUAAUUUUCCUAUUUUCAGAUUUGGUCGCAACUUCAUAGUUGAUGCAUCUAUUAGAAAAAUCCUCCUAAGUAAUUUUAAAAGACCAAUGAAGAAGGGUAAUUUACUUGUUAGCAAUAAAGUUGUUAUUGAGCAUAUCGGUCAACCCUUUGCGCCAUUUAUAAAGACCGAUAAUGACUUAUUGUUGCAGCCAAGGCUUUCCUUAUUGCUUUAUUUAAAGUUCAUAUCUAAUUGGGUAGCUUUGCUUAUUUAUUAAUUGGCUUGCAUUUGGUCUCCAUUGAGACAUGUAUGCUCUAACUAUUUUCGUUUCAGAAAUUUAAAGCCAAGGUUAAAUUCUUUUGAGAAAACAGAUGCUAUUAUGGCAUCUUAUCGAAAGACAUCGGAUAUAGAGUGCAAAAUACAUUGCAUAGCCGAAUGGGGAGAUUCCAAAUCUGAACCAUUCGUUUGCUUACCUCCAUAGCCGUUCUCACAGCAAGACCGACUAAACAAUAAUAAGUAUACCUUAAAUUCAAGCAUGUGUGAUCAAAUAUUUGAUUUGUUGCUGAAAAAUAAUUACAUAAGAAUUAUUGAUCACCAUGUCAAGCCAUCAACUCAAGGACGAAUGUAUUGUAGGUUGCGUCAUUGAUUCAAACAUAAUUUUGAGGAUUGCAAUAUGUUUCGUCAAAUAGUUAAAUCGGCCAUUGAUAAAGGACGAUUGACAUUUGUUGAAACACCAAAGGAUGACCAGUCUAUUGCGAUUGGUCCUGAUGGCAAAAAGUUUUUGCGUCGGCUUCUUCAAGCUGAUUCAUUAAAUGAUGAGAACGUAAAAAUAGUGGAUGAUGGGAUCAAGUUUUCAAGUAAAUAAGUUGUUCAAGAGCACAAUGAAGAUAUUCUUGAAUGCGGGAAUUCCCUCAAGGUUGCACAGAAGACGCCAAGUACUGGGGGGCAACAAGAAAAUUCAUAGAUCAAUGAAAGCAAACCAAAAGAAAACAAAGGCCGAAAUAAGCGCAAGUGUAAGAGAUCAAAAAUCACCUUCGCUGAACUAUUGGAUAAAUAUCAAAAGAAAAGUGAAGAGAAGAAUGCUUAUCGGCCAAAUCAUGCAAAGAAACCAAGAUCACCCCCAAGGCGCAAAUAUGAUGUUCGGUAUUGGCAAAGUGAGAAUUUUAAUGCAACAUAUUCGUAUCCUUAUUUUGGGCCGCCAAUGCCAAUGCCAUGGAUGCCUCCCCAUGAUCAUUUAAAUCCAUAUUCAUCAUGGGACAGAUAUGCUACAAGGGCACAUUCUCCAUCUUAUUUUAGACCAUCUCACCAAUACUAUGCAGCUCCAAGAAGAUCAACAUUUGAACAAUCACGCGUCAAAGACCGUUUCAAUCAUAAGGAAUUGGUCUAGAGCUGGAAGAAGAAAGAGGUGGUUAAGCAAGUUUACUGCGUGAAAAGAGAUGGUCGUAAGUGUGCUACUUCAGAUUUGAUCUCAAAUAACAAAGAGCCAAUUAAAAUGUUGACAUUGGCUACAAAAGGCAAAGAAGUGAAGCAAUCAAUUGAUAAAAAUCAGAGUGCCAAAUCUGAAGAAAAGAAGUUGAAGGUGCACAAGGCCCAAAAAGAGUUGCCAUUGGUUGAAACAAAAUCACAGUCGAGGUGCUCACUCGACUUAUCGUAUUGGCAAAAGAAGGAGCUACAAAAGCUUAGUGCACAAGAGCUGAGAAACAAGAACAUGGUAUGGGUUCCCAAGAGGAACAGUCAAAAUAAAAAUGAUGGAUGUCCGUCUAUUGCACCAAGUGUUACAAAUAUGAAGAAUGGAAGAGGAAAAAAAUUCAGCCGAAGGUGUGCAUCACAACAUCAAAAUCUUCAAUUAGCACAUCAUUCAUUUUCUUCAACCAUGCCAUUGAUGCCUAUGCCAUGGAAUUCAUCCCCAGGUAUGAUCAAUUACCCUCCAUGGAUUUAUUUUGAUCCAUGGACGCAACAUAAUUUUCCAUAUCAUGAGGUAUUACCAAAUCACUAUACAUUUGGUUAGUUACAUUUUUGUUGCUAAUACAAAGGGGCCGAGAUAUUUUAUUGUUAUUUCGUUUGUUUAUUUUUGCUAUUCAUGCUUUGGUGGGUGAAUUCUACAUUGACCUCAUGGUGACGGCCUAUAUUUAUCUAUCGCCCUAAGAGUAUAUAUAAGAAUGGCCGGUGUGGUAUUCUAACAUCGUCCUUAGUUUGAGUAGAGUUUGGGAUAAGUGCUUGCGUAGAAAUUUGUCAAAUUGAUGGCAUUGAAGAUAUAAUGCAUAGACCAAUUCACCAAAACUGCAAAGUGGACUUACUUUUUGAUUGGGUGUGAUAGUUUUCAGAAUUUACGUAAAGCCAAAUCAUGGUUGAUUUUAUUAUUGAGCAUCAUAUUGACAUCAUGCAUAAUACUGAUUUUAGCUUUAUCUCUCUAGUACCAUGGUGAUUAUAUAUUGAUGGUUAAAUUUGUAGCAAUGGCCAAGGUGUUGGUGCUAUUCGGUGAAGCCUCAUGCCGCUUAAAAUAUAUAUGCACAAAUGAUCAAAGCCUAAUAUGCAUUGUUAUUCGGAUUGGAGCUUUUCCUUGCUAUAGGUGAUUUACAUAGUGAGGCUUUCGGUGAUUUGUUAUUAGUAUAGUGCAACAAAUAUCCAAGGGUUAUCAAUGUUUUGAUGAAUCACUUUUAAAUUAUCUUGAGGUAUGUCUAGAUGUAAAUUUUACCUUGGGUCGCUUUAAUACUGCUCAUAUAUCUAGACAUGACAAUUGAAGAGCAAAUGAGUUGGCACAGCAAGCAUCUGGCUACUAUGUUGAUCAUGGUGUAUUGCAUAUAUCUAUCAAUAGCCGAUGCUUAUUCUUGCCAACAUAGGUAAGGCCGAACCAAAACCCACUGCUUCGGCUACUAAUGAAAUUUUUAUGCUGGCAAAAGCAAGGAUUCAAGAAAGUUCAUUGUUGAUUAUCUGCAAGAUCCUAGCAGAAGGGUGGACAAUAUGGUUGAUGGAUGGUUUUGACAUGCAUAUCUAUGGAACUUUAUAGUCGGAUUAAUGAAGUUGAGAAAGUUUCACCCAAGCUUGCAUCAAAAUAUUCACACAAGCAAUGGCCGAUAUAAACUUAUCAUCCAAAGAACAUUCAAAAUGGCCGAUGGAGUGUUGACAUCGUCCUUAGAGCAAGCUAUGUGCAAGUUAUUUUUCGGCAUACAAGCUUUGCCGAAAAACAGGGGGACAUGUGUUGACACCAGAUUUUGGCACGGUCAAGAACUUUAAGAUGGCCACAAAUGGAGAAGUGAUCUACAUGAAAGAGUUCUAUAUUGUUGAUAUGAACAUCUUUGAAGUUUGGGCCAUCGCCGUCCGAUUUCAUCUUGAAGGCCGAAAGUAUGCUCAAAGUACUAAGAUCUUAUAUCCAGAGUACAGUUUGGCCGAUUAAGCCCCCAAGACGACCUCAAAUGGAAAAACCUUCUACACAAAUUGUCUUCGUCUCGUUGAAGCAGGCGAUUUUGAUACAAAAAUCAUCGCAAUCCGAGGUCGUAUGCAAAAGUUACAGCCAUUCGAAUGCAGCCCUGCCAGGAGGCUACAUAUGGCGCGCCCCACCAGACAUGAUGUCUGAUAGGUAGCGCCACCACUCGACUGUACUGCGCGAGCGAUUUCGCCAUGAAGAUGGCCUAGAAUUGAAAAAUGUUCAACAUGAAAGUUGUUCGCUCGUCGAAACGGUUAAAUUUGCUUUUGGGCACAUAUUCAUCCGAGGUCAUUUGGGGCUUGUGAGAGUCAAAACCGAACUAAUGUCCCAGACUUACCUAAAUCCGAGUUCAGUUAAUUUUGGAAAGAUUUGGACGUGAUUUGGAGGUGAUUUGGAGUCCUUUUCUUGGACGGGAAGUCCAUCCUCCUCUUAUAUUAACAAGAGGUGACGGCCGAUUGAACAACACACAAUCGAACAAACACAUCUACUACUUUUUCGUGUUCAUCUAUCCCCUAUCCUUGUAUCUUUCUUCUCGUUCUUCGUCUGCUCUUCUUGUUGCAGGGCGGCGAACCUCGAGGCCCUAGGGGCGAGCGAAUUGACCUGGAGCAGCCCAUAGCCGCCGCGUGCCCUGACGGGGUCCCUCCAUGGCGUGUGGGGUUUCGGGUCUACAAAAGCGCCCCCCGGAUUGCUUGCGUACCGCGCUUCCGACCGGGUCUCCUUCGAUGUGAGCUACGGUGCAUCACCCCCGGCAUCGAGGGUACACGGUGACGUGUUUGUGUGUGAACAUACUCACCCUGCUUUAUAGAUAAAGCCACAACCCAUCAUACCACGACCAUUAUAACAGAAUGUAAAAAUGGCAAAGAUACAUUGAUAUCGAACAAGCCGCUCUGAAUGCACCAUGAACAAGCUUGGGCAUCGAGGCCCUCAGCGAGCCAAUAUCCUGCUAUCAACAUGACCAAGACAAGGUAGUAGCCUGUUGUUAGAGAAAAGACAUGCUCCGUCAACUCCCAUGAUGCCAACCAUAGUUGUUCCGCCAUCCAUGUCUGCCUCUAAAGAAGGCCCCCCUGCCAUCUCGUCCUGGAUUGGAGGACAUGGCGCCGUCGGCAGGCAGAGACCAACAGGUUGCUGGGGAGAGGACGAUCAACACGGCUACCUCACCUCGCAAAAUGAUAACCCACAAGUAUAGGGGUUCACAAGAGUUUUCGAGGGUAUAGUAUUCAAUCCAAAUUUAUAGAUUCAACACAAGGGGAGCCAAAGAAUAUUUGCAAGUAUUAGCAGUUGAGUUGUCAAUUCAACCACACCAAGAGAUUAAAUAUCUGUAGCAAAGUGAUUAGUAGCACAGUAAUAUGAUAGUUUUGACAGCAGCGGUAACAACAGUAGUAACGAUAACAGUGAUAGCAAUAAUUUUGUAGCAAGUGUAACAGUAGCAGCAGCAAUAGUAACUUAGCAAGAACAAUAUGUGGAAACUUCGUGGGCAUUGCAUUGGUGAAUACGUUGGAUGAUAUUCAUCAUAUAACAGUCAUAACCUAGGGCGAUACAAAACCAGCUCCAGUUCAUAAAUAUAAUGUAGGCAUGUAUUCCGUAAAUAGUCAUACGUGCUUAUGGAAAAGAACUUGCAUGACAUCUUUUGUCCUACCCUCCCGUGGCAGCGGGGUCCAUAAGGAAACUAAGGGAUAUUAAGGCCUCCUUUUAAUAGAGAACCGGAACAAAGCAUUAACACAUAGUGAAUACAUGAAAUCCUCAAACUACGGUCAUCACCGAAAAUUAUCUCAAUUACUGUCACCUUGGGGUUUACGGAUCAUAACACAUAAUAGGUGAAUAUGACUUGCAAUAUCGGAUCUAGAACAUAGAUAUAAUGGUGAAAACAUAAACGGUUCAGAUCUGAAAUCAUGGCACUUGGGCCCUAGUGACAAGCAUUAUGCAUAGAAAAUUCAUAACAACAUCAAUCUCAGGACAUAGUGGAUACUAGGGAUCAAGCCCUUAUAAAACUAACUCGAUUACAUGAUGAAUCUCACCCAACUCCUCACCGACCAGCGAGCCUACGAAGAAAUUACUCACUCCUGAUGGGGAGCAUCAAGGAAUUGGCGAUGAAGGAGGUUUAGUGAUGACGAAGACCGAAGAUUCCCCUCUUCGAAGCCCCGAACGGGCUCCAAAUCUGGCCUCCCGAUGAAGAACAGGAGGUGGCGGCGGCUCCGUAUCAUAAAACAUGAUGAAACUUUCUCUCAUAUUUUUUUUCUCCGAAAAUAGGUAUUUAUGGAGUUGGAAUUUGGGUUUGCGGGGCCACGGGGUGGGCACAACCCACUAGGGCAUGCCAGAGGGGGAGGGGGCGCCCUGGUGUGUUGUGCCCAGCCGGGGCCCCCUCCGGUGGUUCUUGGCGCUGGUAUUUUAUAUAUAUUCUUAAAUAAUUCUCCAAAAAGUUUAUCCAAAUCCGAGAAUUUUUAUUUUUUCACAAAAACAACAGCAAGGUAGUUCUGUUGAAAACAACAUCAGUCCGGGUUAGUUUCAUUCAAAUCAUGCAAAUUAGAGUCCAAAACAAGAAGAAAAAUGUUAGGAAAAGUAGAUACGAUGGAUACGUAUCAACUCCCCCAAGCUUAAACCUAUGCUUGUCCUCAAGCAAUUCAGUUGACAAACUGAAAGUGAUAAAGAAAAACUUUUACGAACUCUUUUGUUCUUCUUUACAUAAAUAAGCUUAAGUAGCACCCAGGUUUUUAGCAAAGAUUAUGACUAACCAUGUCAACAAUAACUCUUAAAAAUUAUAUUAACUCAUAUCAAUAGCAUAAGCAACUAGCGAGCAGUAAUAAGAUAUUUCAAAUGACAACACUUUGUCAAAACAACCAUGAUAUAAUAUGACAACAGUGGUAUCUCGCUAGCCCUUUGUCAGACCGCAAAACAUAAAUGCAGAGCACCUCCAAAGUUCAAGCAACGACUAAACAUUGUAGUUCAUGGUAGAAAAGAUCAACCAAUGAUGCAUUCACCAUUAACUAUACACAAUGCACGAGGAUGACAAUAGUGCUCUCAGGUCCGGUGCUUUGUUUGAGAAGGUGAUGACUCAACAUAAAAUUAAAUAGAUAGUUCCCUUCACAGAGGGAAGCAGGGAUUUGCAGAGGUGCCAGCGCUCAAAGCUUAAAUCAGAGAUAAAUAAAAUUUUGGGAGGUGCACCCUUCCUAUUUACGUCACGGCCAAGAGUUAUCAAUAUCUUCCAUGCUAAACACAUUAGCGGCGGUUCCCAAGCGAUAAAAGUAAAGGUUUACUCCCCCCCACCAACAAACACACUCCGCGGCUAGCCGAAUCCACGGGCACCGUCCAUACCAACAACAGUCCUGGGGGAGUUUUGUUUAAUUAUUUGCAAUUUUGAUUUCGGGACUGGGAAUCCCUAUUACCGCACCUCUCGUGCAAGGAUGAGUGAAUAAACACUCAUCAUGAGAAUAACCCUCUUAGCAUGGAAGAUUCCGACCACCCCCUAUCGCUCUAUGAAUAAUCCAUGCACACAGAACAGGGGUUCAUUUGAAGAAAAAAAUUAGAGGUGGCACAUGCAAAUUUACUUGGAACGACAGGGUAAUACCGCAUAUAGGUAGAUACUGUGGACUCAUCUGGAAUAACUUUGGUUUAAGGAUUUUGAUGCACAAGCAAUAUUUCCGCUUAAUACAGGCGAAGGCUAGCAAAUAAGUUGAGAAGCGGACAGCUAGAGAGCAAAAAUGGUCAUGAACAUGCAUUAUGCAUAAUAAACAUUGAAGACUAGCAUGAGGAGGAUAUGAACACCAUGAACAUAAAUAUCAUAGAGGCUAUGUUGGUUUUGAUUCAACUACAUGCAUGAACAUGUGCCAAGUCAAGCCACUCGAAACAUUCAGAGGAGGAUACCAUAUCAUCAUACUACAUCACAAUCAUUUUAAUGCAUGUUCACAUCCAAGAUAAAUCAUUAUCCUUUCCAAGCUACUUAAGCAUGGCAUGAGAAACUAUAAUCUCUAAUUGUCAUUGCAAACAUGUUUGAUCAUAAUAUGUUGAAUAAUGGAUACUAGGUUAAACAUAUUUACAAAGACAAAAACCAGUUGAGUUCAUACCCGCUUCUCUCUACCACAGUCAAUUCAUCAAAUAUCGUCAUUAUUGCCUUUCACCUGCACGAACGAAUGAUAUAAAAAUAAUAAUAGUGCAAGAGUGUUGUGGACUAAGCUGAAAUCUGCAAACAUUUUAUUCAAAAGGAGAAGACAAGGUAAUUUGGGUUUUUUAUUAUAUCAACAAUAUUAUGUAUGAGAGCCACUCAACAUUUUCACUGUGGUCUUCUCCUUGGUAUGACUCAAAUAAAAGAAAAGAAUUUUAGAGAAACAAACUGAAAUAUUUUUGGAGUUUUUAGUUUUGCUUAAAAAAAGCAAAAUAACGAAGGGAAAAUAAAAACGAGAAAAACUAUUUACACGGGAAAGCUCCCAUCAAGCAAAAGAAGAAUAUGGAAAUCUUUUUGGGUUUUCUUUUAAUACUACAACUAAUUAAACUAGAAAGAAAGACUGAAAAGAAGCAAGAAAUAUUUUUGUAUUUUCUCAAAGUUUUUUAAACACACAAGAAGAAAGCGAUGAAAUAAAUCUAGCACGGAUAAUACAAUGAAAAAGUGUGGACACUGACAACUGGAAUGAAAUGUGUGAACAUGAAUGUAAUAUCGGUGGAAAUACGUACUCCCCCAAGCUUAGGAUUUUGUCCUAGCUUGGUAAUCACCAGCCACGGCUAGCAUAGUAGUCAGAGUGAUAACUCACGGAGGCUCUAGGUGCAGCCUCCUCAGCCCGCCGAGCUGCCUUGAUCUCUGCCUUGUACGAGCGGGCCUCGCUGUCAAGAACAUAAUAUCUUCUUUUGCUGUCAAAGUCAAAGAGAGCAGGCGCAUGCAAAACAACAAGCACAAUGGUUUCUUUGUUGAACCUCAAGUUAUAAGUAGAAUCAGUGAUUUGCCCUUAAAGAACUUCAUGGCCUCAAAGUCUAAGUACUGAGUAGGUAAGAUGGGAUCAUAAGGCAGAGGUGUAACACCAACCUCCUUAGCUAUGGGAGAAUCAUAAAUCCCACGAUAAAAUUAACCACUAGUAGCAUUGUGUUGUAAUCUCCGUGCAACAAUCGCUUCAAGAUUAUAACGUUUAAUUCUAGUCAGAGUAGUGUGUAUGAGGCUCAAGUCAGGAGCACAUAGUGUGCUACAAUCUUGCUUGCCUAUGAUGCAUUUUCCAUCAAAGAGUGCAAAGUAGUGAAUUGAUGGAAAUGAAUACUCUUUAUUCUGCCUUGUGUCACUCCUCUAUCCUCACCGUAGCGAAGGUUAGUCAAAAAUGACUCAUACUCAGAUCUUGGUGGCUUGUCUAGUGAACCCCAAUAUGGAAUUUUGCAGGCAUCACAGAACACACUUAGAGGCAUGGUAAAUGGAUGAUCAUAAAGGCUAAAUGAAACUCUAGGCUCACGAGGAAAAUAUUUAAAUUUCUUAGUAAAGGUUUAUGUGAGGUUGAGAUGCUGGAUGCACUUAUCUUAAAUGUAGGGGCCAAGCUCGGCGUUGUGAACAUAUUGGUCAAAUUCUUCCUUAAUGCCUGGGCUUACCAUGAAAUCGUUACACGACCAUAGGCAUGAUUUGAUAGCGGCAUCCCGCAUUGCGCUUGCGCUUGGUUCAACAUAAGAACAACAUAUUGAGCCACUACUAGAUGAUGCCUUCGUAGACCUCCUCCUCGACGAACUCCUAAAUAAUUGCAUUUUUAUUUCCGAACAAUUUCUGAAAAAAUUUGGGACACAAUUUUUUUGUCAACAAAACUUCACAAGAUUGAUAGCAACUACUCAUAAGGAUGCAUAGAGGCUAUAUUAAGCAUUCAAACUACUUAGAACUCUAAGAAUUCAGCAUGCAAGCUCAUCUACAACAGCACCAAGAGUAGCUAAUUAUUCAAAAUAUAAACCACUAAAGCAAAAACUAAUUGGAGCAACGGAGGAGUCACAUACCAAGGAGCGAUUCCCCAAAACAGUUUAAGAAACGGAGCUUUGAGCAAAGAGAUCGAAAUCCGCAGGUUUGGGAGCAAGAAUACAAGGGAGAGUGCUAUGGUGAUUUUUUUCAGGAGGUAGGAUAUGACAUAGGCUAAAGAAGUAAGUGAGGGGACCCACAUGGGGACCACAACCCACCAGGGCGCGCCUGGGGUUGCUAGCGCGCCCUAGAGUCUGAUACGUCUCCAACGUAUCAAUAAUUAUGAAAUAUUCAUGCUGUUAUAUUAUCAUUCUUGGAUGUUUUACAAUCAUUUUAUAGCAACAUUAUAUCAUUUUUUGGGACUAACCUAUUGACCCAGUGCCAGUUGCUAUUUUUUGUUGUUUUUUUACAUCGCAGGAAAUCAAUAUCAAACGGAGUCCAAACACCGCGAAACUUUUUGUGGAUUUUUUAUGGACCAGAAGACAUCCAGUGGGCCAGAGAAGCACCUGGGGGUGCCCUGAGGGGGGCACAACCCACCAGGGCGCGCCUGGGGGCCCAGACGCGCCCAGGUGGGUUGUGCCCACCUCGGUGGUCUCCCGCACCCCUCUUUGUCCUGUAAAUUGCCAAAUAUUCCAAAACCCUCGGGGGUAGCCCUAGAUCAGAAGUUCCGCCGCCGCAAGGCCUCUUCAUCCACGAGAUCCAAUCUAGACCCCGUUCCGGCACCCUGCCGGAGGGGGAACUCAUCACCAGUGGCCAUCUUCAUCAUCCCGGCGGCCACCAUGAUGAGGAGGGAGUAGUCCACCCUCGGGGCUGAGGGUUUGUACCAGUAGCUAUGUGUUUAAUCUCCCUCUCUCGUGUUCUUGAGAUGUCACGAUCUUGAUGUAUCGCGGGCUUUGUUAAUAUAGUUGGAUCAUAUGGUGUUUUCCCCUCUCCAUCUUGUGAUAAAUUGAGUUUUCCCUUUGAGAUUUUGUUUUAUCGGAUUGAAUACUUUUAUGGAUUUGAGAGCACUUGAUAUAUGUCUUGCAAAUGAAUACUCGUGGUGACAAUGGGGUAUCAUAUUGAUUCACUUGAUGUAUGUUUUGGCACUCAACUCACGGAUUCCCGAGGUGACAUUGGGGUAAUCUAUGCAUAGGGGUUGAUGCACGUUCUUGUCUUUGUUUCUCUGGUAGAAAUCUUGGGGCACUCUUUGAGGUUCUUUGUGUUGGAUUGAGUAUUAUGAAUCUGAAAUUAUUUGGUGUUAUUUUAGUACGAACUCUUGGAUAGAUCGGUCGGAAAGAAUAGCUUCGAGGUGGUUUCGUACCCUAUAAACAAUUUCUUCUUAUGUUCUCUGCUAGACAAGACCUUUGGAGUGAUUCUUCGUUGCACGUUGAGGGAUGGUUAUGUGAUCAAAUUAUAUUAGCAUUGUUGAGAGAUUGCACUAGUGAAAGUACGAACCCUAGGCCUCAUUUUCAAGCAUAGCAAUACCAUUUGUGCUCCGUUUUAUCAAUUGCUACCUUGCUGUUUUUCAUUGUUCCUAUUACAAAAAUCAAUAUCUACUAUCAUUACUACACUUGUAUCACCAACUCUUCGCCGAACUAGUGUGCCUAUACAAAUUUCCAUUGUAUUUGGUGUGUUGGGGACACAAGAGACUUUUUAUUAUUUGGUUGCAGAGUUGUUUGAGAGAGACCAUCUUCAUCCUACACCUCCCACAGAUUGAUAAACCUUAGGUCAUCCACUUGAGGGAAAAUUCCUACUGUCCUACAAAACUCUGCGCUUGGAGGCCCAACACAAGUCUACAAGAACAAGUUGCAUAGUAGACAUCAAGCUCUUUUCUGACGCCGUUGCCAGGGAUGUGAGUGCUUGAAGGUAUAUCUUUAGAUCUUGCAAUUGAAUCUUUUAGUUUCUUGUUUUAUCACUAGUUUGGUUUAUAAAACAAAACUACAUAAAAUGGAAUUUAGGUUGCAUCAUAUUAUUGAUCAUCUUUAUAAUAUCUUUCUUGAAAAUGAUGGAUUGGAAAAUUGUGCUCAAUUGUUAGAAGAAGAAGUCAAUAAAAUGUUUGGCACCAAUAUUUGAAUGAUGAGCAUGAUUGCAAUGUUGUUAGUAUGAAUUCUUUGAAUAUCCAAAAUACUAAUAAUGAUUGCACAAGUCAUUAAAAAAAUGUUUCUUAUAAGCAUGUCAAUUUUUGUGGAGUGCAUAAAGUUUGUGAAGACGUGCCUUAUAGGGAAGAUAGAUUUUGUAAGAAGCAUAAACAUGAUAGCACCAAUUCUUUGCUCAAAGAGAUAGAUGAAUUUGCUAAAAAAUCAUGUUCUCUUUGUCCUAUUACUCGUGAUAUUUGCAAAAAAGUUGGUCACCUUAAUUUCCAAUGCAUGCUUUUUCAUGAUCGAAUCGUGUCCAAAUAUUGCAAUAACUUGAUCACCCUUGAACUUUAUAAUGAACUUUGUCUAUUUUUGGGGAGUGAAGAAUUGACACAUAAAAAUAGUUGGUUUGAAGUAUUCAUUCUCAGGGACGACAUUGAAACUAAACUGAAGAAUAUCUAUAUGUUUUGCAUGGUAAAUUGCAAUGAGAAUGCUUAUAUUGCCAACUAUAGAAAGAUGGGAAAAUCAAUAAAAUAUAAAAGGAAUACCAAUGAAAUGGUAAAGAUUUCCACUUUCCCACCUAUUGUCUCUUAUGAUGAAAUAGGUAACAAGGAGGAGCUCCCUAUUCAACCAGUCUCAUCAAUAAGAAGCUUGAAAAGAUUAAUUAAACCCACACAUGAUGUGGUGAAGAAGAAAAGAAGAAGGAAUAGAGGUAAAAAGGUACCUCUCCAAAUAAUGUUGCUCCUAUUAUUAUUGUGCCUCAUGAAAAUGAAUCAAAAAUAAUUGUGGAAGAUGAAGCACUUGAUGAUGAUAUUGCUUCUAUGUCUUAUGGCACAAUGUCCGAGAGCACUAUUGAUGAUGAUUUUGUUAUGCCUAUUACUUGUUGUGAUGAUUAUGAUUGGGAAGAUAAUGAUACUUCUUAUAACUUGGAAAUCUUUUUCGCACCAACUUGGGAAAUUGUGAUGAUAGUGAUGGGUCUCCAACGUAUCUAUAAUUUAUGAAGUAUUCAUGCUAUUAUAUUAUCCUUCUUGGAUGUUUUAUGGGCUUUACUAUGCACUUUUAUAUUAUUUUUUGGACUAACCUAUUGACCGAGAGCCCAGUGCCAGUUCCUGUUUUUUCCCUUGUUUCAGUGUUUCGAAGAAAAGGAAUAUCAAACGGAGUCGAAACGGAAUGAAACCUUCUGGAGAAGUUAUUUUCGGAAGGAAAGCAACCCGGGAGACUUGGAGUCCACGUCAAGAAAGCAACGAGGAAGGCACAAGGUAGGGGGGCGCGCCCACCCCCCUGGGCGCGCCCUCCACCCUCGUGGGCCCCUCGUGGCUCCCCUGACGUACUUCUUUCACCUAUAUAUACCAAUAUACCCUAAAACCUUCGGGGAACAUAAUAGAUCGGGAGUUCCACCGCUGCAAGCCUCUGUAGCCACCAAAAACCAAUCGGGACCCUGUUCCGGCACCUUGCCGGAGGGGGGAACCCUCACCGGUGGCCAUCUUCAUCAUCCUGGCGUUCUCCAUGACGAGGAGGGAGUAGUUCACCCUCGGGGUUGAGGGUAUGUACCAGUAGCUAUGUGUUUGAUCUCUCUCUCUCUCUCUCGUGUUCUUGAUUUGGCACGAUCUUGAUGUAUCGCGAGCUUGCUAUUAUAGUUGGAUCUUAUGAUGUUUCUCCCCCUCUACUCUCUUGUAAUGGAUUGAGUUUUCCCUUUGAAGUAAUCUUAUCGGAUUGAGUCUUUAAUGAUUUGAGAACACUUCAUGUAUGUUUUGCCAUGCGUAUCUGUGGUGACAAUGGGAUAUCACGUGAUUCACUUGAUGUAUGUUUUGGUGAUCAACUUGCGGGUUCCGCCCAUGAACCUAUGCAUAGGGGUUGGCACACAUUUUCAUCUUAAUUCUCCGGUAGAAACUUUGGGGCACUCUUUGAGGUUCUAUGUGUCAGUUGAAUAGAUGAAUCUGAGAUUGUGUGAUGCAUAUCGUAUAAUCAUACCCACGGAUACUUGAGGUGACAUUGGAGUAUCUAGGUGACGUUAGGGUUUUGGUUGAUUUGUGUCUUACGGUGUUAUUCUAGUACGAACUCUAGGGCUGUUUGUGACACUUAUAGGAAUAGCCCAACGGAUUGAUUGGAAAGAAUAACUUUGAGGUGGUUUCAUACCCUACCAUAAUCUCUUCGUUUGUUCUCCGCUAUUAGUGACUUUCGAGUGACUCUUUGUUGCAUGUUGAGGGAUAGUUAUAUGAUCCAAUUAUCUUAUUAUUGUUGAGAGAACUUGCACUAGUGAAAGUAUGAACCCUAGGCCUUGUUUCCUAGCAUUGCAAUACCGUUUACGCUCACUUUUAUCGCUUGCUACCUUGCUGUUUUUAUAUUUUCAGAUUACAAAAACCUAUAUCUACCAUCCAUAUUGCACUUGUAUCACCAUCUCUUCGCCGAACUAGUGCACCUAUACAAUUUACCAUUGUAUUGGGUGUGUUGGGGACACAAGAGACUCUUUGUUAUUUGGUUGCAGGGUUGCUCGAGAGAGACCAUCUUCAUCCUACGCCUCCCACGGAUUGAUAAACCUUAGGUCAUCCACUUGAGGGAAAUUUGCUACUGUCCUACAAACCUCUGCACUUGGAGGCCCAACAACGUCUACAAGAAGAAGGUUGUGUAGUAGACAUCAGAUAGCAAUUGUUAUACCGUUGGUGCUAUCCAGACUAUUAAUGAUGAGAGUGAUUAUGCUUAUGAUAUGCCAAGCAACAAGCUUGCACUACAAAAAAAGACACAUCUGUGACAUUUUGGGCCGAACGAAAAAAAUUAUGUCAUACAUAUGACACUUCUAUGACGAUAAUUGUGACAAAACCCAGUAUCACCAUAGAUGUGGUGGGCUCCUACUUCUAUGACAAAAAAUCAUGACAGAAAAUGGGCUUUUCGUCCUGGGCAGGCCGGAGACGCAGCUGCAUGACAUUCUUUGGGCCGUCCAUGACGGAAAAAACCGUGGUAGAAGCGAGGGGGAGGAAAAUUUCGGGGAGUUCCCGGUUACGGUGGGAGGUCAGGGGCCGAGCGAUGCGCGUUUCUCUUGUACACGUACGCGCGUGUGUGCGAGGCGUUGGCUCUAACUGAACCCGAGCGAGGCGUUGGGCUCUAACUGAACCCGAGCGAUUGCACUGCAGGCUAUGCGUUACUGAACCCGAGCGAUCGAUCGAUGGCUAUUAACUGAACCCAAUCGAGCGAUUCCUUCGCUACUGCUGCUAACUGAAGCUGAUCGAUUGGAUGAACAGUGAGCGUUGCCGGGGGGUGGAUGAACAGUGAGCGGUGGCGUUGCCUCUGGAUGAACAGGACCCCGUGGUGUGGUGGAGGGCUGGAUGAACAGUAGGCGAUGGAGGGGUGCCCGUGAAGGGGUGGUUGAACAGGCCCCCGUGGUGUGGAGGGGUGGUUGAACAGGACCCCGUGGUGUGGAGGGCUGGAUGAACAGUAGACGGUGGAGGGGUGGUUGAACAAUAGCCGGUGGAGUAGCGCGCGGUGGAGGCUGGAUGAACAGGAGCCCGUAGAGGCUGGAGGAGGUUGACGGUAGCCCGUGGAGGCUGGAGGAGGUCGACGGUGGAGAUGAGCAGUAUCCCGUGGAGUCCUGUUUUGCGGUACGCCACACCCCUCCCGAUGAACAGGACCCCCGUUUCGACCGUAGGAGGUCCGUUUCGUCCGUUUUGUGGUACGCCACNNNNNNNNNNNNNNNNNNNNNNNNNNNNNNNNNNNNNNNNNNNNNNNNNNNNNNNNNNNNNNNNNNNNNNNNNNNNNNNNNNNNNNNNNNNNNNNNNNNNNNNNNNNNNNNNNNNNNNNNNNNNNNNNNNNNNNNNNNNNNNNNNNNNNNNNNNNNNNNNNNNNNNNNNNNNNNNNNNNNNNNNNNNNNNNNNNNNNNNNNNNNNNNNNNNNNNNNNNNNNNNNNNNNNNNNNNNNNNNNNNNNNNNNNNNNNNNNNNNNNNNNNNNNNNNNNNNNNNNNNNNNNNNNNNNNNNNNNNNNNNNNNNNNNNNNNNNNNNNGAUCAACAGGACCCCCGUUUUGACCGUAGGAGGUCCGUUUCAUCCGUUUUGCGGUACGCCACACCCCUCCCGAUCAACAGGACCCCCGUUUCGACCGUAGGAGGUCUGUUUCCUCCGUUUUGCGGUACGCCACACCCCUCCCGAUCAACAGGACCCCGUUCCGAACGUAGGAGGUCUGUUUCCUCCGUUUUGCGGUACGCCAGGCCUCAUUUCCAUCGCCUGUUCCGUCCAAGCCGUCCCGAUGAACACGACCACGCAUUCCGUUCCGACCCAGCCGGUUGGCUCCCACGCGUUCCGUUGCCUCCCGAUGAACACGACGCAUUCCGUUGCCUCCCGAUGAACAUGACGCAUUCCGUUGCCUCCCCAUGAACACGACGCAUUCUGUUGCCUCCCCAUGAACACGACGACGACGCUGUUUCUCCGUUCCGACCCAGCCAUGUACACGAGCCCUGGCCAUACGUAUGCGCGAGUAGGCGUUCGAGACCCCGCCCGUAUGUACACAUACGUGGCCGUAUUUUCUUUCUUGCACCCUGGCCGCUGUACGUACGUGUACAUGCUACGUGCGCGCCUCUACUACGACACGUGCGCCCCUCUACAUCGACCAAUAUGUACGUACACGUUCGCGACCAGAAUGACAACGCUACGUACGCUUCGACCAGGUGGGUCCCGACUGUCAGGCACUUCCUUGCGUGCGAAGAUGUAGCUGGUGGGUCCCAGCAGUCAGGGGGGCGAAUCAUUUUCUGCCCGGACGCACUUCCUUGCGUGCGAAGAUGCAGCCGGUGGGUCCCAGCAGUCAGGGGGGCGAAUCGUUUUUUUUGCCCGGACUCACUUCCUUGCGUGCGAAGGUGUAGCUGGUGGGUCCCAGCAGUCAGGGGGGCGAAUCAUUUUUUUUUGCCCGGACGCACUUCCUUGUGUGCGAAGAUGAAGCUGGUGGGUCCCAGCAGUCAGGGGGAAACAUUUUUUCCGCAAAAUACAGUGGCCCGUCCGGUGGGUCCCAGCUGUCAGGUGGAGGAAUCAUUAUUUUCCGCGUAAUAAGGAGGCACUUCCUUGCUGCGGCCGUGGACCCAGCUGUCAGCCUCUCCACGUAUAGUCCACGUCCGAUGGAAGUCGUUCCUUGACCAUGUUGACCAGGCCGCGCCGAGAGCACCAUGGCGGUGGACGACGGCGAGGCCUAGGAAGGGGACGACGCGGAGCCGGGGAAGACGCGGCAGUGGAAGCCCGCGCGGAGAGGAGUACGAGGGUUCACUGGUUCGGCUGCGGUGUGAGGUUGCCGUCGCCGCAGGGCCUGGCCAGCGGUGGGAAUAGUAGGGGGCGGUGAGGCCUCCGCAGCAGCACAGUCGGCCAUGGGAGGCAGGAGCAUGCGGCGCGACCGGCGCUGCUUUGGGCGGCUGGAGCAAGAAGACCAUAGGUUGAAGAAGCACUACGGCCGUUGGAUGGACAUCGUACGGUCACUGGAGCUAGAAUCGUUCAUAUUGACUAAGUUGACAAAGCCCUCCGUCCCCGUCAACUUAGUUGGCCCACAAGUCAUCCUCCCACUAUGGUGGGUCCCAGCUAGCAGGGGGGUAUUCAUUUUUUUGUGCAUAAUAAGGAGGCACUUCCUUGCGUGCGAUGAUAUAGCUGGAGGGUCCGACAUGUCAGCGGGGGGAAUGUUUUUUUCACGAAAUACAGAGGCCCUUCCGGUGGGUCCCAGCUGUCAGGUGGAGGAAUCAUUAUUUUGCGCAUACCGUCCACGGCCGAUGGAUGUCGUUCGUUGACCAUGUUGACCAGGCCGCGCCGAGAGCACGAUAGUGGUGGACGACGGCGAGGCCUAGGAAGGGAACGACACGGAGCCGGGGAAGACUCGGCAAUGGUUGCCUACGCGGUGGGGAGUACGAGGGUUUACUGGUCCGACUGCCGUCGCCGGAAAAUAACAGGAGGUGUGGGUGAGUAGAGGAAUGGCCUGGCCAGCAAUGAAGUAGGGUGGGGCGGUGCGGCCUGUGCGGCAGCACAGCCGGCCACGGGAGGCGGGAGCAGGCAGUCCCACCAGAGCUGGUUUGGGCGGCUGGAGCAAGAAGAUCAGAUAUUGAAGAAGCAGCACGGCCGUUGGAUUAACAUCCAACGGUCACCGCUACUAGAAUCGUUUGUGGACUAAGUUGACAAAGCCAAAGUACACGUCAACCUAGUAGACCCACAAGUCAGCCUCCAAAUCUGUCCCAAACAGCAUACAGCCCGAAAUUUCUAGCCAGAUUAAAAUUAAUUUUAAAUCUAAAUAUACCUUAAUUUAAAUUCAAUGAAAUUUUACCCGCACAAAAACAAUGAAAUUUAAAAUAUCAAAAUCUGAAAGAAAACGGUAUUUUGGAACUAAUUUCCUGUUUGCUGUAUUUUUCAUUUUACAGCCCAUUUAUUAUUAGUUAUAGCCCAUUUCUUAUUACUUAUAGCCCAUUUUCUGGGCAAAAUGCAUCCCUCCUCGUCUUGAAAGAUUUCCGGCCCAACAGGGCGUAGAAAAGCAAGUAGGCCUACGUUGGUUAUUCUGCAAAAAACAAAAUAGCUGGCUAGCCAUUUUCAGAAAGGAAAAAAACAAACUGGGCUGGUCAUGUGCUAAACAUAUGAAAUAAAAGCCUGGGCUAGAUGGGCCACGGGUCCCGCACAACUCAGUUGAUACCCUUCUCCGUCCCGAAAAAACAAAAUUACUGCGCGCACUGCUGGGUCCCUACUGUCAUCCUCACCAUGUACAGUCAUCUCCUUAUUCCUCUCGUUGUUGACCAUGUUGAUGUUGGAAAUAUGCCCUAGAGGAAAUAAUAAAUUGGUUAUUAUUAUAUUUCCUUGUUCAUGAUAAUCGUCUAUUAUCCAUGCUAGAAUUGUAUUGAUAGGAAACUCAGAUACAUGUGUGGAUACAUAGACAACACCAUGUCCCUAGUAAGCCUCUAGUUGACUAGCUCGUUGAUCAAUAGAUGGUUAUGGUUUCCUGACCAUGGACAUUGGAUGUCGUUGAUAACGGGAUCACAUCAUUAGGAGAAUGAUGUGAUGGACAAGACCCAAUCCUAAGCCUAGCACAAGAUCGUGUAGUUCGUCUGCUAAGAGCUUUUCUAAUGUCAAGUAUCAUUUCCUUAGACCAUGAGAUUGUGCAACUCCCGGAUACCGUAGGAAUGCUUUGGGUGUACCAAAUGUCACAACGUAACUGGGUGGCUAUAAAGGUGCACUACAGGUAUCUCCGAAAGUGUCUGUUGGGUUGGCACGAAUCGAGACUGGGAUUUUUCACUCCGUGUAAACGGAGAGGUAUCUCUGGGCCCACUCGGUAGGACAUCAUCAUAAUGUGCACAAUGUGACCAAGGAGUUGAUCACGGGAUGAUGUGUUACAGAACGAGUAAAGAGACUUGCCGGUAACGAGAUUGAACAAGGUAUCGGGAUACCGACGAUCGAAUCUCGGGCAAGUAACAUACCGAUAGACAAAGGGAAUUGUAUACGGGAUUGAUUGAAUCCUCGACAUCGUGGUUCAUCCGAUGAGAUCAUAGUGGAACAUGUGGGAGCCAACAUGGGUAUCCAGAUCCCGCUGUUGGUUAUUGACCGGAGAGGCGUCUCGGUCAUGUCUGCAUGUCUCCCGAACCCAUAGGGUCUACACACUUAAGGUUCGGUGACGCUAGGGUUGUAGAGAUAUUAGUAUGCGGUAACCCUAAAGUUGUUCGGAGUCCCGGAUGAGAUCUCGGACAUCACGAGGAGUUUCGGAAUAGUCCGGAGGUGAAGAAUUAUAUAUAGGAAGUCCAGUUUCGGCCACCGGAAAGUUUCGAGGGUUAUCGGUAUUGUACCGGGACCACCGGAAGGGUCCCUUGGGUCCACCGGGUGGGGCCACCUAUCCCGGAGGGCCCCAUGGGAUGAAGUGGGAGGGGAACCAGCCCCUGGUGGGCUGGUGCGCCCCCCAUGGGCCUCCCCCUGCGCCUAGGGUUGGAAACCCUGGGGGUGGGGGCGCCCCACCUGGCUUGGGGGGCAAGUUUCCCCCCUUGGCCGCCGCCCCCUUGUAGAUGGGAUCUCCAGGGCCGGCGCCCCCCCAGGGGGGCUAUAUAUAGUGGGGGGGAGGGAGGGCAGCAGUACCCAAGCCCCUGGCGCCUCCCUCUCCCUCCCGUGACACCUCUCCCUCCCAUUAGUGCUUGGCGAAGCCCUGCCGGGAUCCCCGCUACUUCCACCACCACGCCGUCGUGCUGCUGGAUCUCCAUCAACCUCUCCUCCCCCCUUGCUGGAUCAAGAAGGAGGAGACGUCACUGCUCCGUACGUGUGUUGAAUGCGGAGGUGCUGUCCGUUCGGCGCUAGGAUCAUCGGUGGUUUGGAUCACGACGAGUACGACUCCAUCACCCCCGUUCUCUUGAACGCUUCCGCUCGUGAUCUACAAGGGUAUGUAGAUGCACUCCUUCCCUCUCGUUGCUAGUAAACUCCAUAGAUUGAUCUUGGUGAUGCAUAGAAAAUUUUGAAUUUCUGCUACGUUCCCCAAUAGUUGACAACACCGGAGGGCGGCGCCGCGGCGAGCGAACCAAGGCGGAGGACGAUGAUGAGGCCUCGGACGGGAACGAACAGGAGCCGGGGAAGAUCACAGCCAGCCGUGGGAGGCGGGAGCAGGCGGUCCCGCCGGCGCUGGUUUGGCUUUGGUGGCUCGAGGAAGAAGAGACUGAAUAAACGCGACAGACGUUGAAUGUCAAUCCAACGGUCAAGGUUGGCACAAUCGUUUGUUGACUAAGCGGACACCAAGUAGCAUACUUUUUUAUAUAUAGGAAGAAAACUGCGAGGAAAAUGCGUCCGUCUGCCGUCCUCCUCAUAGGGAAUGUUCGCCACAUAAGUGACUAGCACCCUUGGUUUUCAACCGAGAGGUCUUGGGUUCGAGUCCCAGGAACUCUCAAUUUUGUCCUCCUUCCUUCCUCGCAAAAAAAGGGAAAGAAAAUCAAAGACUUGGGAAGGCGUACAGAACAAGCUAGUGUACCAGUAAAGAGACGUUGCCGAGUUUUAGCAAAAAGAAAGACGUGCUCCUGUACCUGGAUUGAAUCCAAACCUAGACUAUGAGUAUAUAUGGUGCUAUGCUACUCUGCAAGUAAUGAAACUGACAUAUCCAAUGUUCGCUUCUCCUCUUCUCUACUUACUCUGCCUAGCAUCAGAAGCUCUGGCCGCAGCAACCAUGUCCGCUGGCUGCUCAUCCACCUGCUCUUUAGCAGGCAACAACCAGAUAUGUGCCAAGGCGCCACCCACGCCUGUGGGUCUCAUCACACCCCCGCCGGCACGCGCACCGCUGCCGAUUGCUCAUCGCAACCCGCUGCCGUUGGUGUGGUGCCACUGCUGCAAAUCACGCAGAGUCAUUCGUCGCGUCUCAACCACAAUCCGCAACCCUGGCCGAGUCUUCUACAAAUGCCCGAAUCAUGGGGUAAUAAUAUGUUUAAGUGUUGUUCUGCUGCUUUCAGUUGCUGAUUUUUUUAAUAGUUCGGUUGAUGAUCUUCCAAUUUGAUUCGUGCAGAAAAGGGAAGAUUCGUGUGAUUUUUAUUUCUGGGAAGUUGCUAAUGUGGGGGAAUGCAACUACACUGAUUAUUUGGUUAGCCAAGGAAUCCCAAUACCAGCAGGUUGGGGUGUUGGACAAGUAACUGAAGGAACGGCAGAAGAGGAAGAUGCAGAGCAGAAGGUUAAAGAUGCAGUUCCUCUGAUCAUGGCCAAGCAACAGCUGCUGAACAGCCUUGACAGCAAUGAGGAGAUGAAAGAGCUUGUGAAGAUAAUGGGAAAAAUCGAUGUGCUCUGUAGGAUGAUUGUCUCUUUAUUUGCAGUGUAUGUAGCACUCGUGAUGUAUUCAGUGGCUACGACAUGAGCACUUUGCUGAAACUAGUAAUGAAUGAAACCUGUGUAGCAGGCUGGGCGUAGUGUUGUGAACAUCUAAUGUUUUCUAUUAACGGAAAUCAGGGGGUAUCCCCUUUUGCUCAUAUAAAUAAAUAAAUAAAUAGCAGAGGCCCUGUCGGGUCAGCUUUGUUCUCAUUCGAAGACGUCGAGCAAAUUGCAGUCCAAUAGCAAACUAUGUCAUGAAAUUCAAGUUUCACAGCCAAAUAUGAGUACAACUAAACAACAAUGUCAACAUGUUUUAGUUGUCAUACAGUCACCAAACACAAAUCAGCAUACAUAACAAGUGAUGUUCUCACAGGAAAAUACUAAUCAACAUGUUCAUCAGGUUUCAGUUGUCAUAGCAAACACAAUUUCACAUAGUAGAUAAAAAACGUCUUCUGACAGGCAAAUACGACAAAAGCAAUGUAAUCAUCAUCCGCAGGAGCAGCGUCAACAUCUUCGCCAUGUGUAUCAGUCUGAAUCGUAAUUCCCCACGGUGUCAUCUUCUUCUUUGUCCUCAACGUCCUCGAACGUUGGCUUAUUCUUGAUCAACUCUUGUAUGUCCACAGCACGACAGGCAAUCUUUUCGCUGGCGUCAUUGACGUGAUGGUUCUCAAAGAUAUUAGAAACAUCUGUGUUAUCUUGUACAUCAGGAGCAGUGUAAGCAUCAUCUUGUUAUGCAACUUCAUUAAACAAAUUCCUCUGCUAAAACCUUUGCAAUACUCUCCAGUCAUCGCUACGUGCAAAUGUGUCUUCCAAGAAAAAUAUCUGUGUUGCUUGAUUUGCCAAAAUAAAAGGCUCGUUGGUCUGGUACGCCGCCUUGACAUUGAUGGAUUUGAAAUAAUCAUCAGCUCUGGGUUUUGCGAUCCUAGAAAACAGGUUAUACCAACGACGGCACAACAGAACCACACACCGAUGAUCCUCGAAACUGGAGAUAUACUGCAACUGAACAAUGUCUGUUAUGUUAGCAUACAUUUCACUUGUCUCUUUGUGAUACGUAUCCGUGCUCAUGAUGGCACUGUUUUGUGUCUUCCUGCCUUCGUCUCGUGCAAGGGUGUUGUAGCGCACAUCUCCAACAACGCAAGAUUCAUAAUGUCUUACCCGAGUAUCAGGACCCAUUGCUAGUGAGUAAAGGGCAUCAUCAACUGCCUGCCCAUCCUCCCGCAUCUUCUUAACCUAUGGUUAGAAAAUAGACAAGCUGAUCAUCUUAUGUACUCAAUAUAUUAAAAAAAACUGACAGUGCACUUCAAAAGCUUACAUGGUUCUUGAACCAUUUCGCAAAUCCUGCCAUAACCUGUUUGUCAAUAUUUCUUGGAUUUUGCGGCAGUAACUCCUCUUUGUAGAUGAUGCACAACAUAGUGAUCACGUCAAACAUCUAAAUAUAUAAGAAUGUGUUGCAAGUUUAGUAGAUUACGAUGUAUAAGCUACAGUACUCCACUUAAUUGAUAUAAGGUAGUAUCUCAGGACAGUUAUUCAACACAUACCAAACCAUUUUGUCCAAAUCUUUAGGUUUUUCCUCUUGUCGACUCUUCCCUGUAACUCGAACAGAAUAAUCGAAAACAUUGAGCCCGGGAUUGUCUUCACCCACCUCUUUGCUAAGCUGAUCAGCUAUUUCAAUGUAUUUUGAGCAGAAUGUCAACGCUUCUGUAGCAAUGUAGGCCUCUGCAAUGGAACCCUCGGGUCUAGCUCUGUUCCUAACAUAGCCCUUGAAAGUGCCUAGCUGCCUUUCAAUAGGGUACAUCCAGCCAUACUGCACUGGACCUCUAAGUAGUGCCUCAUCAGGUAGAUGAACAGCCAAAUGCACCAUCACAUCAAAGAAGGCUGGAGGAUAUAUCUUCUCAAGGUCGCAUAGGAUAGUUGGUAUCUUGUCUCUAAGACGCUCCAAAGCAUCUAUCCUGAUAUUCCUACUGCAGAGUUCCCUGAAGAAUUGUCCCAACUCUGCAACUGCUCUGUAUAAGUCAGGGCGGCCCAAUCCUCUAAGGAUAACAGGUAAAACCCUUUGAAGUAGGAUGUGGCAGUCAUGAGUUUUCAACCCUUGUACCUUGUUUCCAUCUGCACUGACUCUCCUUUCAGGGUUGUAAGCAAAUCCAUGUGGGAAUCUCACACGUGACAGGACCUCGCAGAAUUCUUUUCUUUUUACCUUGUCCAAGACGUACACAGCUGGUGCCAUAUCCCGUAGUUUAACUUCAUCUUGCACCUGCAAAUCCUUUCUGAUACCCAAGUGUGUCAAAUUAAUCCUAGAUUUUAAGGUAUCUUUCGUCUUGCCUUCAAUAUUAAGAAGUGUGCCGAUAAUGCUGUCACAUAUAUUUUUCUCGAUGUGCAUCACAUCAAGAUUAUGCCGCAGAUCCAAAUCUUUCCAAUACUCCAAGUCCCACAAAGUGGACCUGCGGGUAAACAAUAAUCUCUCUUCUACCCUGCCACGCUUCCUUUUCCCGCUACCAUUACCAGGAUGGUUUCCUGGUGUAAUAUGCCUGACCUUCUCUAAUUCCACUUGCAACUCAUCGGCGGUGAGCCUCUUUGGCGCAUCACAGUUUUCAUGCUUUGCAUUGAACACAUGUCUUCGGUAUUUUCUAGGAUGCGGCUUGUCCUUGGCAAGGAAACGGCGGUGUCCACUGUAACAGAUCUUGCUAAGUAUUGUGUAUAACAGCGGAUUCCUGUCACAGCGAACACAUGCCUUGUAAACAUGUGUCGUUCUGACAUAGUGCCCAAAGCCGGAUAAUCAUGGAUGCACCAAAUUAUAACAGCACGCAGAAAGAAAUCAGCUGGUGGGCUGCUAUAUAGGUCUCGAGUGAGAACACCCUUUCAUAGCUGUUGAAGUUCCUCCACAAGAGGCUCCAUGAACAAAUCAAAAUCCUUUCCAGGACUUUUUGAACCUGGGAUGAGCAAGGCCAUCAUGUAGUUUGAUUCUUUGGUGCAGACAUUUGGAGGCAUGUUGUAAGGGAUAACAAGCACUGGCCACAUGCUAUAUGUGGCGCUCUAGUGGCCAAAUGGGUUAAAUCCAUCUGAAGCUAAGCCAAGUCUAAUGUUUCUCGGGUCAGCAGCAAACUCUUUGUGUUUAUCAUUGAAGCUUUUCCACUCACUACCAUGAGAUGGAUGGCUCAUUUCAUUCUGAUCUCUGUACUCUUGGUUCCUAGAAUGCCACAGUACAUCCUCUCUUGUUUCAGCAUCAUGAAACAACCUCCGCAAUCUUGGUGUAAUUGGAAAAUGUCUCAGAACAUUAUGAGGAAUCCUCUUCACAGCAUCGCCAUCUUUCCAUCUUGAUGAUUUGCAUUUCGGGCAUUCACUUAAGUUGGCAUAAUCCUUCCGGAACAGAACACAAUUAUUCUUACAAACAUGGAUCAUAUCAUAUCCAAUUCCAACUGCACGAAGGAAAUUCUUCAUUUUACUGUAGGUGUGUGGCAGCUCAGACGCAUCUGGGAAAGAUUUGCGGAAAGCAGCCAACAUCGCAUCGAAUGAUUUGUUGGUCAUCCGCUCAGAUGUCUUCACCUGAAGGAAGGUGACCAUAGCUGAGAAUACUGACAGCUUAUUUCCUGGGGUGACAGCAACAUUGCAUUGUUCUAACAUGCGGGCCCACCGUUUUUCUUCUGCAGGUGAAAGUUCACGGAAUGCACGAGCAUUUCGUAGCAUUGUUUCAAUGUUGGUCAAACUCACUGGCUCUGCCACCACCACCUCCUCCUCCUCUUCCACUUGAGCAUCAGGCAGAUCAAGAUGGUGAUCUGCUGCUUCCACAUAGUCAAUAACAUUGACGUUCACAGCUUCACCAUGAUGAACCCACCUAGUAUAUGUGACCGACAUCCCAUACAAGUGUAGAUGAUUUUGCACAGUUGACUGGGGUCUUGUAACUGAAUUCAUACAACUGCUACAUGGCAGAGCACAUCUGAUUUCGGACCACCGUACUCAGCUCUUAUAAAGUUCAUGAAGUUUUCAACCCCCUCGAGCAGAAGUUAUCCAAGUCCUGUCCAUCUGUUAGAAAUACAAAUUAGUUCUUCUACUAGAUAUUACAGGAAAAACAUAUAUGCUUUUUUAUGAAGUCCAGAAAAAAUACCUAGGUCGAUGUCUAAAGCUAUGGCAAGAUAUUUGGACGAGCAGAUCUAAGUAACGAAAUAUAUGUAAAUCUAAUUCAGCAAACAGAUUUGAGUGCCAAAUUAUGGCAGGCUGUUUCAGCAGUCAAUGAGGCCGAGCACACAGCCAUCGAACUAUCGAAGGCCAUCGCAGCAACAAAGAUCGAGUAUAAAACGGUGUAGAGCUAUUUCACCUAACAGAUUGGCUACUAGACCAUGGCAAUCUACGUCACAAUAAAUAUAUGGCAGGAUAUUUUAGCAACUAAUCGGCCUUGGCAUGCCAUCUCAGCUAAGCAGGUUGAGUGCAGAACAGGGCAAUGAAGCUUCUUAAGCAGAGCAUAUUGACAGUAAACUACGUCGGCAAACAGUGAGAUUAACAGCGUCUAUCAGCUAACAUUCAGCGCUACACCGACAUGAACGGGGCCUCAGUCUAGAAUGCGCGUACCGUGGGAGAAGCUGACCGCCGUGCGUCUCCACACGAACAUCGCCAGCGGUGGCGGCGCUGACCGCCGUGCGCCUCCACAAGAACGUAGCCAGAGGUGGCGGCGCGGCUAGAGGACGGCAGUCUAUGAGAGCAUACUGUGGGAGCGAGAGGAUCGCCGAACCGCGGCACCGACGUAUCGGCGCGGCGGGGAGGGCCGCUUUGGCGGAGCGAAUGGAGUGGAGGGGGACUGGGGGGAGGGGAUUUUGGGGAAUAUUAUUGGCUAGUUGGCCGAAGGGCGGUUGAAUCGGAUUUGGGGGGAAUUUUUGGGUGUGGGGGGAGGAUUUUCGCGAGGUGGGCGGGGGGAGUUUGGCGCAUGGUCGGUUUCUCCAAGUGCAAUCUCAUGUGUCAGUGAAGAGGCAAGCCGAAGCGCGUUCCGUUUGCAUGAGCCGUGUGCAGGACCGAACGUGUGUGGGGUGCAAUGCGACCGCGACAGGAGUGCUGUGAGUGUACCGCCUUUUUUCCUUUUAAACUAGGUGCUUCGCCCCCUCAAAAAAAAUUGUUGCUUCGCGCGAUCCAUCGAUACUACUACUAGUAAUCCGGUAAUCCCGACUAAAACGGCGCGGCCGGGUCUUUUCCCGCGCGAUAUGCUGGGAGGUUGGCUUAGUCGGGUUUUUUAGGACGAGUAAUGCUACACCUACGUAACCCCAGUUACGUAAUUAACAUAAUGUGAAACGUGUGAGCUGUUGAUUGUAGAUUGGGGGGAGGGAGGGGCCCACCACCAUGAAAAUCAGGGAAGGAGAGAGAGAGGCAAUUUACGUUAACCCUUUCGUAGGUUCCCGUAGAUGUAGAAAGAUGUGAAAUGCGUGAAUGUGUAGUGGACGUACUAUUGGAGUGCCUAAGAUAAUUUGUGUAUGUAUAGACCCUAUGUGUUUAUUUUACUUCGCAUGUUAGAUUUGUCUCGGUUCAAUAAAAAGCAGAGUUGGUGAUGAUGGUGUGCCUGUCAUCCUGCAAUAUAGGCCGUCCGAUCUAUAUCUAACGGAUAGGAAGGAAACUAUGACAAUUUACUCGCACUCCUCUCCACAUUUGCAGAUAAGGCUUUCCCUCGUUCAUCCUUUUCUCCCACAAGAUCAUGAUCUUCUGUGCAACGCACGGGCAUCUUGCUAGUACUCCUACAAUAUGUAUAUUAUUGUGAAAGUUCAUAUACACCGGCCGAGAUUAAUGCAAACACGGCAGAUUUUCAUUACAUUUCAAACUUUUAUAGGACAGAAAAAUAAAAGAAACCCGACCCUAAACCUAUUCUACAGCGGCGACCGACGUCCUCCAUCUGCGAUCUCUAUGUACGGGGGCGGGUUCAAGACCCGUGAAGUGAAGGUGCGGUCUCCGGCGAGGAAGAGUAGAACACGGGAUACGGACCGGCCAGUUGGCACACCAUGCCCUGCCGCCUCCCAUGCCCUACUCAUCCUCGGAGGAGUCCCCGACCUCGGCGGUGCCGGACGUUGGACGGCGGCAAGUAGGACGCGUGGCUGACGGUGUUCCCGUCGUCGGCCGCCAGCGUGGCCACCGCUUGUGCGGUUGCGUCCGCGCCCGGCUACGCCGCUAUUGCGUCGCGAGAGGCGACUUGAGCGAGGGCGGCAACCUCGAGCUUCAUCCCCGAAUACAAGCUCUCCCGCAGAGCGUUCGCACUUGCGGUCAUGCCGGAUGUGGUGCCAGGUAGGAGGACGAUGCGCUAUGGUGUGGAGGUUAGCUGGGCGUUGCCGCUUUAAGUAGCGCAUUCCGGUGAGGCCAAGCGUCCAGGUGCGUCAUUAAGUCGCCGGAGUUGGUUCCUCGGGCACUGAGCCUCUUAACGGCGACAUACGAACGGACGGCAUGAAUGCGGGCAGCUGGCGCCGGCUGGGAACGCACCGAGCGACGGCACGAGGGACGAGGGUUUUGGUCUGCCAGGGUAGUCAGCUGCGGUCGUGGCAACGUUGGAGAUGCCCUUUGCUCACAUGCGAUCCCCGCAUGUCAUUGAAAAAGCGAGAUGACCCGGCAUGGUCUCAGGUCCAGAGGAUGCAGUUGGCCGCGCUACACCACUCCGCGGACGCGUCGCGGCACCCCGUGCAUCGUCGACGAGCCGGGUGUUGGGGUGUGUUUGGAUUGUGGCCAAAGUGCACCUUACCAAAAUUUUGCUCAUGACCCAAAGAUUGGUCUUUGUUUGGAUGGUUGCCAUUUUUUUGGCAUGCCAAUGAACUCUAGCCAACUCUAGUUCAUUUUUCUUGCCAAUGUCGGCCAAAUCAUGGGCAACCAAUAACUCAACCAAAAUUUUGGUCAUGACCCAAAUAUUGGUCUUUGUUUGGAUGGUUGCCAUUUCUUUGGCAUGCCAAUGAACUCUAGCCAACUCUAGUUCAUUUUUCUUGCCAAUGUCGGCCAAAUCAUGGGCAACCAAUACCUCAACCAAAAUUUUGGCUACCCAAUGCUUUGAUGGGGCAACCUUGGGCACAAACCAAACAUACCGUUGGUCGUGCCACAACACUAACGCCACCCUCGGCACACUGAAACCGACCAUGUCUAGCGACGAUAUGAAUGUGUCGCUCACCGCGGUUGCCGUGUCAAGAGGCGGUGCUGGAGCUGCGCCCCGUUGUUGGCCCCAACGACCCACAUGAACGGUUGUCGGUGGCGAGGAGGUCGUGGGCCAGCUCCUCCAUUGGACUAGUCUGCGCUACGUCGUCCCGACGGGUGUGCCCCACAUGUCGGUUUCCCUGUUUUCCCGGCCAUAUUUGAGCGUCAGUGCUCCGCGUUGCGCAUUAGGCCUUUCACUAUGUAGGCCAAGCGAGACAACUUAUUGUUUAUUUGAGCCGUUCAAGUAUAAUCAUGUGGCGUUUGCUUAUUUCUCAUUCCUCUCCAACCCUCUUCUCCAUCGAUCAUGUCGCCCUCCAGUCGAGUCCAUCCUCCCGCAUGCCUCAUUUGAACAUUCCGCUGAGUAUCAUUCACGUGUACCCACCCUAGUCCUCUUUCAAUAGAUCUCCAGACCCUGAGAUGAAAUCGAGAGGGAACGAGUGGGGGCACGUGAUACCUAAGGCAGAUUCAAAAUUUUGAACCAGUGAUCAUAGCAUCCGCAAAUCAUAUAUAAAGGGUAUUCAAUGUUCGUUUCGUUUUUGAACGUACAAUAUACUCCCUCUAUCCUUUCUAGUAUACAUACAAGUUUUAUGUGUAGUCAAAGUAUCUCUACUUUGAUCAAAAAGGUAUCAACAUUCAACAACGCCCAAUCAAUAUUGUUAGAUUUGUACUCGAGAUGGUUUCCAAUUUGACUAUUGACAAGAUUAAUAGUACAUGAGAUGUAUAAUGUGAAAAUUAAAUCAUUGGAAACUCCUUUCACAUACGAAUUUGACCGUAUGCUUUGUGUAAGUUGCAUGUCAUAUAUUAUUACUCUAACAUUUGGUCAAAGUUAGCCUCGAAAAACGCAUUAGACCCUGUAUGCUUUGUGUAAGUUGCAUGUCAUAUAUUAUUACUCUAACAUUUGUGUAAGUUGCAUGUCAUAUAUUAUUACUCUAACAUUUGGUCAAAGUAGUAUAGUAGAAGUGGAUCCUCUGACAUAGGUAUCCCUGCCUUACCCUCCCUUUCGGUCACUUACUGGUGGACCCCAUGCUUGCUAGGCCCCGAAUGUCAGUUACUCAAUGGGUUCGGCCACGUCAGGGGAUCCUCAUCCGUAGUAUACUCCCUCUGUUUUUAUUUACUCCGCAUAAAACGGAGGGAGUGGUGGUAUAAUAAAUGACGCGGGCGGGGGAGGGGGAGGGACGUCGGUUUGCUCUCAACUACGGUCCCACAAGCGAGCGAAAACGCAAGACGAAGCGCGUUCCAUUCAGUGAGCGACGUGGAGGGUCCAGCGUGCCGGGCUGCAACGCGAACGCGACAAGAGCGAUGUACAGUCAAAACCGAUUGACCGGUCGUCAUCGGAACCACUAUUCACACCAGAACCUUCACUGCUCGGCCUACGCCAGCCACUACCCUAAAACCACACCAAAUCUCCGGCCCAUUCCCCCACCUUUCGAUCCCCUAGCCCGCAUCAAGCGUCCCCUAGUUCGCCGGAAAGCCAUGGUGCGCCGCAAGAUCACUUACUACAAGAUGCUGACGCCGGAGAGCCGCGCAGAAAUCACGGCGGCGAUCGGCCCCACAGACCUCCGUUCCCAAGCUCGCUUUGCGGUGGGCCAAUCCCCGAGUUCUCUGGAGCCAAGCUAUGAGGAGGAGGAAGCCGAUCCAAUGUUCAUGGAGGAGGUCACGGCGCAGAAGGCCCCCCAUGGGUAUGAGACGAUGGACGUCGACUUCGUGCCGGCGUCCGAGUCCCCCAUGGUGCAGGCGGACCAGCGGUUCAACAUGGCGAUACUAAAGGAGGACCGGGAGGCAGAGGCUCAACUCGACGCGGAGCGCGCGCAUGCCGCUGCCAUCGAGGCUCUCCUGCAGGCGGAACCGGAUGUCGUGGAUGUGAACCGGGCGGCGGAGGCUCAACUUGAGGCGGAGCGCGCGGAUGCCGCUGCCAUCGAGGCCCUCCUGCAGGCGGAACCGGACGUCCUGGACUUGAACCGGGUGGCAGAGGCUCGACUCGACACAGAGAGCGCGGAUGCCGCUCUCAUCGACGCCCUCCUGCAGGCGGAACUGGACGUCCUGGACUUGAACCGGGCGGCGGAGGCUCAGCUCGACGCGGAGCGCGCGGAUGCCGCUGCCAUCGAGGCCCUCCUGCAGGCGGAACCGGACGUCCUCGACUUGAACCGGGCUGUGCUCUCGUCCGUGCAGAGCACCCGCAUGCUCCGCUUGAACGAGUAGCUGGAGGCCGAGGACAACCACGGUGCGGAGACACACGUCGGCAGCGACGGCUGGUUCGCGCCGGCAGCCAGAGACGACGAGGCCGUCUCUUUCCGCGAGCAGUGAUAGUUUUUCUUUAUGUUGUUGUUUUUAUGGAUCUUUUGCCGUGUAAAAACAUAUAUUUGUUUUGCAAGUCGCCUGACUUGGGUCAGUCUACCAUUUCAGGCGGUUGGAUGAAUAUCCUACGUCUCCUAACCCUUCUUUCCUUCUUCCUCACCUCUUCUUCUUCCCCAACAGACCACCGCACGGGCCGUACGGAUACUCCCCAACAUGCGGUUGGAUAAACAUACUCUAUGAACGAAAAUUAUGUGUCAGCGAUAGGAUGGCUGAGUUUGGUUUGUUCACAUGCGACAGCACUUGUCAGUGAGGGUGCGUUCCCUUGGUUGGGUUUGCAGCGUGCAGGAGCGACUGUGUGAGGGUGCGGUGCGACCGCGGCGUGCAGGAGCGACCGUGUGAGGGUGCGGUGCGACCGCGACAGCCGUGCGCAAGUGUACCUCCUUCUCAUUUUGAAAACUUUAGGCAAUCUUGGCAAAAAUGUGUGGCGAAGUUUGGCAAUGCAAGGCCUAGACCCAAACAGGAUAAGUACGUACGUACUAGGAGUACUGGUGUUAAAAUAGAAAGGCGGGGUUUCCCUUCGCAGGAUUUAAUCGAUACAAAUCCUCGUUUCACGUGUCAAUUAAUGCGUAUUUUUUUCUCCAAAGACCAAAGAGCUAACCAUCUCACUCCGCAUCGCUUGAUUAAUGCAGCGCCAUGCAAACCAACCUUCUCACUUCCGCAUGCAUGCAGGGGAUAUUAAUGUCCUUGGUUGCUAACCCCAUCAAUUUGGCCUCGAUUAGUGUUAGUGGCCCUUUGCAAAUUGUAAUUUUGAUAUACUGGCCUUGUGUACAAAAAAAUGGAGGUAGUAACUAUAUUUGACUUCCUUCCCCAUUGCGGUGACGUCGACGAUAUCUUUUUUUGGGUGGUUUGGCGAAGUGCGUUCGACGGAGAACACCAUUGAGGGAGACCACGGUAAGUCGUUCGCAAGUGCCGCCUGCAAGCCGAGACAACCGCCUUAUUUGCAUCCAGGAAGUCCUUUACUAGUACUACUAGGAGUACUAGUGCGGUGAGAUGGUUUCUCGAAGAAGACGAUGGAGAAGCGGAGUCAGCGAAGAGUGAAAUGAUGGUUGCUUCGUCCGUGCUUUUGUGAUUUGACACCUCACUACUUUGUGAUUUGUGAUAGAAGGGACAGGGGAGUAGAAUCUGUGCUCUAUACUGUACUACAUGCGUCCAAGCAUGGGAGAAAGAGGAGAGACGCUGCAUUUUUCUAUUCCUUCAAUCAAUCAAUCAGGGAGCUUCGGUUCCAUCUUUUUGGCUUUGGCAACACCGUCCACAAUGGUUCCCAUGAUGCCAAAAGCUAUUUUCACAUUUGGCUACACAUUGUGGAUGCCCUUAACCGUACCACUUGGUUUUGCUCCUGUGUGCUAUCUAUACAAAUCUCAAUUAUAUUGAUCUAAAAAAUUAUAGAAUCAAGAUUAGUAAAAAGGAGGCGAUUUUGCCGCGCGGAUGGCGGGGGAGGUUUCUUAUUUGAGCAAUGCUACAUCCACAUAAUGGUUUACAUAAAGUUAUGAACUGAUGUGAUGUGGGACUAUUUGAUUGGAUUAAAGGAGAGGAUUAGGCCCACCCCACCUGAAAAUCAGGGGGGCAUAUAUAGAUUAGAUGGAAAGUAUACGUAGCAGCUACGUAGACCUUUGUAAGUCUAGGAUUAGGCUUCUUAUUUUCGGAGGACGUUGUCCUGGCGGUUUGCUAACAUGCGGUCCCACGUGUCAGUGCUUUACCAAGCCGAUCCGCGUCCCACAUGAGGCAGAACAACGGCAGAAGCAACACGUGGUUAAGUUGAAGAAGAUGAGGGAGAAGCGGAUUCAGCAACGAGUGAAAUGAUGUGAUGGUUGCUUCGUCCCUCCAACUUAACUGCGGGAAAGGUGCAGCUUUGUGAUUUGACGCAUCAUUGCUCAUUACUACGCCGGCGCCAUGACUGGGGUGCUUCACCCCGGCUGCUCUGCACUGUAUUCCGGUAUGGCAUGUGGACCCGGUAGCUUGAUGUCCCACAUGCCGACGAAUGGGACUAGAAGAUUUAUGAAAGCGAGUGCUCCACUCUUACGAUGGAGGAGUAGACGACACGACGGCCUAGUGAACUGUCACUUGUACGGUAUAGUACUAUAGUUUUGCUGUUUCGCACGAUCCAUCGAUACAAACCCGAUAAAAUAGGAAAGGGUGGGAUUUUUCCCGCCCAGUAGAUGAUACUGGCCAUACAUUUCAAAGGCAAUUUUAAUGUAUGCAAACUGAAUAAUUAUAAGUAACAAUAUGAUAUCUAGUAAAACUAAAAACACAUAUGAUUUAUUGUGUUAGAGUGUAGUAGUAGUGCUGUAUUGCAUAGUUGUUAGAUGUAACAUGCGAGAACGUGUAGAGAUGUAGUUUUGGAGGGCCUACAGAGAGAAAAGCGUAAUACGGUCACCGAACUUCAGAAUAAGCUGAUUACGGUCACUAUAUACGUUUUGCGGUGAUUAUACGGUCACUUGCUCACAGUUCAGCAUCGAAUUGCACUCUGUUGACCGGCCAAAUAGUCUGCGUGGCGCCAUGUUGACUAGUUAAAUUGACCACGUUCCUUGUGGGUCCCACCUGUUAGUUCGCAUAGGUAAAAGGUCAGAUAAACACAAAUUUACGCAGGCGCGACAAGGCUCCAACCCGUGCGCGGGAAUCACCUGGUUGUGUAUGUGUCUGUCAGGGCCUGAUGUGUGCGCAUGCAUGUGUAGGUUGAGCACUUGAGCGUGAGAGUGUGUGUUGGUCGUGUGGUGUACUGGUGAGUGUUGCGUGCGUGUGUGCGUGUGAGUGUUGCGUGCGUGCGUGUGAGUGUUGCAUGCGUGCGUGGCUGCGUGUGUAUGUGUGAGUGUUGCGUGCGUGCGUGGGUGCAUGUGUUUGUGUGAGUGUUGCAUGGAUGUAGUUCGUGUGCAUGCGUGCGUGUGUGUAUAAUCACCACACCAGCUCCUGUGUGUUAAAACAGACGGCUCAGCAUACCAAUACAAGGCCACCUUGUCCGUUGUGCCCGCGGUCAUGACUUCGAACCACCGUCCAAAUAUUUUUUUGUCGUUUGUUUUCAUUCUUACUAGCAAGAUGCCCGUGCGUUGCACGUAACAUCAAGAUGCAUUUGUAUGACUUGAUUAUCUUGUGAGAGAAAAGGAUGAACGAGGGAAGGCCUUAUUUGCAAAUGUGGAGAGGUGUGUGGGUACCUUUUUGCAAAAUUGCCAUAGUUUCUUUCCUAUCCGUCGGAUAUAAAUCGGACGGCCUAUAUUGCAGGAUGGCAGGCACACCAUCAUCACCAACUCUGUUUUUUAUAAGAGUGUAUUUUAUGUAUUUUAUAAGAGUGUAGAUGUAGAGUAGAUACAAGUCGACAGGUGGGCACGAUGGUAGUGAGAUAAUGUGAUGCAACACUAGAGGUGCCACGUGGAGCAUUUAACUGGUCAACUAGUCAUGUCAUGAGCAAAUACAGAAUUGUACGGUGAGCCCGUGACUGUAUAAUAACCACUAAACGUAAAUGGUGACCGUAAUGAGUGGAUUCUGAAGUCCAAUGUACGUAUCGUGCUUUCGCCUCAAAUACAAUGAUCGUCAUUGCAUAUAUCGCGAGAUAAAGAUGAAACGUGCGUGAAUUUUCUGGGGGCUUACUUUUAGAGGACCUAGAGAUAGUUUUGUGUGCAUACGUGAAAGGGGCAUAUAGGGGGGUAUGCGAUGGAGAGAGAGAUGCUCUUCGUUUCUCUUUAUUAUCACUAACUUUGUAUAUAGUAUAAAAAUAUACAAAUUCACAGUGCGGAAUAAAUAUCAUUGUGGGCACCAUGCAAUGCAAAUUAGCGUUCGUACUCCUCCAUAUAACUUUGUAAUGUUGUAUAUAUGUAGAAACUCUAAAAUAAUUUUUUGGCCACACUUUAUUCAAGAGGAAUGUUGUAUGCGAAAUAAACGUGAAGAGAGGGCUUUUUAGAUCAAUGGGGUACGUGAUGUAACAUGUGUGAAUGUGUAGUUGAUGCAUUUGGCGGGGCCUAGAGAGGUAUGUGUGUCUAUUACGUAUUCGAGAGAGGCAUGGAUAGAGGGGCCGACUGGGGGGCGUGGGAGAGAUAGCACGAGAAAUGAGAGUGGUCUAGAGAGAGAGACGAAUAUGACGUCACGAUAAGAGAUUCCAUUCCCUUGAGUGUGUAUAUGCAAGGGGGAGGGAAUAGAGGCACCAGGAGAAAUUUUCUCUGUGUGUGGUGUUUGUGUUGGCAUGUGUGGUUGUGAGAAGAUAAUGAGACGUGGGGGCAGAGGGUGUGUCACCGUGUGAGGUCCGGUGGGUCGAGGUGAGGCCCUUCGUUCGGUUCCGUCCUGCGCCACAUUGGUCGGCCCGUGACACAUUUAGGAAGAUUCAUGGAUGACUAGUCGUACAAGACAAAGAUAGCAGAAUUGUGAAGGACUCUGUGUCCACUGACAAAGCCGGCUAGGAUUUGUAACCCUAGGUUCUCGGACUAAGGUAACCCCUUUAUCUCUGAUAUUACUAUUCAUCCAACCUAACUUUAAGGGGCAUCCUACAGAAUGCUCUGCUAGAAUCAUACUCGUCGAUUAGGAAGAGAGGUGUGAGACAAUGCGUGAGAGACAGGCGUAAAGAUAAUGUGCGUACAUGAGACACGUAGGCAGGUCCAUGUAUAUAGAAAGGGUCAAUGAGGAUUGUGCGUGUGUAUGUUUGCGAGAGGAAGAGUGCUUGUGACAAAGGUUAGUGAAAACAGUUGUAAAUGGUUAUGAGAGGGAGGGAGGGUUAUAUCUAGAGCAUGUGUGCGAGAAAGACACCUCGGGAGAGAGUGUGUGAGCAUGUGUGAGAGACCACCGAUGGAGAGUGAAACUACACAUAAAAGACUGCUCUACACAUUGAUUAAAGAUAUAAAUUGUAUCCAAAUAUUAGGAUGGGAUCAUGAUAUUUGCAAUUCGCGUAAGGAGCGGUCAUUGAUCCAUCAGACAUCUAGAUUCUAUCGAAUUUGAGCAUGUCUAUGUUAUUAUUCGACACAAUUGAUCCACAUAGUUAGUAUUUUGAACUCCAGACAAUGCAUUGCUUUAGCAAUCGAAUAUAAACGUGAGUAUAGUUCAUGUUGUGUGUGUAAAGCACAUUAUACAUACCAAAGUUACACAAUGGACAUUAUAAAUAUCUACCUAUGAACUAGCAUACAUUUGAAUUCAACUUAAGGUGGUUUAAAAAAAUCGAAUUCAACAUGAAGUCCAUUCAAUUAUUUGAAUUUGAUAUCAUGGCAUUUGUAAACCAUACCUAAAUUAUGGGGGCACCAAUCUUUGCUCUGAUUUUGUACAUAAUAGCAUAUGUAGUCGUGUACAAAAUAGAUUCAAAUUUAGCUCCUCCAUUCCAAAAUAAUCGUAGUUAUAGGAUUUUCAAGUGUCAAAAUUUCAAAAAGAAGCGGAUAAUUUAAUGAGGUUUUCAAACAUACAAGGUCAAAUAUAACGUUGUCUAUUUAGGUCAAUCCUCAUAGUUCAAGAGUACUCUAAACGUGAAUGCUUGUGUUUCAAAAUUUUGAACGAAGCGCCAAAAGAGCCUCUACUCGCCCGAAACCGCGUGAGACCAAUGUUUGGUAGUACAAGGAAAUUACUUUUCUAAUAACUCUGACCCGUGAAACCUACCGGCCUGAUAUCCAAAGGUCUAAACCAGGGUAGGUUUAUAGCUUCAUCUAGACGCCACGCAACCGCAUCCGAAAAACAUUCAUACACAAUGGCCGCCUAAGCACACAUGCGCGCGUCCGAAAUCGCUCCCGCCCACUAUUUGGGACACCUGGGAUUACCAUCCUACCCCCGACCCGUAGUAGGUCCGAAAUUUAAGAGGGGGGCAAAGUUUGUACUUUCCCCAAAUUUCAAACAAGCGCGUCCCAUCUUCUGUUCAAAAAAGCCAAAAACAAGCGCGUCCCAGACCGAAACAUGGUUCCCCCGCCACCCGUCCGAUUCCCCAUUCGUACUUCGUGGGCGCCAAAACUACCUCUCCACCAGCCGCGAAACCCCGGCGUCCUCCGUCCGCCACCACAUCCCACCCAUCAACCGCCGCCCUCCUCCAUCACGCCGGAGCCGAUACCCCGACGUCGUCGUCCAUCGCAACCUCAACCGCAACGCCCUCCACGGCUAGUAGUUGAAGCCGAGGCCGAGCCGUCCGUACCCGAGCCACUUCAACCACACCGUCCUGCGCCUCACCGCUGCCGCUCCAACUUCGCCACCCUCCACCGCACCGGAGCUGUUCCUGCUACGCCGUCCUUCGCCGCCUCGGAUUUGCUUCCCCUCCGCCGACAUACGGCCAUGGCAACACAGUCAACAAUUUGGCCAUGGGUUAGUCCAAGCCUGCACCCUCCAGAACAUCGGUUUCCCCGAUAAAAAGAAGAAGAUCGGCGCGACAUGUGGAGGUGACCACACCGGCAACCGAAAAAGGUACUCCUCUUCCCUUAUUCGUGCAAAUCUUACGUCUCUGCUUGCACGGUAUUCAUCCCAUAGAAGACACUAGUUGACCGCUUCUUCUUGAUACUAGAUGUUCCUAGUAACUCGCGAUGCACAAGGUUUCUCCUCAUAUACUAUUUCACCUUAGCUAGAGGUCCGUCGCCCCCCUGAAUUUCAAUUUCUGGCCAGUUGAUUCCCAAUUAAUGGAAGCAUUUCAAUUUCUGGCUAGUACGCCUAUUACGCCGGGGAAGCAGCGCCUUAGUGUUUAUCUUAGGGGCGUGUGCGGCCUAGAGCUACUGGCGCCCGAUCUGGAGGUCGGCCGGGAUUAAAGGGAUGGCCUGGGGGCGCUGCCAAGCACGGCGGUGGUGUGAGGUCGAUGGGAGGGUGGGGCGGCGGAGGCAGGUGUCUGGGCCGGUGGUCGCUGGCGGUUCGAGAAAGAUCGUCAACAGUGACUGGCGGGAGGUAGACGAAGGCCAUCUACCCGUUCCUUAUAGAUCGGACGGUUCAUUAAAAAAAAUCGACUGACCUAUUUAUUUUCAGUCGACUGUUAUCUUAGAUAUGACCACAUGUGGUGGUGUGCUGGAGGAGUAUCUGCAUUUCCUGUGCUCAUAUAUUACAAAAUCAUACGGAGUAGAAUCUAAUUUUGUUUGCCAUGCAAUCUUGUAGAGCUAUCAUAUGUCUCCUGUCAUUUAUUUUUCAGCCACCUGCUAUCUGCUACUUUUACAGUGCACUAGUUCUGCACACACUUCACCCUUACUCUCACUAUUGUGUUUUUAUGCAAGGGUAUUUCAGACUCUGCUGCCAUGAGAGAAGCCAAAAAGAAAAGAGAUAAGUCGCUCUAGCUUCGUAUGCGGGUAGGCAAGACACGUUACAACGCUAUAAAGGGUGCAGUGUCAGCAGAUGGAGACGGUAAACGUAGCUCUAGAGUUGAUGACCUCGCUCGCAAUGAACCACCAUCCCAGGUGCUUGCUUUAACUUCGCGGUGUCAUAUGUGGUUGCAUGUUCCAUAUGGUGUCUAGCUUGUAUUCGAAAGGCCGAAGUCGGUAAGAUAAGGAAAGAUAUUUUUUUACAUGAACCACCAUCCCGUGAGCACCAGAAGACAAAUAGCUAGUCACGGCACUGGCCGAGCCAGUGACAAGCCCAGCAAAGAUAGGCAUCACCUGGAAGCCAACUAAAAAGCUGCGAUGGUGGCGAAGCAGCCCGCCUCCCACCAGGCUCUCAGGUCCUAGAUGAUCAUGCUGACCACUCCAGCCGGAUGUCUAGCUUGUAUUUCUUCCAAUUUGGUUAAAUUGCAUCUCCUUAGCUUACACAUUAUACCUUUGAAUAUGACAUGCCUUUCUAUUUUUGGUACAUACUAGUACAUCUGUGUAUUAACCAUGUUCUUACAUCAAACUAAUGUUCUUGUGUAUCCCUCAUCAAUCACUUAUGACGAGGCAGGCAGGCAAGGGGACUACUCCUCAUUUAAAGAAUAUAGCGUCAGCCUCCCGACAUGAUUCUCAAGAAACAGAAAUGCUAGAUGAAGAUAGUGAACGUAGCUCUGUAGUUGAUUACAGCAUUUCCCCUACACUAGCAUCGCAGGUGCUUGCUCUAACUUGGCAGCGUGAUAUGUGGUUGCAUGUUGCAUAUGGUGUCUAGAUUGUAAUUCUUCCAAUCUGGUUAAACUGCAUGUGCUAGUCUGCUUAGCUUAUACAUUAUACCUGUUAAUGUGACAUGCCUUCGUGUAUUUAGUACAUAGUACAUCUGUCUAUUAAGCAUGUCCUUACAUAAAACUAUUGUUUUUUUGUAUCCCGCAUCAAUCAACAUGACGAGACACCUUUAGUAUAUGCAGUGCGAUAUUAGUUGCAUCUUUCAUAUGAUUUAUAGCAUGCGCUGCUUCUAAUUUGUUGAAAUUCCAUUUAUGAUGGGACGCUUUUAACUUGCCAGAGUCAUAUUGGUUGCAUCUUUCAUGUGGUGUCUAGCUUGCAUUACUUCUUAUUUGCUGGAAUGGUUUCUGCUUAGUUUACACAAACAGUUGUGAACAUGCCAUGUCGAACUGUUUUUCGUACAUAUUCCAUCCUGGUAUCAUGUGUUUGCCUUACAUCAAAGUAGUGAUUGUCAGUAUCAUGCAUGAAUGAGUUCUGAAGAGAGAAUUUUAUUGCUUUUUCUUGUCAGUUUUACUUGACAAUUCAAAAUCAAUAAAGCGGAAGGAACUUAGCAAGGCAGCGGAUAAAGGUGCUCCUUCCGAACGGAGGGCCUCUACAGUUUCUACUCCUCCACACCCCCAAGAUGAUUUCCAAGACAACACAUGCAUAGACACUCAACAAAGCUGUGUUUAUGAUGAGCACGUCUCCCCUAGUGCAGCAUCACCGGUGCUCCCUCUAACUUGGCACUGUUAUAUGUGGUUGCAUGUUAUGUGUGAUGUCUAGCUUGUAUUGCUUCUAAUUUUGUUGAAUUCCAUCUGCUUACUUUACACAUUAUACUUGAAUAAGACACGUGUUCCUGUUUCUAGAACAUACAAUAUCUGUCUAUCAUACCAUGUUCUUACAUCAAAUUACUACUAUUGUGUAACCUGCAAUAAUCACUUAUCAUAAGACACGUUUGACUUCGGAGUGUGAUAUAGGUUACAUCUCACAUUCUUUUCUAGCUUGUACUACUAAUUUGUUGAAAUGGCAUUUAUGACGAGACAGUUUUAACUUGGUAGAGUGAUAUUCAUUGCAUCUUUCAUAUGGUGUCUAGCUUUCAUUGCUUCUAAUUUGUUGAAAUGCCUUCUCCUUAGUUUACACAUCAUAAGCUAUGAAUAUGCAAUGAUGUGAAUAUGCAAUGGCACUAAUGACGAGAGACCUCUAACAUGGUAGUGUGAUGUUGUUUGCAUCUUGCAUAUGAUUUAUUUCUUGUACUGCUUCACAUUUGUUUAAACGCCAUUUAUGAUGAGACACUGUUAACUUGGCACAGCGAUAUUUGUAGCAUCUUUCAUAUGGUGUCUACCUUCCAUUGCAUUGCUUCUAAUUUGGUGAAAUGUCUUCUCUUAGUUUACACAUCAUAGUUCUGGUUAUCUCUUUCGUCCUGUUUUUCAUACACAUUACAUCCUCCUAUCAUGUGGUUGUCUAACAUCAAAGUUCAGUUCGUCUGCAUCACGCAUCAAUUUGUUCUGAAGAACUAAAUUGUUAUUCGUUUUUCUUGUCGGCUUGACUUAACAUGGCACAGAGAAAGAGGAAGAAACACAGAAUGGCAGGGAAUGAGAAGCGGAUGAAUCCUGUAGAUUCUGCUGGUACUGAUGGUGCAAUAGAAGGUCAAAGUCCAGCGGAAAAUUCUACAAACAUGGCAUCCCAUGCUACACGAGUUGCAAAAAAAGCCAAACAGAAACAAAUAGCUGCCACCAAACAAGCAGAGACAUCCCUAGUUCUUGCAACACCUACCACAGUACUACCAGCUGCACGACUUACUCAUGCGUCAACUGAGCUAGCAGCACGUUCCCAAGCUCCCUUGCCACCUAACACUACUUCCCAAGCACUCUUGACACAAGAAGAGUUGGCAAUAUCAGAUGAACCUUGUGAGCUUCAACAGCAAGAAGGUAGUUGCUGGAGUCAAGUUACAGUUGCAUGCUUCUUUAUAUGUAGUCUCACAGUUUGAUGUACACUAACACUUCCUAUGUUCGUUGUUGGACUAGCACCUAGGCGCAAGAGGAAACAAACAUCAGGGAUAAUGCUCCAUAGGUUAACUAAAUCUAGAGGAGCAAGAAUGGAGAUCCGUUUUGAGGCAGGUUUAAAAAGGCCACGUGAUGCUAUAGAGUCAGCCAAGUUAGUAUCAGAGGCAGCAGUUGCCGUUACGUGUCAUGUACGUAUCCUCCCAACAUGGAUUCAGUACAGGAAUGACAAAGACGAAACCCAGUUCAACACCUUCCUCGACCAUUUAUCUGUAAGUAUGGUUAUGUAUGGAAACUAGUAAUAUCGUCUUGCUCUGUCCCAUACUUUCUAGGUUGCUAAUAAUGAGACUCCCAUAAUUUUCAACAGAUGAGGUUCAAGUUGGAUAGCCAAGAUGAUGCAACUAGACAAGCUGCACCCAUGUUUUCCAGUCUGCUCUGCGACAGUAUCGGUAUAACUUGAGGAAACUCACUUUGAAGGCAAGGCUAACAGUGAACUUUCCCAAACAUCUCCAGUGGAAAAUAUAUCGGAUGAAGACUGGAGGGGCCUUGUUAAACAAUGGUCUGAUCCGAAGUAUCAGGUACAUUAUAUAUAUGUGUGAUCAGAUCACAUGUUGAAGUCCUAUUUACGCAUGUGCCACACAAAUCUAUCUUCUUGUAGGUGAACUGUUCAAAGAACAAGGCCAACCGUACGAAAGUGAAAUUCCAACGGACGACAGGAUCUCGUAGCUAUAUUGCACACUGCGAGGCUCUUGUAAUUAGCUGCUGUUUCACUCUUUUCGCUGUACCAUAUUAUCAGAUCUAUAUUGACUUGUUCGAAAUGCAGAGGAAAGCCCGCAAGGACCAAAAAGUACCUGAACCAAAUGCUGUGGAAAUCUUCAAGGACUGUCACACCAGCAAGAAGAAGGGCAUGACUACACCAGUCAAAGCCGCUAUUGUAAGUCCUUAAUCCUCAUGCCUUUUAACUACUACUUACUCUGACUUGUGCCUUGAACUGCAUGGUUUGCAGCCAAUGUCUAUUACUCUUUUCAAUUUUAUACACAAUUGUCUUAGAGUAUCAUUGCACCUUACAAGGUUUAAAAGAGAGGAGUGAUGUUCCUUUGAUCUUGACCCGUAAUCUAGUUCCGUGCUGGACUUGCCCACACAACGUUACAAUUGCCUGUUUGUCUGUUCUCAGUUGUUUUGUGAUAGGAAUGAUGUCAUACUAUGCUUACCGUAUUAUAAACUUCGUCUCUUUAUCCUUAGCCCUCAAAACAAUGUGAAGAAACAGACAAUACGUUAGCGAUGGUACAUGGUCAUAUGUUUGGAACCUGGUUUUAUUAUGUACUUUGCAAUAAAAUACAACUAAUAUUUUACAUGGGUUCACCAGAAUAAGUUCUGUAUAUAGACCAAAGCUAUUUUGUUUGGUUUUGCUGCCUCCUUAAUAUCUUCUGUUCUGGUACUACUAAUGUAAAACCUCAACUUUUCAGCGAGCUAUGGAAAAAAUGGUGGAACCGCCACCUUCUGAAGGUGGCGAGGCAACUAUAACCGCAAUGUCAGCUCUUGCUGCAGUGGGUCAGUACCUGUCCACUAACAGUGCCAAAAGCACGUUCCUGCGUAAUACUGGGUUGGUUGUUAAGGAAGUAUCGUCCAAACUGCCUCAUGAUCAAGAUAUGCAAGCUCAAAGCAAUGUUGUAUCUGCGCUCCAGACACAAGUCCAUUCCCUAACAGAGAUCCUUUGUGAAACAAGGAGAAACAUUGCUCAAUGUCGUCAAGAUAUGCAUGGUCUUGAAACCAGACUAUCAGACAUUUGCUAUGUUGUUCAGGAGCCUAGGGGAAAUGAAGGCGAGGGUUAUGGUGCUCCAUCGGACAAUACAACAUGAAAAUGUAACAGUCAGGUCAAAUGAACUGAGCUUCUGAACUUCUGGUGGUGCAUUUAUCUGCUAGACUGUUAAGUUUUAUGCCAACCUUCCUUUUGUUAUAUAGUUGUAAUUUGUUUUGGUGCGAUACAAAAUUUAUUCUUAACGUGCAGCCACCGGCUGAAGAAAACAGCAAGCCAUUUUUGUAUAGUGUAGGGUGUUCCCUAUAUUUGCACUGGUGGCGAUCUUUGAUGCCGAGUGGAUGUAAUCUGUGCAAUCGCCUUAAUAGCCUAGCGUUAGUUUCGGCCUUAUUUAUUUCCUAGUCUUCUUUUUCCCUGGUUUGCUAGUGGCCGCAACUACCAUGGGCCAUAUACGGGUCGUAGGAUCCAUGGGUCUCCUAUGGGCCGUCGAUAAAUGGGCCUGUAAUCGGUGGGCCUCGGGCCGUCGGAUAAAUGGGUCUACAUGGGUCGUAAUCGGGCGUAAUUGGUAUCGGCCCAGCACGGUAACAGGCCGUUAACAGGCCGUAGGACAGCAAAGGCUUAAUUCUGUCACAGGCAUAACGGGUCGUUAAUGGGCCAGAACAUAGGACGGGCUGGAAACGGCGCAACGGGUUAACAGGCCAGAAACGGGCCGACUCUUGCCAUGGGCCGAAUUUGGCCCAUUAGGGUAACAGGCCAGUAACAGGCCGACUCUUGCCAUGGGCCGAAUUUGGCCCAUUAGGGGAAUAGGCCAGUAACGGGCCGACUCUUGCCAUGGGCCGAAUUUGGCCCAUUGGGGGAAUAGGCCAGUAACGGGCCGGAAGUAAUCAAGGGCCGAAAAGGAGCCCAAGAACGUAUGGGCCGUCAAUAGACCGAAAGCUAACACGGGCUGGAAACGGCCCAUGUAAAUCACGGGCCGUUAACGGGUAUAAAGAAAAUUACUGUUCAUUAUGGGCUAGAGUCACCGUGGGCCUGUAAAGGGCCGAAAGAUACGAAGGCCUCAUAUGGGCCGAAAGACACCGUGGGCCAUACAUGGGCCGAAACUGAAAUGGGCUGGUGUUAUAUUCGACGGCCCACAUGACAUUGUUGGGCCGAUUUCCUUUAGGGUCUAACGGGUCGUGAGUUAACGGGCCGUAAAAUGGGCUAUUUGCGAAGAGACCGUUAACAGGCUUUUCAUGGGCCAGCCUGUUAACUUUUGACCAAGUCAAACGGGCCGGCUUUGUAAGCUAAAAGGGCCAGUGGUGGGCCGUGGCACGUGUCGACAUAUCAUAGGCGCCUAUCUGACCCACUGACGAGCUGACACGUGUUUCGUCCGGCCAAUAAGAAUUUUACAUGUGGAAAUUUCCCAUUGGUCGGGGCUGUUAACGGGUUAUCGGAUCCAAAACCCGACCCGAUAGCUUAACAGCGUUCCAUUACGGUGGAUGCCACGUGUCGGUCACCCUUGACGAAAGCACUUCUGUGACGCGCGAUUUAUCGUCAUGGAAGUGGACACUUCCGUGAUGAUAAUUUUGGUAAUGUCAUGGAACACGUCUACGACGGCACAGGUAUGACUAUCUUGAUUCUGUCAUAAAAUCGUCAUGGAUGUACAUGCAUGACAAAAAACGCGACCUACUGUGACAAAGACGUAUCAUCAUGGAAGUGUAUUUUUUUUGUAGUGUUGGGGAUCCUAUGUUUGAUGAAAAUGACAUGUUUGAGUAUUUAUUUGCUAAAAUUAAUGUUUGUCCCAAGCUUGGGGUGAUAUGCUUAAUGAAGAUGAUCUUUUUAGUCCCCCUACUUCGAAUGAUCAAAUUUGCUAUGAUGAUUGCAUGCCUCCUAUCUAUGAUGAGAACAAAGUUGCUACUUAUGAUGAUUAUUGUGAUGACACUUAUGUUAUAAAAAGUAGUGAUAAUUAUUGUCAUAAUUUUGAAUAUCCUUUUAGUGAACAUGACUCUUUUAAUGUGGAAACAAUUUUUGGAAUUCGAGCUUCAUAUGAUACUCCCACUAUUGUGAGUGAGAAUAAAAUUUCUUAUCUCCACCUCUCGCCCCCGCGUCGCUCCAAUAGGGGCGACACGGGUGGCCAACCCUAGCCGCCGUCGGCGGCCUCCCCUCCCCUUCCUCUCCGCCUCGUCGCCACCAGAGGAGCCGCCGGUGCGCCGCGCAGCUGCCGAGGAAGGUGGCGGCGAGGAUCUAGCAGCCUGGGCCUCCCUCGAGGUGCUCUGCUUCAUGGUGGCGGCCAUGGCAGGUGGGCCGGCUUCUGCUUCAGCGCGCGAUGGCCAGCGGAAAUGGCCGUCCUCCUUGGCUGCAGGGGCGGCGAGGUGGCGGCAGGUGGUGGCGGUGGUGCGGGGGGCCCUCGUGGUUCCCUUUUCCGAUCUGAAGGUUCCAUCCUCAGACUUCCACAACGCCCCCUGCUGGAUCUGGCCUGUGGUGGUCUUCGGCUACCGGGGUUGUUCCUUCUUGGUGGUUGGAGGUGGGCAGGGACACCGGAGAAAUCUGAGGCCGGCUGGUCCGGCAACGACGGCGGCGAUGUCCUUGGACGUCGUUCCCUUCUUGUUGGCGUUGUCAAGGUUGUCCCUUUUUGAUGAUGUUUACCAAGACUACGUCGGUGGUUCGCCCAAGAGGAGAGGAUGAUGUAGCACAACAACGGUAGGUAUUUCCCUCAGUAAUGAAACCAAGGUAUCGAACCAGUAGGAGAACCAAGCAACAAAACGUAAACAGCCCCAACACACAAAUAAUAGCCACUCGCAACCCGACGUGUUAAAGGGGUUGUCAAUCCCUUCCGGGUAACGGCGCCAGAAACGGCUAGUUGGCGGGAUAAAAUUGUAAUAGAUUGAAAUAAUAGAUCACAAAUAAAAUAUUUUUGUAUUUUUUGGUUUAAUAGAUCUGAAUAAAAACGCAAAGAAAAAGUAGAUCGUAAGGCAAUUAUAUGAGACAGAAGACUCGGGGGCCGUAGGUUUCACUAGUGGCUUCUCUCGAGAAAAAUAGCAAACGAUGGGUAAACAAAUUACUGUUGGGAAAAUGAUAGAACUUCAAAUAAUCAUGACGAUAUCCAGGCAAUGAUCAAUACAUAGGCAUCACUUCCAAGAUUAGUAGACCGACUCCUGCCUGCCUCUACUACUAUUACUCCACACAUCGACCGCUAUCCAGCAUGCAUCUAGUGUAUUAAGUUCAUGGAAAAAUGGAUUAAUGCAAUAAAAACGAUGACAUAAUGUAGAAAAGAUCUGUUUAUCUAUAUGGCGGUAGAUAUAGAUCUCGUCUUUUUAUCCUUAGUAGCAACGAUACAUACGUGUCGGUUCCCUUUCUGUCACUGGUAUCAAGCACCAUAAGAUCAAACCCACUACCGGGCACCUCUUCCCAUUGCAAGAUAAAUAGAUCAAGUUGGCCAAACAAAACCCAAAUAUCAGAGAAGAAAUAUGAGGCUAUAAGAGAUCAUGCAUAUAAGAGAUCAAAUAAACUCAAAUAACUUUCAUGGAUAUAAAAAGAUAUAACUGAUCAUAAACUCGAAGUUCAUUAGAUCCCAAUAAACACACCGCAAAAAGAGUUACAUCAUAUGGAUCUCCAAGAGACCAUUGUAUUGAGAAUUCAGCGAGAGAGAGAGAGACAUCUUGCUACUAACUACAGACCCGAAGGUCUACAAAGAACUACUCACGCAUCAUCGGAGAGGCACCAAUGGAAGUGGUGAACCCCUCCGUGAUGGUGUCUAGAUUGGAUUUGGUGGUUCUGGACUCUGCGGCGGCUGGAUAAUAUAUUUCAUCGACUCCCCUAGGGUUUGUGGUUUUUUGGGGUAUUUAUAGAGCAAAGAGGCGGUCCGGGGGGCAUCCGAGGUGGGCACAACCCACCAGGGCGCGCCUGGGCCUCCUGGCGCGCCCUGGUGGGUUGUACCCCCCUCGGGGCACCCCCCCAGGUGCAACCAGGGCCCAUUGCCUUUAUUUUGGCCCAUAAAAAAUCAUCGUGGAGUUUCGUGCCAUUUGGACUCUGUUUGAUAUUGAUUUCCUGCGAUGUAAAAACAUGGAAAAAACAGCAACUGGCACUUGGCACUAUGUCAAUAGGUUAGUACCAAAAAAUUAUAUAAAAUGAUUAUAAAACAUCCAAGAUUGAUAAUAAAACAGCAUGGAAUAAUCAAAAAAUUAUAGAUACGUUGGAGACGUAUCAGCAUCCCCAAGCUUAAGUCUUACUCUUCCUCGAGUAGGUAAGUGAUAAAAACAGAAUUUUUGAUGUGGAGUGUUGUUCAUCAAGUCAUAUCAUAUUAUUUUCUUUAUAGCAUGGACAUUUGGACUUUUAUCUGAUUCAAAGCAAUAGUCUAGUUUUGACAUAAUAAUUUAGAUACUCAAGCAUAUCAACAAGCAACCAUGUCUUUCAAAAUAUCAAUGCUAAAACAAGUUAUCCCUAGCCCAUCAUGCUCAAACAUUGAUCCAUUCGUGAAACACACUCGAAUAUUAGCUACACCAAAUACUUAAGUACGAUCAUAUUGCCUCCUAGUUGGUGCUUUUGUAAGAGAAGAUGGAGACUCAAAUUCAAAAAUAAAAAUUGCAUAAAGUAAAAGAAGGGCCCUUCGCAGAGGGAAGCAGGGAUUUGUAGAGGUGCCAGAGCUCAAAGUGAAAAUUUUGAGAUAAAAACAUUUUUGGAGGUGUAUCCAUCGCACCAACGAAAAUGGCGUAGAGCUACGAACACUUUCCAUGCUAGAUAUGCCAUAGGCGGUUCCCAGACAGAAAAUAAAGUUUAUUCCUUUUUCCACCAUAUGUUCACUUUCCAUGGCAAGCCAUGUCCACGGGUGCCUUCCAUACCAACACUUUCCAAGGAAUUUAUUAUUUGACAACAUAAAGUAAAUUCAUUUUUGCAUUUCGGGACUGGGCAUCCCUAAAACCUUUGCCUUACUCUCGUGCAAUGACAAGUGAAUAAACACUCAUCUUGAGAAUAACACAUCCAGCAUGGAAAAUAUUAGCCACCCGUGACCGUUCCGCGAGCGAAACAAACACACAAAAGAGAAGUUUAUUUUGAAAAUUAGAGAUGGCACAUGCAAAUUUGCUUAGAACGGCAAAAGAAUACCGCAUAUAGGUAGAUAUAGUGGACUCAUGUGGCAAAACCGGUUUAAAGGAUUUUGUGGAUGCACAAGUAGAGAUCAUACUUGGUGCAAAAUGAAGGCUAGCAAAAGAUUGAGAAGUGACCAACCAAGAAACGAAUAAUCUCGUGAAGCAAGCAUUAAGCAUAAGUAACACCGAAUAAUGCACCACAAGUAGGAUAUAAUUUUCAUUGCAUGAUUAUUGACUUUCGUGCAUGCAUAGGGAAUCACAAACCUUAACACCAAUAUUCUUACUAGAGCACAAUUACUCAUCAACAUAACUCAUAUAUCACAUUAUCAUAUCUCAAAACUAUUACUAAGAAUCAAGUUUAUUUUGUCCAAUGAUCUUCAUGACAUUUUCUUUUCUUUAUCCUUCUUGGAUAUCUAUCACUUUGGGACUAAUUUGCAUGUGUUGCUUUUCAUAAGCUCAAACAAAUAUAAGUGAAGAUCAUGAGCAUAACAAAUUUUCUUUCUCUCAAAAUAAUUUAAGUGAAGCAAGAGAGAAUUUCUUCAAAAAUACUAAGCACACCGUGCUCAAAAAGAUAUAAGUGAAACACUAGAGCAAGUCCUAGCUCAUACAAGAUUUAAUUGAAGCAUAGAGAGCAAUUCUAACAAGUCAUGAUAUAAUUUUGGCUCUCUAAAAUAAGUGUGUCCAGCAAGGAUUGAUGACUUAAAACACAAAAUAAAACAAGCAAAGACACAUAUCAUACAAGACGCUCCAAGCAAAACACAUAUCAUGUGACGAAUAAAAAUAUAGUCUCGAGUAAAAUACCGAUAGUUGUUGGAAGAAAGCGGGGAUGCCACUCGGGGGCAUCCCCAAGCUUAGUUGGUUGCUCAUUCUUGGAUAAUAGCUUCGGAUGCCGGGGCAUCCCCAAGCUUAGGCUCUUACAUCCGUCCUUCAUCCAUCGUAAGAUAACCCAAAACUUGAAAUUUUCAAUCACACAAAACUCAACAAAACUUUCGUGCGAUCCGUUAGUAUAAGAAAGAAAACCACUACUAUAAGUGCUGUAUUAAACCAAUUCAUAUUCUGUUUUUGCAUUAUAUCUACUGUAUUCCAACUUUUCUAUGGCAAAAACUCAUCAAAGAAAACCAUAGAGCCAUCAAAAUAAACACACAACACAAAGAAAACAGAAUCUGUCAAAACAGAACAGUCUGUAGUAAUCUGACUUUGGAGAAUACUUCUGUAACUCAAACAAUUCUACCAAAAUAGGACGACCUGGGUAAUUUGUAUAUUAAUAUUCUUUAAAAAGAAUCAGGGCAAAAUCUCUUUUCUGUGAUUUAUUAAAAUUAUUUUCGUGAGCACAAAGUUUCUGUCUUUUUCAGCAAGAUUAAACAACUAUCAACCAAGAAGAUCCUAUAGGCUUUACUUGGAACAAACACUAAUUAAAACAUAAAAAGCACAAUCAUACCAGUAGCAUAAUUGUGUAAACACUCGAGAACAGCAAGCAAGAAGCAAAAAUAAAUUUUAUUCAUUGGGUUGCCUCCCAACAAGCGCUAUAGUUUUACACCCUUAGCUAGGCGUAUAGCAAGGAUCUAAGUUUUGUCGUCCUUGUCCUUUUGAAGGCAAAUAGAUAAUUUUCUAUCAAUGGUGUUUAAUCUUCUAUUUUCCGAAAGUACAAGAGCAUUUAUAGCAGAAGAAAUAUUAAGCAUAUUGCAAAAAUUCGUAUCCAAACUAGCCUUCAUCUCUUUGAUUGUUUCAUUCUAAUAAAAGCAUAGAAGGGUAGUUGGCUCAACAUGAUCUCCCUUGGGAUGCCCAAAAAUGGUUUUCAUCUUUCCAUAAGUAUCAAUGGCAUCCCCUUUAAGAAAACCAUUUUCAAAUAUAGAAUCCAAGACUAUCUUAAAGGAGGAAGGCAGACCAUCAUAAAAACUUUUCAAGGAUAUCUCUAUCUGAUAUUGGGGCACAUAGCUAGCUUGAAUUCUUAACAGCCUAUCCCAAGCAUCUUUCAAAGAUUCAACAAGUAAGUAACAAAAAAUUUCGGGAUCGUCUACAUCAAAAUUGUCAAGAUUUUCCUUAACAACCCCAGUAAAUCCUUCCACAGCAUCAUUGUUUAUGAGCUUGGAGAGGACGGAGGGGCUAUCCAAAGCAUCAAAACUUGGGGUAAACCCCUAGCCUUUUUAGAAUCGAACAUGGCAACGGAAAAACGGCAAGCGAAGAGAGGCGAAUAAAGCGGCAAAUUUUUGUGAAGUGGGGGAGAGGAAAAUGAGAGGCAUGGAAAAUAAUGUAAAUUGCGAGGAGAUGAGAUUUGUGAUUGGAACCUGGUUAUGUUGAAGAUCCUCCCCGGCAACGGUGCCAGAAAAUUCCCUUGAUGAUGUUUGCCAAGACUACGUCGGUGGUUCCCCCAAGAGGAGAGGAUGAUGUAGCACAACAACGGUAGGUAUUUCCCUCAGUAGUGAAACCAAGGUAUCGAACCAGUAGGAGAAUCAAGCAACAAAACGUAAACAGCCCCUGCACACAAAUAACAGCCACUCGCAACCCGACGUGUUAAAGGGGUUGUCAAUCCCUUCCAGGUAACGGCGCGAGAAACGGCUAUUUGACGGGAUAAAAUUGUAAUAGAUUGAAAUAAUAGAUCGCAAAUAAAAUAAAGUGCAGAAAAGUAUUUUUGUAUUUUUUUGGUUUAAUAGAUCUGAAUAAAAACGCAAAGGAAAAGUAGAUCGCAACGCAAAUAUAUGAGAAAGAAGACCCGGGGGGCGUAGGUUUCACUAGUGGCUUCUCUUGAGAAAAAUAGCGAACGGUGGGUAAAUAAAUUACUGUUGGGAAAUUGAUAGAACAUCAAAUAAUCAUGACGAUAUCCAGGCAAUGAUCAAUACAUAGGCAUCACGUCCAAGAUUAGUAGACCGACUCCUGCCUGCCUCUACUACUAUUACUCCACACAUCGACCGCUAUCCAGCAUGCAUCUAGUGUAUUAAGUUCAUGGAAAAUGGAGUAAUGCAAUAAGAACGAUGACAUGAUGUAGACAAGAUCCGUUUAUCUAUAUGGCGGGAGAUAUAGAUCUCGCCUUUUUAUCCUUAGUAGCAAUGAUACAAAUGUGUCGGUUCCCUUUCUGUCACUGGUAUCAAGCACCGUAAGAUCGAACCCACUACCGGGCACCUCUUCCCAUUGCAAGAUAAAUAGAUCAAGUUGGCCAAACAAAACCCAAAUAUCAGAGAAGAAAUACGAGGCUAUAAGAGAUCAAAGAAACUCAAAUAACUUUCAUGGAUAUAAAAAGAUAUAACUGAUCAUAAACUCAAAGUUCAUCAGAUCCCAACAAACACACCGCAAAAAGAGUUACAUCAUAUGGAUCUCCAAGAGACCAUUGUAUUGAGAAUUCAGCGAGAGAGAGAAAGCCAUCUAGCUACUAACUACGGACCCGAAGGUCUACAAAGAACUACUCAUGCAUCAUCGGAGAGGCACCAAUGGAAGUGGUGAACCCCUCCGUGAUGGUGUCUAGAUUGGAUCUGGUGGUUCUAGACUCUGCGGCAGCUGGAUGAAUAUUUUGUCGACUCCCCUAGGGUUUGUGGAUUUUUGGGGUAUUUAUAGAGCAAAGAGGCGGUCCGGGGGGCACCCGAGGUGGGCACAACCCACCAGGGCGCGCCUGGGCCUCCUGGCGCGCCCUAGUGGGUUGUGCCCCCCUCGGGGCACCCCCCAGGUGCAACCAGGGCCCAUUGCCUUUCUUCUAGCCCAUAGAAAAUCAUCGUGGAGUUUCGUGGCAUUUGGACUCCGUUUGAUAUUGAUUUCCUAUGAUGUAAAAAACAUGGAAAAAAUAGCAACUUGCACUUUGCACUAUGUCAAUAGGUUAAAACCAAAAAAGAUACAAAAUGAUUAUAAAACAUCCAAGAUUGAUAAUAAAACAGCAUGGAACAAUAAAAAAUUAUAGAUACAUUGGAGACGUAUCACUUUUCCCCUCCUCUCCCCCUACUCUGUGUACCAGGCGAAAGCCUAGAUCCCUUACGGAUCGGGCGGUAGCGGCGCCGCUCGCGUCGUCACCUUUUUGGGGGUGCCGUCUUUGGUGAGCUUGGGGUGGUUGUGCCGUCUGGUUCUCUGGUGGUGGAUGGUGGCAUGGUCGGAGUUUUACGGAUGGUGUCUCUGCGGUUACUCCUAUCUGCUCUUUUGGUAGCUCCAUGUCCAUUUGGUUUGGAGGAGCUCGGCGCUUGUCCCUGCAGACUAGGUGUAUCAAUGAGCUCUACUUCGGCACCCUCCUUUCACUGCUGUUUGACCCUCAGCCGUCCUGCCUUGCCAUUGCAUCUCCUCGUGUGCAAGUCUCUUCACAGGGUCGAAGCUAAUUUUCAUUGCGCUUGUCUUACUAUUGCUGGUGAUCUAUUCUGGUUACCGGGGCUACGACACCGGUUCACUCCUUAGCUCUCGGGUGAGCAUCUUCAUCUCUUGACGGAUCGACGCCCUUCUUGCCAGGGCGAGGGAGCAGGGUGCUCUCUUCAACGAUGGAGGAGGUUGUCUCCGUGUCAGCUAGAGCCCUUGGAGCAGACAAGAUUGCCUUUGCACCUGCUGAGUGCUUCAUGUCGACAUGGUCCUAUUGUUGCUAGCUUGCUCAGGUUGGAGGGCUUCUUCAUCUUCAAGCUGCUUUGUGCCUCAGUCUUAUUAGAUCUUUGCUUGUAGUGUGGAUGGAGCCUAUUAGAUGUUGGCACAGCUCUUUGUAUCUUUUGCUGUUUAUUUUGUUUUUCCUCUGUAAGGUGUCGAUUGUAAUCUCCUGGCCGGUUGAUAGCUUUGUCAAUUCAAAGCCGGGUUAGGUUCGAGCCCUACUUGGGCUCGGCCGAGCCUUUUCUCUAAAAAAAGAAUAAAAUUUCUUAUAUGGAGGGUAAUAAAUUAUCUAUGCUUGUGGAUCAUGAAAAGAAUGCUUUAUGUGAUGGUUAUAUUGAUGAAUCUACUCAUGAUGCUACUGAAAAUUAUUAUGAGAGAGGAACUUAUGAUUCAUGAUGCCCUCCUUAUGUUUUGAAUCUCAUCUUUCAUGCGAGCAUCAAUGAAAUCAUCAUGCCUAGCUAAAAGGCAUUAAAGAAAAGCGCUUGUUGGGAGACAACCCAACAUUUACCCAUAUUGUUUUUAUGUGUUCACAUGAUUAUGAUACUGUAGUAAUCAUGUUUUAUUUCUUUUGUUUCAAUAAAGUGCCAAGUAAAGCCUUUGGGAUAGUGUGGAUGAUAGUUGACUUGAAUCUGUGCAAAAACAGAAACUUUUGCGCUCAGUCCAGGAAUUUUGAAAAUUCACUAGAAUGAGAUUUUGAUCUGAAUUUUUACAGUUGAUAGAUAUACAAAUUCUCUACGUUGUCCUAAUUUUUCAGAAUUUUUGGAGUAGCAGAAGUAUGGUUGGAGUACAUAUUACUACAGGCUGUUCUUUUUUUGACAGAUUCUGCUUUCAAUGCAUAGUUUGGUUGUUUCCUAGUUUCUAUGGCUUAUAUUGCUCAAUAUAAAUUGUGGAAAUGAUAUGCUAUAGUAGGCAUUGUGUGGAAACAAUUAUGAAUCUUGUCUUUGACAGUACCAAAGUGAAAUGGUUUGCUCUUUAUCAUACUAACCUAUCUCACGAAGUUCCGUUAAGUUUUGUGUGAUUGAAGUUUUCAAGUUUUCAGUGAGAUGCCAUAUGAGGAGAAUAAGGAGUGACAAGACCCUAAGCUUGGGGAUGCCCAAGGCACCCCAAGGUAAUAUUCAAGGAAGAUCCAAGCAACUAAGCUUGGGGAUGCCCCGGAAGGCAUCCCCUCUUUCGUCUCCAACAAUAUCGGUAACCUUACUUGAAGCUAUAUUUUUAUUCGUCACAUGAUAUGAGUUUUGCUUGGAGCAUCAUUUUAUUUUGCUAGGAUUUGCUUGUUGUUAUUUAAAAUAAUGUUUUGCAUCUUUUACUUCAAAAAAAAGUCAAGUAUAGCCUUUGUCAUGCUUAUUUUGCAAGUCUACUUGUUGCUGUUUGAAAACAGAAAGUUUAUCAGUGUUGCAAAAAUUCCCCAGAAAAGUCAGAAUGUGAUAAAAUGUUGAAACAUUUUGCACAAUAAGCUCUGAUAAAUUUUCUACAGUGUGUUUAAUUUUCAGAAAAUUUUAAGUUGAAUAAGUAUGAUGAAUCUUGCAUUCUUUACAGACUGUACUGUUUUGGCAUAUUGCUGCUAUGUUUGCAUUGUUUGCAUAUGUUUGCUUGUUUAAUGAUCCUAUUUGAGGAUAGGAGUAUUAAUAUGCAGAGGGAUUUAGUAUGCAAUGUCGAAUAAUAAUUUUUGUGAUUUUCUACAGUAGAGAAUGAUAAGGUUUUUGCAUUGGUGUAUAAUAACUUAUCUCACGAGUUCUUGUUGAGUUUUGUGUGGAUGAAUUUUUUAAGAUUUAGGGAAACCGUGAUAUAAAAGGAAUUAAGGAGACACAAAAGCUCAAGCUUGGGGAUGCCCAAGGCAUCCCAAGAUAAUAUUUCAAGAAGUCUCAAGCAUCUAAGCUUGGGGAUACCCCGGUAGGCAUCCCACCUUUCUUCAUCAACAAUUAUCGGUUGGUAUCAGUUGAGCCUAAGUUUUUGCUUCUUCACAUGAGUCGUGCUAUUCUUGGAAUGUCAUUUUGUUUUGUUUUGCUUGCUGUUUUAACAAAAUACUUAGAUCUAAAAGUUUUAGAUAAAAGAGAGUCCACAAUUAGCUACUUAUUUACUUAACUACUCGCUUGAUCUUCACUUAUAUCUUUUUGGAGUAGUUUGUCAUUUACUCUCGUGCUUCACUUAUAUCCUAUGAGUAAAUUGUUGAAUGAAUUGAAUAUCAUGAAGUUUAAAUUAUAUGUUCAUAUCAUGCCUAGUGGUAGCUUCACAUUGGGUUUAGGAAGUGAAAUCUUUUGAAGCUUGACAAUCACAAUGUUGGUCAUUAAAGCAAUUCAUGAAUGAUUAGAAGAAGGAAGAGAACUUUCACAUGCAAAUACACUAUCUUCGAAAUCUUUUGUGAUUGUGAGCCCCCAUCAAAAUAUUAUAUGCCAAAAUUGUUGACAUUGGACAAGGAAGACAACGUAAUGAUUAGGUUUGUUCAUAUUCACAUAGAAGUUAUAUUGUCAUAGAUCCUUCAACAUGUGGUGCUUGCCCCCCAUAUUUGCUAGCCAAAACUCCGCAUCAAGUAGAGAUACUACUUGUGCAUCCAAAAACCCUUAAAACCCAAAUCUUAUUUUCAAGAGUCCACCAUACCUAACUAAGGAUUGAGUAAGAUCCUUCAAGUAAGUUGUCAUCGGUGCAAUAAGGCAAUAAAAUUGCUUCUAAAAGUGUGAGAUCAUUUAUUGUAAGAGAAAAUUGAGCGUUGUACGAACUUGUGAUGGUAAAGAAUAAAAGCGACAGACUGCAUAAUAAAGGUUUCCAUCACAAGGGGCAAUAUAACGUGACGUUCUUUUGCACUAAGGGGUUGAGCAUACAAACAAAUAAGCGCAUGGCAACCUCUGCUUCCCUCUGCGAAGGGACUAUCUUUUACUUUUUGUAUUUACUUUUAUGCAAGAGUCAAAGUUUUUCUCUAUAUUCCUUUUUAUUUUUCUCCUUUGGCAAGCAUCAUGUGGUGAGGAAAGAUCUAGGCACAUAUGUCUAGUUGAAUAUGGGUAGCAUGAGUUAUUAUUGUUGACAUCACCCUUGAUGUGAAUACGUUGGGAGGCGAAACUAUAAGCCCCUAUCUUUCUAUGUGUCCGGUUGAAACGUUUUGCUCAUGUGUAUCCAGUGAGUGAUAGCAAUCAUAGAAGACUAUAUGAUGUUUGACUAUGUGGAGCUCUUACUUAGACUCUGUUGAAUAAAUUGAAUUGCAAUUGCUUGGUGACUAAGAAUAUAGGUUGUUGAGUUUCAAGAGAAUUCAUUGUUUGAACCUUAACAUGUGAAUUGGUUGCUACUCUGUCAUCAUGAGUCUUUAUGAGAAAGAGUUGAUGUUAUGAUGGUAGGAAAAGUGAUUGAAAUUAUCAUUGAUCAAACUUAUGCACUUUGCUAGCACUCACACUUCAUAAAUUAUUUCUUUUAUCAUUGACCUACUUGAGGCCGAGUAGGAAUUAAGCUUGGGGAUGCUGAUACGUCUCCAACGUAUCUACAGUUUAGGAAGUAUUCAUGCUGUUAUAUUACCAUUCUUGGAUGUGUUACAAUCAUUUUAUAGCAACUUUAUAUCAUUUUUUGGGACUAACCUAUUGACCCAGUGCCCAGUGCCAGUUGUUGUUUUUUACAUCGCGGGAAAUCAAUAUCAAACGGAAUCCAAACACCGCGAAACUUUUUGUGGAUUUUUUAUGGACCAGAAGACAUCCAGUGGGCCAGAGAAGCACCUGGGGGUGCCUCGAGGGGGGCACAACCCACCAGGGCGCGCCUGGGGGCCCAGGCGCGCCUAGGUGGGUUGUGCCCACCUCGGUGGCCUCCCGCACCCCUCUUUGCCCUAUAAAUUGCCAAAUAUUCCAAAACCUUCGGGGGUAGCCCUAGAUCAGAAGUUCCGCCGCUGCAAGGCCUCUGUAUCCACGAGAUCCAAUCCAGACCCUGUUUCGGCACCCUGCUGGAGGGGGAAAUCAUCACCGGUGGCCAUCUUCAUCAUCCCAGUGGCCACCACGAUGAGGAGGGAGUAGUCCACCCUCGGGGCUGAGGGUUUGUACCAGUAGCUAUGUGUUUAAUCUCUGUCUCUCUCUCUCUCGUGUUCUUGAGAUGUCACGAUCUUGAUGUAUGGCGGGCUUUGUUAAUAUAGUCAGGUCAUAUGGUGUUUUCCCCUCUCUAUCUUGUGAUGAAUUGAGUUUUCCCUUUGAGAUUUCGUUUUAUCGGAUUGAAUACUUUUAUGGAUUUGAGAGCACUUGAUAUAUGUCUUGCAAAUGAAUACUCAUGGUGACAAUGGGGUAUCAUAUUGACUCACUUGAUGUAUGUUUUGGCACUCAACUCGCGGAUUCCCGAGGUGACAUUGGGGUAAUCUAUGCAUAGGGGUUGAUGCACGUUCUUGUCUUUGUUUCUCCGGUAGAAAUCUUGGGGCACUCUUUGAGGUUCUUUGUGUUGGAUUGAGUAUUGUGAAUUUGAAAUUAUUUGGUGUUAUUUUAGUACGAACUCUUGGAUAGAUCGAUCGGAAGGAAUAGCUUCGAGGUGGUUUCGUACCCUGCAAACAAUUUCUUCUUAUGUUCUCCGCUAGAUAAGAACUUUGGAGUGAUUCUUCGUUGCACGUUGAGGGACGGUUAUGUGAUCCAAUUAUAUUAGCAUUGUUGAGAGAUUGCACUAGUGAAAGUAUGGAUCCUAGGCCUCAUUUUCAAGCAUUGCAAUACCGUUUGUGCUCUGUUUUAUCAAUUGCUACCUUGCUGUUUUUAUUGUUCCUAUUACAAAAAUCAAUAUCUACUAUCAUUACUAUACUUGUAUCACCAUCUCUUCGCCGAACUAGUGCACCUAUACAAAUUUUCAUUGUAUUUGGUGUGUCUGGGACACAAGAGACUUUUUAUUAUUUGGUUGCAGUGUUGUUUGAGAGAGACCAUCUUCAUCCUACACCUCCCACGGAUUGAUAAACCUUAGGUAAUCCACUUGAGGGAAAAUUGCUACUGUCCUACAAAACUCUGCGCUUGGAGGCCCAACACAAGUCUACAAGAACAAGUUGCAUAGUAGACGUCAGUGUCUUGUGGUCACCAGGUGCAUCCUCCUCUGAUGUUAUUUGUACCAGAAAUUCAGAAAUAUUUAGAAAAAAAUCGUGUUAAAUUUUUAGGGCAUUCUGAGAACUUUUGUUUUUGGGUCAUUUUUUAUUGUGCGGGAAAUUCAGAAAAGAGAAAAAACAUGGCAUUUUAUUUUAUUUAACUAAUAAAAACAGAAAACAAAAGGUAGGGCCAGAGAGUUGUGCUCACUAAAUUCAUCGACUUCAUACCUCUCAAAAAUGAUCCAUUAACAAGGUUGAUCAAGUCUUAUUAACAGCCACUUUCGAUUAGCAUGAAACCGAAGAACUUUCGUAAAACACUAAGUUACCUCAACGGGGAUGUGAAUAUUCCCAACAAUAAGUAUGUCAUAUUUCUUUUUGGCAGUAGGUAGAGGUAGUUGAAGACUUCCAAUAGUGAUUGUCGGAAAUUUUUCAAUAACAUUAAUACCAUUCACUUGGAAUUGUUUCUUCUGAAAGUGCACCCACUACAAAAAAAUACACUUCCGUGAUGAUACGUGUUUGUCACAGUAGGUCACGUUUUCUGUCAUGCAUGUACAUCCAUGACGAUGUUAUGAUAGAAUCAACAUAGUCAUACCUGUCCUGUCGUAGAAGUGUUCCUUGACAUUACCAAAAUUAUCAUCACGGAAGUGUCCACUUCCAUGACGAUAAAUCGCGCAUCAUAGAAGUGCUUUCGUCAAGGGUGACCGAAACGUGGCAUCGACCGUAACAGGUCGCCUUAAGCUAUCGGGUCUGGUUUUGGAUCCGAUAACCCGUUAACAGCCCGGACCAAUGGGGAUUUUCCACGUGUAAAAUUCUCAUUGGCCGGAGGAACCACGUAUCGGCUCACCGUUCGGACAGAUGUCAUCCCCUCAUUGGACAGGAGGCGCCUAUGAUAGAUCGACACGUGGCACGGCCCAACAGUGGCCCAUUCUGGUGAAAAAGGCUGGCCCAGUAAGAAUUAGCAGGCCGGCCCAUAUAAGGCCUACUUGUGUCUGGUCCAUUUAAUCCCACGACCCAUAUGAGAUGUGCCAAUUCGGCCCGUCAACGGCCCGUUAACGAUUUGACACCAUUGCAGUCCAUCGUCAGUUCAAGCCCGUUAACAGCCCGCUAUAUAUUUGGGCUCAAUAUCGGCCCAAUGUGGUUUCGGCCUGUUAACGGCCCAUUCAAGGGAUGGGCCAAUUUUCAAGAUGUACAUCUUUCGGCCUUUUAGCGACCCAUUUAAGUGUUGGGCCAAUUUCCGGCCCAGUGUGUCUUUCAGCGUGUUGACGGCCCAUAAGGGAGUUGGGCCAUGAGCAGUCGAACCUGAGUUUUGGCCUUUUAACGGCCCAUGCUCUUCAUGGUCCAAUACCAGCCCGGUUUCUCUUUCGGCCUGCUAAAGGCCCACAACACAAUUGGGCCAUUUAUAGUACGACCUGACUUUCGGCCUCUUCGCGGCCCAUGCUCUUCAUGGUCCAGUAUGAGCCCGCUGUCUCUUUCGGCCUGCUAAAGGCCCACAGUAUAGGUGGGUCAUAUGUAGCCCGACCUAGUAUCGGCCUAUUAAUGGCCCGUGAAAUCAAAUGGGCCCGCCUGUUGCCCACUUUAGUGUCGGCCUGUUAACGACCCGGGAGGUAAGAGGGCCGACCAUUAACUUUUCGGCCUGGUAACGGCCCAUUAACUUAAUGGGCUCAUUAACUUAAUGGGCCCACUAAAGUUCGUACAUGUAUUUAGGCCCAAUUAGAUAAUUUGAGCCCAUUAUGACGAGCAAUUAUGCACAGGACCAAACCGAUCAAGAAAAGGAACGGCAUACAGGGAAAAAUGUUGCACAUCCAGCAUAUAUUACAGGAAAUUACAUCCACUGAGCAAUCAAAGAUUGAUGCCAGUGCAAAUAAAUGAACAGAACCUAACGAUCUACAACAUCACAAUCUGCAACCUCGGCGUGGAUGACGCCCAUAAACAUGUGGGCAAGUUCUUGCUGCUUUGCUACAUUGUCUCUGAAAACAUUGAUCAGUUGUUGCUGCGCACGAAUGUGCACCUCUGAUUCCUCCACCAUUUCCAUCAUUGCUUCUGCCAUUAAUUGGUUCACAAACAUACAUUUUUUCCAUUGCAUUCGAGACAGAGGAAACUGAACAGAUUCAGAUGGCGAUUUUGGCAGCCUUGUAUUAUUGAUAGUGGAGAGUGUCUCGACCACUGCAUCAUAACAUAAAUUAGGAGGGGAACCAAACAGAUUAAUCAAGAGUUAUUAGCAUAUUACCUGGCCUAGAUUUAUUGGAAAGAAACAAUGGGGUUGCCUUGCUAUUUUCAGAGUUUGUCUUCUUAUCUUCAGCAGCCUGCACCAAAUUAACACACUAGCAUUGCUAUCAUUGGCCAGCUCAGAUAAUAGGAAAGCAACAUUGACACAACGAACGUUUGGGCAACCAGACCACACCAGCCUACACCAAAUUAACACAAUAUGGCACAUCUAUCACCAGCCAGGUAAGGUAAUACGGAAGCAACAUUGACACAAUGAAUGAAUGGGCAACCCGAGCAGCACUACAAUUCAGUAAUGGGCAACCCGGAAGCAACGUUUGGGCAACAUCUAUCAUCAGCCAGGUAAGGUAAAACUACCAGGCAAUUUUCCUUAAAAAAUUCAACAUUGUCGCCUUUAACAUUUUGCGACAACUGAAUUUAGAUCAGAUCAAGGUUGGAUUCACACCGAUUAACAAAAUACAUGCUCAUCUAAAAAUAUAGUGACAUACUGCAGGUACUUACAUCAGCAUUGGAGCACAGAGAAUUCCCGCAAGAUACUUUCCUCGAAUACGGUCCCAGUACAGAAAGUCUUCUAUCCUUUAAGCUUAUUUUCUAAAAGAGAAUUGGGUAAGAAACAUGUAGGAAAUAUGAUCAGAAUGCUAUAAAAUUUCAUGAUGCGAGGAUACAAACACGAUUCUUAGAAUGGAGUUGACUUAUUUUUGCUGGACUGGAGCGGACUAGUUCUUUGGUCACUGGAAUCUGCUUAUUAUCAGUGGGAGUUGGGUUUCUCUUUGCUGGAGCAGUAUCUAUGAAAACUGGAGUUGGUUUAUUAUCUCCUGGCGUUUGGAUCUUUUCCAAAGACCUGAUUUGUAACCCUUCAGAUUCUAACAUAGUCGUCUUCUCCUUGCAUGCCUUAUAUAGAAGAAUGGUGCUUCAAUUAUAAAACAUGCUACAGCAGAGAUGGAAUAGGUACUGAAGAAUAGAAAGGCAUGACAUAUUGACAUGUAUUCCCUUCAUCCGGAAAUAAAUGGAUGGGUCUAGGCGUAUUUCAGUUCUAGAUACAUCUAGUUUUAUCCAUUUCUGCGACAUGUAAUCCGGGCGGAGGGAGUAUGAUGUAAGAGCUAGGGAUACGACAUGACAACAGUGUAAAAAACACUACUUGAAUGUAAAACUAUAUGCUAGCGGAAUACAUUACAGAAAAACACUAAGGCAACAUAUGCGUGUAUGAUUGGGAAACUAAGAUGGCAUUGCAAGAGACCACUAGAACAGCACUUCAAUGUAAAAAAAGAACAUGGUAUGGUAGACAGAUGAAGUGCAUACUGAUGAAUAACAAUGCAUAAGAUAUUGAGAAGCAUGAUGUCCAAACUAAGCAGAUGGCAUUGCGAUAGAGUAGAAUGGCAGUACUUGAAUUUGAAAACAUGUUAUCAUUAAUGGAAUUGGUACUGAAAAACAGGAAGGCAUGCCGUAUUUACAUGCAUGAUCAGCACGCGAAGCACAAGGCAUUGCAACAGAGUAGAUGCAUUCCAGGACAUUAUAUGCAUAAUGUACCCAUAUCAAGGGCCAAGUUAGAGCAAGGACCUUAUGGGGUGAAUAGGAUUCAUCAUCUUUCUGCAAGUCUUGUGAAGAACUGCCUUUACAUGUUCCAUCAUAUUGGGUAUCAUUGACGUCAAGUUUGUUGGCCGUUACAUUGCUCCGUGAGGUUCUUGUGGAUAAAUCAGUGUGUGCAAUUAUAUCUGACAUGCAUGAAAGACAACUAGUAGUUAGAUUUAUGUAUUGAGUGCCUGUAGGAGACGACAUAAAUAGUAGGACUGGGGUUAACUAGCAGCAACAGGUCUCAAAAACUAAAGGGAGAACACAGAUGAAAGCUACCGAAUAUGUAUCGUUUGUACUCAAGAUUAACUAGAUGGCACACAAAAGUAUUAAAGAACAAAAUAGGUUAUACUAGAAGUGGUAUAAUACUAUAAUCACCAGCCUGUGGGAUAGCAUUGGCUGAUGGAUGAUAACUAUGGAAUAGCGUUACCUAAAUAACAAGUCUCUUAGCUGAACUAUGGAACAACGUUAACUCCUGAACAAGACCCGUAAGAGAUCAGCAUGAAUAUACAGUGAAAUGUGAUAAUCUAUUUUCCAUGCUUAGAUGAAUAACAAAGCCAUAAAUGUUGCACACAAGUAAGAUGAGGGUACAACCUAUCUUGCCGCCAUCCAUAGGAGUGGGCAUCAUGUGCUGACUUGUCGAUGGCCCUGCAGUUGUUGUGGCUGUCCAUGUCGGGCACGCGCAUUCGAUGCAAGGAACUAUUGAGUGGGGACUAUAGCUCCCUUUUGGUGUAUGCUUCCCUUGUUGGAGCAACUGCGGUGAGUCGGAAGACGGUGUGGCUGAAGAUGCAGAAAACGCAUAAUGUUAAGAACGACACAUCUCUCUGAUCUGAAGAAAUACCCUAAGAGAUCAACAGCAAGGUACGAGAGUGGUCACACAUCUGUUGACUGAAGACUAAACUGGGGUCACACGAUUUUAUUUAUUUUGGUAUUGUCCGAUCUACGCCGGAUGGCUUGAUGGCCGUCUUGUGCCUCCCGGCUGACACUGUUCAGAAUCUUCCCCGAAGAGCCAGCGACCACCGGCAGAGCAGCCUGCCUCCGCCAUCUGUGUCCCCAACCAAAACCCUGCUCCUCGCCCCACCGCACUGCCAUGGUUGCGCCACCCCGGGCCAAUCCACAAAGACUCGCUGCUACCUCUUGAGCAUUGCGUUUGUUUUCCCUUGAAGAGGAAAGGGUGAUGCAGCAAAGUAGCGUAAGUAUUUCCCUCAGUUUUUGAGAACCAAGGUAUCAAUCUAGUAGGAGGCCACGCACGAGUCCCUCGCACCUACACAAACAAAUAAAUCCUCGCAACCAACGCAAUAAAGGGGUUGUCAAUCCCUUCACGAUCGCUUACGAGAGUGAGAACUGAUAGAUAUGAUAAGAUAAUAUUUUUGGUAUUUUUAUGAUAAAGAUGCAAAGUAAAGAAAGCAAUAUAAAGACGACGCUAGAAAUAACUUGUUGACGGGAGAUUAAUAUGAUAGAAAAUAGAAACGGGGGCCAUAGGUUUCACUAGUGGCUUCUCUCGAGAGCAUAAGUAUUACGGUGGGUAAACAAAUUACUGUUGAGCAAUGGACAGAAUUGAGCAUAGUUAUGAGAAUAUCUAGGUAUGAUCAUGUAUAUAGGCAUCACGUCCGAGACUAGUAGACCGACUCCUGCAUGCAUCUACUACUAUUACUCCACACAUCGACCGCUAUCCAGCAUGCAUCUAGAGUAUUAAGUUCAUAAGAACAGAGUAACGCUUUAAGUAAGAUGACAUGAUGUAGAGGGAUAAACUCAUGCAAUAUGAUAUAAACCGCAUCUUGUUAUCCUCGAUGGCAACAAUACAAUACGUGCCUUGCUGCCCCUACUGUCACUGGGAAAGGACACCGCAAGAUUGAACCCAAAGCUAAGCACUUCUCCCAUUGCAAGAAAGAUCAAUCUAGUAGGCCAAACCAAAUUGAUAAUUCGAAGAGACUUGCAAAGAUAACUAAUCAUACAUAAAAGAAUUCAAAGAAGAUUCAAAUAUUGUUCAUAGAUAAACUUGAUCAUAAACCCACAAUUCAUCGGUCUCAACAAACACACCGCAAAAGAAGAUUACAUCAAAUAGAUCUCCACAAGAGAGGGGGAGAACAUUGUAUUGAGAUCCAAAAAGAGAGAAGAAGCCACCUAGCUAAUAACUAUGGACCCGAAGGUCUGAGGUAAACUACUCACACAUCAUCGGAGAGGCUAUGGUGUUGAUGUAGAAGCCCUCCGUGAUCAAUGCCCCCUCCGGCGGAGCUCCGGAAAAGGCCCCAAGAUGGGAUCUCAUGGGUACAGAAGGUUGCAGUGGUGGAAUUAGGUUUUUGGCUCCGUAUCUGGUAGUUUGGGGGUAUGUAGGUAUAUAUAGGAGGAAGAAGUACGUCGGUGGAGCAACGUGGGGCCCACGAGGGUGGAGGGCGCGCCCAGGGGGGUAGGCGCCCCCCCUACCUCGUGCCCUCCUGGUUGAUGUCUUGACGUAGGGUCCAAGUCCUCUGGAUCACGUUCGUUCCGAAAAUCACGUUCCCGAAGGUUUCAUUCCGUUUGAUAUUCUUUUUCUGCGAAACUCUGAAAUAGGCAAAAAAACAGCAAUUCUGGGCUGGGCCUCCGGUUAAUAGGUUAGUCCCAAAAAUAAUAUAAAAGUGUAUAAUAAAGCCCAUUAAUGUCCAAAACACAAUAUAAUAUAGCAUGGAACAAUCAAAAAUUAUAGAUACGUUGGAGACGUAUCAAGCAUCCCCAAGCUUAAUUCCUGCUCGUCCUCGAGUAGGUAAAUGAUAAAAACAAAUUUUUUGAUGUGGAAUGCUACUUGGCAUUAUUUCAAUGUAAUUCUCUUAAUUGUGGUAUGAAUAUUCAGAUCCGAAAGAUUCAAGACAAAAGUUUAAUAUUGACAUAAAAAUAAUAAUACUUCAAGCAUACUAACUAAGCAAUUAUGUCUUCUCAAAAUAAUAUGGCCAAAGAAAGUUAUCCCAACAAAAUCAUAUAGUCUGGCUAUGCUCUAUCUUCACCACACAAAGUAUUUAAAUCAUGCACAACCCCGAUGACAAGCCAAGCAAUUGUUUCAUACUUUUCAUGUUCUCAAACUUUUUCAAUCUUCACGCAAUACAUGAGCGUGAGCCAUGGACAUAGCACUAUAUGUGGAAUAGAAUGGUGGUUGUGGAGAAGACAAAAAAGGAGAAUAUAGUCUCACAUCAACUAGGUGUAUCAACGGGCUGUGGAGAUGCCCAUUAACAGAUAUCAAUGUGAGUGAGUAGGGAUUGCCAUGCAACGGAUGCACUAGAGCUAUAAGUAUAUGAAAGCUCAACAAAAGGAACUAAGUGGGUGUGCAUCCAACUCGCUUGCUCACGAAGACCUAGGGCAUUUUGAGGAAGCCCAUCAUUGGAAUAUACAAGCCAAGUUCUAUAAUGAAAAUUUUGCACUAGUAUAUGAAAGUGAUAUCAUAGGAGACUCUCUAUCAUGAAGAUCAUGGUGCUACUUUGAAGCACAAGUGUGGUAAAAGGAUAGUAACAUUGUCCCUUCUCUCUUUUUCUCUCAUCAUUUUUUUCUUUUUUUGGGAGCCUUUUCUUUUUUUAUGGCCUCUUUUUUUUAGUCCGAAGUCUCAUCCCGACUUGUGGGGGAAUCAUAGUCUCCAUCAUCCUUUCCUCACUUGGGACAAUGCCCUAAAAAAUGAUGAUCAUCACACUUUUAUUUACUUACAACUCAACAAUUACAACUCAAUACUUAGAACAAGAUACGACUCUAUGUGAAUGCCUUCGGCGGUGUACCGGGAUAUGCAAUGAAUCAAGAGUGACAUGUAUGAAAGAAUUAUGAACGGUGGCUUUGCCACAAAUACGAUGUCAACUACAUGAUCAUGCGAAGCAAUAUGACAAUGAUGGAGUGUGUCAUAGUAAAUGGAAUGGUGGAAAGUUGCAUGGCAAUAUAUCUCGGAAUGGCUAUGGAAAUGCCAUGGUAGGUAGGUAUGGUGGCUGUUUUGAGGAAGGUAUAUGGUGGGUGUAUGAUACCGGCGAAAAGUGCGCGGUAUUAGAGAGGCUAGCAAUGGUGGAAGGAAAAGUGCGUAUAAUCCAUGGACUCAACAUUAGUCAUAAAUAACUCAUAUACUUAUUGCAAAAAUCUACAAGUUAUCAAAGCAAAGUAUUACGCGCAGCUCCUAGGGGGAUAGAUUGGUAGGAAAAGACCAUCGCUCGUCCCCGACCGCCACUCAUAAGGAAGACAAUCAAUAAAUAAAUCAUGCUCCGACUUCAUCACAUAACGGUUCACCAUACGUGCAUGCUACGGGAAUCACAAACUUUAAUAGAAGUAUUUCUCAAAUUCACAACUACUCAACUAGCAUGACUCUAAUAUCAUCAUCUCCAUAUCUCAAAACAAUUAUCAAGCAUCUAACUUCUCAUAGUAUUCAACACACUCAUAAGAAUUUUUUUUACUAAUCUUGAAUGCCUAACAUAAUUAAAGCAAAUUACCAUGCUGUUUUGUAGGACUCUCAAAAUAAUCUAAGUGAAGCAUGAGAGAACAAUAGUUUUAUAAAACAAAACCACCACCGUGCUGUAAAAGAUAUAAGUGAAGCACAUAGAGUAUUCUAACAAUUUCCGAAUCAUGUGUGUCUCUCUCAAAAGGUGUGUACAGCAAGUAUGAUUGUGGCAAACUAACAAACAAAGACUCAAAUCAUAAAAUACGCUCCAAGCAAAACACAUAUCAUGGGGUGAAAAAAAAAUAGCUCCAAGUAAAGUUACCGAUGGAAGUAGACAAAAGAGGGGAUGCCUUCCGGGGCAUCCCCAAGCUUUGGCUUUUUGGUGUACUUAGAUUAUAUUGGGGUGCCAUGGGCAUCCCCAAGUUUAGGCUCUUGCCACUCCUUGUUCCAUAAUCCAUCAAAUCUUUUACCCAAAACUUGAAAACUUCACAACAAAAAACUUAACAGAAAAUCUCGUGAGCUCCGUUAGCGAAAGAAAACAAAACACCACUUCAAGGUACUGUAAUGAAAUCAUUCUUUAUUUAUGUUGGUGUUAAACCUACUGUAUUCCAACUUCUCUAUGGUUUAUAAACUAUUUUACUAGCCAUAGAUUCAUCAAAAUAAGCAAACAACACACGAAAAACAGAAUCUAUCAAAAACAGAACAGUCUGUAGUAAUCUGUAAGUAACGCAAACUUCUGGAACUCCAAAAGAUCAGCCAAAAUAGGAUGACCUAGACAAUUUUUUUAUUGGUCAGCAUCAAUUGGAAUCAAUAUUUUAUCACGUACUGGAGAUUUUUAACAAUUAUUUUCAUGAACAGAAAGUUUCUGCAAUUUUCAGCGAGAUCAAAUAACUAUCAUCCAAGAAGAUCCUAUAGGUUAAACUUGGCACAAACACUAAUUAAAACAUAAAAACAAAUCUAACCAGAGGCUAGAUCAAAUAUUUAUUCCUAAACAGAAGCAAAAAGAAAAAAACUAAAAAUAAAAUUGGGUUGCCUCCCAACAAGCGCUAUCGUUUAACGCCCCUAGCUAGGCAUAAUAGCAAGGAUAGAUCUAGGUAUUGCCAUCUUUGGUAGGCAAUCCAUAAGUGGCUCUCAUGAUAGAUUCAUAUGGUAAUUUUAUUUUCUUUCUAGGAAUGUGUUCCAUGCCUUUCCUUAACGGAAAUUGGAAUCUAAUAUUUCCUUCCUUCAUAUCAAUAAUUGCACCAAUCGUUCUAAAGAAAGGUCUACCAAGAAUAAUAGGACAUGAAGGAUUGCAAUAUAUAUCAAGAACAAUACAAUCUACGGGCACAUAAUUCAUAUUUGCAAUAAUAAGAACAUCAUUAAUUCUUCCCAUAGGUUUCUUAAUGGUGGAAUCCGCAAGGUGCAAGUUUAAAGAGCAAUCAUCAAAAUCACGGAAACCUAGCAAAUCGCACAAAGUUUUUGGGAUCGUGGAAACACUAGCACCCAAAUCACAUAAAGCAUAGCACUCAUGAUCUUUAAUUUUAAUUUUAAUUUUAAUAGUAGGUUCCCACUCAUCAUAAAGUUUUCUAGGGAUAGAAACUUCCAACUCAAGUUUUUCUUCAUAAGAUUGCAUUAAAGCAUCAACGAUAUGUUUAGUAAAAGCUUUAUGUUGGCUAUAAGCAUGUGGAGAAUUUAGCACGGAUUGCAACAAGGAAAUACAAUCUAUCAAAGAGCAAUUAUCAUAAUUAAAUUCCUUGAAAUCCAAAAUAGUGGGUUCAUUAAUAUCUAGAGUUUUGAUCUCUUCAAUCCCACUUUUACCAAUUUUUGCAUCAAGAUCUAAAGACUCCAAAUUUUUAGAACGCCUUCUAGGUAAAGGUGGAUCAUAUUCAUUCCCAUCAUUAUCAAGAUUCAUAUUGCAAAACAAAGAUUUAAUAGGGGACACAUCAAUAACUUUUAGAUCUUCAUCUUUAUUUUCAUAGAAAUUAGAAGAAGACGCUUUGACAAAGCAAUCUUUCUUAGCACGCAUCCUAGCGGUUCUUUCUUUGCACUCAUCAAUGGAAAUUAUCAUGGCUUUGAGAGACUCAUUGAUAUCAUGCUUAGGUGGAAUAGGUCUAAGUUUCAAAGAAUCAACAUCAAGAGAAAUUCUAUCAACGUUCCUAGCCAAUUCAUCAACUUUAAGCAAUUUUUCUUCAAGCAAAGCAUUGAAAUUCUUUUAUGAGUUCAUAAAUUCUUCAACACCAGUCUCAAAUUCAGAAGGCAUCUUAUUAAAAUUUCCAUAAGAAUUGUUGUAGGAAUUACCAUAAUUAUUGGAGGAGUUACUAGGGUAUGGCCUAGGAUUAAAGUUUCCUCUAUACGAGUUGUUACCAAAAUUAUUCCUACCAACAAAAUUCACAUCCAUAGAUUCAUUAUUAUUCUCAAUCAAAGUAGACAAAGGCAUGUCAUUAGGAUCAGAAGAAACAUUUUUACUAGCAAAUAAUUUCAUAAGUUCAUCCAUCUUUCCACUCAAAACAUUAAUUUCUUCUAUCGCAUGCACUUGUUUAUUAGUAGAUCUUUCAGUGUGCCAUUGAGAAUAAUUAACCAUAAUAUUAUCUAUGAGUUUAGUAGCUUCUCCUAAAGUGAUUUCCAUAAAAGUGCCCCCCGCGGCCGAAUCUAAAAGAUUUCUAGAAGAAAAAAUCAAUCCGGCAUAAAAUUUUUGUAUGAUCAUCCACAAAUUCAAACCAUGUGUAGGACAAUUACGUAUCAUUAAUUUCAUCCUCUUCCAAGCUUGUGCAACAUGUUCAUGAUCAAGUUGCUUAAAAUUCAUAAUAUCGUUUCUAAGAGAGAUGAUCUUAGCGGGAGGAAAAUACUUCGAGAUAAAAGCAUCUUUGCACUUAUUCCAAGAAUCAAUACUAUUUUUAGGCAAAGAUGAAAACCAAGCUUUAGCACGAUCUCUAAGCGAAAAAGGAAAUAGCUUCAAUUUAACAAUAUCAUUAUCCACAUCUUUCUUCUUUUGCAUAUCACACAAAUCAACGAAGCUAUUUAGAUGGGUAGCGGCAUCUUCACUAGGAAGGCCGGCAAAUUGAUCUUUAAUGACAAGAUUCAACAAAGCAGCAUUGAUUUCACAAUAUUUAGUAUCGGUAAGAGGAGCAAUCGGAGUGCUAAGAAAAUCAUUAUUGUUGGUAUUGGUAAAGUCACACAAUUUAGUAUUAUCUUGAGCCAUCGUGACAAGCAAGCAAUCCAACACACGAGCAAACAAGAAGCAAGCGAGAGAAAAAGCGAACGAAAAAGAGAGGGCGAAUAAAACGGCAAGGGUGAAGUGGGGGAGAGGAAAACGAGAGGCAAAUGGCAAAUAAUGUAGUGCGGGAGAUAAGGGUUUGUGAUGGGUACUUGGUAUGUUUACUUUUGCGUAGACUCCCCGGCAACGGCGCCAGAAAUCCUUCUUGCUACGUCUUGAGUACUGCGUUGGUAUUCCCUUGAAGAGGAAAGGGUGAUGCAGCAAAGUAGCGUAAGUAUUUCCCUCAGUUUUUGAGAACCAAGGUAUCAAUCCAGUAGGAGGCCACGCACGAGUCCCUCGCACCUACACAAACAAAUAAAUCCUCGCAACCAACGCAAUAAAGGGGUUGUCAAUACCUUGAUGGUCACUUACGAGAGUGAGAUUUGAUAGAUAUGAUAAGAUAAUACUUUUGGUAUUUUUAUGAUAAAGAUGCAAAGUAAAGAAAGCAAAAUAAAGACGACGCUAGAAAUAACUUGUUGAAGGGAGAUUAAUAUGAUGGAAAAUAGACCCGGGGGGCCAUAGGUUUCACUAGUGGCUUCUCUCGAGAGCAUAAGUAUUACGGUGGGUAAACAAAUUACUGUUGAGCAAUUGACAGAAUUGAGCAUAGUUAUGAGAAUAUCUAGGUAUGAUCAUGUAUAUAGGCAUCACGUCCGAGACAAGUAGACCGACUCCUGCCUGCAUCUACUACUAUUACUCCACACAUCGACCGCUAUCCAGCAUGCAUCUAGAGUAUUAAGUUCAUAAGAACAGAGUAACGCUUUAAGUAAGAUGACAUGAUGUAGAGGGAUAAACUCAUGCAAUAUGAUAUAAACCGCAUCUUGUUAUCCUCGAUGGCAACAAUACAAUACAUGCCUUGCUGCCCCUACUGUCACUGGGAAAGGACACCGCAAGAUUGAACCCAAAGCUAAGCACUUCUCCCAUUGCAAGAAAGAUCAAUCUAGUAGGCCAAACCAAACUGAUAAUUCGAAGAGCCUUGCAAAGAUAACUAAUCAUACAUAAAAGAAUUCAGAGAAGAUUCAAAUAUUGUUCAUAGAUAAACUUGAUCAUAAACCCACAAUUCAUCGGUCUCAACAAACACACCACAAAAGAAGAUUACAUCAAAUAGAUCUCCACAAGAGAGGGGGAGAACAUUGUAUUGAGAUCCAAAAAGAGAGAAGAAGCCAUCUAGCUAAUAACUAUGGACCCGAAGGUCCGAGGUAAACUACUCACACAUCAUCGGAGAGGCUAUGGUGUUGAUGUAGAAGCCCUCCGUGAUCGAUGCCCCCUCCGGUGGAGCUCCAGAAAAGGCCCCAAGAUGGGAUCUCAUGGGUACAGAAGGUUGCGGCGGUGGAAUUAGGUUUUUGGCUCCGUAUCUGGUAGUUUGGGGGUACGUAGGUAUAUAUAGGAGGAAGAAGUGCGUCGGUGGAGCAACAUGGGGCCCACGAGGGUGGAGGGCGCGCCCAGGAGGGUAGGCGCGCCCCCCUACCUCGUGCCCUCCUGGUUGAUGUCUUGACGUAGGGUCCAAGUCCUCUGGAUCACGUUCGUUCCGAAAAUCACGUUCCCGAAGGUUUCAUUUCGUUUGGACUCCGUUUGAUAUUCCUUUUCUGUGAAACUCUGAAAUAGGCAAAAAAACAGCAAUUCUGGGCUGGGCCUCCGGUUAAUAGGUUAGUCCCAAAAAUAAAAUAAAAGUGUAUAAUAAAGCCCAUUAAUGUCCAAAACAGAAUACUCCCUCCAUUCCAAAAUAUAGUGCGCCCGCGCUUCCCGAGGUCGAACUUUGACCAUAAAUUUAACGAACGAGACCGACUGCGGCGGGUGAAAAAAUUACAUAAUUAAAAACUUCUUUCGAAUACGAAUUCACUGAUAUAAUUUUUGCUCUCGCCGCAAUUAAAUUUACGGUCAAAGUUGAAGCACGGAGAUAGAGGAAGCACUACAUUGUGGAAUGGAGGGAGUAUAAUAUAGCAUGGAACAAUAAAAAAUUAUAGAUACGUUGGAGACGUAUCACUCGCCGUCAUCCAGAUCCGGCGGCGGCAGUACCUUCAACCCACGCAACUCUAAGAUAGCCAUCUAAGUGUUGCUUCCAUGGCGAACUUGCGCCCCCGCACCCUUACGUUAGACACCAGCCAACCGACGGCCUAGGAGCUCCGCCGGCUCGAGGGGUGCUGCUUCCCAUUGGGAAUCGAUUGGCCCAGAAUAAAAAUUCAGACAACUGACGCCUAAAUAAAGUGAUUUGAGAUGAGGGUGCGACCUAUCUGGCGGCCCGGUGAAGUAGGCAGCUCCAGCUGCCGAGUCGGUGAGGCCGGCGCGGUUGCGGAGGCUACCGGCGGCAGGGAAGCAGAGAUGUCGUGAUGGUCGACGGCUACGGGGAAGCAGCGCCGGGGCUCUGGACGGGUCCAAAGUUGGAGCCACUCCGGUGCCGUGAACAACGGCGGGGGUGAAUCGGCUCCGGUACGGUUCACGCACCCGUCGUCGAGGCAGCUCCGGCAGUGCACGACGGCCCAGUGCACGACGGCAAAUGGACGGCAUCUCCGGGAUUAGAGAGGAGGGCGGCUGUGAAUUUGGUGCAGGUGGGGGCACCAUGGAGGAGGGGCUGAGGUUUCGCGGCUCGAGAGAAGGGAGCUUCCGGGGAGAAGGUGAUUUGGCGCCCACGAGGUAUGAAUGGGGAAUUAGGAGGGGGAACCAUAUCUUACGGACGCAUUUGUCUGAAAUGUGGGGGGGGGGUUACAGUUCUACCCCUGCCUUUAGGCUUCUCGGCUUGGGUCUGUACUGAGGGUCGGGGAUAGUAGAGUAACUUUGCUUCUCCCAAAUAGUGGGCGCGAGCAAUUUCGGGCGAGGAGGGCGUGUUUGAAAUAUAGUGGGCGCGAGCGAUUUUGGGCGAGGAGGGCGUGUUUCGAAAUAUAGUGGGCGCGAGCGAUUUCGGGCGAGGAGAGCGUGUUUUGAAAUAGUGGGCGCGAGCUAUUUCGGGCGAGGAGAGGGUGUUUUGCCGACCAUGGUUUAUGAAUUAUUCGGCACAUGUCAUUUCAGUCGAGGAGAAGGCGCGCUUGGAUGAAGUUACGAACCUACCCUCGAUGUACAACGGGCCAAUUGAUGCGUGUCCCACAUAGGCUGGUAAUUUCGCAUCUCCCAUUUAUUUGCUCGAGCGAAUUCCACCGAGCAGAGGGUGUUUAACGGUUCGUGCAAAUUUUUGGAGAACGAGCAUCCACGUCUACCUUACCAAGUCGAUUCGAAUCAAAUUUUGAAAUAUUAGCUUGCCACUUCUUUUUUAGAUGGAGAGAUGAUGCUCGGGAGUAAUGUGUUUUUACGUGCUCGUUGCUAAUGAUUUACUAUAUGACAGAUAGUUGACCCACUCAAAAACGGGAAUCAAACCCAAAAUGAAAUAUCUUGAUACAAUGAAAUAGCUCGUUCACCAGGUCAAAAAUAGUGAACCAAAUCCAAAAUUGAACACCUCAAUCGAGUAGCAUGUUGUACAGUAUUAUAGUACUCCAUGAACAUGUUGAAAGUCAAAUUAAUGAGCUUGUUUGAUAUACGCAUAUCUCCGUUCAUGUGUGGAUUGCAGACAACAUGUUCUCCAAUUUAAAUAUUUGAAUGCAAGUUUAUAUCGAAACAUGGUUUAUAUCAGUCUUUGAUACAUAAAACGCGACCUCCCCCUCUCCCGGACUCCUGCUCUCUCUCUUGCCGACAAUCUUCAAUUAUGUCGCACGCAUCCAACACACAAACCUUGUUGAUCCCUCUCCCUCUCUCUCCAUCUCUCUCUCUUUGUUUGUGUGUGGGGGGGUCUUUCUAGUUCGCAUGCAUAUAUACUCCAUCUAUAGGUCUCUCUCGCACACUAUGUAUGAUUCUCUAGUCCAGGCUAAAUAUCUUGGGUGCACUCAUCGUACGCACACAAAUUCCUUGGCUCGUUGCCCGUAACUCUCUCACGCACCACUCUGUCGUCUUGGAUCUCUUCCCUCUCUCUCUCAAACUCUCCAUCUCCCUGGAUCACACAUACACAUGCAUAUCUCACUCGCACUCGAUAGACCCAUAUAAAACUCUAUCUCUCUCCCUCGUUCUCUCCCCAUCUCACACGCACACACACACAAUUCAUGCCAAGCCAAGUAUGAUGGUCUCUUACUCAAUUGUAGGCACACGCAGUCCCCCCUAUAUGAAAUGACUAGCUAAUCUUAGUCUCCAUCAUAAACAUGUCCAUGGUCUAUCUCAAUUUCUCUCGGGGUAUCUUUCUAUUGCGCGCGCACCUCCCUCGAUCUCCCACCCAUAUAGUCCCCUCACGAUCUCGAGGGGAUCUCUCUAUCACAAACACACCCUCUCUCCCUUCUCAUGCGUCCAUGUUCUCCAUGCGUCCUCUCGACCUUUGUUCCUUGUUGGCCAGACCUCUAUUGGACAUGUGCUAUAGGGGUGUCUCUCUCCGUUGCAAACAAUCACGCACUAGCUAUCUUCGUGUAUCUCCUCACCUCGCUUUUCUAUCUCGGAGAUGCAUGUGUGAUAUGUUUGCAUAAGAAACGAAAACACACACACUCUCUCUAAUUUAUCGUUCGUUGUCCCUUUCUCUUUCACACACAUACUCUUUUGCACACUCACUCAUUCUCCUCCACACGCACUUGAUCUCUCUCGACUUAGGCACUCUCUUCGGUCCAUAGCAUAUAGAUUUAUUGAAAAGUCAAACAUCACAAAGUUUGACCAUGUACGUGGAGAAAAACAAUUACAUAUAGAACGGCAAACAUAUACCAUUAGAUUCAUCAUGAGAUGUAGUUUCGUAUGAUGUAUCUUUGGCAUUGUAGAUAUAAAUAACAUUUGUGUAAACCUGGUCAAAAGUUUCCAAAGUUCGACUUCUAAUUUUUUUACAUGCACUACAUUAUCGAGCGGAUGGAAUAUCUCUUUCCCCCUCUCAGCUAUCUGACGCACCACUCAGCCUUAUUGGGGCUCCUCUAUCUCUCUCAAACUUUAUAUCUCCCUGGUUCACACAUACACAUGUCUCGCUCGCGCUACAUAGACCCAUCUAACACUAUCCGCCCUUGUUCUCUCUCUAUGUGACACGCACCCCCCUAAGUACCAUAAUCCCUCACCCCGUCAUAGGCGCACACACUCCCCCCUAAGUAUAAUUAUCUCUCACUAGCCAUCAGGAACACACGUAUUGUCUGCUUCCAUCCACACGUCUAUCUCGAUAUCUCUCGGGGUAUCUUCUAUCACGCACACACCUUGUCACUCGAUCUCCCACCCAUGUAGUCCCAUUACGAUCUCCAGGGGAUCUCUCUAUGACAUACACUCUCUCCUCCCCAUGUCUGCAUUUUCUCCGUACGUCUCUCUCGACCUCUCUCCCUUGUUUGUCAGACCCCUCUUGGCCACGUGCUAGGGGUCUUUCUCUCUUGGUUGAAAACAACCACAUACUAUCUCCUCACCUUGCUUCCGCUGUCGAAGAUGCAUGUGUGAUAUGUUUGCAUAAGACACACACGCUUUUUCUCUACUUUUAUCGUGUUUUGUCCAUGUCUCUUUCACACACACACACACUUUUUUCAUUCACUCUUUCUAUUUCACACAAACUCAGGUACUCUCUCACGUCCAUAAGCAAAUGGAUGUUUUGAAAAGUCAAACCUUAGAAAAGUUAGACCAGGUAUAUGUGGAGAAAAACAUUUACAUCUGGAACGAUCAUUAGAUUCAUCACAACAUGUACUUACUUCAUACUAUCAUUUAUCUUUGGUAUUGUAGAUAUAAGUAAUUUCUUUAUAAACUUGGUCAAAGUUUCAAAAGUUUGACUUUAAAAAAAAUGUUGGCACUACAUUAUCGAAUGAAGGGAGUAGCUCUUUCUCUCUCUCUCUCUCUCUCUCUGUUAUCUCUCACGGGCCUCCCCUCUCACUCGAACUCUCUAUACCGACAGAUUAUACGCUCACUAUGUCAGCGUAUAGCUCCGUAUAUUGUUUAGUUGACCGGUCAACCAGUCCACAUGCUGCCUUGUCAGCUCGUGUUCUCUAUCUUCGUGUGCUGGCCCAUGUGGCAGUGGGUGAAAAUAAGUAAACUAGAGGCCCAUCUGAGAUGCGGUGAAGUAAACAAAGUUGAAACCACUCGGGGUAGCACCCCGCACGCUAGUAAAUUGAGGGCACAUUGAGGACACACUUCUUCCGCGUGAAGGACGCACUCGCGCACAAUUCACCACUGCGCGGCGGCAUGCACAGAAGGACACACUCGCGCACACCCAGCAGGCCAGCACACAACACACACCAGCACACGUGUACACCAGCAUCGCCGCCAGUUGAGAUGGACGCGAGGCAGCCAACAAGCGGAGGCGGCUCGAGCCAAAACCGCAUCCGGCGAGCCUGGACUUCAUCAGCAGCCUCCCCGACGACAUGCUACUCCUCAUUAUCGGCCUCCUCCCCACCAAAUCUGCCGUGCGGACCGCCCUGCUCUCCCGACGGUGGCGCCCCCUCUGGCGCCGCGUCCCCCUCAACCUCACCGUUGACAGCUGCCUCUGCGACGGGGAUUGCAAACGCAUGGCCGCAGUCUCCAAUAUCCUUUCAUCGCACCCUGGGCCAGCCAGACGCCUUGACAUCCGCAUGUUCAGUACCAACUGCAAGGUCCAAGCCAAGUUCGACGAGCCCUAGAUCAGCUCGAGGAGCUCAGCUUUGAAGUUGGACGAUGUCGCUCUCUGCCGCCGUCCGCGCUCCGCCUCACGUCAACGCUGCGCCGCGCCAGCUUCAGCUCCUGCUAUCUUCCCCAGAUUAAUGCCACGCCCACCCUUCUGCUCCCUCAACUCAAGCAGCUCGACCUCUUCGACAUUGGCAUCUCGAAGCAGGCUAUGGAGCACCCGCUCCGCAGCUGUACUGCGCUCGAGUACCUUCGUCUUGAGCAGAUCCACGGGUUCAUUAGCCUCCACAUCGCCUCGACGAAUCUCCGAUGGAUUUAUGUGUCUUGCUGGCCCCGCAACAAGACAUCAAUUGGGAAGAGACCACUCCAGCUGUUCCACGUUAUGGUCAUUGAGAAUGCGCCUUUCCUUGAGAGAUUGCUUGUAUCUGAUCUAGAAGGUCCAACAAAAAUAAGGGUCAUUGACGCGCCGAACUUGACAGCGUUGGUAUACUCGUCUGCCAAAUUCUCCAAACUCUUUAUUGGAUCCGUAAUCGUUCAGGUACAGCACUCAUCUUCUUCUCCGUCUUCUUGAAAUUCACAUUUUUAAAUUUCUUCUUGAUGUAUUUACGAUCGUCUUCCAGAAAAUGAUUCCCACAAGCUUGACCCAGUCUAUGCACACAGUGAAGAGCUUGGCAAUAAAAUCUAUCGGCCCCAAUCUGGAUCAAGUUGUUGGAUUCCUUACAUGCUUUCCGUGCAUGGAGAAGCUACUCGUCGAGGUGAAACUUCUUUCCUAUUAGUAAACAGUAAUCACAACGUAGCUCAAUUUUUUUCGUAAUUUUCCCAAAUUACGAUGACAAGUGUAGUGUUCAAAACUGCAUCUCCGCACUGCACCGAAAGAAAUGUUUUUAGUAUUUUUUCUCACAUGAUCACCUGCAUCGUUUUUUUGUUGUACUACUAUAGUAGCCUAGGCUAGUCAUAGUGGAAAGUAACUUAGACUAGUAACUCUAUGGUUACCCUAAGAGUAAGUACUACCUCCGUCCUGGUUUACUCUUCCUAUUUUGUAGUAUCAAAAUUUGACCAUAGAUUUAACUGACAAAAUGUUAAUGCAUGUCACUAAAAAUUAUAUCUUUGGAUUCGUAUUUGAACAUAAUUUCAAAUGGUAUAAUUUUUUGUGACAUGCAUUGGCAUUUACUUAGGUAAAUCUAUGGUCAAAAUUUUACAGUAAGUACGAGGUAGUACAAAAGUGGGCUAUAACGGCCCUCCACUAUGUAGGCCCAAACACGUGCCAAAUUCACUUGUGAUGCAUUUGGCAUCGAUGCCCCUCCAUUGCUCACCUGGUGCCCCAAUCUGGAUCACCUACUUUGCUCCGGUGCCAAAUUAACUCACGCAAUGAAAAAACACUUGCGUGGGAGAGAGAGAGGACUGAGGCAAUAAAAAAACACUUGUUUGGGAGAGUGGGAGGCUGGUGUAGUUGGUUUGAUUGAUUUGUUUAUACAUGUGGGUCUGUGUGCACAACGGUGCCAACUCUCUCACAUCGCGAGAGCGGUGGCAAUUUUUUUUGAUUUGACAUCGAUGCGUAUUACGUGGCAUACUUUUGAGAAAUAUGGCAUCGGCCACAUAGUGGAAGGCAACAAAUGCCCAAACUCUUCACGUGCUCCUAGGUAAAUGAGAGGAAAGAGGAAGAGAGAGAGAGAGAGAGUGAAAAAUAUCACUAGCCAGCCAACCCUAUCGUAUGAGCGAAUGAUAUUGGUACCUCUUGAUGACACGACAAUCUUACACAGCCAGCUGCUCUAAUAUGUUCUCUUCUUUUGCAGAUAAAAAAAGACCCGAAAGUGAAAAAUGUGCUCCACUAUAACAAUCUCAUCGAAUGCCUUGAUCUCCAUCUUAUAGAAAUUGUUUUGAUCAACUACCGAGGCAGCACAUCUGAGAUUAAAUUGGCCAGGUUCUUUGUUCUGGAGGCAAGUGUGCUCAAGGUAAUGAGGUUUGGCGUUCUCUGGCGCAACAAUGAAUGGCGUGAUGAUCACCGCAAGCGUCUAAGCCUAAAUGACAAAGUCUCCACGGAAGCGGAAUUUGUUUUUGAAACAUCAAGUGGCCAGAGACUUGAAAAUUUAUUUGCCCAUUAGUGACUUGUCAAGGCGGUGGAUUUUAGUUUGUACGAUAAUGCUGCAUCCACCUAAAGUAACGAAAGUUCUUACGUCCUAGUAAUUCCCUCUUCGUAGGUGCAACAUUACUCCUAACAUUUGUAAUAUCAGUUUGAAACUUGUAAUAUUGUCGUGUCCUAUUCCUGCGUUUUCAAAAUCCUGUGAAUCAAAGAGGUCCUGAGUUGGUGAUGAUGUUGUGCCUGCCAUCUUUCACCAAUAGCCGUCGGAUCUAGAUCUGACGCAUACAAGCCAAACUUCUCCUGUUUUGCAAAAAGAUGCCCGCACUUGUUCCCUAUUUACAAACAACUCCUUGUCUCUCACAAUUAGCCUUAUCUCCUCCCCACCACAUCUAGAAGGCCAUGGAAAAAUCUGGCGCGAUGGCCGCUGCCGGCGCCGUCCACCCCCAAUGUUGGUGUUCCGUGCAAUGCACGUGCAUCUACACAUGGGAAAUUAUGUUGAACACGGCUAGUUGUAAGCAUGCUAGCUCUACAGCCAUGAUGAUAGUGACUGCAGACGGUGAGGCUGACUAUGGUAUGCCGAACAUGGCGCCUAUACUCAGGUGUCAUCUCCGGUGCAGGGUCUUGUCACUUCACUGUGAGGAGCAACACGUAAUAAUUUGACCAACGGGUAGUACAGUACUACUACAUUGGUAGUACUACUACUAGUACUACCACCACCGUCUGGAUUUAGUAGUACUACCACGUCUAUCUGGAUUUAGUAUUUGACUAGCAAUAUCUAGUAAUGCAUGUCACAAAAAAUGUACUACUCCCUCUGUAAAUAAAUACAUGGUGUAUUGUUUUAUUCCUUCCGGUAGAUGGCUCAAAUCUGAAGUCUCAUCAAUCAAACUACUAUUGUACUCACCGAGCGCUCAGCUUUGUAAGCUACCAACAAAAAAUUGCAAUCAAAGACUACUAUUGUACUCCCUCCGUAGUGGUGCAUUAGUCACGUUACGAAAACCAAAUAGUAAUCCCAAAACUUUUAGGCGCGGUGCAUUAACUACCCACCUCGUUCCCUGUUUUUUGCCACAAAAAAAGAAAUCACCCAAUACGACACGUGGGGUGCGUAUGCAUCCAAUGACUUGAGACUACUCCGUCUGUCUAGCUAUAUGCGGAUUCCUAGGCCGAUAUACAAUAAAUAUGAAGAGAGAGAGAAGAUGAGAAAUAGUAGUACUCUUAUAGCCAGCCUUAUAGCUAACCUUAUUGUAUGAGUGGCUACAAGUGAUGGCUCUAUAUGACAUGGCAACAUCAUAUAGCCAGCAGCUGGCUAUACUAUUAACCAUGAUCUUAGGUUGUGCACCGUGACCAAGACGAAGGGGAAAGCGAGAGAACUUAAUGUCUUUUUGCUGAUUAAUAGGAUUACAUGCAAUGAACUAACCACUGCAUGUCAUGUUUGGUAGUCUCAAGUCAUUGAAAGCAUGCACGGUCCACAUCUCUCAUUGGUUAAUAUGUCACGAAAUAAGAAAUGAGGAGGGAGUCACGAAAUAAGAAAUGAGGAGGGAGUUAAUGUACCGUGCCUAAGUGUUUUGGGAUUACUAGCAAAAGGGCCCGUGCGUUGCAACGGGUUGAAAACAGGAAAUGCAAAUACCUGUACCAGCUAAAGCUACUAUAGACAUCUAUUUUUCCACUUGCCUAAUAAAACCUAUUUUUCCACUGUAAAAUGUAAGCAUGCCCCUUUUCGUUGCAAUGGGAGGUAAAAAAAAUAGCACAAAUUCCUAGCACAACACAUUAGUUGCCAUUAACCAUGUUGGUUAGAUUGAAGCGGAACACCGAUCAUGUUUGAUGAGUUCAGGAACGUUGCAGAAAGAUCCUCCAUCCUCUAGGUAAAAAAUAAUAGAAAAAAAAAGAGAUCAUGAGCUUGUAAAAAGAUCAUCCAUCCUCUAGCCAAAAUAAUAGGAAAAAUGAGGAUUUCAUGACAUACCAGAAUCUUACUCCUCGUGGGAUGGGGUCGGAGAGGGGGAAGCGGAUGAAAAUUAACAUAAUUUAGCCCAAUCGAAAAAUGACACAUGAAAUGCAUAUUUUCUAAUUAGCAAUUCCAGUUCAAGUGUAGGUGAAUGAAGUAGUUUUCUGCUUGCAGAUAUUGCCGUCAAUAUCCCCACAACUCGCCCUUACGCCGUCUUGUAACAAAGGUCCAAGUACGAAGUCUGCCAAUGGAGAAAAGGACAGUUUCCACAAACAAAACAAUAAUACAGCUAAAUGAAUCAAACAGAUACAGUUGUGAUAUGUAUUUGCUGGUCGGUGUGUAGUUUACCACUUUUAAAAAUAUAAUUUUCAAAUUUUCAAAAUGUGGCCACGGAGGCUCAAGCUAUCAUCUCAACAUUCCCUUGCCAGAAAAAUCAAUUACUGAUAAUAGCUCUUAGGCAUAGAAAUCUAAAAAAAGUAACUAUAAUAAAUAACACAAAACAAACAAUGUUCUGCACUCAGCAUGGAAACUGUAAUAAGUAUUGUCAACCUCACGCUCAAUAGAAAGCAGGAGUCAGCAUAUUUAAUCGUAUGAAAAAAGUAGGUAGCAAUUCACCUAGUAAUACAUUAACAAUUCUGAACUUUUGACAAAAACAAAUAGUACUGAAGAACUGCCCUAGGUACUCGACAGUGACACACCCUGUCGGAUGUGGAGACCAUCGAGUUGUACGUGCUGAUCCAACUAAGAAUGCUUCAGUAUGUAACACACAACAAUGCAAAGAAGAUUGCUAGAUGAUAAUUUUGCGCACAAAGGACACUGACCAUUUGCUCUACUACUGGCUGUAAUAACCUAAUGGUCUGUAGCACACCACAGUGCAAAAUAAAUUGCUAGAUAUCUAUGCUUUUGAACACCACAACCAGAAGGAAAUCUUAAUUAAUGUAUCUUGGUAUAAGACUGUUAUAUCGGAGGAAGAUGAUCAUGACAACAAUCAUAAAUAAAUCAACAGAGAUUGCCUAAAGAAGUAAUUACUGUUACUUGGAGCACGUAUGCGUGAGUAAUUCGAACAUAGAUUUACCUUGUUUGCAUCUGCCAUCUGGCCGGGCCAUGGAAACUGGUCAGCAGCAACACCAAUCCAACUCUGAAGUCUGAAUACAACAUGCAAGUAGUUGAGUUUACAGAUUCAGACAAACACAAAGGAACCAAAAAAUAUACAGGGUCCGAUUCAGAUUUCGCUGCAGUUUCCCAUUCAUCCAUACCAGUCCAUGCAUCACCAAACCAUUCUUGUCCAUACGUCAUCAAUUAAUUAGUCCUCAACUCAUCAUCCAUUAAUUACAUUGCUCAUUGCAUAGAAAACAGAAGAGAUGACAUGGGACAUAGGAGCUUGCCUGGCGAUGGAGUUUGGCUCAUGGUGGGCCGUGACCUGGUGGAAGGAGCUGAAGCUGGCUGGUACAGCUGGCUCCAGUGUGAACAUAGACUUGCGAGGCAAUUUCAAUCUGGGGUUUCGGUUGCGAUCAAGGGAUUCGAAACCUUUUUAUAGGGUGCCUCAGAACCAGAGUUUUUUUGUUGUAGGCUGUCAGGUUCCGUUUUGGAGCAGAGUUUCCUAGAAGUCGAAGGAGAGUUUUUUCUGUCGUACCCUAUCAAGGUACCAAUUCCAUCGAGAGCGGACACCAAUUCCAUCGAGAGCGGACCGACGAAACGCACGCGGCCAGGACCGGGCAGCUCCGGGAAUGGGCGCAACUGAUCCACCCCGCUCCAUCAACCUGUCGGUCUGGGUGCCCUCCUCCACUCGUGGCCGCCGGCAACGGCGCCUCUUCCCAUCCCCAGCCUCCAGCUUGCCGAUCCCCGCCCUCUCCAUUGUCGGCCUCGAUCUUGACGGCACCUGCCCUCUCCAUCCCCGUCUGCGAGCCCGCCGGCGCCACCCUCCAAUCCCCUUAAUCGAGCCCGCUCGUCUCGAGGUCGCGACCAGUAGGUGGAGGGGAGCUGUGAACAGCGAAGAAAGCCCAGGGUGAGGAGGAGAUGGGAUUGGGAAGCAAAAGGCAGCCGACGGUGCGCGGGCCGUGCGUGGCAGAGGUGGGUUGGGCGGGGCGGAGCGCGCGAGGCAGAGCGUGGCAGUGUUUUUUCCCCUUCGUACCGGUUCAAUUUGGACUGCGGGUUUAAUUUCCGGAAAAGAUAAGGGCCUUUUUGCAAAAGUGCCAUGACGGGUGUGCGGGCAGAAGCCAUAAACGCUUUACUGUUAGGUAAAGAUAAAGAUUACAUUGGACCUAAGCAUUAGAAUAUAUGUGUUGGUCCUACAUUAGUGUUAUACUUCAGCUCCACGCGGUUCCGUUUUAAAGUUGUGUAGCCAUUUUACCUUGCAGGUACAAAGUUGAUAUUAUCCAACUUUGAUAUUUUAUUUUUGUCCUCUUUGGGUGAUUAUUACUAAAGCAAGGUAAGACUAUUAUAUAUAGGAUCGACAAAUUUUCUCUUAACUAUCACAUAAUGUAAUGACCUCAGUUUAUUAGAAGUUACAUGUUUUACCUUAUGACCAUGACUUCUAAAUGUAUGUGGUUUGAUGUUGGUGGUUUAUUAUGCAAUGCAAAUUAUGUCCAGGAUAUGUGCUUCCCGUGCCUGCUAACCUGUGUAUAUAGUAGUAUAUAAGUUCUGUCUAAUCCUAAUUGAGUGUUUUGCUACUAUGGUAGUCCGAACCAGCCCAUCAAAGACACAAAUAGGGAAUCCAACUUCGAUUCGAUUAAAAGCGUCCAACACCAAACCUGGCAUCAGAUAUAGUACCAAAAAAGGCGACACAUAAUCACAGACCAUUCUUGAGAGUUCGGAAUUUUCUUUGCAUGCAUUCGCGGAUUUCUUAAUGGUGUGUGCGUUUUUUUUUUGGAAAAGGGGUGAUUCCCCGGCCUUUGCAUCAGGUGGAUGCAUACGGCCACUUAGAUAAAUAAAAUAGGUUCCACAAUGUCGAAAAGUCGUAAAAGAAAACUACGUCGAGCUCACAUAGACCUCGUCACGAAAAUACAAAAAAAGGCCAUAAAGCCACAACCGGCUGGCAGAAAAAUAGGUAUGGAAACUAAUUGCCAAUCCUAUUACAUGACCGCCAUCCAAACCGGUUGAAUAUAUCCCGCGCUACCAUCUCCCACCGGACAGAUCCAGUAACCAAACGCUCCCUGGCCUCCGUCGGAGUGAGUAGGGACCACAUACGGAUCAACGCCGUAGCUCGGAAUACAACCUGCAAAAAAUGAAUAGUAGUUUUUCUGUUAAAAGCCAAAUCAUUUCUGCAGUUUCAAAUUGCCCAUAACAACGCACAAACUCCUACACGAAUGUGUCUAGCUGUACCGGACUCUAUCCCAUCCAGCCACGUUCCAAAUAACGACCCGACCGAACUCGGAGGAGUAAUGUUAAAAGCAAUUUGCACUGAGCACCACAAAUUUUUUGCCAACGGGCACUCAAAGAAUAGACGCUUAAUGGUUUCAUCCCGAUCACAGAAACUACACCUAGUAGAUCCUGUCCAAUUGCGCUUAACCAAGUUGUCCUUUGUUAGAAUGACCUGUUUAUGGACAAACCACAUAAACACUUUGAUUUUUAAAGAAACUUUAACUUUCCAAACAUGUUUGGAGUUAGGAAUGACACUCGAGUUAAUACCAUCGAUGUACAUCGAUUUAACGGUAAAAUGUCCAGACCUAGUAAGCUUCCAACACAACUGAUCGGGCUGAUGUUGUAGCUGAACCUCCAUCAGUCUACGCACCAGAUGAAGCCAAGCUUCCCAUCUAUUACCAACAAGCACCCUCCUAAACUGAAUAUUAAGGGGUGUGGCCUGCAUAAUCGUUGCCACAAGCGCAUCACGGCGAUGUACAAUACGAUACAGAGUUGGAUACUGUAACGCCAACGGAGUCUCACCAAGCCAGGUAUCCUCCCAGAAGCGAGUAUCAUUACCAUCGCCGACUAUAAACUUUGUUCUAUUAAAGAAGGCUGUCUUAACUCUCAUAAGCCCCUUCCAAAAUGGCGAAUCAGUUGGUCGCAUUGUCACUUGUGACAAAGUUUUGGAUUGCAAGUACUUGUUACGAAGUAUCUGUGCCCAAGUCGCAUCAGUCCCAUCUGAUAACUUAUAUAGCCACUUACUAAGCAGGCAUCUGUUCUUUACCUCAAGAUUCUCAAUACCCAACCCCCCCUGAUCCUUGGGACGACAAAUAAUAUCCCACUUGGCGAGUCUAUACUUUCUUUUUAGAUCAUCACUCUGCCAAAAAAAUCUUGACCGAUAAAAGUCCAGCCGUUUCCUAACCCCAAAUGGAACCUCAAAGAAAGAUAGUAGGAACAUCGGCAAACUUGUGAGCACCGAAUUAAUAAGAAUCAACCGGCCUCCAUAAGACAGAAGUUUGCCCUUCCAACAACUAAGUUUCUUUUCGAACCGAUCUUCGAUACAUUUCCAUUCUCUGUUCGUGAGCUUACGAUGAUGAAUGGGUAUACCUAGGUAAGUGAAAGGUAAAGCCCCUAAUUCACAACCAAACAAUUGCCUAUAAGCCUCUUGUUCCUCCUUGGCUCGACCAAAGCAGAACAACUCGCUUUUAUGAAAGUUAAUCUUUAAACCGGACAAUUGUUCAAAUAAACACAACACCAGCUUCAUGUUUCUCGCUUUUGCCAAGUCAUGCUCCAUGAAGAUGAUUGUAUCAUCAGCGUAUUGCAAAAUGGACACACCCCCAUCAACUAGGUUAGGCACCAAGCCACCUACCUGACCGGCGUUCUUUGCCCUACCUAUGAGAAUGGCCAACAUAUCAACUACAAUGUUGAACAAUAUAGGGGACAUUGGAUCUCCUUGUCUCAGGCCUUUGUGUGUCUGAAAAUAAUGACCUAUAUCCUCAUUAACUUUAAUUCCAACACUACCUUUUUGCGUAAAGGAUUCUACCUGGCGUCGCCAGGCCUCAUCAAAACCCUUCAUGCGUAAAGCCUGUUGAAGGAAAGGCCAUUUGACUUUGUCAUACGCUUUUUCGAAAUCCACUUUGAAAACAACCCCAUCCAGCUUUUUCGUGUGGAUUUCAUGGAGUGUUUCAUGUAGGACCACAACACCCUCAAGAAUGUUCCUGUCCGGCAUGAAGGCCGUUUGGGUAGGCUGCACAACGGCAUGCGCGAUCUGUGAGAGCCUAUUGGUCCCGACCUUGGUGAAAAUUUUGAAGCUAACAUUAAGAAGACAGAUUGGCCUGAAUUGCUCAAUUCUCACUGCCUCUGCUUUCUUAGGAAGAAGGGUGAUCGUUCCAAAAUUUAGCUGAAAAAGAUGAAGCUGCCCAGCAAACAGAUCAUGGAACAAAGGCAACAAAUCUCCUUUAAUAAUAAACCAGCAUUUCUUAUAAAACUCCGCUGGAAAUCCAUCUGGGCCAGGCGCUUUGUUAGUUUCCAUUUGUGAGACGGCAUCAAAUACCUCUUUCUCGGUAAAAGGAGCCGUCAGAACAUCAUUCUCCACAACUGUGAGCUGAGGAACAUCCUCAACCCUGGACUCAUCCAGAGACACACAAUUAUUGUCUGGAGGACCAAACAACUGCUUAUAGAAUUCAGUAAUGUACAAUUUUAGGUUCUCCUAUCCUACAAUUGUACCCUCAUCUUGCUCAAGCUGAAAGAUCCUCUUCUUUCGAUGCUUACCAUUAGCAAUCAUAUGAAAAAAUUCAGUGUUCACGUCCCCCUGGACUACUCUCCGGACCUUGGCCCGCAACACCCACUUCAACUCUUCUUCCCUAAGAAGUUCCUUCAGCCUCAAUUCCGCAUCCAUCUUGGCUUGAAGCUCCGCUACUGGCAGAAGCGUGGUUUCUGCCUUUACAUCUAGGGACUGAAUAAUGGUGUGUGCGUAUGUCUCUCCCUAAUUUGACCUUCCUUUAAUCUCCCCAUUAAUCCUCCAUGCAUGUGCGGAUUUCUUAAUCAUCUCUCUCUCAUUAAUUCACCCGCCUUAAUCUUCCCGGUUAAUCCUGCAUGCAUGCGCCGAUUUAUUAAUCGACUCUUUCUCUCAUUAAUUCGAGAUUCCUUAAUCCCUCCCGAUAAUCCUGCAUGCAUGACUCCUUAAUCUCUUCUUAUAUAUCGUCCGCUUAAGUAGUCUCUCUCCCAUUAAUUCCGUUAUUUCUUCCGACGGAUCCACUCCUUCCAAUUCUCCAGGCGGCUGAUAUUAACUGGUAAGUGUAUAUAAAUCGAUAAUUUUUUUUGUAAAGGGGCAAUAUGGGAUAAUGUAAAAGGAAAGAAGCAUAUACUAUUUCUACAGUUGGCUUGGUCAGAUGGUCACGUUUUCUAGAAUUGAACUGAAGGUCAUGAGUUCGACUCCAAAAGCCCACUUUUUUUUCCUGGGCCACCACGUGAUUGGGCUGAGGCCCAUGUUGCUGGUUGAUCUCACGUGCCAGAUAAAUUUACAACGACGGAUGGACGAAAAUUUUCACCGACGGACCAAAAUUAGGAGAAAGAAGCGUUAGUCGUUUUAUUAGUAGGUAUAGAUAUAGAUAUAGAUUUGGUUUUCGUAAGGUGACUUACACAACAUUUUUUGUUACAUACAUUAACAUUUUAUUAGUUAAAUCAAAGGUCAAAACUUGGCGCAAAAUGCAAAGGGGACCAAUAAACCAGUAAACAUUAAAGUUCUAUCGUUUGGCCCCAACUAGAGGUCCGGUGAGAUGACUAUACUGCACCGGCACGGAGGGGGAGGCACCUUCAUUGACUUACCGCACCUGCGUUUGGGUGAAUGACAUGUGGGCCCAAUAGGUGGCUAGCCCACCUGUCAUACAGCCAAAGGCAGGUGCAGUAGAGGGCCGAGGAGUAGAUGGCCAACACACACGUAAAUUUUCACCGACGGACCAAAAAUUAGGAGACAGAAGCGUUAGUCAUUUUAUUAGUAGGUAUAGAUAUAGAUAUAGAUUUGGUUUUCGUAAGGUGACUUACACAACAUUUUUUGUUACAUACAUUAACAUUUUAUUAGUUAAAUCAAAGGUCAAAACUUGGCGCAAAAUGCAAAGGGGACCAAUAAACCAGUAAACAUCAAAGUUCUAUCGUUUGGCCCCAACUAGAGGUCCGGUGAGAUGACUAUACUGCACCGGCACGGAGGGGGAGGCACCUUCAUUGACUUACUGCACCUGCGUUUGGGUGAAUGACAUGUGGGCCCAAUAGGUGGCUAGCCCACCUGUCAUACAGCCAAAGGCAGGUGCAGUAGAGGGCCGAGGAGUAGAUGGCCAACACACACGUGAAUGCAAUACAGUUUGCACUUCUCAUAUAAAGGCUCCCCGCCAGUCUAAUCUACGAAAUCCUACGCACCUACGCACCCUAACCAAGGGCAAGAGUGAUCACUCCAAUCGCAAGAUCAGUUGACUAGAAGCUAGACCCAUGGAGGCGAUGAGCGCGAGUAUCAGCCGGCUGUGCCAGAUGGUCCACGACGCCGGCCUGCGGCCCGGCACCGAGGAACGUCUCCAGGUCGUGCUUGAGGCCGCCAGGGCGCGAGGCCGCUUGGACGACAGCUUCAUCUCCUUGUUCGACAAGGUCCUUGUCGGCUUCCUCGACAAGUUCACCAUCGUCAAGAGGCUCACGGACGACCUUGACGUACGCCUCCAGCCCACGCGCCCAGGCUCUGCAAUGCCCGACACCCUCAACGGCCUCUAUGGUGGCAACCUCUUUGAUGCACUGGUGGCCCUGCGACUGCCCGCCGUCGCGCCAGAGAAUGUCCACCUCGAGGUCGCGCUCGCCGCGCAGCGCCUGGCGCAGCAAGACACCGUCGACAUAAUCACCCACGUCUACGCGCAAAUCGUCCACAAGGACUACUACGUGCCAGAGGAGGACGAUAGGUCGCUGGCCUUCUUGACCUGCAGGGCAACCUUGGACGGCAUUGUUCAGAAGCACGUUGAGCUCGCCGCCAACGCCGCUGCUCCUCACACGUCGGUUGGUGACCCAGAGCACUAGGACAUGAGGAUGUCAAUGAUGGAUCCGUAUGUAUCUUUAUCUUUCCGUCAAAUCCAUGUAGUAGUAUAUGGUACUACUAGUAAUUAUCUUACCUUUCGCAUCAACUUCGUAAUUUUCGUACGUACUCCAUGCAUGAACCACGCCAGAACCAAACUUCUCAUUACUCUAGGGAAAAUCGUUAUUUCUAACUAUCGGUCGCGCCAUGGAGCAGAACCAAAUUUUACAAGUUACAAGUUCAAAAGGAAAAGCCUAUCGUGUUCGCAUCGCACCUCCACACGGUUGGUCCGACAUGCCGCUCAAGGGGGAAUGCGUGAUGUGUUGCAUUUUCACUUACAAGUGGGACCGCAGUUGAGCAAACCGACUAUCAGCAAACCCCCGCCCGGCCCACCGCGCGAUGGCUGAGAAAACAGGAGGAAGAAGAGAUGGCUGUAGCACGGACUCCAAGAAAAUUGGUGUCGGAUGGGACUCGUGUGGGUGGCGUGUGCCGUACUACUAGACAUGAAUGCUAUUUAUGGCCCAUGCCACCCCACUAUAUCGAGCCUAUAUCAAGGUGCUGGUUACGUAGAACAAAUUUCCCAGAGUCCGUGCUCAGCCCUCCUCUAUCUCUCUUCUUAGCCAGCCAGCAGACGCGCGGAGCCCAUCGUCUGUUUGCUCACAUGCGGUCCCACAUGUCAGUGAAAACGCAAGAGGACCCACUAAACAUGCACAUCUUUCACCUCGACGUGCUGGUGAUGAAAAACAAAUCCAAUAAAGAUAUUCGGUGGCCACUUUUGGAGUUACGCAAGCGUAGUAAGAUUCUAUUUACAGUUUAACCCAAGAUGCACAUCACGUGGCUUCAACUACCACUCCAUUUUCUUGCAUGACAUGACCUGGAUGCUGGAUGUCCCACGUGUCGGCAAAAGGAGGAAGAACUUGACCAAAUCUUCUCCACAUUUAGACCGGAGGAGUAGGAAACACGGCAAGCCCUGUGCCUACAUCAUACUACGUACAAGCCCACCUCACACAGUCACGCUAUCACCAUAUUUCUCGGCCUCCGUGCGACACCUAGCUCUAGUUGAUCUAACUAGAACUAACUAUUGGUUGGCUCUAUGUGAUGUGGCAACUUCAUACUACUACUACUACGGAUGCUGGCUAUACUACUACGUCACUAACACUACAAGAAGUGAGUCGAAAACCAUUUAUAAAUUGAGUUUAUGACAUGCAUAUGCAAAUGUACCAUUCAUUACAUACAACAAGUCAUCAACACACAACGACAACGAGGAUACAUGUUGGAUUAUAGAUUAGUUCCAACAAAACAUUCUAGUAAAUACUAAAGUUUUCAUCGCACAAAAAAUAACAAGCAAUGAAAUGAACUUUAGCUCAACCGAUCCUCGGCGUUGGAAACACUUGCUUUGAACCAGAAGAAUUUCUCUCGGAAGGGCCAGCUAUUGUCAAUCUCGAGACCAAUGCAGGACUGAUCAUCCAGGCUGAAGCGGCCUAUUUCAUGACCCAUAUUGUGAUAGCCACGGUAGGGACGCAUAGCAAUGUCUGAGGUAUAGAUACAGUUGCUUCUCAUAAAUGGUAGUAACAUUGUGUCAACAGCAGCUGGAUCGCCUUUCACCAUCAUUGGAUAGUUUUGUCCAAGGAAGAGCGAGUUUCCUCCAAGACUUUCAAUACUGAACCAGGGAGAAGGUGUUGGCACUAGUACACUAGUAUCCAUCCUGAAUACCCUGCAACAGAUGUUGGAAUAGGUCCGGAGAGUGCGACCAUGGGAGACAACACCUGCUUCCUUAGUCACAUCAGCGGUGCCCUGUAUACAGACAAUAAGAGGUGAUCCAUCGGAAUAAGUUGCCAGGCACCACUGAGUAUAUGGGUCCUCAUGCUCGUGAUCAUCAUCAUCGUCAUCUCCCCCUUGGUUAUAAAAAAUUUCAAGUAUAGGUGGUGGAAUGUUCACAGGACCUUGGAAACACAAGAAGGUUAAUUAGUAAAGGGAAACUAGCUAACCCGCAUGCAUGUGGAUGAAACAAUUAUAAUUACGGUGGAAGACAAACGUACCGAAAGCAUAAGGAUUCCAUGCAAAAACAGUGCCACGAGUGGUGGCAGCAAACACAAGACCCUCAUAUUGAAUUGCAUCACAGUACUCAUCUGUGUAUAGAAACUGAUUUUUGAGCAAUAUCCAUCCAGUCGAACUAUGAAGGAAGGCAACAAGCUUGUCGAAGAUAGCAACAACUCCAUAGUCCAUUAAAUCCCAAGAGCGGUCGGGAACUUGACAAAUUGCUAUCUUCUGUAGACGACAGUCACCAUGAUUGUAGUUGAAUGUAUGUAGAAUACCGGUGUGCUCAACCUCUGGGUAGUCUGAAAUUUUUGGAAGUGGAACCCGGUGAUGAGUGUACACAUUCACAAGUUCCCACUCGCAGUUGUACCCAAUAUAAAUAACCCAAUCUCCAUUUGCGCCCGCCCAAGCCUUACCCUCAAGCGAUGGCAUCUUAACAUCACACGUAUCAUUAUCAAGCGGCACCAACUUGCACAAGGCGAGGCCUCCAUCGUCUGCGCGCCAGUCAGCAGGGUCACGGUGAAGAAGAUAGGGGAGAUCAAACCGCUCCUAGACCCUUGGGUUCUUUGUAAUGAUGUUAUUAGUUGAGUCGAGAAUGGUCUUGAACGAACCUGCCAUGCUAGCCGAGGUGAUGACGUCGCACCGAUCAAUGAGUUCCUCCACCAUGUCAUCAUUCAGAUCGGGGCAAGAAUAACGGGGUCGUUUCCGGCCUGUUCCCUCCAUGGAGAAGACGAUUGAACAAUGGCAGAAGGAAGGGUGAAGGCAAAUGGAGGAGGGAGGAAGAGUGUGCGACAGCAGUUCCAAAUAGAGAGGGAAAGGUGAAGAGUCGGUGGACGGUUGCCACGGUACACGAAGAGGCGCCCCGGCCUACAUAGACGUCCGUUCGGAAAUUGUACAAAAGGACUCGCCGUCGUCUCACUGACAUGUGGGAACAGGACCACAUGUCAACGAAGAGGCUAGUGGGGAGCGGACGGUUGCCACAGAGGUCACACACUGACGACAAGGCCGUCCUGUCAGACCUAGCGCCCACGCGAGAUGGCUUCCGUCCCCCACACGAGCGAAGCCACUUCGCACCCCCACACGGUUGGUCCACCACGCCGCUAGGCCAACUCCAGCGCGUGUAGCUCGGACGCGCGCUUGCUCAACCCCCUUUCCCUUAACGCCCCGGAGCUACCUAACCAGGGCUACAUGUUUUGCGCACCCGGCGACCGGAUUUCGAGCGGAUCCGGUCGGGCUUGAGCUCGCCCGGCUGUGGGAGGCUGCGCCGCGCCAUGGACUGGCCGGGCAGUGGGCCGGAAGGCCCCGGCAAGGCCGCAAGGACACAUGCAGUUACUGACUCCUCCUCCAGCCACUCGGAUCUACACCGUCGGUGGUCUGCCGGCAGAUACAUGAAUGGCGGUCGGCCGGGCUCAGUGCUGGCCCAAAAGCUCGUCGGCGCACCGUUGCCACUCAUUACGUGCGACGACUGCCCAAAGAAGGUCUUGCGCCGCGUGUCUACAACGCCAGAACAUCCCGGAUGGGUGUUCAUCAAGUGCUCAACCGAUGGGGUAUGUGCUACUUUAGCUUCGGUUGUGCUCUCGGAUUAGACUAGUUGUGCUAACUUAAAAUUUUAUUGUGUAGAAUGGAUGCAAGUUUUGGUAUUGGGAAAAAGAGUACAUCGAUAUAUUGAGAGAGCGCAGUUUAGUAGAUGUUGUAGCACUUCUAGCUAGCAUAGAGGCUAGAGAUGAGACUAGUGCACUUGUUGAUAGAAUAGAGGCUAGACAUGAGACUAGAUGCGAGGAAGCAAUGUCUACUUCUUUACACUCGAAGAAGAAAGAAGCACGCAAGAUCAAGCCUCCGCAGAUCAACAAUGAAUGCAUCGAGAAGGCACUAAUCCAACUUACAGGAGCAGUUAUGGAAGUUGGAUAUCUUCUAAAAUGUAUUCUUGUGGUUCUUGUUUUCUUUGGUCUUGCUUUUCUAGUCAAAUUUUGGUGAUGUAUUUCCAUGUACCAAAAAUCAAUGAUGAAAAAAGAUAUGUGUUUGCAAAGAAAAAUGUACGCGGCCGGGAUGCGUCCGCGCAUUGGGCGCACGGCCACCGCAUCCGAGAAAGGGCCCGGACACGACCCCAUUACCCUACCCAAAUGGACAGAAUCUGGGCAAAACGGAGGUCCAUUUGGGGUCAUGUGUUGGAGUUGUCCUUACAAGUGGGACCGCAUUUGAGGAAACCGACUAUCGGCAAACCCCCACCUCGCCCGCCACGCGAUGGCUGAGUUAGAGAAACGACGAGGUUGAAGAGAUAGUUGUAGCACAGACUCCAAGAAAUAUGGUGUUAGAUGGAAGUCGUGCUGGUGGCGUGUGCCAUACUCCUGGACGUGAAUGCUUGUUCUGGCCCAUGCCACCCUACUAUAUAUCGAGGAUUCGAGGUGCUGGUUACAUACAGCGAACACAUUAACAUAUGGCCCACAUCACACUGUGGCCAAAUUUCCUGGAGUCUGUGCUAGGUUAAAAAGUGUUCUUUGUGAGGGUGGGUGGCUGGUCUCAAGUUUAAAACUUGUUGCAUUACGUAUACGUAGACGUAGAGAUAGUGCAGCAGUUUUUUAAAGUUUGAACCCAAACAUCAGAAUGCAAUUUCUACUGGACUCAUCCGAGGACCUAGGAUGGUGGGAUUCGCAGCUACAGUAAAAACACCCGCCCGACGCGCGAAGCAUGUGAAGCUAGUACAAAUAGUAGUAGUACUAUUGUUGAUUGGACUCAUCCGAUAACCUGUUGCAACGCACGUACAAUUAUGUAUUCGGAAAAUAUAUUUUUGCCUCGUCGCAGCACCCACUCAGAGAAGCGACUCAAAAUCCAUUCAUAAAUUUAGUAAGUUUAUCACAUGCAUAUCAUUUUAUUACAUACAACAGGUCAUCAACCCACAACGACAACGAGGAUACAUUAUAAAUACUAAAGUUUUCAUCACACAACAAAUAACAAGCAAUGAAAUGAACUUCAGCUCAACCACUCAUCGGCGUUGGAAACGCUUGCUUUGAACCAGAAGUGAUUCUCUGGGAAGGGCCAGCUACUGUCAAUCUCGAGACCAACGCAGGACUGAUCAUCCAGGCCGAAGCGGCCUAUGUGAGGACCCAUAUUGGGAUGGUAGGGAAGCAUAGCAAUGUCCGAGGUAUAGAUACAGUUGCUUCUCAUAAAUGGUAGUAACGUUGUGUCAACAGAAGCUGGAUCGCCUUUCACCAUCAUUGGAUAGUUUUGUCCAAGGAAGAGCGAGUUUCCUCCAAGACUUUCAAUACUGAACCAGGGAGAAGGUGUUGGCACUAGUACACUAGUAUCCAUCCCGAAUACCCUGCAACAGAUGUUGGAAUAGGUACGGAGAGUGCGACCAUGCGAGACAACACCUGCCUCCUUAGUAACAUCAGCAGUGCCCUGUAUACAGACAAGAAGAGGUGAUCCAUCAGAAUAAGUUGCCAGGCGCCACUGAGUAUAUAUAUGGGUCCUGCUCGUCCUCAUGCUCGUGAUCAUCAGCAUCUUCAUCUCCCCCUUGGUUACAAAAAUUUUCAAUUAUAGGUGGUGGAAUGUUCACCGGACCUUGGAAACACAAGAAGGUUAAUUAGUAAAGGGAAACUAGCUAACCCGCAUGCAUGUGGAUGAAACAAUUAUAAUUACGGUGGAAGACAAACGUACCGAAAGCAUGAGGAUUCCAUGCAAAAACAGUGCCACGAAUGGUGGUAGCAAACACAAGACCCUCGUAUUGAAUUGCAUCACAGUACUCAUCCGUGUAUAGAAAUUGAUUUUUGAGCAAUAUCCAUCGAGGCGUGGAAGUAAGGAUGGCAACAAGCUUGUCGAAGAUAGCAACAACUUCAUAGUCCAUUAAAUCCCAAGAGCGGUUGGGAACUCGACAAAUUGCUAUCUUCCGUAGACGACAGUCACCAUGAUCAUAUUUGAACUCACAUAAAAUACCGGUGUACUCAACCUCCGGGCAGUCUGAGAUUUUUGGAAGUGGAACCCGGUGACGAGUGUACACAUUCACAAGUUCCCACUCGCAGUUGUACCCAAUAUAAAUAACCCAAUCUCUAUUUGCGCCUGCCCAAGACUUACCCUCAAGAGAUGGCAUCUUAACAUCACACACAUCAUUAUCAAGCGGCAUCAACUUGCACAAGGCAAGGCCUCCGUUGUCCGUGCGCCAGUUAGCAGGGUCACGGCGAAGAAGAUAGGGGAGAUCAAAGCGCUACUGGACCCUUGGGUUCCUUGUAAUGAUGUUAUUAGUUGAGUCGAGAAUGGUCUCGAACGAACCUGCCAUGCUAGCCGAGGUGAUGACGUCGCACCGAUCAAUGAGUUCCUCCACCACGUCAUCAUUCAGAUUGGGGCAAGAAUAACGGGGUCGUUUCCGGCAUGUUCCCUCCAUGGAAAACACAGCCUCUCUCUCCCUCCUCACCGGUGGUCACAGAUCCACCGGGGAAGAAAAGGACGUGCAUCGUUGAUGCACUCGUCGUCGGCGAGCGAGGUCACGCACUGACGACAAGGUCGUCCUCUCAGACCUAGCAGCCUCGCGGGAUGGCCUCCGUCCCCAAGCUCGCUGCCGUAGUGUGUGCGGAGGACGACGACCAUGAGCGAAGCCACUUCCCGCCGACCCUCAGGUAUGCUACCUCUUUUCGAACCAUACCCUUGUUCUAUUGCCCCAUCUGCCACGUCGCUGCAUGUGGAUCUUUUUCCACUCCACCAUCUUCCCAAUUUGCUAUCCUUUGCUCUGCUGGUCAUGCAGACGAAAACCUUAAUUUGCACUAUUAAAGGAAACCCUACUUCAUGUAGACUAAUCCAUGUCUGGGUUGAAUAAGGAAAGGAAGGGAGACUGUACUGUCCAAGAGAGCAGGCAUCGAACCUGCAUCUAGGUUGAAAAGGGGAAAAUCAGUAGCUAAGGAACGAGUCUCGUGUCUCUUGGUUGAAGAAGGGUAGAAAGGCAUGACAACGCAAUAGAGAAUGACCAGGUCGAUCGGUUUGUUGUCCUCACAUAGGAAAAGGUGGCUAAAGAGAACAAAAAUGGGACAUUAUCCACAUAUGCUGCCUGGAUAUUUGUCUCUCUGGGCAACCAUACCUCCCUCACCCCUCUAUGCGUCCGUGGAGGUACAUCGUACUGGUGCGCCCACUGUCCGAAUGGGCCUCCCAUCCUCUUAUUGCCACUUUUUUGCUGUUAGUAUAACACCAGCGGUCAAGUCAAGCAAUGCUACUGCUAAAGUUAUGCCACAUUUAACUAAUGCCGCACUCAGUCUAAUGCGACCGCUAAAUUUAAGCAAUGCCAUUUAAUGUCACUGGAUUAUUUCAGGGUUAGCUGUUGAUUGUGGAUGUAUUAAAGAUUUUUCAGCUAAGGCAUUCUAAUGUUGUUGCAUAGCCAGUAUACCAACGAUGAAUCUUGUUACUACCUUCAAAUUUUUGCACUGUUAAUGCUUAUAGAUUACAUACCUCACUUUCAUGAGAUAAGUCAAUUUUUUUUGUACAGUGUCAAGAGGAAAGGUCAAGAGUGGGCACCUCCUCCUCCGGCUAUUCUCUUGAUUCGUUCGAUCAAGUUUUUAUGUUUGAUCGAUUAUCAAGAUUGGGAUAGCAAUUUUUAGGUCCCCUCGAGUUCGAAAUGGUUUGCAGUUUUUUUAUACUGUCAUUAGUUAAUAAUGCUAGUUACCUUCAGACUUUUGUAUUUGGUUUAAUGCUCUUGCACAGCUAGUAUACCAAUACUGAAACUUGUUACCUUUUCAUUUUGUAUUGUUAAUUCUUAUAGAAAUCUUCCAGUGCUAGAGCUUAUGGAAAUCUGUUCAGUAAAACCACUGUACUGUACCCUGUAAUAAAAUAACUACUCUACUGUUGCACUAGCCACUGGAUUAGUGUAUAUUUGUACUAUUCGAAUGGUGUUGCAUUAGUGUAUGGACAUAUAUAAUGUGUGGCAAGCUUUCCCAGAUAUUUGCUCAAGAAAACUACUACCUGUUUUUCUAAAUACUACACGUUUGGGAACUUUAAAUUGAACUGCGAAAACGUCUUAUAUUAAGGAACAAAGGGUGUAGAGUUCACUUAAAUUAUCCCGGUAAAGCUAGUCACACCUUUGUUAAAAUUAAUGUUCAUUAUGUUAUCGGAGGAGGUCUGUAUGUUUGUCUCUAAUGCCUGUCGACUACAUACCUAACAUCAUGAUGUAAUGUUAAGUCAUUUCCUUUUGUACAUUGUCACUGAAUUUUCAAGGCGGUGAUGGCAUUUUAUUUUAGUUGAACUGCACAAAAUAUGCUUAAAAGAAGAGAAAAGGUCAGGAAUGGCUCAAUUUUUCAGAAAAAACUAUGUAUGCCUUCCUAACAUCAGCCGAUGUUGCCUUAUUUAUUCCUUCAAACAGGUGGUUAGAAACAGUCUUGCUACCUUUUCCCAUUAAGAAAUUGGAAUGCUUAUAUUUGUGAGUCUAUGCUUCAACUAGUGCCACUUUUAUAGUAAUCACACUUUCAAUAUCUAUGCAAACAGGGAUGCUCGAUUUUAGUGGAACUGCACAAAAAGUCCAAAUGGUUCAACAUUAGGAGCAUGUUUUUUCCCAAACCUGUAUAUCCAAUUGGUGGCACUAUGAGCUGUUCAUUACGAAGGUACAUGGUUUGCUACUAUCUUGCUACUCUUUUUGUACUGUCAUUAGAUAGUAAUACUAGUGGUUUGCAUGUGAAUUUAUUGGCAGGGUGGACCUACAUUGGAGGUGCAGGACAUGAUUCAAUGAUUGGAUGCUCAAUUUCGGUUGUAUCGAUUUCACCUCUUCCAUCACUGCGAACAUGGAUAUCCUUGGUCUGAUGAAGAAUAGGCGCUAUAUUUCUGCUCUGAACCAGCAAAUCAAUUCAAUAUGAAAUUGUCCAGGGCAAAACAUGACUGUAUCAAAUUGUCUAGUGCAAAACAUGAUAGAUGCUAAGCGGAAGAGGCCUGUUUAAACCGAAAAUACAAGGUGGGGUAUAUGUUUACUAGCUGCUUGAUAUUUGUGCUGACAGAGAUGUCUGCCCGUUGCUAUUUGGCAAACAAACAAAGUGACCGCAAUUUUGGUUGAACUGCACAAGAGAAUAGUAUAGUCACUGCAUGCAGUGCCAUUUGAAAAUAGACAUAGAAAGAUUGGAUAGUCACUUCAUGGACUGCAGAAAAGUAGUACUGUACUAUUUAUUGGCCAACACUAGGUGCUUCAUUGCUUUGGUCUGAUUAUACAAUGGGCAUCUUUUUUCCUAAGUUAAAGUUUGUAUUCCGAAAAUAGUCUCGCCGUGUGAUCGAGAGAAGACCAAAUCAUAUUGCAGUGGAUGUUCCUCCAUCAUGUGUGGUUUAUUCUCAUGGUUCCGGCUGUUGGUGAAACCACUUACGUUUGCAAGAGGAAUUGUAGACUUCACAAACAAAUUUUUCUUUCACUCUGUACUGAAUGUUGGCCAAGAGAAGUAUCCAUGUUAGUAGGAAGAACAGAUGUUUUUUCUAGAUCUUUGCUUUUGGAGCUACAUAUUUGUAUAUGAUCUGUGAAUCAUUGAGAUGCAUUAACAUGUUGAUCUUAUGUAUGGGAAUUGUACUAGUUGGUUUUGAAUUUGGCUUACUAAUGUGAACAUAUUACAAUGCCAGGCCUGUGAGUCUCGUGUGAACAUUUCGAACGGAUCGACUCUUACUGUUGUGCACAACAUGAUCCUUAUUUUUGUGUUCUUAGUGUUUACAAGUUACUAACAGUUCCUUAUUUCUGUUCGCUCAGUGUUUACAAGUUACUGAUCGAUCACUAGCUAGCCUACUAAUGCGCUCCUGGCAGUUUUAGUUGCGACGCAAGAUCCGAAGUGGCAGUUUUUUGAAUAAAAAUGCCUACCUCUGAAGAAACUGACAAGCUGCUCUGAAGAAAAUGCCAUGCGAAUCUGAAGAAACUGCCAGCAAAAACGUUCACAAAUGCCUUAUCUCCCAGCGAACGUUCAUCAGCUAAUGCGAUCGUACACGUACACCAUCCGACCUACUCGAUCCUACACGUACACUAUCCAACCUACUCGAUCCUACACGGAUAAAUAGCAGAUCACGCACGUACUACCUCCUUUCCGGUUUGCAGGCCUCAAUUCAAAAAUCUCACCAAUCAAGAUAGAUGAUGAGUGGUGGAAUCAUUUUUGACAAGGAGGGAGUACCUCAUCAGGAUGAUUCGAGUGCACUAGUUUGACCGUCAUGCCGGCGUGCGACCCAGCACGGACGGGACGCACCACUGGCGGGACGGGACGACACAGUCAUAAUUUCAAUUUUUCUAGUUUUCCACGGCAAGCUGGUGCGCUAAGCCAUGCCUGCUUAUGCAUUGAAUUCCGAUGACCGCGAUGACCAUCGCGUUUCUCGCGACACGCUGGUUCGCCUACCUUACACCUAUAAUUACUGUUUCCCGACCUUCGCCGGUGGCACCAUCACCCAACUCGCCCUAUCCUCAUAAGCCCUCACCGGCCCGACGUCGCUCACCACUUAUCCUCACUCUCGCCACGUCCGCCAUGCCCCCGCCCGUCCGUGAUAGGCGACGCCAGAGGCGGUCACCGCCGGAACUAGUGUUCGAUUUUUCACCGGAAGGCAGACGGAGGGAGGAGGCAUUCUAUCGGUCUUUAGAUGGAAAUGCGGAGUAUGAAUAGUUGUUGGAGCGCGACCGCCUGGCGCAGGAGCAGCGUAUCGCCGAUUUGCGCCGCCAGCGGGACAUGGAGCAACAACGCACCAACGCUCUGAGUCGCGAGCAGAGCGUCCGCAACUGGGCCGACUACGUGGAGGCCGACGCCCAGGAAAUAGCCCUGGAGGCUGUCGGGCACGCACGCGUUCGCGACGCUGAAUUUUACUACAAGCUCGUCAAGUGGGUUUCCUGCUUAGAAGCUGAAGCUUCGGUGGACCACGCCGGCAUGGAAAGGGCCAACGCGCGCGAGCAACGCGCCCUAUCGCACCUCUGGCAAGUCCGAGGCGAGGCGGAGGACGCCGGUGCCGGCGUUUAGCGUGUACCGCAGAUGGCGGCCGGCAUUGUCUAGUUAGCUAAGAGUAAGUUAGUACUUGUACACUACUAGAGUAUUAGUGGGAGUAGAUAGUUAACUUGGGUAUGAUGGUUGUCAACGUGGAAGUUCAGUACUCUAUAUCUGGAUCAGACCUGUUACUUUGCUCUAAAUGUUGAACUUUCCGUUGAACGUAUAGAAUGGGCUGUUAUUUUUUCGUUGGAUUGUAUUUGUCCGCCACGGGUUUAGAGGCUGACUUGUGGGCCUACCAGGUUGACGCGUACACAAUCAGGAGAUGAUUGUACGUGGAGAGGAUGACAACAGGGACGCACCAAAGUCAUGACAGUACGCAAGCAAGUGCCUCCUUAUUUCAAGCCAAUAAAAAAUGGCUCCUCCUAAUGGAUUUCUGACAUCUGGGUCCCAUGCCAUUGUUAACUAGUCAAUAAACGAGAGAAUUGCACAACGAGCGGCUGACACCAGGGACCCAGUAGCUCGCCCAGUUAUUUUUAUUUUGGGUUAAUUUGAUAAAUUCCACUCCAAAUCUGGUGAUUCCGAGAAAUGCCACUGCAAUUUCCAAAAUUUGAAAAAUGCCAUUUCAUGCCAUUUCCAGUGGCAUUUUUUGAAGUCUGGAGUGGCAUUUUUCAAAGUUUGCAAAAAUUGCAGUGGCGUUUUUUAAAGUUUGCAAAAAUUGCAGUGGCAUUUUUCAAAGUUUGGAAAUUGCAGUGGCAUUUUUAUGAAUCGCCAUAAUUGGAGUGGCAUUUAUCUAAUUUGUUUUUUAGACGGAAGCAGGGAGUCAACUGGGUUGUGCGGGGCACUCUAGCCUGUCUAGACAGUCUUUUCUUUUAUGUUUACCACAGACCGGCCGAGUAGUUUUUUUUUCUUUCUGAAAAUGGCUAGCCCAGAUUUUUGUGAUUUGUCAAGUAAGUCACUUUGUCAAGUCUGUUGGACUGCAAAUCUUUCAAGACGAGGAGAGCUUCAUUCGGCUGGCUGAGAAAAUGGCCUAUCACCAAUGAGAAAUGGGUAGUACAUUUUUAAAACACAUCAAACCGGCAAUUAGUUCAAAUUUCUUUUUUUCAUUUUGAGAUUUUAAAUUGCAUUCAUUUUUAUGCAUGGACAAUUUGUUGGAUUUUAUAUUAAUAUACAUUUAUUUUUAAAAUCAGUUUGAAUGUGACUCAAAAUUUCGGGAUUAAAAACAGUUCGGACCGCACCGAAAUAUGCAAAAUUUCGUAUAAUUUUUUAACCGUGGCCAUAAUAUGGGCUGUAAUGAUAACGAAAAGAAUAUGAGCUCAAAAAAACCUUAAGAAUUAGUAAACAGGCUGUAAAUUAUUAGAAAUAAUGGCAGAUGGGUUGUACCUUGUUUUCCACAUAUUUGAGGCUUUCCUAAGAAAAGGUUGACGCACAAGCAGUGACUGUUGGAUGUCCAUCCAACGGCCGUCGUGCUUCUUCAAUCUCUGCUCUUCCUGCUCCAGCCGCUCAAACAAGCGCCGGCGGGACUGCCUGCUCCCUCCUCCCGCGGCCGGUUAUGAUGCCGCGCAGACCUCACCGCCCCACCAUACUCCCAUCGCUGGCCUGGCCAUCCCUCUACUCACCCACACCUGCUGUUAUUCUCCGGCGACAGCGGACGAACCAAAUAAACUCUCGUACUCCCCUCCGUGUGGGAAACAACUGCCGAGUCUUCCCUGGCUCCGUGUCGUUCCCUUCCUAGGCCUCGCCCUUGUCCACCGCCCUGGUGCACUCGACGCGGCGUGGUCAACGUGGUUAACAACCGACAUGCAUCUGAAGUGAACUAUACGUGGAGAGGCUGACAGCUAGGUCCACGGCCGCACGCAAGGAAAUGCCUCCUUAUUACGCGUAAAAUAAUGAUUCCUCCACCUGACAUCUGGGACCCACCGAAAGGGCCUCUGUAUUUCACGAAAAAAACAUUCUCGCCGCUGACAGCUCGGACCCACCCGCUAUAUCUUCGCACGCAAGGAAGUGCCUCCUUAUUACGCACAAAAAAAAAGGAUACUCCCCCUGCUAGCUAGGACCCAACAUAGUGGGAGGCUGACUUGUGGGCCUACUAAGUUGACAGGGAUGGAGGGCUUUGUCAACUUAGUCAAUAUGAACGAUUCUAGCUCCAGUGACCGUACGAUGUCCAUCCAACGGCCGUAGUGCUUCUUAAUCCUCUGGUCUUCUUGCUCUAGCCGCCCAAAGCAGCGCCGGUCGUGCCGCCUGCUCCUGCCUCCGGUGGCCGGCUGUGCUGCCGCAAAGGCCUCACCGACCGCUACUACUCCCACUGCUGGCCAGGCCCUGCGGCGACGACAGCCUCACACCGCAGACGAACCAGUGAACCCUCGUACUCCUCUCCGCGUGGGCAUCCACUGCCGCGUCUUCCCCGGCUCCGCGUCGUCCCCUUCCUAGGCCUCACCGUCGUCCACCGCCGUGGUGCUCUCGGCGCGGCGUGGUCAGUGUGGUCAACGACCGACUUCCAACGGAAGAGUACUGUACGUGGAGAGGCUGACAGCUGGGUCCAUGGCCGCAGCAAGGAAGUGCCUCCUUAUUACGCGGAAAAUAAUUAUUCCUUCACCUGACAGCAGGGACCCACCGGACGGGCCACCGUAUUUUGUGAAAAAAACGUUUCCCCCUGACUGCUGGGACCCACCGGCUACAUCUUCGCACGCAAGGAAGUGCGUCCAUAUUAUGGGCAAAAAAAAAUGAUUCGCCCCUGACUACUGGGACCCACCAACUACAUCUUCGCACGCAAGGAAGUGCCUGACAGUCGGGACCCACCUGGUCGAAGCGUACGUAGCAUUGUCAUUCUGGUCGCGAACGUGUGCGUACAUACGAUCGGUCUGUCUGCAGGCUGCAGCGAUGAACCGUGGCCGUGUAAGGAAGGGCACGUGUUGUAGUAGAGGCGCGCAUGUAGCAUGUACACGUACGUACAGCGGCCAGGGUGCAAGAGUAAAUACGGCCACGUACGUACAUACGGGGGGGGGGGGUCUCGAACACCUACUCGCGCAUACGUACGGCCAGGGCUCCGAACACCUACUCGCGCAUACGUACGGCCAGGGCUCGUGUACAUGGCUAGGUCGGAACAGAGAAGCUGCGCCGUCGUCAUGAUCAUGGGGAGGCAACCGGCUGUGUCGGAACAGAAUGCGUCGUCGUGUUCAUUGGGAGCCAACCGGCUUGGACAGAACAGCCGAUGGAAACGAGGCCUGGCGUACUGCAGAACGGAGGAAACGGCCUUGUGUUCGACCGGCCAUGGUCGAAAUGGGAUCAUGUUCAUCGGGAGGGGUCUGGCGUAUCGCAAAACGGAGGAAACGGACCUCCUACGGUCGAAGCGGGGUCUUGUUGAUCGGGAGGGGUGUGGCGUACAGCAAAACGGAGGAAACGAACUUGUGUUGGAGCGCUACGGUCGAAACGGGGGUCCUGUUCAUCGGGAGGGGUGUGGCGUACCGCAAAACGGGACUCUACGGGAUACUGUUCAUCUCCACCGUCGACUGCCUCCACGGGCUACUGUUCAUCCACCGUCGACUGCCUCCACGGGCUCCUGUUCAUCCACCGUCGACCUCCUCCAGCCUCCACCUGCACUGUUCAUCCACGGGCUCCUGUUCAUCCAGCCUCCACCGCGUGCUCCUCCACUGGCUACUGUUCAACCAGCCCUCUCCACUUGGGUCCUGUUCAACCACCCCUCCACGGGCUACUGUUCAGCCAGCCCUCCACGGGGUCGUCCUGUUCAUCCAGCCCUCCACGGGGUCCUGUUCUUCCACCCCUCCACCGGCUCGAUCGAUCGNNNNNNNNNNNNNNNNNNNNNNNNNNNNNNNNNNNNNNNNNNNNNNNNNNNNNNNNNNNNNNNNNNNNNNNNNNNNNNNNNNNNNNNNNNNNNNNNNNNNNNNNNNNNNNNNNNNNNNNNNNNNNNNNNNNNNNNNNNNNNNNNNNNNNNNNNNNNNNNNNNNNNNNNNNNNNNNNNNNNNNNNNNNNNNNNNNNNNNNNNNNNNNNNNNNNNNNNNNNNNNNNNNNNNNNNNNNNNNNNNNNNNNNNNNNNNNNNNNNNNNNNNNNNNNNNNNNNNNNNNNNNNNNNNNNNNNNNNNNNNNNNNNNUUCAGAGGCAGCAUCGACCGACUUCAGUUAGCAGCAGUAGCGAAGGAAUCACUCGAGUUUAGUUAACAGCAAGGUAUCGAUCGAUCGCUCGGGUUCAGUAACGCGUAGCCUGCAGUGCAAUCGCUCGGGUUCAGUUAGAGCCCAACGCCUCGCUCGUGUUCAGUUAGAGCGCAACGCCUCGCACACACGCGCGUACGUACGAGGGAAACGCGCAUCGCUCGAUCCUCGACCACCCACCGUAACCGGGAACUCCCCCGAUAUUUUCCUCGCCCUCGCUUCUACCACGGUUUUUUCCGUCAUGCACGGCCCAAAGAAUGUCAUGCAGCAGCGUCUCCGGCCCGCCCAGGUCGAAAAGCCAAUUUUCUGUCAUGAUUUUUUUCAUAGAAGUAGGAGCCCACCACAUCUAUGAUGAUACCGGGUUUUGUCACAAUUAUCGUCAUAGAAGUGUCAUAAGCAUGACAGGAAAAAAAAUCUUUCGGCCCAAAAUGUUACAGAUGUGUCUUUCUUUUUGUAGUGAUCGUAUGCUCAUUACCAUUGAUAUGGAAGGUGACCUUGCUUUUAUUGCAAUCAAUAACAGUCUCUACAAUAUUCAAAAAGGGUCUACCAAGGAUAAUCGACAUGUUGUCGUCCUCGGGCAUCUCAAGUAUAACAAAGUCUGUUAAGAUAGUAACAUUUGCAACAACAACGGGCACAUCCUCACAAAUACCAAUAGAUAUGACAGUUGAUUUCUCAGCCAUUUGCAAAGAUAUUUCAGUAGGUGUGAGUUUAUUCAAGUCAAGUCUUUUAUAUAAAGAGAAAGACAUAACACUAACACCAGCUCCUAAAUCACACGAAGUAGUUUUAACAUAAUUUCUUUUGAUGGAGCAAGGUAUAGUUGGUAUUCCCGGAUCUCCAAGUUUUUUAGGUACUCCAUCCUUAAAAGAGUAAUUAGCAAGCAUGGUGGAGAUUUCAGCUUCAUGUAUCUUUCUCUUAUUAGUGAUAAUGUCUUUCAUGUAUUUUGCAUAAGGGGCCAUCUUUAAAAUAUCAGUCAAACGGGUACGCAAAAAGACUGGCCUAAGCAUUUCAGCAAAGUGUUCAAAUUCUUCAUCAUCUUUUUUCUUAGUUGGUUUAGGUGGGAAGGGCAUGGGAUUUUGAACCCAUGGCUCUCUUUCUUUUCCAUGUUUUCUAACAACAAAGUCUCUUUUGUCAUAUCUUUUAUUUUUAGUUUGUGGGUUAUCAAGAUCGACAACAGAUUUUAUCUCAACAUCAUUAUCUGGUUCUUUAUCAUUAUCUGGUUGGGUGUUUUUAUGAACAUCAUCAUUAUCUUUUUCAUUAUCACUAGGUGAAUGUUUAUUACCAGAUUGAGUUUCAGCAUCUGAGAUGGAGACAUCAUUAUUAGCUUCAGGAGGUUUUUCUAUUGCAGGUUCACUAGAGGUAUGCAAAGUCCUAUCUUUUUCUUUUUCUUCUUCCUUUUAGAAGGACUAGGUGCAUCAGUGUUAAUUCUUUGAGAUUCUUGUUCAAUUCUUUUAGGGUAUCCCUCAGGACUGAGAAAUAAGAUACCCCUCUUCUUCGGAGUGGGUUUUGGUGGUGGUUCGGGAAGAAUUCAAUCAUCAUAAUUUUUAAAUAUGUUAUUCAAUAAUUCCUCAGCUUGUUCAACAGUUCGUUCCCUUAAAACACAACCAGCAAAACUAUCUAGAAAGUCCCUAGAAGCAUCGGUUAGUCCAUUAUAGAAGAUAUCAAGGAUUUCAUUUUUCUUAAGAGGAUGAUCAAGCAAAGCAUUAAGCAAUUGGAUAGGCCUCCCCCAAGCUUGUGGGAGACUCUCUUCUUCAAUUUGCACAAAGUUAAACAUUUCUUGUAAGGCAGCUUGUUUCUUAUGAGCAGGAAAAUAUUUUUCAGAGAGGUAAUAAAAAUUUCUUGUAAGGCAGCUUCUUCAAUUUGGGGACUACGCACACAACCAGGAGCAAGAGUAUUGUACUAUAUCUUUGCAUCAUCCAUUAAUGAGAACGGAAAUAAUGUGAGGAUAUAGUAGUAGCGAAUUUUCUCAUCAUUAGCAAAAAGGCUGGCUAUAUCCUUUAGUUUAGUAAGAUGUGCCACAACAGUUUCAGUUUCAUAGCCAUGAAAAUGAUGAGAUUCAACCAAAGUAAUUAACUCUGGGUCGACAGAGAAUUCAUAAUCCUUAUCGGUAACAAAGAUAGGUGAAGUAGCAAACUUAGGAUCACAUUUCAUUCUAGCAUUAAAAGAUUUUUCUCUCAGUUUGCAUAGUAAUUUCUUAAGAUCGUCCCUAUCAUUGCAAGCAAGAAAGUCUCUAGCUAUCUCCUCAUCCAUAACAUAACCUUUAGGUAUUUUAGGCAUUUCAUAUCUAGGAGAGCUAGGUCUAAUAGGUGUUUCAAGAUUUUUAGUUUCAAGUACUUCAUCAGUCUCAACGACCCCCCUGGCCGCCGGCCGAGCUCUCGGCAGUGAUGGGUGAGGAAGGAAUGGGAAGGAGGUUUGCUGGCAAGCUAGGGUUUCCCUUGGGCGCUCCCGGGAGGGAGGCCCAGGCGGCGUCUCUCGGCGAUGGCGGGGGAGGGGAGCUAGGGUUUCCCCCUGUAGCUCGUAGGAGGGAGGCCCAACGACCCUCUCGGCAGUGGCGGGAGAGAAGGGAUGGAAGGAGAGGGAGGUUUGCUCGUGGGACGAAGUGAGGGGGGGAGCCCCAACUAAUUUCACACCAUCCGCGUCCAUCGGUUUAAUAGGCUGUCACGAUUAGCACAUAAUUUUUGAACACAAUAGAAUCAGAGCUGCUCACAUACAUGCAACAUGCACGUACACUCAUCUAUGGACACGCACACACACCCUAUCCCUGUAAUAAGCAUGUUCGAGAUGCUAUAAGUCGGUGCAAGAUCUUAAGAUCGAUGAAGUAACCACGUGCGGCUCGUAGUAUUAAACCCCCGGAAGCGACAUAAACCUGCAUGAUUCAUUAUGCAAGGUUAAAAAAAAAAGCAAGGAAUCCAUCAACCGGACGCCGCCGCGUGCGUGCGUCAGAGAGCCGGUGACCCAACCGUCUUCCUCCCCACGCAUUAAUAAGCCCGCGCCUUAAAUCCCCGCUCCCAACCGUCUUCCUCCCCAGCUCUGACGACCGUAUCCAUCCCGGAACGGGAAACACCAACCUGCUUUCCACCUAUAAAAUCCGCCCUUCCCCACCCCCCCAAUCCCACAACAGCAAACCAAAUCCCCCAAGACCAAAAAAGGCCCCAGCAACCCAAGCGCGUCGACCCCAUCUACUUUCAGAGAUUUUAUUAGUCGAGAUGGCACAGGCGAUCGAGGCUCAGAGGGAGGGCGCAGAGGUGUACCACGGCGCGGCGCUGUGCGCGGAGAAGGCGGUGGAGCUGCUGGCCGAGACCAACAUGCCGCUGGGCCUGCUGCCGCUGGCGGACAUCCAGGAGGUGGGCUACAACCGCGCCACCGGCUUCGUGUGGCUGCGCCAGAAGAAGGCGCUCACGCACACCUUCAAGCAGAUCGGGCGGCAGGUCUCGUACGCCACCGAGGUGACGGCCUUCGUCGAGGACCGCAAGAUGAAGCGCAUGACCGGGGUCAAGAGCAAGGAGCUCCUCAUCUGGAUCACCCUCUGCGACAUGUACAUCGAGAAGGACGAUCCCUCCAAGAUCACCUUCAAGACGCCCACCGGGCUGGGGAGGACCUUCCCCGUCUCCGCCUUCGAGAAGCAGGACGACGGCAAGGCCAAGGCCGCAGCUGCCGACGGCAAGGAGGCCGUCGUGGCCAAGUAGGUGAGGACGGCCGGCAUACUCUACAAAGUUUCGAUCAAGAGUUCUCGAGUCCAGUUUUUACUAUAUACGACGAUUACUAUUUGCUGUAAUCUUUUUAAUAAACCACGCAUUAUAUAAGGCUGUAAUACUCUGCUCCGGUGUUUUGCCGAGGGUUGUAUCAUGCACAUGAUCGUGCCAUCUUUAUAAUCUUAUAUGUGCUGUUCGCUGCUUAA